UCCUACCAAACGGUGGGACUUGGCCUUGUGUCCAAAAUUCAUAAUAGCUAACACAUUAACAAAAAUUAAAAAUACUAGGUUACAAAAUACAAAUCCGAAUUUUGUGUGUGAGGGAAUUUAAAAAUGGAGAGACUAAAAAAAUGUGGUGACAAAUGACAUUUAUUACCAAAAUUGAAAAUACAAAGUUUAGGCAACUGAAAGCAUCUCUUCAAUUGCAUUCAACCAAUUACCACCAUCCAUAAUUAACCAAAAUCAAAUAAAUUAAAAAAAAAACACAAAAAAAUCACAACACUUUGAUCAUCCCUGCUUCUUUUUCUUAGCAUAGCUCUUGGAAUAAAAAUUAACAAAAAGUGCCAAAAGGGACGCAUUAAACACAGCGUUGAAACGCCAUCCCCAAAUCCCAGAGCAACCAAAACCCGUGAAAUGAUAAUACAGCAUCAAAACUGAAACAACAAAACCAAACACAAACUGAACAAUCUGACAAUCAGUGACCAAUCUCUUCCACUUUGGCCGCAACCCCAUCACACACAAUAGAUAGUACCCGUACAUGAUCACAUGCACACUUGCAUUGGUGACAAUUGCAAUAGGAAACAAAGACUGCUUCGUCUGUAACCAAAGGAAGCACAUUACAACGACGGUUGCAUGGUGGUAGACGUGGAGGAACGUGAGCCGUUGGAUGGAGUUUGACAAAAUAAUCAAAAGGGUGUCAAAGAAUUCGAGUAUUUUGGAGAGGUAGAAGAUGUAAGCGUAGAAGAAGAGAGGGCCAGACGGAGAAAUGGUAGGGGGGAAACAGAGGGUGUAACGGAGGUGGGGUAAAUGGAGGAUGAUGGAGAGAGUGCAACCAACGGCCAUGAUGAGGGAGAGGAUGAGGAGGGUGAGGUUAUGGACGGCUAUGAUGGGCUUGAGGAUGUGGGGUCCAAUGAGAGGUGAUGAUGGUGGUGAUGUUGAUGUCGAUGCGUGGUAGAGGAUGAAUGUGAGGGAGAGGUAAGUGAGGAUGGAGAGAAUGAGGAAGUGUGGGGAGGAAGCUAGUGUUUGGUUCGGAGUCCAUGUGAAGUUGAGGAUUUGGGGGUGGUUUACAAGCCAAUAUUGGAGUGUUGAGGUAAUUGAAUAUGAAGCCAUGGCUGGUUUUUGGGGGGAAGAAAGAUUUGGAAGAGAUGAUGUUGAGAGGAACGGGGGAGUUUAUAAAGUUUUGGGAUAAUGUGGAGGGUAUUUUGGACAUAUUGUUGUCUUAGCUUAAAUUUUGGGAAAAAGAUAGUCAAUAAUAAACUCUUUUUUCAUAUCAAUAUAUAACUCCGAGUGUGUUUCCAAAACUUGUUUUCCUUUUUCCAUUUUAGAUUUUAAAUCGUAAAUUUAGUAAAGGAAGUUAAAUCAAGUGAUCACUCUUUUCUUUUCUUUUCUUUUCUUUUUUUCAUGUAAAGCAAUUAAUCUUUUUUGUGAUUUAAGCAAAUAUUGAGUUGCGUACUUUAACGAUAUUAAUAUUUGAUUCGAAAUUUUGUCUACCGAAACUACAAAAAUUAAUAUUUUCUAUUAAAUCAAAACUAAAAUUAAAAGAUGAUUCAUUGUCUGCCAACUGUCAUUAAACGAAGCCAUCACUCACACAAAAAAAAAGUGAUAUAUUCAUUUUAAUGUAAUUUCAUACCAACAUGUCAUUCUUUUCUUUCAAACAAUGACCUCUUUAAUUAUAAAAUAUGGUAAAAGAGUAAAAAUACAGUAAUACAGCCACACACUCUUAUACAAAUUUAUGUGGCAUCAAUUCAUUGGUUAAAUUAAAUAUCUCUUGGUCCACAUGAUUUACUUUCAUUAUUUUGUAUUUUCAUUCAACCAAUGAAUUGAUGUCACAUUAGUUUGUACAAAAUAAGAUUGUAUAAGAGUUUGUGACUAUAUCAUCACUCAUGGUAAAAAGGGAUGGGUUCGAGGUAUGGCGUCCAGGCCUUUGUGACAACUGGCAUCUUUGGACGUGGGUGUCAUUAGAUUUUUUGCUAUUAUCAUAUCAUCAAUUUUUUUGGCUAUUUCUGCUCAAUCAAACUUGUGGAUUACAUGCACUCAACGUCGACAAUGGAAAUGGGAGAAAAUUAAGUUAAUAAAAUCAAGUAAGUCAAACAAGGUCCAGAAUAUACAAUUGCGUUUAGUGGCAGGAGGGUACGUAAAUACAUGGGAAAGAACUAUUUUUAGUCCAAUUUCAUGUUUGGAUGUUGAGGUUGAUGUGGAAAGGAUGUGGCUUCCCACAUAAAACCCGCCGUUUCGUUCUAAACUAAGUGAAUUUAUCUGGUGAGCUAAGUUGGUUUAGGACGUAACUCAAAUAAUUAAUUUUUUAUUAGUUUAGUAAUAAAAAUUUUGGAUUUUAUUUUAAAACUAUAAUUCAACAGAAAAAAAACUUAAUAAAAAUAACUGUUAUUUAACAUAUUAUAUUUUUUCAAUAAUAAAAUAAUUCAAAAUUUUAAUUAUUAUAACAAUAAAAUUUGUAAUAUAAUCCAUUCAUAUACUAGAUCACAUAAAAUAUAAAACAAGACCAAAUAUAAUCCUAUUACAUCUAAUCAUAUAAUAUUCUAUCACAUCAUAUACUAUCAUAUUCCAUCCGGCAUGCCAAACGUGCAAAGUUUGAGUCAGUUUUGUUAAAGUUGAGUAACAUCUCAUAUGGAAAGGAUGUGGCUCCCACAUAAAAAUAACCCACCGUUUCAUCCUACACUAAGUGAAUUUAUCUCGUGAAAUAAGUAGUUUAGGAGAUGACUCAAAUAAUUAAUUUUUUAUUAGUUUAAUAAUAAGAAUUUACAAUUAUAUUUUAAAUCAUUAAAAAAUACUUAAUAAAAAUAAUUGUUAUUUAAGAUAUUACAUUUUUACAAUAAUAAAAUAAUUCAAAAUUUUUUUAUUACAAUAAAAUUUGUAAUAUAAUUGAAUCAUACACUACGUCACAUAAAAUACAAAAUAGUACUAAAUGUAAUCCGUUUCGUUCUAAACAAAGUGAAUUUAUCUCGUGAGCUAAGUAGUUUAGGAGAUAACUCAAAUAACUAAUUUCUUAUUAGUUUAGUAAUAAGAAUUUUCGAUUAUAUUUUAAAAAGUAUAAUUCAUUGCAACAAAAAUACUUAAUAAAAAUAACUGUUAUUUAAGAUAUUAAAUUUUUACAAUAAUAAAAUAAUUCAAAUUUUUAAUUAGUAUAACACUAAAAGUUGUAAUAUAAUGCGUUCUACAUCACGUAAAAUAUAAACUAGUACUAAUUAUAAUCUUGUUACAACCAUUCCUAUUAUAUUCUAUCACAUCAUAUGCUAUCAUAUUUCAUCCAGCGUGUCAAACGUGCAAAGUUUAAGUAAGAUUUGUUAAAGUUGAGUAACAUCUCAUAUGGUCAAGCGCGUGGAGUAUGGACUUACAUAAUCGAGUGGGUACAACUAAAGUCGGGUAAAGUUUGGUAAAUCUUUAUAUAUAUUGUUGGGUUGGACAACUAUAUCUUUUAAGUCAUAUAAUUAAAUAGUUUUGGUAAACAUUUACUAUUGUGACUUAAAAAUUAAUUUGAUUUGAUCUCAUACUUUAUUAUAAAAAAAAACUUAUAAUAUCUUUAUUAUUUUUAUUAAAAUUAUUAUUUAAAAGUCAUACAUUUAUUACACAUUGUCAUUUUUUUUUUCACAACAACUAGUAAUAUCGAAUAAGAACUAAGUUGAGUAUGAUCAAAUAAUUUAAGUUUUGAUUUUUAUUGUACAAAAUAAUCAUUAGAACCAACAAAGUGUUGGCUCCACUGGCAAUGGAGUCCCCUUAAGUGGCUUGACUGUGUUUGCUCCCCAGUUCGAGUCGCAGGGAAGUCACCUUUGUUGGGAGAACCUGUGCCUCUCGGUUCGAGCGAGGACUUCUAGUCUGGGUUGUGGUACGGGCUUAAAGGUGCCUCCCACAGUUGGAGCCCUCCCCAGGAUACCUCGUGGUCAAAACCAAAAAAAAACAAAAUAAUCAUUAGAUAAUUAGUCUGUAAAGAAUAUCAGCUACUUCAAAUGGAAAUUUGUGAUCAAAAGUGUACCACAGAAGUGACAAAGACACUAUAUGAGAAAUCUGAAAUAGAAUUUAAUAUCUUAGAAUAUACGACGUUGCAUCACAUAUGGUAUUUAGGCAUCAAGAAAAGAAUCCCUCUAUCUAUGAACCACACUUGCCAGGAAAUUAACACCAGGGGAAUACCACCACCUCAUACUAUUUCUUAGGUGUCUCAGAGUUUGAUGAGGACUUCCAUGCUGUGUCUCUUCGACAGGCAGCAAAAUUGGGCAAUUGACUACAUCAACUCCAACAAAUUUAUGCAGACACCUUCCUCCAGACCAUCCUGUUUCUUCGCGCUUUAGUUGCCCCUAUUUCCCAUUAUCUUGUUUGACGCCAAGGAGCCCAAGCCCAGAAACAAUGGCAUUCUUUGGUAUCAACCACUUGGAGACUUUGGUAUCAAUCCUGUUGUGCAAGGCUUCUUCAAAAGGUCAUCCGUUGAUCUUUCUCCUAAUUAGACAUUCAAAACCCUGCAUGGAAUCCAUUUGAGAAGUUGGACAAUAGACAAACUCCAACACAUAUAGACAGUAAAGAAGAAUUCAGACCGCACUCACUGUAGCUGAACAAAUGGGCCUAUUAAGCCUAUUAAAAGUUGGAACCAUAUUCACCACUCGCAUUUCCUUAGAGAACUAUAUCAGAAUUCUGUAAAUUGAAAACUAUUCUUACAUAUUUAACUGUAAAACAAGAGAAAUUAUACUUCCGUAGCAAAGUCUCACUAUUGGUAAGUAUCUGGACUUGGAAAGGAUGCUAGUUGAUCAAGUAAAGGAAAAUUGACAUCAGACUUUGAUGUGAUAGAUAUAUACACUUCAAUAGGAACCACAUUAACAACUUAUGAGACAAACAAACAAAUUCCCCAGUCAAAGUUCAACAAACAAAACACUAAAACAAGAGUAAUUUGGUCCAUCAAUGUAUAUAUAGAGAUGUCGCUGAUUAGACAAAUACGUAAAAGAAGAGGGAAUGACCUCAAAUACGUAAACAGAACAAUCUUCUAAGUUUACUCUAUUUAUAACGAAUAAGUGAACAAAGGAAUGAAAAGGAUGUUUGGCGAAGAAUCUUGCAUCUUAUCAAGUGGGGAAAGCCUUCGCAACAAAGAUGCUGCUUGCUUUCAAGCAAUAAUAAUUUUCCAAUUCCAUAAGGUAGCUUAAUGCCUUUUAAGAAUAUCUGCACCAGCCUAACAAUUAAUCAUGGAAAUUCAAUUUGCAUUUAUCACCUUUAAUUUGCUCAUCUUUGUCUCGAGUAUUGUUUUUGCGUUAACUUAACUAGCUUGCAAACCACCUGCAAAUGGUUUUAAAUAAUGUGUGAGAUUGUGAGGUCGAACGAAUUAAUCAAAUAUGAUGACAGGAGAAACAAAAUUGAAAUAACCACAAGUAGAAGUAUACUUUUGUUAUAUUUAUAGCAUCUUCUACUGUCUUCUUUUCCUUUAGUAGCUCUGUUUCUGUGUGUGCUCAAUCGCGAUGCCUCAAUCUUUUGCAGCCAUAUGCAGACUUGAAACACCGGGGUGUCCCUAAGGAACUUGAAAAUUAGAAAAGUUUCAGUAUGAGUGACUAAAUAUGAUAAUCGAAACUAAUUUAAUAUACACACCUUGUAAAUCUGAAACUAAAUUACUCUGAAUGUAUAUGCCUCUUGGCAGCAAUUGCUCGUGGUGGAAAGUUUACUGCAAAGACUUCCUCAAACCUCUGAAGCUCACACUCUUCCUGGCAACAAAGAAACAGAGUCAAUAUACGAAGAUGAUUUUACUAACAAGUGAGAGCUUGCAAAUAUUGGAAGGAUAACGAUUACUCAUAACCCAAAUCCCCAAUACCUUCUAAUUUCUCACUCACGUGAGUUCAAGCUCCCAAAAUUCAUUACAGUGAAACUCUCACAACAAAAUUCUCUUCAAAGAUUCUCUACUGAAAUUUGAUGAUGAUAUCUAGCACUGAUCAAAUUGGCUUGUGAACAAUUAAGCUGCUUAGUAUCCUUAACCUGAUAAACUUACACAAACAAAAACAACUUGCCUAAAGUUUAAUAUUUAGAGGCAGAACAAUAAAGAAGAAGAUAUAUAUUGAUACUAAAAUUUGACCUGUAUUACCCUGAUGUCAAGCAUCACUGCAUCUCAUGUGGGUAAAAUCUUCACAAUACGAGAUGCUUGCAAAAUUGAAGCAGCAUCUUAUCACCUGUAAUUUAAUUAAGACAGUAACUUUCCCCAACUAUUUUAAUGCAUUAUUGGCAACUAAAUUCAGCGGGCGCUAAUUAAAUACCCUUUUAACAAUAUCUUCUUAUUCUUCUCCAAUCUAACAGUUAUUUGGAAAAUCUAAAUGAUAGUCAUGCAUCAAUGGCGUCAAAGUUUGGCUACAAAGCAGCCUGGAAAAGGCUUUACUCUCUGAGUGAGAGCAUGAAUUUGAAAAAUAUGAUGAAUGAAGAAACAAAGGCAUAAUACCACAAGAAGUCAAACUUUUCCCCAGAGCUCUGUUUCUGUUUGUGCUAAAGCCAAUGGAAACCGAAGGAAAUGAAUUUCUACGAAUUAGACAUAUCAGCCAAACAAGUACUCUAUACAAGCAAAGUAAAAGAGAGUUAAAAAAAUUUUAAGAUUGAUAUGAUAAUUAAAAUUUCAGUCACCAUAUAAUUAAUAGAAAACUUUGUACACAAUGAUUUAUGGCGUAAUAAGACUGCAUAUCUAAAUUUUAAUUGCGAUACAAAAUAUGAUAUUAGCAUUAGGAGACCGCACCAAAACGUACCGUAUUGAAUGUGCCUUUUCACAACCAUUGUACAAGCUUUGAAGCUUUGGCACAAAUGCUUUUUCAAACCCAUGAACAUGAUGCACCCGAGAGAUGCAAGAUAUGAAAUUGUUACUACAGCAGGGAUUGAAACAUUUGUUAAGAAAGGAAGUUUAUGAAAAUACGCUUAACAUUCAUUAGAUAAAUGCCUUCAGGAAUCAAUUCAUCUGUAGUAACAAUUUUCAAAGAGCAUCAACUGCUUUAAGUCCCUCAACAUCACAGACAUCUUCAAUUAAAAUAGCGCAGAUCCGGCCAUCACUAUUCCUUCUACUGCUCUUUUGCUUUAGAGAACGCUUCAAUUACAAAAUGCGUGUAAGGCUUUCUUGUUCAAGGUCCAGCGAUCAAACCUUGCACAAUAACAACAGAGGUAGUAGUUCCAUCGCCAGCCUAAUCCUUGGACUUCCCAACAUUCUCCACGAGUAGGAAAUCAACCUAAAAAAUAAGAAUGAGUUUGAAAAACAGUUUAUGGCCCUAAAGAACUUGAAAAUCAGAAAUGAUUAAGAAUGAGUGACUAAACAUUUUAAUCGACUAAACAUACAAAACUUGAAAACCCAAUAUUGAAGUACUCUGAAUGAAUGUGCAAUUGCACGAGCUGGUGACAACUGACUUUACUGCAAAGGCUCUUUCAAACCCUUGGAGAUGAUAACCUGAUAACACAAAGAAACACAAUGAAUAUUAAAGGAUAUUCUGACAACGCAAAUUUGUGCAAACUAUGAAGUGUGGUUACCUGCAUAAUGGUGUCAACACCAAAUUCCUGCCUCCAUUGACGCAUAUGAUAAUAUUAGCACAAUUCAAUAUGUUUAUAUAGGAUAAAUGAUUCUGAGAAUGAAGCAAGAUAGAAAUGAUGAUCUUAAUUGAAACAGAGCGAACCCGGCCAUCACUUCCUUCUUCAAAGUCCAGCAACCAAACGUUGCACAAUAACCACAGUGAUAAUCCUUGGUUACCCCAAUGUUCUCCAUAGAGUCUUCAACGUCAACUUAAAAAUGAAAUGAAAAUGCAAUGCAGGUGGAAAUGAAAAUUCUAUAAACAAAAUAAAAAAAAAAAAUGCAAUGCUUGACCUUGAGCUUGCUUUAAUAAUCAUAAUAAUCGAAUUUGGAUAUAUCUUUACUUCCCUGUGGUUCAAUCAUUUACUUCUCUGUUCUUGUUUAUUCACAACAAGAUAUCAAUAGAAGAAGAUGGAAAUGAAAUUCUACAAAAUAAAGCAAGUGAAUUACCAGCAGAACAUUUUAGCAAUCCUUUGGCUAAACUUUUCAUUUUCUUAGCAAACUCUCCUGCCUGCAUCAUUAAAACCAAAUUAGAUUGGACCUGUGGAUUGCUAGUGUGGUUCUGACAUUUCCUCGAAUCCCUGGUGAACAUAAUUAAACAAGUAUGAAAUAAAACAAAGUGGGCUAAUGUAGUAAAAACAAUAACACAAUUACUUUAAAGAAUUAAUGUCACGUAUAUUAUAUAUAAAAAAAUACGAUUAUCAUUAUAUAAGAUAAAAUUGAUAAUUUAGUUUUCAACAUUACUGGAAACGUAUCACAGAGAUUUUGUCUCUCAGCAAGUUACACAUAACAAAUUUUCGUACAUUAAAAAAUAAAUUACAUUGCAUGAAAUUUUACAAAAGAGCACAUAUUUUUUAAAAGUAAAUAUAGAAAUUUCAACAGACUACACUUGUUUUUUUUAUUUUUUAUUAUUUAAUCUUUAGAAAACAAGUUUAACAGAUUUGAUAACUAGGAAGUUUUACGUAUUUAUACCAAGAUUGAUUCUAUAUAGAAUUUUAAUUCAAAAUAUAAUUAUUUUUAUUAAUUUCAUUGCAAGCAACAACGAAGUAAAUCAGAGGAGGAGGAGAAAUUACCAGCGAGUGAUAUCUUACGGCUACCACUUGAUGUGGGGAAUGUGAGAUAUCUUAUGCCAGUCUUCUCCUUUCCCCUCUCUAUAACGGUUUUCCAGAAGAGGACAUAUGUGAAUAGUCAAUUCCUGCAGCGUCGACGUUCGAAGGAGGUAAUCCGGCAGCACCUUUAAUUUGGGGCAAUUCUGAAUAAACAAGAAAGAAAGACGCGGUAUGUCUGUUGUCCUGCGAUCUUCUAGAAUGGGCAGUUCUUCCAAAUUUUCACAAGAAUAAAUACUCAGUUCCUGCAGUGCCGUCGUUUGAAGAAGGUAAUCUGGCAGUACCUUUAAUUUGUUGCAAGACCAAAUCAUCAAGGAAGAAAGACGUGGCAUGAUGGAGAUGUUUUCCUUCCUCGUAAUCCUGUAAUUCCACUCUUCCAAUUCUUGCAUGUCCCAAAUUUUGAGAGAUUUCAAUUUGGUGAAGGCAGUAACUGAUGAUGAUGAUGAAGAUGAGGACGGCUCAUCAUCACUGCUUUCUUCUAUUCCCAAAAACUCAUUACCCACUCUUUUUACACUUGUCAAGUACUUUAGUUCGAGUUUUUCCAGAGGUAAUUUUCCCAAAGGAGGCAAAUGCUCACAGUUAAAACACAACGAAAGUUUUAGUUCCCUUAGAUUGGUUAGCGAAGUCAACCAUUUGGGAAAAAUGUUGCCUCCGUAGCAUUUAAUCCUUAACUCCUCUACAUUCACAGGCGGUUGUAAGGCUUCAAGAAGUUGUUUAUCUUUCUCAUUCUUCCUCCUCCCUUCUUCACCUUCCAUAUCUACGACUCCAAACAGAAGAUGCAAACGAAGGAGGUUUUUCUUAUUGUAAAGUUGUAACCUCUUAGCCUCAUCUACAUGCGAUACAUUACUCAGUUCUUCUACUCUACAUUCACGAAGGAGUUGAAGAUUUUUCAGAGAUUCAAGCCUACACGUGCUGCCGCCAUCAACACCUCCACCCACAACAAACCUUUCUAAUGUUCGAAGGCUGGUCAAUCUGGAAAUCCCUAUUGGCAGGUACUCCAACGAAGAAGUUUUAGCAUUCAGUAAACUCCUCAUGUUCAUUAACUUCCCAAUCCCCGCUGGCAAUUCUCUAAGAUUUCGGCACCGCCUAAUAUCUAGCUUUUGUAAAUUAUAUAAUUCACACAAAGUCUCAGGUUGUCUCUCUAUACACAGUCCAGACAAAUUAAGAUAUUUUAAAUGUAUCAAUUUUCCGACAUUUUCUGGAAUUUCUCUAAUCAAAUUUGGGUCAAAAUAAAAAGGAUAAAAAUAUACGAAUGAUUGCCUUAUAACUAAUGUCCUUAAACACGCCAAUUUACUAAAUAACUCCUGAAGGAUACUACUAUUAAGACUCAGAUUGGAAUAACUUUCAUCAUAAAUUAAGAGGCUACGCAAUCUAUCAAAUUCAAAAAAGGACGUAGGAAAUGAAGCACCUCUUUCAAAAUUUAACCCUAAGUGACGGACUUUCUCACCAAAAGAGUUUAUGACUGAUUCUUUGGUACCAUUAAUUUCUAGCCACAAACAUUCUUUGCUACUUACAAAUUGAGCAAAAUCAUGUACUAUGUCAUGCAUCUUGCAACUCAUAAUAUCAUCAUCAUCAUUUUUCUCAAACUCUUGAAAGAAAGAGCGUGCUGCUAAAAUGUUGAAACAUUCUUCCCCAGUAAUGUCCAUCUCUUCAUAUUCUUCUGCAUUAAGGUAACCUUGAGCCAUCCAUAGUGAAAUUAGUUCCUCUUUAUUCAUAUUGUAGUCUUUUGGAAAGACAGCACAAUAUGAGAAACACCGUUUUACCAUAGAAUUGGAGGGCAAAUCGUUAUAACUCAACAACAAAGGAGCUAAAAGACCUUGCCCAAUCUCUUCUACUUUCCACAUUUCACUCUUUAAAAUUCUUUGCCACUCAUUUACUGUAAUUUUAGAGCGCAAGAGAUUCCCUAUUACCUUUGCAGCAAGAGGCAGGCCUUUGCACUUCAGUGCAAUUUUUCGCCCAAUUGGUUCUAAUUUUUCACAAUCUUCGAAAGAGCGACUGGAAAAUGCCAACCGCUUGAACAACGACCAACAUUCCUCUUCAGCCAAUUGCUUAAUGAAGAUAAUAUUUGUUGAUCCCAUCAUACGUGCAACUGACUCAUUACGUGUGGUAACUAAAAUUUUACUUCCUUGGAGACCAUUCUUUAGACAAAGGAAGAAUGGUUCCCAUUUAUUUUAACUCCCAUCCCAUACAUCAUCUAAGACAAGAAAAAACUUUUUUCCUUCAAUUGAUCUAUGGAUAUGGCUCGUAAGAGAUUGGAAUUCGUUUAAACUAGGAGCUGACUCACCUAGACCUUCAAUGAUUGCUUUGACAACCCUAAUCUCCUCAAAAGUGUCUGAUACACACACCCAUAUAACUUUUUCAAAAUUUCUUUUCACCUCAUCAUUAUUAUAGGCUAGUUGUGCAAGAGUGGUUUUACCUAUACCCCCUAACCCAACUAGUGAGAUGACAUGAAGGCCUUUUUGUUGUUCACUACUUUCACACAACAACUUGCUUAAGAGCUCAUUUUUCUCAUCAACUCUACCGCAAACCUCUCCCUCAUCAAUCAAGGAGGUGGUUCGCACUCGCUCUGGUUUCUUAACAUUGUUGCUCACAUUCUCAACAAAUUUAAACGUAUCUUUUUGGGAGGCAAUAUCAUCUAGCUUUCCAUUGAUUUCCCUAAUCUUGACGGCAAUGUCAUGACGAAGACUAAGUUGUUUGAAACUACCAAAGCAGUUUGAUACAGCACAAAAGAAGGAGCGUACCUUCUUCUUAUGAGGAGCAAGAGCAAGAGCAUUGUCAUCAUCAACGCCCUCAAUCUGCAAUUUGAGCCUUGCAGUGGUCCACUCCUCCAACACGUCUUCCAUGUCGUAAGAUGCGUCUUUGAGCUGAUCCAGCCAAAAAGUAACAGCAUUGUCGCGCUGCAUUUGCCUUUUCUCUGCAUCUUCCAGCACAGCUCGAAUGGCUCGAAGAUUGCUGGUAAGCUUUUUCACUUCUUCUCGGACACCAGUCACAAGCCUCACGUGUUGUUUCACUUCAUCAGCCGCAACGGAGAUCAGCUGCUCCAGGAGAGAGGAAACGAUCGCAUCAACCAUUCUGACAAAGAAAACGAGAAUUUUGAUGAGUUAUUAGAUGUGCUUUUGUUGCGAAGAUAUGAAAGAAAAGGAGUUAUUGCGUUCUUUUAUACUGCAUAGAAAAAGCUUAUGCUUAUCCCCACCCCACACGUCAAUGAUUGUAGAAUGUUUAUUUUCCCUGAUUCUACUCCACUAGUUGUGAUGCGUAAUUAUAAAUAUUCUCAAGUUAUGUAUGAAAAUAGCACAAAUUUGGAUCUAGUAAUGAUUUUUAUGUACUUUUUCAUCAUCUUCUAAAAUACCAUCUCUGCAUGUGCACGAAAUAUGGAAUUGGGUGAAAAAAGUUAUGCUUAUCCCCACCCACACGUUAGUAAUUGUAGUAGCAUCUUUAAUUUCCAUGAUUCUACUCCACGGACGAACACAUUUUUUGUAGUAACAUCUUUAAAUUCCCACACGUUAGGAAUUUGGCACAUAUCUCAAACUCGUCGCAUCUUUAACGUAUGAAGUUGAUGAAUAAAUUCUUUUCUCAUGUCAAUUUAAAACUCCGAGAUUAUGUGCCAAAUUCCUAACGUGUGGGAAUUUUACCUCCUAAGUAAUCCGGCCCACUACCAAGUGCCAACUUUUUCUCUGUCGAGUUAAUGAUGUUGUUUUGUUUUCCUUGUUUUAAUUAAUGUUGCCGAGAGAAACAGAUCGAUGCAAAUGGCUAGCCAGGUUUUGCAGAAACCGUGAAUGGUCUUGCAUGUGACAUAAAGCUUAAUCAUGUAUAUAUGUGUGUUGACACUUGCCAGUUCAUUUUUGUUAUAAAGAUUAUUGAUACUCAUAAAUGUACUACUUACAAAUCAUAAAUUUUGAGUUUGACACUUUAGUUUCAUUUUGUAAUCCCUACACUCUUUAAAUAUUUGUAACAAUAUAUUUCAAACUUUAACUCAGACGUAAUGAAUGAAGGGGGAUCCUCUUCUUAUAUAAAUUUUUAUUUUUUAACGUUCAAGUUACAUUUGAUUACGUGUACUUAUUAUCUAGUUUUGACUAUCUAAUUACAUUUGAUUACGUGUACUUAUUAUAUAAUUUUUUUUUGAAAUGAUGGAUCUGGUGAGAUUUUUUACAUCUUGGAUCAGUAGGUCAAGAACAGGCAGGGCAGGGCCUUCUCUGAAGUCAAUCUUGUGAGCAACACCAGCUUUUUGGAUAAUUGGCAGCCCCAAUUCAUAAUUUUCUCUAUUGAUGUCCAUGGCCAAAAUCUGCAACCGAAGCUUAUUCUACUCUUAUUAAUCGAGAGAUAAUUUUACCUCUAACUAAUUUAAUUGGGAGGAAAAUCGAGAGAGAUAUCCACUUUGUCCUUAUUAAUUGAGAGAUAAUUUUACCCUUACCCAAUUUAAUUGGAAAGAAAAUCGAAUUCCAACAAUAACUAGGACUCGAAUCCAUGCACUUAAGCUAACUUUAUGCUUUUGGACGCAUGGUUAUAAUGUUCUUUAUUUAAAUCCUAACAAAUGGUGGGACUUGAACUUGUGCCUACAAACAUUGAGUGCUUAGGGGCUGCAAAAUUUCAUAACUUAAUUUUAGUUGAUGUGGCAUGUGCCCUAUCACAUCAAUGUAGAUAAUAAUAAUUAAUACAUUAACAAAAUGAAAAAUAUUAGUUUACAAAAUACAAAUCCAAAUUUUUUGUGUGAGAGGGGAUUUAAAAGGGAGAGACUAAACAAAUGUGGUGAAAAACGACAUGUAUUACUACAACUGAAAAUACGAAGUCUAGGCAAUUGAAAACAUCGGGUUUUUUAUUUAAAUAUCCCCAAUUUGUCCUUAAAUACCAAAUUUAUACCCUAUUAUAUACAUAUACCUCACGAAGAUAGGGAAAGUAAAAAAUAACCUAAAAAAAUCAGGAAUCCGCACAUUUCUUCCUCUUAGUUCAGAAAGAUGUCGAGUACGAAGUCGGGUAAGUCGAGAAUUUAGUCGAGCAAGAAUUGGAGAUAAGUAAGUCAAUUAGGAAGUUGAGUAAGCAUAUUAAGUGAGUCGAGUAUUAAGUGGUUGAGUAUUAAGUAAAAGUCAAGUAAAUUUUUUGAACAAGUCGAGUAAAAUUUAUGUAAUUUUUAAAGAGGUCGAGUAUUAAGUCGGGUAAGUACAUUGGGUCGAGUAUUAAUAUUUUUAAAGAAGUGAAGUCUGAUAAGUUGAGCAUUUAGUCGAGUAAGAAGUUAAGGCAAUUGAAUAAGUCGAGUAUCUAGUUGAGUACAAAGUCGGGUAAGUUGAGCAUUCAGUCGAAUAAGAAGUAAAGACAAUUGAAUAAGUCGAGUGUCUAGUCGAGUACGAAGUCGAGUAUGAAAUCUGGUAAGUUGAGCAUUCAGUCGAGUGAGAAGUGAAGGCAAUUGAAUAAGUCGAGUAUCUAGUCGAGAACGAAGUCGGGUAUGAAGUCUGGUAAGUUGAGCAUUUAGUCGAGUGAGAAGUGAAGACAAUUGAAUAAGUCGAGUAUCUAGUCGAGUACAAAGUCGGGUAUGAAGUAUGGUAAGUUGAGCAUUUAGUCGAGUAAGAAGUGAAGGCAAUUGAAUAAGUCGAAUAUCUAGUCGAGUACGAAGUCAGGUAUAAAGUAUGGUAAGUUGAGCAUUCAGUUGAGUAAGAAGUGAAAGUAAUUGAAUAAGUCGAGUAUCUAGUCGAGUAAUCAAACCAAUUUUCUCCAUAGAGUCUUCAAAGUCAACCUAAAAAUGAAAUGCAGGUGGAAAUGAAAAUUCUAUAAACUAAAUAAAAUAAAAUGCAAUUCUUGAGCUUGAGCUUGCUUUUACAUCAUCAUAAUAGUGAAUUUUGAUACAUCUUUACUUUUCUGUUCUUGUUUAUUCACAACAAGAUAUCAAUAAAAGAAGAUGGAAAUGAAAUUCUAUAAAAUAAAGCAAGUGAAUUACCAGAAGAACAUUUUAGCAAUCCUUUGGCUAAAAUUUUCAUUUUCUUAGCAUACUCUCCUGCCUGUGAAUUGCUAGUGUGGUUCUAACAUUUCCUCGAAUCCCUGGUGAACAUAAUUAAACUCGUAUGAAAUAAAACAAAGUGGGCUAAUGUACUACUAAAAACAAUUACACAAUUACUUUAAAGAAUUAGUGUCUGUUUGGUAUGGCUUAUUUAAGAGGCAUAAGUGCUUAUUUAAUCGUAUAAGCACUUUUUAAAAAUUUUUAUGGUGUUUGGUUAUUUUUUUUGCUUAAAUAAGGUAAUUUACCUCUACUAGCAAAAGUCCAAAAUUUGAGCUUUUGGGAGUAGAGGUUAUAGAGCUUUUCUAAAAAUAUAUAAUAUAAAAAAUAUCACACAGUUUAAUGGUUCAAAAGUGAUUUUUUUAUUGACAACCAAACACCCAAUGACUUUUUUGACCAAAAGCUUUAUUAGUAUAAGCUCUGCUGCUAUAAGCUCUACUGUUAUAAGCUCUAUUUAAUAAGCUGUACCAAACAGAGCCUUAAUGUCACAUAAAUUAUAUAUAAAAAAAUACGAUUAUCAUUAUACAAGAUAAAAUUGAUAAUUUAGUUUUCAACAUUACUGCAAAUGUAUCACAGACAUUUUGUCUCUCAGCGAGUUACACAUAACAAAUUUUCGUACAUUAAAAAAUAAAUUGCAUUGGGAUUUUCUAUGAUAUUGUAUGAAAUUUUACAAAAGAGCACAUAUUUUUUUAAAGUAAAUAAAUAUAGAAAUUUCAGCAGACUACACUUGUAUUUUUUUAUUAUUUAAUUUUUAGAAAACAAGUUCAACAGAUUUGAUCACUAGGAAGUUUUACAUAUUUAUACCAAGAUUGAUUCUAUAUAGAAUCUUAAUUCAAAAUAUAAUUAUUUUUAUUAAUUUCAUUGCAAGCAACAAUGAAGUAAAUCAGAGGAGGAGAAAUUACCAGCGAGUGAUAUCUUACGGCGACCAAUUGAUGUGGGGAAUGUGGGAUAUCUUAUGCCAGUCUUCUCCUUUCCCCUCUCUUAACCCCAAAUUGUCAAUGUCUGCAGUGUCGUUGUUUGAAGUAACAACAAAGUAAAAUACAGAGAAAUUACCGGUAGGUGAUAGUAAUUGCAACCAUUCGAGAAUUUACCACUCGAUGUGGGGAAUGUGAGAUAUCCUAUGCCAGUCUUCUCCUUUCCCCUCUCUAUAACGGUUUUCAAGAAGAGGACAUCCCUCAAUACUCAAUUCCUGCAGCGUCGUCGUCCGAAGAAGGUAAUCCGGCAGCACCUUUAAUUUGGGGCAAUACCAAAUCGUCAAGGAAGAAAGAUGUGGUAUGUCUGUUGUCCUGCGAUCUUCUAGAAUGGGCAGUUCUUCCAAAUUUUCACAAGCAUGAAUAACCAGUACCUGCAGUUCCGUCGUUUGAAGAAGGUAAUCCGGCAGCGCCUUUAAUUUGUUGCAAAAACCAACUUUUAAGGAAGAAAGAUGGGGCAUGAUGGAGAUGUUUUCCUUCCUCGUAAUCUUGUAAUUCCACUCUUCCAAUUCUUCCAAUGCUACAAUUUCGAGUGAUUUCAAUUUGGGGAAGGCAAUAACUGAUGAUGACGAUGAAGAUGAAGAUGGGCCAUCCUCACUGCUUUCUUCUAUUCCCAAAAACUCAUUACCCACUCUUUUUACACUUUUCAAGUGGAUGAUUACGAGUUUUUCCAGAGGUAAUUUUCCCAAAGGAGGCAAAUGCUCACAGUUAAAACACGAGGAAAGAUAUAAAUUCCUUAGAUUGGUUAGUGAAGUCAACCAUUUGGGAAAAAUGUUGCCUCGGUAGGAUUCAAUCUCUAAUUUCUCUAAAUUCACAGGCGGUUGUAAGGCUUCAAGAAGUUGUUUAUCUUUCUCAUUCUUCCUCCUCCCUUCUUCGCCUUCCCCAUCUACGACUCUACCAAACUCAAGAUGCAAACGAAGGAGGUUUUUCUUAUUGUCUCAUCUACAUGCGAUACAUUACUCAGCCCUUCUACUCUACAUUCACGAAGGAGUUGAAGAUUUUUCAGAGAUUCAAGCCUACACGUGCUGCCACCAUCAACACCUCCACCCACAACAAACUUUUCUAAUGUUCGAAGGCUGGUCAAUCUGGAAAUCCCUAUUGGCAUGUACUUCAACGAAUAAGUUUCACCAUUCAGUAAACUCCUCAUGUUCUUUAACUUCCCAAUCCUCGCAGGCAAUUCUCUAAGACUUGGGCACCGCCUAAUAUCUAGCUUUUGUAAAUUAUAUAAUUCACACAAAGUCUCAGGUAGUCUCUCUAUACAUAGUCCAGACAAAUUAAGAUAUUUUAAAUGUAUCAAUUUUCCAACAUUUUCUGGAAUUUCUGUAAUCAAAUUUGGAUCUGAACGCAAACGAAUGGACAAUUGGCUUAUAACUAAUGCCCUUAAACACGCCAAUUUUCUAAAUAACUCCCGAAGGAUGCUGCGAUUAAGACUCCUAUUGGAAUAACUUCUAUCAUAAAUUAAGAGGCUACGCAAUCUAUCAAAUUCAAAAAAGGACAUAGUAAAUGAAGCGCCUCCUUCAAACUUUAACCCUAAGUGACGGACUUUCUCACCAAAAGAGUUUAUGACUGAUUCCUUGGUACCAUUAAUUUCUAGCCACAAACAUUCUUGCCUACUUACAAAUUGAGCAAAAUCAUAUACUAUGUCAUGCAUCUUGCAACUCAUAAUAUCAUCAUCGUCAUAAUAUUUUUCAAACUCUUGAAAGAAAGAGCGUGUUGCUAAGAUGUUGAAAUACUCUUCUCCAAUCAUCUCCAUUUCUUCGUCUUCAUCUGCAUUAAGGUAACUUUGAGCCAUCCAUAGAUUAAUCAAUUCCCUUUUAUUCAUAUUGUAGUCUUUUGGAAAGACAGCACAAUAUGAGAAGCACCGUUUUACCAUAGAAUUAGAGGGCAAAUCGUUAUAACUCAACAACAAAGGAGCCAAAAUACCUUGCCCAAUCUCUUCUACUUUCCACAUUUCACUAUCUAAAAUUCUUUGCCACUCUUUUACUAUACUUUUAGAGCGCAAGAGAUUCCCUAUUACCUUUGCAGCAAGAGGCAGGCCUUUGCACUUACAUGCAAUUUUUCGCCAAAUUGGUUCUAAUUUUUCACAAUCCUCAAAGGACCUACGUAGAAAUGCUAUCUACUUAAACAGUAACCAACAUUCCCCUUCACCCAACUCCUUGACAGGGAUAAUAUUUAUUGAUCCCAACUGUAGUGCAACUGACUUAUCACGUGUGGUAAUCCGAAUUUUACUUUCAUGGUGGCCAUUCUUUAGACAAGAAAAGAAUGGGUCCCAUUCUUUAUAAUCUCCAUCCCACACAUCAUCUAAAACAAGAAAAAAUUUCUUCCCCGUAAUAUAUUCCUGAAUCUGUUUCAUAAGAGAUUCGAAUUCGCUUAAACCAGAAGCUGACACGCCUAGACCUUCAAUGAUUGCUUUGGCGACCCUAAUCUCCUCAAAAGUGUCUGAUACACACACCCAUAUAACUUUUUCAAAAUUUAUUUUCACCUCAUCAUUAUUAUAGGCCAGUUGUGCAAGAGUGGUUUUACCUAUACCCCCUAACCCAACUAGAGAGAUGACAUAAAGGCCUUGUUGUUGUUCACUACUUUCACACAACAACUUGCUUAAGAGCUCAUUUUUCUCAUCAACUCUACCGCAAACCUCUCCCUCAUCAAUCAAGGAGGUGGUUCGCACUCGCUCUGGUUUCUUAACAUUGUUGCUCACAUUCUCAACAAAUUUAAACGUAUCGUUUUGGGAGGCAAUAUCAUCUAGCUUUCCAUUGAUUUCCCUAAUCUUGACGGCAAUGUCAUGACGAAGACUAAGUUGUUUGAAACUACCAAAGCAGUUUGAUACAGCACAAAAGAAGGAGCGUACCUUCUUCUUAUGAGGAGCAAGAGCAAGAGCAUUGUCAUCAUCAACGCCCUCAAUCUGCAAUUUGAGCCUUGCAGUGGUCCACUCCUCCAACACGUCUUCCAUGUCGUAAGAUGCAUCUUUGAGCUGAUCCAGCCAAAAAGUAACAGCAUUGUCGCGCUGCAUUUGCCUUUUCUCUGAAUCUUCCAGCACAGCUCGAAUGGCUCGAAGAUUGCUGGCAAGCUUUUUCACUUCUUCUCCGAAACCAGUCACAAGCCUCACGUGUUGUUUCACUUCAUCAGCCGCAACGGAGAUCAGCUGCUCCAGGAGAGAGGAAACGAUCGCAUAAACCAUUCUGACAAAGAAAACGAGAAUUUUGAUGAGUUAUUAGAUGUGCUUUUGUUGCGAAGAUAUGAAAGAAAAGGAGUUAUUGCAUUCUUUUAUACUGCAUAGAAAAUGUUUAUGCUUAUCCCCACCCCACACGUCAAUGAUUGUAGAAUGUUUAAUUUCCCACACGUUAGGAAUUUGGGACAUAAUAAUAAAUAUUCUCAAAUUUGUCGCAUCUUUAACGUAUGAGCACGUGUUUUGUCUAUGUCACUUUUUUUCUAUCUUACUGCAAUAUCAGGUAGAGGAAUUCGAUCAGUUUCCCCAACAGAUGGGAAACGAUGUCAUCAGCCAAUUGAUGUUGGAUUAAAUGCUAAAUGUUACGAUUGCUUUUGUUGCGAAAAUGCUCAAAGAAAAGUGGCUUUUGUGUAUUCUGUGAGAAUGCUCAUUCAAGCAUUUUUGCAUUCUUCUUAUACUACGUGAGGUAUUUAAUUUUUACCCUUGAGUCAAUGUCAAUGUGAAAGCUUUUAUGCUGCAAAUUAAAGAAAUCCCAGACCAAUAAUUGUACAACAUCUGCCCUGUCUCUCUGAUUCAUAAUAAUUAUGCAGACUACUCAGCAUCGGCACUUGUAAAAUUUCUUACAUUAUAAGUAACGAAAUAUUUGUAAACUACCACAAAAAGCUUGGAGCAAUCUACUGAUGAACCUUCUGAAGUUACAUAAAAUAGAAUAAUCUUAGUGUUGGAACAAUUUUAAAAUAAAUGAUGUCUCAUUAUAAAGACAUAUCUAAUUAAUAUAGAAGAGUAAUCUUUUGAUAUUUAAUAAAUAUCAUACUAUGGUCUAUGACUUAGCUCAUACUACAAAGAAAAUAUGUGAAAGAUAAUUAAGGAAUAAAGCUUUCAACAACGAUUUAUAAAAUUGCUUUUGAUAAAACUGUUCUGAUGAAAUGAAAUUAUGUGAAAUUACUAAGAAUUUAAUUAGCCUCUCAAAAAGGUUCAUUGAUUGCUUGACUUCUCAAGUUUAAAAUUCGAAUGUCAAAACAGAUAAAACGUUAAAAAAUUAUUUUGAGUUUUAUCCACCCGUUUACCAUUUUAAUACAUAAAACUCUCCUAUUGCUUUAAAGUAUCAUUUUUUGUUUUAAACAAAAAAUGACACUUUAGUAUCAUAUGUUUGCAAGAUAUUCGGCCAUGAGUGUUGACGGAAAUUUCUUCAUCCUUGAGCGGAAAAUAAAAAGAAAAACAUAGUUCGCAAUUUUAGUAGCGAAACCAAUAUUUUGAUCCAUAUGGGGUAAAUCUUCAGGAGGCCCAACUUCAAACUUAAAAUGUUAGCUGAGGGUUUAAUUUUAGACUGUUUUUCUAUUUAUAGUUAUUAUAUAGUUGUUAGGAAUUUCGAAAUUUUAGAAUUUUGCUUGUAGCUACAGGCUGCAGCGAUUUUAUUUGGCGACUUUGAUUCAUAAUUGAAGUACUGUUGCAAGUAAAAACUAAAAAAAUAAUUAACAAAAUAAAAAUCAAAGACUUAGGCCCAAGUUUUUAUCAAAAUUUUAAUAAAAGGCUAUUUGUCACAUCGUCAUAAUGGAAAAAUAAUUAAUACAAUAAACAAAUCGAGUUACUUGAUUUUAUUUUAAUAAUAUAUAAAUAAAAUUUUUAUUAUAUGUAUAAAUUUUAUAUAUCAAGUUCUUAGGGGUCAAAUCAGUUUUUUUAUACCUAAUUUUUAAUAUUUCACUUCGAAACCUCAAAAUUUUUCAAAGCUUGUAGGGUCAUGAUCCUCACUAGGAGUGGGCAAAUUUGUGUUCAUAUUAACUUAAUCGGGUUUUAGGUUGAUUGGGUUAGAAUAUUCAGAUUGGAUUGUAUCAAAUCAAAAAUUCAAGUUUAGUUUGGAUUGCAUCAGGUUAUAAUUAUAUGGGGAUCAAGUUGGAGUUGGAUUAGCCAACUUGGAUUAAAAUCAAAUUUGGUCAGCUAGGAUGGAUUCAGAUAAUGUUGGGAUUAGGGGUGUUUUUGAGCCUAUUUUGUUUAUUUUCAGUUUUUUUUUAAAUUAUUUUAGUUCUUGAAGAUGGUUUUAUUGUAAUUAUCUCAUUUGAAUUUGUUUUUACCAAUUUUCAACCAAAAAAAAUGAAAACUACUACUAUAAAAUCAAAUGAAUAAAAAUUGAAAUGAACUACUACUAUUAGAUUGGAUCGGAUCCUCAUCUCUUGGCCUUCUUAUACAAUAAGGUAACUUUGAGCCAUCUAUAGUGUAGUUUUCAUUUUUUUUAUUGGUCAUUUAUAUUGUAAGAAUUUCCCUAUUAAUAUUGUUCCCAAUCUCUUCUACCUUCUACAUAUCACUAUCUAAAAUUCUUUUCCAUUCUUCUGUUGGUCAUUUAUAUUGUAAGAAUUUCCCUAUUGCCUUUGCAAUAAGAGGCAGGCCUUGCAUGCAAUUUUUUUUAUCAUUUGGUCACCAUCCUUAAAAAAUUGACCAAAAAAUGCUACUUGCUUAAACAAUGACCAACAUUCUUCUUCAGUUAAUUCCUUAAUAAAAAUAAUAUUUGUUAAUCUCAUCAUGCUUGCUAUUAUCUAAUGAUGUGUAGUAAUCAAAAAAUUGACUACUGUAGAGACCAUUCUUUAAACAAUAGAAGAAUGGUUCCCAUUGAUUGUAACUUCCAUCCCACACGUCAUCUAGGACAAGAAAAAAAAAAAUCUUUCCCUCAUUAGAUUUAUCAAUAUGGUUUACAAGAGAUAACCUAAUAUUUGUCUGUUGCCAUUCUUGCAUUAUAUGCAUACUCCAUGACUUACAAGAUUGCUUCUUUGACCAUCUAUCUGAUAACCUCCAAUGGCAAAGCUAGCAUCAUUUGUUUGGGUGGGCUAGAUUUAAAAAAAAUGAAAUUUACUUCUCAAAAAAUUUGUUUUAUAUAAAUGAAAUUAAGCACACUACAUAAGCAAAAAUUUAACCAUAAAACUAUAAAAAUACAAUGUAAAUAAGAAAAACAAUAUUGACGAAGAUGUGUCCUACGGUUCUUCAAAAAAGAAAAUUCAUCUACUAUCGCAUAUGAGUCAAUAUUGUCUGCAAUUUCUCUUUCCAUGUAAAUAACCAUACAAUCUGAAAGAAACUCAUUCUCCAUCUUGUUUCAAUGUGUUGUCUUAAUCAGUUUCAUGGCAGAAAAUGCUCUCAACUGUUGUUGCUGUUGAAACAAGAAGGGUUAACACUAAAUGAUUAACACUAAACAAGAAGGGUUAACAAGAAGGGUUAAUCUAUCCAACAAGAAAUAAAUCUAUGACUUUCUAGUCUCAACCAAUCUUCGACACAGUUUAGAAAGGGAAGUAAUAUUCUGAAACUCUUGAAGAGAGUGUAUAUCUAUCUCAAAGCACUCUAAUUGUCUUCUCAAAGCCUGUAACUCAAUCUUAGUGAAUCUUUAGGAUAAAAUCUUUCAGCAAGGCUGUAAAUAUCUUCAAUUUUAAAUGAUUUAAAUGCAUCAAUAGGAUUUAAAGCUGAACUAAGAGUGAGGAGUUCCAAAGUCUGUUAAGCAAAUCUAUUAUUCAACUCCAUCAAUUGAAAAUCUAUCACAGCAUUAAAUAUAUCAUAAUGAUAAUAAUGCUCAACUGUAAUAUAAUUAUUCUGCUGACAAGAACAUCCUCUGCCUUUCAUAUGGCGAGCUUUCAUAUCAGGCAUAUCUAUCUCAUUCUUUUCAUAAAAUAGAACUACGUUCUCAAUAAAAGUUUUCCAACCAUUGUCUCGCAGCCUUUGAAGAAGUUUUUUCGUAGUUGAGACUAAGUGCACAACAUUUAGAAUAUCUUGAGAUUUAACUUGUAAUGCUUGACAAAGUAAAUCACUCACCCCCAAAACUUUAUUUAAUAAAUGCAAAAUGAACACAAAUUUAAAAGAUGUCAUUGAUUCACAUGCACCUUUAGCCUCUCCACAUAUACUAUUGUUAGGUCCACACUCGACCAACUUCUCAAGAACUUUACGAACAACACUAAACAAAUCAAGCAACCUACUGAUAGAAUGGAAAUGAGAGCUUCACCAAGUAGCUCCAGGCCGUUGCAAAGUAUGAAUUUGAUUGGCCCCUGUACCAGUUUGAACUUCUCCUGAAGCUAUCAAAUCUAUUAUUUCUGCUUCCCAAACAAAUUUUAACUCAGAAAGUCGUUUAGCAGAUGAAGUCAGAACAUUUACAAUUGAACCCAAUGCUGAAAAGAAAAGCCAUACAUCUGGCACAUCAUUAGAUGCUGCAACUAAAGCAAGUAGUUGAUGUGCAAAACAGUGUAUAUUAUAUGCAUAUGGGCAAUCUUUCAAAAAUAAUGCUUGUAAUCCAUUCCAUGCAUCCCGCAUGUUACUAGCACCAUCAUACCCUUGCCCUCGGAUAUUUUCAACUAAAAGAUCAUAUCGUGCAAGAACAUUACAUAUUUCUUUUUUCAAUGUUACUGUUGUAGUUUCCAUGACAUUGACAACUUCAAAAAAACGUUCUCGAAUAUACCCAUCACAAUCAACAUACCUUAAAAUAAUAGCCAUUUGCUCUUUAUCAGAUUCCUCAAGUGCUUCGUCUACUAAAAUACAAAACUUACCAUCUCCAAUUUCCUUGCUUAUCUUGUUUUCGCACUUUGUUUGCAAGAAUAUUUAAAAGCUCUUUUUGAAUGUCAGACGAUGUAUACUUAGCAUACGAUGGAGCAUUUUCCAAGACAACUUGAGCAAUUUCUUUACUACACUCCGCUGAAUGCUUUAUCAACUCUAUGAAAUUUCCCCGAUUUCUUGAAUCAACUGGUUCAUCAUGACCUCUAAAAGCACAUGCUUGCUCUGCUAACCAUUUAACUGCAAUAAUUGAGGUCUUCAAUCGUAGCCUAUUCUCCAAAAGUUGUUGUGAAGUUUGGGCAUUAAUUAAUCUAUCAAUGUGUUGAAUUGGGUUCCUCAAACAACCCCAACUCUGCAUAUUCUUAUUAUGAUGAGAAGAUGGACCUCCUUCAUGCUGUAAAAAGGGACAUUUUUUUCCAUUGUUGACUCUCUUCCAACUAGAAAAUCCUUCAAUAACAAAUUUUGGGUUGUUUGAUGGAAUUUCAUCAAAAAGAAAGCAUGGAAAACAAAAUGCACGAUCUUUUACCUCAGAGUACUCAAGCCAUGGAAAUUUUUUAAACCAGUGACAGUGAAACCUACGUUCUUGCAUGCCAUCAUUAGUUAGUGGAUAAUCUCGUAGUUUAGGCUGAUAAGGUCCCAUUUUGAUGUACUCCCUUCUAAUAUCAUCACAUUGAUUUACUGAAUACGUCCCUAUUUGAUGACGUAAUCCAGGAUCACGCUCCAGAUAAGUAUUUCUAGUUUCUUCAACUUCAACCCUUUGAAACUUGGAAGUAUGUUGCUCACUGGAAUCUUGAGCAUUAACUUGACAUGGAGAUAAAGACUUGGUGGAUGAUUGAUUUUCACCUACUCUCUUAAAAAAAGAAAGUAGAGUUUUUCUUGGUUUAUUUAACAUUGAAUUUGUAAUAAAAUACAUUAAAAAUUUAGUAUUUAUUUUAUAAAAAAUUUGACAAAAUCGCAAGUUAAAAGCUAAUUAAAAAAGUCAGCAUUCAAAUUAAUUAUUUUACUAUUUUAUUCACUCAUUCUUUCAUGCCAUCAUUAUUUUAUAAUUACAAGAAGAUGAAUCAACACCUUUCACAGUUCCACUUUAUAUGCUAUCAUCACCGUUUUUCACAUUCUAUUAUUUUAUAAUUUUAAAAAGAUGAAUCACAGUUCACAAAAUCAACAACUUCCAGUCUUCCACAAUUCCACUUCGUGUGCCAACCAUCAUUAUCAUAAAAUCAUAUUAUAUUCUGUAAACUAAAGUUUAAAAGGCAAAGUGCUUUGUACCAAGGGCCGCAUCAAGAGACUGGGCAUUCGGCGUCGGCUCGGCAGUGAGAGAUUCAACCUAUGGGUGCGGGCCUUGCGGCAGUGGUUCGGCGUCACUCAUGAGGCAGCGGCUGGGCGUCAAUUCGAGCGCAGGAGACUGGGUAUUCAGCAGCGGUAAGAGACUUGAGCAAUUGAAUUUUGGUAAAUUUCAAAUUCGGAUUUAGUUAGAUACUGGUGAGUUUUAUGAAUUGUGAUUUAGGGAAAUAAAAGAUUCCUAUAAUUAUUGGGUUUGUUUUUAUUUUUCUAUAAAUACUAAUAAAAGUAAAUUUAUAAAUUAUAAAUAUUUUUUUUUCAAAAAGCUUACCCAGGCUGCAGCCCGGGUUAGCCUUCCCUAAGCUUUGCUCUGCCUCCACAGUCAUUGUCUACUUCCCUUGAAUGUCUUCGGGAUGGUUGUUCCUUUAUGUGGUCACAUCAUGAUAACAAGCAAACUUACUCUAAUACCAGCUGGCGAUGAGGAAACAUUAAAAGGCUAUUAGAUAAUAGAAACUAGGUUUUUAAAUAAUAAGUUAUAUUGCGAAUAAUUUGAACAAACAAAAUUGGGGUAUUGAACCACUUUUAUAGAAGCAUAAAUAUUAGGAAUUUACCAAAAUAGGCAAAUCCAAAAUAUUAUAUGAUAAUAAAAUCCUUCUAAUCUAAAUAAGAAAAGGAAAACAAAUGGAACUCAAAUCCAAUAUCUAGAAAAAAAGGAUAAAAAUCCUAAAAGAAUCACGACAAAUUAAAAAAAUAUCUUAAAACUGAAAAACAACAAAGAAAGAAGUGAAAUUUUUUGCUCAACCGCAGGGCAUGAUAGCAUAGACUGUUCUGCAUUUGGUUCAACUUAUUGCAAGCUUUGAAACGAUAUAUUAUACAUUCAAAAUGGAACGGAUAUCUGUAUCCUAAGUUAUGACCUUCGGAAGAUACCCUACUCAUUCUAUGCAACCAUCCUACGUCAACUUGCCUUUGCUAUGUAUCUUCGAGCAACUUGAAUGGCUUGAAGAUUUGUGGUAAGCUUUUUCACUUCUUGUUGGAGAAUAGUCACAAACCUCACCUGUUGUUUCACUUAUUCAUAAGCAGCAAAGGAGUUCAGUUGCCCAAGAAGAAGGGAAGCGAUCGCAUCCGCCAUUCUGACAAGGAAAAGGAGAAAUAAUUUGAUAAGAUGUUAAGUGUGCUUUUGUUAAGAAAAUACCAAAUCAAAGGAGCAGUUGCAUUCUUCUUACAUUGCAUGAAAAAAGUUAAUAGUUAUCCUCCCCCACCCCACACAUCCAUAAUUUUACCAUCUUUAAUUUUUAUGAUUCUACUCCACAACUAUGGUACAUAAUUGUAAAUAUUCUAAAAUUAAUUUGUACUGGUCGGGCCAGUGCCAUGUAAAACAAAAACAAAAACUCAAAAGAAAAAAAAAAGAAGAAAACAAAAGUUGUAAAAAGCAUGCCUCACGGAUAAUUUACUUAUAGUUAAAUUUCGUCCCACACCCUUAUUAGAUUGAAAUACUUUAAUUUACCCUCCAAAAGUAUAAAAACUUCAUUUUACCUGCCAAAUGCCAUUAUUUUUAAUAGUUAACUAAUGUUGACUUGAAAAAUACGAGAAUGCCCCUGACCCUAACUAAUUAACAGUUCAUUGAGUUAACAAGAAUAAUUUUAUUUUGCCCCUUAAGGUCUAUUAUAUUUCAAGUUAGACUACAAAAAAAAUUAUUAAUAAAAACUCCCUAUAGAAAAAAAAAAGUAAAAAAACCAUUAAAAGAUUAAUUUAACUUUUACUUAUAUCUUAAUCUAUAAAACAAGUAUGAUAAUCACAAAUUUAUGUUAUGAUAUCACCACAAUGAAAAUUUAAAAAAUAAUUUUGACCCUUCUCUUGAAUUUAAAUAUCUUAGGAAUAUCAAUAUUUAAUUAAUUAGUUGACUUUUACCAUUCAAAAUACCAUUUUACCUUUCAAAGUAUCUAAAAGACAAAUUAACGCACAAAAUUUAUUGACAUUCCAUUAAUAAUGUAAUUUGACGGGUUAAAAAUUAAAAAAAUAUAUAAAAUUUAGAGAAAUUCAAAGACUGAAGCCUUAACCCCUACUUAUAAUCCCAAAUUUUUAUCAGUUUCUUUCUUAUUAAUAUCAUUUGCUAUAAUUUUAAUCUUAUUUUUUUUAAUAAUAAUUCUUUUUAUUGAAAGCCAUUUUAGUAUUUUUUUUCCCCAAACAUCAAACUAAGGGGUAAAAUAGUAAAAUAAUUCAUAAUUUAUAAUAUUUCAGUAUAUCCAAUAUAUAUCAUUUUCAUAGAAUAAUAUUUAUCAUUUUUUUAGUAUUCUUAGGAAUCUUGAAUAGUAACACCUUUUUUUUUUUGGUGUGGACCAUGAAGUAUUCUGGGGAGAGCCCCAACUGUGGAAGGCACCUUUAAGCCCGUACUACAACCCAGACUAACAAUCCCCGCUCAAACCGGGAGACACAGGUUCUCCCAACAAAUGCGACUUCCCUGCGACUAAUAGUAACUCCUUUUUAAUUUAUGAUUAAAAUGUUAAAAAACAAAAAAGUUAUAAUCUUUUAAAAUUUGAAACGAGUUAUUGCAAAAUAAUAAUAAUAAUAAUAAUAAUUUUAUUCCUUAGUUGAGCUUUGAAAUAUAAUAAAUUACCAACAAUGGCAUCCACUACAAUUUAUCCUUAAUUAAAAUUUAAAAUUGCAAUCCAUUUUUUUGUUUUCCAAAUUAUUUUUUCUUUUAUUCUUGGUCUUCUUUAGUUUCCUUAUUUCUUUGUCUUGUACUCUUUUUUUUUUUUUAACCUCUGUUCCAUAUUUGAGGCUUUAUCUUAAUUCUUUGCAUUAAUUCUAUCAAGACUAUCCUUGAUAAUUCUAUUACGGUACAACUCAAAUUUCUACCAUCACAUAAUAUUAGAGAUAUAUAUUAUAUUCUUAUUAAUCAGAAGAUAAUUUUACUCCUAUCCAGUUUAAUUAAGAGGAAAAUCGAGAGAAAUAUCUACUUUAUUCUUGUUAAUAAAGAAAUAAUUUUAUCCCUAUCUAAUUUAAUUGAAAAGAAAAUUGACAAUAACCUAUGCACUCAAGCCAACUUUAAGUGCUUGGAUGCAUGGGUUGUAAUGUUUUUUAUUUAAAGGCUCAGGCUAGAACCAACUAAUAUCAGCCGUGUGAUUUUAAUCACUCAAUCCAACCGUCACGAUUACACUCAGUGGAUAAACAUUCCACAUAGUCCACAAACAUGAAGAGUAAAGGAUUGAUUGCAUAUGUAUCCUCUCAAGUUCUCAAGAACUUUUUCUUUAAAACACACUUUUAAAGCUAAUCUGCAGAUCUCUCCGAAAACUUUUCCUCUUCUAACUCCUCAUCUCUUCCUCACCAAAUCUUCGGAGGCAAAAAUCUUUCUUGCCUUCUCCAGUGGAUUCUUGAUUUCUUUUUUUCUUUUUUUUUUUCGGUUGCACCCACCUCUUCCUUAUGAUUUGAGGAUGUGUGUCUUGUUCUGGCCUUCUUCACCUUAAGGUGGUUGUUCUAUUUCAAUUUUCUCCUCCUUUGGUUUUGAGGAUGGCUGCUAUGCGUCCAUUCAGAUCUUGAUCUGUGAUGGUAAUAAUGUACCAGUUAUAGUGAUAAUUUUGGUUUAAUUUCUAUUUUCCAGUACAUAACCCUUCAACAUCUCUGUCAAAUGCAAUGAACCGAUCACAACCAUUCAUAAUUAACCCAAAAAAAAAAAAAAAAAAACACAGAGAACAAUCACAACGACGAUUUGUUUUGAUCAUCCCUGCUUUUUCUUAGCAUAGCUCUUGGAAUGAAAAUUAAUAAAAAGUGUCAAAAGGGAAGCAUUAAACACAGCAUUGAAGCACCAACCCAAGAUCCCAGAGCAUCCAAAUCCCGCAAAAUGAUAAUACAGCAUCAAAACUGAAACAACAAAACUAAACACGAACUGAACAAUCUGACAGUCAGUGACCAAUCUCUUCCACUUUGGCCGCAACCCCAUCACACACAAUAGAUAGUACCCGUACAUGAUCACGUGCACACUUGCAUUGGUGACAAGUGCGAUAGGAAACAAAGACUGCUUCGUCUGUAACCAAAGGUAGCACAUUACGACGACGGUUGCGUGGUGGUAGACGUGGAGGAACGUGAGCCGUUCGAUGGAGUUUGACAAAAUGAUCAAAAGGGUGUCUAGGAAUUCGAGUAUUUUGGAGAGGUAGAAGAUGUAAGCGUAGAAGAAGAGGGGACCGGAGGGAGAGAUGGUGGGGGGGAAACAGAGGGUGUGACGGAGGUCGGGUGAAUGGAGGACGAUGGAGAGAGUGCAACCAACGGCCAUGACGAGGGAGAGGAGGAGGAGGGUGAGGUUAUGGACGGCUGUGAUGGGCUUGAGGAUGUGGGGUCCAAUGAGAGGUGAUGAUGAUGGUGAUGUUGGCGUUAAUUUGUGGUAGAGUAUGAAUGUGAGGGAGAGGUAAGUGAGGAUGGAGAGAAUGAGGAAGUGUGGGGAGGAAGCUGGGGUUUGGUUUUGAGUCCAUGUGAAGUUGAGGAUUUGGGGGUGGUUUACAAGCCAAUAUUGGAGUGUUGAGGUGAUUGAAUUUGAAGCCAUGGCUGGUUUUUUGGAGGAGGAAAGAUUUGGAAGAGAUGAUGUUGAGAGGAGUGGGGGAGUUUAGAAAGUUUGGGAUAAUGUGAGGGGUAUUUUGGGCAUAUAAUGUUGUCUGAGCUUAAAUUUUUGUUAAAAAGAAAUAAUAAUAAUAAUAAAUUCUUUUCUCAUGUCAAUUUAAAACUCCGAGUGUGUUUCCAACAAUUGCUUUUCUUUUUCUAUUUUGGGAUUUUGAAUCAUUUUUUUUUCAAUUCAAUAAUGGCCUCUUCAAUUAUAAAAUAUGGUCAAAGGGGAUGGGGUGUAGUGUCUAGGCCUCCGCGACAACGGCAUCUUUGAACGUGGGUUUCAUCAGUUUUUUUUUUUUUGGCUAUUUCUGCUCAAAUCAAACUUGUGGAUUUCGUGCACUCAACGUGGAACCCUUUUGAAUGGACGCAAUGGUUUUGGUGGGAUCACACAAUCCGAAGAAGCAUGGAACUGGGACCAAUUUGUUGACAAAAAUUUAGGCAUAAAAUUUACAAAUCGAAGUCAGAGUAAGAUUUAAGUAAAAUUGAGUAACAUCUUGCACAUCGAGUAAGGAUUUCUACAAUCGGGCUAGAAAGUGCAACUAAAAUUUGGUAAGAGUUUCAUAGAGCAUAAUUUUUAAGAUACAACGUUAAGAGUAUUUAGUAGACACUUAUAAUAUUACUUGAAUUGAUUUAAUCUCAUACUCUAAUAUAAAAAAUUUAAAAUAUACUCUUAUAAUAUUACUUGAAUUGAUUUAAUCUCAUACUCUAAUAUAAAAAAAUUUAAAAUUUCUUUACUAAUUUUAUUGAAAGUAUUAUUUGACAAUCCUAUUUAUUACAUAAUAUCAACGUUUAUAUUAUAAUUACCGCUAAUACUAAAAGCUGAUCUCGUAAUUAAAAGCUAAACAAAAACUCGAGUACAAUCUAGUAAUUAAAAGCGCUAUGGUUUUUUGGCAUUACAAGAUGAUUCAAACUUGAACUUGCCAUCAAAAGUGUAUCAAAACAAUCACAGAGACACUCUGUUUGACAAAUCUGCAGUAGAAUUUGCACAAUUUAACUGGGUUACAGAGAGUGAAUAAGAUUCCAAAGCAACAGGCCAUUAUUAUUAAGAAAACAAUUCAUCGCUAGAACAAAAUUAACUUUUCUAACUUACUAGAAUUUAACUGGAGAAAAAUUGGAAUAUACGAAGUUGUAUCACAUAUAGUAUUUAGACAUCAAGAAAAGAAUCCCUCUAUCAGUGAACUAUACUUGCCAGGAAACACGGUGAAAUACCACCACCUCCCUACUAGUUCUUAGAUGUCUCAAAAGAGUUUGAUGACGACUUCCGUGUUGUAUCUCUUCGACAGGCAGCAAAAUUGGGCUAUUGACUAGAUUAACUCCCCAGAAAUUUAUGCGGUCACCUUCUUCCGGACUAUCCUCUUUCUUCGCACUUUAGGAGCCCUUGCUUCCCCUUCAACAGAGUCGACAUUCCCUUGUUUGAUGCCAAGGAGCCCAAGCCCAGAGACAAUGGCAUUCUUUGAUAUCAACCACUUUGGGGACUUUUGAGUUGAGCCAUUGACAUCCUGAGACGGCCUGUUGUAAGCCUUCUUCAAAAGGUCAUCUGACUGAAGUAGCGGAUCCGCUUCCACUCCUAACCAAGCAAGCCUUGAUCUUUCUCCUAAUUGGACAUUAAGAACCCUGCAUGGAAUCCAUUUGAGAAGUUGAACAAUAGACAAAGUCCAACACAUAUAGGCAGUAAAGAAUAAUUUGGACAACAAUUACUGAUUGUUUACGCACAGGGCUGAACAAAUGGGAAUAUUAAGGCACAUAAAAAUUGGAACCAUAUUCACCACUUGUACUUCCUUAGAGAAUUAUCUCAGAGUUCUGUUAAUUUAAAACCAUUCUUACACAUUUAACUGUAAAACUAGAGAAAUUGUACUUCUGUAGCGAAGUCUCACUAUUGUUAAGGAUUUGGACUUGGAGAGAAUGCAAGUUGAUUAAGCAAAGAAAAAUUGAAAUAAUAAUUGGUGAUAGAUCUAACACACUUCAAUAGAAACCACACUAACAUCAUAUCAGGCAAAUAAACAGAUUCCCCAGUCAAAAGUUUAACAAACAAAACAUUAAAACAAUAGUAAUUUGGUCCGACCAGAAUAGUCUAUCAAUGUAUAUAGAGAUGUAGAUCAAUAAACAAAUACGUAAAAGAGAGAGAGGGAGAGACCUCAAAGCAGUGCUUAAGAACAGUGCUACUCCAAUAACAUCAAAAUGGUUGAUGACCGCUCUAUCAAAUCCACACAAUAGCUGGUAUCUCAUGUUUGCACAUAGUCCAAGGAAAGCACCAUAACCAAGCGCAUUAGUACUCACAGAUGGGAUUGUCACAGAUAACCUGUCAGACAUUAAAGGUGGCCCAAAUUUAACAAAUGUUAAACUAGCUUAGACAGUAAACAGAACAAUUUUCUAAGUUUUCUUUAUUUGUGAUGAAUAAGUGAACGAGGAAUGAAAAGGAAGUUUUACAACCAUGUUUACCUGUCCUUUUUACCAGCAAGAUAGUUUGACAAAGAGCCUUGCACUGCUCCUGCAGUUAAUCCCACCAUACACAACUCUGCAGCCUUGUAAAAAAGGGAAUGGAUUCUCUUUUGCAAGUCAAAUUCUCGAAAUGGGCAACUCCGUUCUAAUAUAUUGUUUGGGAACGACAAGGAGCAAACAUUUAUUAGCUUAAUAUAUAAAAUAAAAAUAAAAAGCAAGUUCCUUUGUUGUGAAAAGAAAAAUAAAAACACGCCUAUCCUUACGAUUCUCCAGCUCCCACCAAACAGUGCAACCAAUUAUGGGAGCCUGCUCUACCAGAAGUUUAUACAAAAAAGCUGGAUCUGCCAGCAUCCUGGGGCAACAGCAGUUAAUACAUAAGAAAUCUGAAAAGAGGCCCAACAUUUUACAACCAAUCAAAAAUCACUGAACCAUUGGAAAGUGAUUUACGUAUAAUUUUUUUUCCAAACUUUGUCCAAAAUGAUAGAAUGAGAGAGGAUGAGAUAGGAUGACACAAGAAACAAAUGUAAAUUGACCGUGUUGGAGAAAAAUCAGUUUUUUAUACAAACUUUUAGGGCCGAUCUCAUACAAUAUAUAGGAAUACGGAAUCUAGAAAUCGUACCUUGAAAAUCUGAGAAGAUGAACAAUCUUUGCUUUUUCCGCUGAAGUGAUUUAGGCUCUCAGAUCACGAUCUGUUACCACCACUCCUGUUAGAUCACGAUCCGUCACCACCACGCCUAUUAGAUCACGAUCCAUCACCACUGAUCUUAUAGACUAUGACUCAGGUUUGAUCCGCACUUGACGUGUGGACGCCUUUAUCACCACUAUAAGCAACUAGAGAGAAAAAUUUUCUCUCAAAAUUAGAGAGAAAAAGUCUUUUUCUCUAAUAUGUAUAAUGUGGCUGCUCUGUCUCUUUUGGGAGAAAAUAAACCUUUUUAUAUCUCUAUUUAGUGGAAACCCUAUGCUCCAUAUUUAUUUAUUUAUUAAUUCUAUUAAAUCCCAUUUGAUUUAAAUUAAAAAAUAAUUAAAACAAAAGUGACGUUACUUGUUUUUGUGUUCUAGGGGCCCGCCUUGUAAAAUAACACAAGGCCCCUUACACACAGGCAUAUUACACUCCCACUAAAUAAUUUAUUUAGGCUUUUAACUCAAAUAGCUAGUUAUCUUGCUUAUUAAUCCAGUAGCAGCGUGGUCAAUUAAACAAGCUAACCCGGGGAUUAUAUGGGUACAUACAAUAGUGGCUACAAUAAUUAGACCUGUAAUUAAACUAGUCCAAUUAUUUAAUUCCAAAUCUACUCCACUAAAAUAUUGGAAUUGACCUCCAUAAUUGUAUGCUAUCUAGGAUAGUGUACUCGAAUAAUAAUUCGACCUAUGCCACAUUGAUUUCUUUACUGCAUAAUCAUUUGUACCACAUCAUUAAUUAAAUCAAUAUCUCAACUGUCCAAUCGAUUUAAUUACAUCUUGUUCCUUGAUACUUACUGGUUUUCUCUAAUGAUCAUUUUCAAACAUACUAAAUAUGUUGACACACUCUGGCCAGAGAAUUCUAUGAUCAAGUGCCGAAAACCCAUCAAGAAUUCUAUAUUGUUAAUUUAUAACUUCAAUACUCAUAAUUACUCCCACCAAGAUACCGGGUAAUCUUAACCACAAGUGUGUGUCGUGCCCAUUGGUAACUCAAAUGGAAUAACAAUUACAAUCAUGAAAUCAUAACUAACUCAAGAUUAAGAUUACAGUAAAAUCAAUGCCUAUGAGAUUUAAUAAGUCUGACAGUCAUUUCAAGGUUAAUUAAAUCUCAUAUGUGAUCCAGCUCAAUGUAGUCAAACUACGUCAGUAAAUUCAUAUAUGAUUAAGACAAGCCAUUCAAUGAAUUUACUACAGUCUAAACAUAAAUAGAACACCCAACUCUAUUUAUCAACUGCGAACUAAAUUUAUUUAAUCAUAAGAUAACUUGUAUUUAUGUCUUCUGUGAAUCCAUAUGAUGAUCACAUAAAUACAUAUAAUAUGAUUAAACAGACCUUAUUCGAUAUAUAUUUAUGCAAUUGAAAAUAUCUUAAAUAUUUUAUUAAUCAAAAAAUAAAUUAAUAUACUUUAAAAGAGCAUAUAAUCCCAACAGACAGCAAGUAGAAAUAUACUUCUGUUAUAUUUGCAACAUCUUCUAGUGUCAAUUUCUUUUCCUUGAGCUCUGUUUCUGCGUGUGCUCAAAUGCAACGCGCAUGACACAAGAUAUAAUUAUCAACAUGAAUUUUUGCCGCCACAUGCAGCACUUGGAAAACUGUUUAUGGUCAUACAGAACUGGAAAAUAAAAAAUCAUUAACAGCGAGAGAAAUCAUUUUAAUCGCAACCAAACAUACACACUAUGAAAAUCUAAAAUUGAAUUUCUCCCAAUGAAUGUGCCUCUUCACAGCAAUUUCACAAGCUAAUCCCAGCAGCCUGCGUCAUGGAGUUUCUCCCAAUGCGUGAGCGAGCCUUGAAUAGUGGCUCAAACUAAAAUGAACUUAUUGUGGACAUUUGAAUUAAAAAUACAUGUAAAAGCAGUUUUCUCAAAGCAAGGUCAAGAUAAGAGAUUAACUUUGCUCCUUAUUUACAUUAAAAAUAACAAACAAUGAAAAACAGAGCUAGAGACGAACUUACCUGUGUGCUGAGACAGAGCUAGAGGGGAAUAUGGGAUAUCUUCUUAGAUUUGGUUUGAGAAACUCCAUCUUCUUCUGAAAGUUCUGAUAGUUCCCUUAACCCAGGCCAAUACAAUUGCAACAGAAACUGCAUGCUUUAAGCAGCAUCUGAUCAUCUCUUGUUAUUUCAAGACAAUAAUAACUUAAUUGCAACACUGUGUGCUUCAACCAUUAACCUUUUCAAUUUCAACACUUCUUUUGUCCCCCGCCCGAUGCCCUUUUAACAAUUCUAUGAAUCAGAUAAAUCAGCCUUCUUCACAAAACUAUGACAAACUUUUCACGGUGUUCCACACAUUCCGGGAUCCGUAUUGAUAACAAACAUUUGAUGAAGACCCUGCCAAUUAAAAUUUAGGUCACAUGUAACAUAAUUUCUUAUUUUUCUUUUGUACACAAAUGCAGACACUUAAGCAAAUUAAGAUUUCAUACCUAAAGCAAAUUAGGAUUCUUUUGACCCUGCAAGUUACAAUUUCACUCCCCAUGUAAUAGUAAAAAUUUGUACACAUAUUUAUAGCAAAUUAAUAUUUCAUACCUCACAAUAUUUAUCAUAACCAUCAAUCUUUAGAAACCACAUGCAGACUUGUUAAACUGUUUAUGGCGCAAAAUAACAGGGAAAUUAGAACAGAUUUUUAAGAAUGAGCGACUAAAUAUUUCAAUGGCAACUAAAAUUACACAUCUUGGAAAUCUGAAACUCAAGUACUCAGAAUGAAUGUGCCUCUUCACAACAAUUAAACAAGCUGGGAACUUUAGUGCAAAUGCUUUUUCAUAAUCUUCAAUUGCAUAAGUCAGUUAGAAUCAAUCUUUCUUAAUCUUUCAAUUCACAUAUGACAGCCUGAUAACACAAGGAAACACUAUUAGUGAAUUGUCAACUGCGACAAAUUUUGGGUAAAAAAUAUCAACUGUAGUUAUCUGCAUAACAUAUAGUGUCAACACCAAAUUCCUUCUUGAUCCGUGGAAGCAUUUCAGCCCACAGACGGUUUGCUUUGUCAAUAUAUAUCAAGCUUUGUAGCUUUUAAGAAAUUGCAGGUGAAAGACUUGGAAUUUUCGAUAGCAACUCAGGAUUCUAUAUUUAAACGAUGGUGUUUGAUGACUUGCUGAUACAAAAGACAUUGCCCCAAGCACUUUUUUACAGGAGCUAAAAUCAAGCCAGUCACUUCCAUUUGUUGCAGUUUUAAUGCAGAAAGAAAAAAAGGGGGGGGGGGAAUCUGCAAGAUAACACUUGUAGUACCGCAUGUUCGCAGAAGCAGAGUUAAAUAUGCUUAAUUUCUCACUCACUCCAAGAACUUUCAUUCUCCCAUAAUUCACUCAAAUGAAACUUUCAUUGGAAGGUCCAAUUAUUAAGGAUUUAGCAUCACUUCAUAUGCUCAACAAUUCAAAUUUAAGGAUGUUAUUUCACAAAAUGGAGGACUCUAUUUGGCUUGUGAACAAUCUUCCUCACCAUCAUCAUCAUUGUCGUACCAGUUGCACUGAACAAUCCUCAUUCUGACAUUUGCCCCAAUUAUCUGAUUACACAAGAAUCCGAAACAACUGUUAGAAAUUUUAAUCUUGAUAUAUAGCCAAAAUGGUGAAUAAGAUGAUGUACUUGAUAAUAAAAACUUGAUUUAAUAAAUAAUUAAGGGGCCGAUAACAAGCACAGAAUCUCAUCGUGUGGGGAAAGCCUUGACAACAGAAGAUGGUGCUUUCAUUCAAGCCGAUAACAAGCCACUAUAUAUGCAGUUAUCAUCUUCAAUUUGCUCAUCUUUGUCUACAGUAUUGCUUCUGCGUUAACUUAAUUAGCGUGCAAGCCACCUGAAAAUGGUUUUAAAUACUGAGAAAAAGUUUGAAUUCGAACAAGUUAAUCAAAUAUGAUGACAGAAAACACAAAAGUAAAAUAACCAAAAGAAGUAGAAAUAUACUUUUGUUAGAUUUAGAGCAUAAUUCUUCUGUCAAGUUCAUUUCCAUUAGCCUUGUUUCUGUGAGUGCUCAAAUGCAAUUCCUCAACGCUCAAGAUAGUUUCCGCGGACCUGAAAAACUAGUUGUGGCCAUAAGGAACUUCAAAAUUAGAAAAGAUUCAGAAUGAGUGACUAAAUAUUUUAAUCAAAACUAUUUAAACAUACACUAAUAUACCUCUACGCAACCAAGGAUGUAUCGGAUUAAACUUGCACUCUUCGAGUGAGUGUUGACUCCAAAAAUAGAAAGAUCAGAGAUGAAUAUUAAGAAUGGAAAGACAGGUUGUGAAAGAGAGAAGAGCCAAGAGAAAUAGAAAGAGAUAUUUUAUUUCUUCAUACCCCACACGAAUUCGUUCUGCUCUACAUAUAUUCCUCUGUCUAAGACGUUAGCAAAAAUAUUACAGCUCAACAACUUCUAACAGAAAAUAUGACAAUAAAAACAAACCAGCAAUCAUAAGGUACUAGCAAUUUCAUUACACGACAUAAUCCUUAAACCACCCAAGGGCUCUUCUAACUCGUUUGCUUGCGUACCGUUCCUCAUGAGCUAAUUCUUCCUCAACCUGUGAUGUGGCUUCCUUCAUGGGCUGUUCAUAAUUGGACUCGUUGUUGGGCUGCCAUUCUUGUAAGUAAUCUGGUUGAUCCGAAUGAAUGUGGAAGGUUGUAUCAUUCCCUCCAUCUUCAAAACUCACCUUGUCCUCAAGGUGAAAAUCGGGAUAAAGUUUACAGAAUGUUUCAAACUCUUCCCAAGUAGAAUUCUCAGGGGAAUUGUCUUGCCACUGGACCAGAACUUGACAGCAUUGCUUUCCUUGGUUAAGCACGGUUCGAAUAGCACAAACUGGAGCAGGUAAAUAUAAUGGCUAAUUAUGCAUACUUGUUGAUGGCAAGGAAUGGGAAGCAGGGUUUUGAGAAUCAAGGAAGGGUUUGAGAAGUGAAAUAUGAAACACUAGGUGGAUCUUAGAACCCCUGGGCAAGUCAAGUUUAUAAGCUCCUGGACCAACUCGAGCUAGCUCAUGGAAAGGGCCAUAAUACCGUUUAGCUAGCUUUUGACAAGAACGAGUUGCCACUGUAUUUUGGCAGUAUGGCUGAAGCUUCACUAGAACUUGGUCCCCAACAGCAAACUGAGCUUCAUGUCUAUGAGCAUUAGCUUUUUGAAUCAUGCGAUGUUGAGCUUGGCGUAAAUUCUCUUUCAAAGAACGGAGUAAUGCAUCCCGUUCACUUAAUGCUUCAUCAAGAGCUUGGAUUGAAGUAGAGCCCUUUGAGUAAGGAGGGAUGGAAGGAGGUGGUCGCCCAAAAAGAGCCUGAAAGGGAGACAUCUUGAUGCUGCUGUGAUAGGAAGAAUUGUAAGAAAAUUCAGCCCACCCAAGUAGAGAUGCCCAUGAGCUUGGUUUUUCUUGAGUGAAAGCGCGAAGAUACUGCUCCAAGCCACGAUUGACUACCUCCGAUUGCCCAUUUGUUUGUGGGUGAUAGGCUGUACUGUGACGAAGGGUAGUGCCACUUAACUCAAAUAACUUCUUCUGAAAAUUGCUUAAGAACAUAGGGUCGCGAUCAGAAAUAAUAGAGGUAGGAAACCCAUGAAUUUUUAUAACCAUAUCCAUGAAUAAUUCGGCUGUCUUUACAGCAGUAAAUUAAGUGGGAAGGGAUCCGAAGUGUGCCGAUUUAGUAAGGCGAUCAACAACUACCAAUAUCACUGAAAAACCUCGCGAAACGGGAAGGCCAGUAAUGAAGUCCAUAGUGAGUUCGUCCCAAACUAAAGUAGGGAUAAGAAGAGGUUGCAGUGGACCCGCUGGUGCUUGAGUAGAGUAUUUGGUCUGUUGACACACAAGACAUUCGGCUACAAACCGCUCAACAUCCAUACACAUUUUAGGCUAGAAAAAAGUAAAUGCUAAGCGGACCAGCGUGCGUUUGAUGCCUACAUGCCCCGCAAGUGGAGUAGAGUGGAAUUCAGCCAAUAGAACUUCUUUCAAAGAUGAUGAUGAGUUGAUAUAAUAGCAAUUGCGGUAAAAAAGAAAUCCAUUAUAUAGCGAAUAAUCCCUUGAAAGAGUUCCCGCAGCAAAUUGUUGAUGAAGGGCAAUCAUAUCCGAGAGAGUGGAAUUUUCUAAGUUUAGAGUUGCUAACAACUCAAACAAAGGACGACUAAGAAGAGGCAAACAAGAAGCAGUCACGGUUGAUGUGUCCGCACCAGCUUCCUCAUGAACUCGUGAUAAAGCAUCGGCUGCAAGAUUGGUACAGCCCGGUUUAUAUUCAAUGCGGAAGUGAUAGCCUAAUAAUUUUCUGAUGUAGAUUUGCUGAUCUGGAGUUUGAACUACCUGCUGUAGAAGUUCUUUAAUGCUUUUAUGGUCAGUUCGGAUGACAAAAAAUCUGCCCAAUAAGUAUUGUCGCCACUUGUGCACUGCCUCAACAAUAGCAGUUAAUUCCUUGAUGUAGGUAGAAGAAGCACGAAGUCGAGGGCCUAAUUUCUUAUUGAAGUAAGAUAUGGGGUGCCCGGAUUGCAUAAGCACAGCCCCUAUACCCACAUUAGAUGCAUCAGUUUCAAGGAUAAAGUCAGCAUCAAAAUCUGGUAGCCGUAGCACAGGGGCUUCCACCAUUGCCUUCUUAAGAGCGUCAAACGCUUCAGCUGCUGUUUGUGUCCACUGGAAGGCAUCUUUACAAAGUAAAUCAGUAAGGGGGGCUGCUAAAGACGCAUAUCCAUGAAUAAAUCACCGGUAAUAACCCGUUAAACCCAAAAAACCUCGAAGUUGUUUUGUAGUCUGAGGAGUCUGCCAAUAAACCAUAGCUUCAAUUUUCUAAGGGUCUGCCCGCACACCAGAGGCCGAAACAAUGUGGCCCAAGUAAUCAAUCUUUUCUUGGCAAAACAAGCAUUUGGAGAGCUUGACAAAGAACUGGUGAAAAUGAAGGCACACCAAUACUUGUUGAAGAUGCCACAACUGGUCCUCUGCUGUAGCACUGUAAACCAAAAUGUCAUAAAAAAAAACAAUCACGAAUUUACACAAAAAAGAAGCGAAAAUCUAGUUCAUAGUAGCUUGGAAGGUAGAAGGUGCGUUUGUUAAACCAAAUGGCAUGACAAGGAACUCGUAGUGGCCCUCAUGAGUGCGAAAGGCCGUUUUAUAAAUGUCGCGGUGGUGCACGUGAAUUUGAUGGUAACCAGCCUGUAAAUCCAACUUGCUGAAAACUGCUGCCCCGCCUAACUCAUCAAAUAAUUCGUCGAUAGUCGAAAUGGGAAAUUUAUCUUUGAUUGUCACGGCAUUUAAAGCUCUGUAAUCAACACAGAAGUGAUAAGUUCCAUCUUUUUUUUUAACCAACAAGACCGGUGGCGAAAAUGGACUAUGACUCGCUUGAAUGAUGCCUUGUUCUAACAUUUAACGGACAAGUUUUUCCAUCUCAUUUUUUUUUUGGAAAUAAGGGUAGCGAUAAGCGUGGACAUUUAUUGGAGUGGUAUUUGGGAGGAGAUGGAUUUUAUGAUCAAUUGUGCGAUGCGGCGGCAGUGUAGUAGGUGGAAAAAAUAAGUUGCGGUAGCUGUGUAGGAGGUCGAUGAAGGGUUAAGUUAAAUUUGCACGUAAUUCGAAGGAAGAACUCUCUGGAUUACUUGCCGAUUCCUCCCCAAAUGCAGGUACCUAUUGCAGAGCAAACACGCUAUAAAUAUCCGCAUGGUGGACUAAAGAUUGCAACUGAUUAAAGGUGAUUAGGGAGGGAGUAGUGGCUAAAUCGCCUCGAAGAGUCACUGGUGCCCCAUUCCAACAAAAUUCCAUAGAUAGGGCAGAGUAAUCAUGCGAGACACGGCCCAAGAGUUGCAGCCAUUGGAUUCCCAGCACCACAUCAGGCCCUUCAAUUGGCAGAACAAAGAGAUCUAAGGUGAACACAGUCCCCUGCAACGUGAGAGCAACUUGAGGGCAAAAGUAUUUGCACACCAAAAAAUCCCCAUUGCCAAUAUAAACACGGAAGGGUGCUGUUGGUUGUAUCGGUAAGCCCAUACUCUCUGCCAUUGUUAGUUUGAUAAAGUUAUGGGUACUCCCACUAUCGAUCAACACUUGAAAACUGUGAGAACCAACUUCACCAAUCAAAUGGAGUGAGCAGGGAUUGAUCUGACCCGCCAAAGCAUUCAAACUGGAAAUAUCCCCUGUUAUGACCUCUUCAACCGACUCUGGUGGCAACUCUUGCUCAAAAGAAGUAGGUUCAUUAUCAUCCGUACCUAUAAGGAGCAAAAAGUUACUGCGACAGUGAUGAUUAGCGCUAUAUUUCUGAUCACAGUUAUAACACAAGCCUUUUUCACGCUUGUCACGGAGCUCCGCUGGAGUGAGGCGACGAAUUGGUAAGUUGGGUGUGGGAAGAAAUGGUGGUAACGUGUUUAGUUUAGGGGGUGGAGGAGUAUUUUGUGAAUGAGAUGGUACGUGGACCAUACCAACUGAAUGAUUCGGUUGUGUUGAAGCAAGAGGAUACAGUUGAGGCUGAAAUUUGUGUGACGGGGAGUUUGUGGUAGGUGUGGGUGCUGUGUUGUUCCAUUUUGUCAAAAAGCGGUGUCCUUGUUUGGCCUCUUUAGCACGUGCUUCAUAGGCCCGAGCUAAUGCAAAUGCUUCAAUCAGAGAAGAGGGCCGAGCAAAAAGCAACUCACGACGAAUAUUGGGUUUCAAUCCCGUGAUAAAAAAACUUAUCAGAAGUGGCUCGGAGAUUCUAGUCACUCGAUUCAUUAAAUCUUCAAAGGCGGUCUGAAAUUCAGUCACCGUUGUAGUUUGGGAUAACUUGGAUAAAUUUCCUUGAGGAUCUUCAUAGAGAGAGGCACUAAAACGAUGUUUAAGAUUCUGUAAAAAUGCUUUCCAGGUUGUAAGCAAAUUAUUCAUCUUCAUUCAUUGAUACCACGCUGCUGCUCAUCCUUCCAUAUGAAAAGAAACAAUCCACAAUUGAAGAGUUUCUGGUGUACCAUGAAAAUCAAAGAACUCCUCAAUUCGGAAAACCCACCCGUUUGGGUCAGAUCCAUCAAACUUAGGAACCUCCAUCUUCAUAGAACGGAGCACUGGGGAUAUCUCAACACCACUGGAAUUUGCCUCAGUAGAAGAAGAUAUUGGGUGUGGUUGAUUAGGAGCUCGACCCGUGUUAUUUGAAGACCCCUGGAUCUGUGAACGCAAAUCGUCAAGGCGAGAAUCUACUGUUGCCAUAUAUUGUUGCAGCGUUUGAUGCAACGACAAUGUUUGGCUCUCGAACUAUUCUUGAAUUGUUUUUAACAGUUCAGAGUCCGUCAUGAUGAUAGCAAUGAACAAUGAAAGCACCAAUGAUACACCUCUACGCAACUAAGGAUCUAUCGGAUUAAACUUGCACUCUUCGAGUGAGUGUUGACUCCAAAAAUAUAAAGAUCAGAGAUAAAUAUUAAGAAUGGAAAGACAGGUUGUGAAAGAGAGAAGAGCCAAGAGAAAUAGAAAGAGAUAUUUUAUUUCUUCAUACCCCACACGAAUUCGUUUUGCUCUACAUAUAUUCCUCUAUCUAAGACGUUAGCAAAAAUAUUACAGCUCAGCAACUUCUAACAGAAAAUAUGACAACAAAAACAAACCAGCAAUCAUAAGGUACUAGCAAUUUCAUUACACGACAUAAUCCUUAAACCACCCAGGGGCUCUUCUAACUCGUGUGCUUGCGUACCGUUCCUCAUGAGCUGAUUCUUCCUCAACCUAUGAUGUGGCUUUCUUCAUGGGCUGUUCAUAAUUGGACUCUGUUAGAGUGCAAUUUAUGCACUAGUUUUGCAUUGUUUACUUCCCUUAAUAUCGAUGUUUUGCACUUAAUAAUAAUGAUUUACUUGUGUUUUACUUUUGUAGGUGCAAUUCUAUUGAUUCGUGAUAAAAUUGAGUUAUAAGAUGAUGUUUAAAGAUGAUUGUUCUCUUGGAGAAAUUAAGAGAGUCAGAAGAACUUUAUUGAUAAGGCAUGGGCGCGUGCUAUCAACUGCGGACCUGCGGCUUUUAGUUUAACGUGUUUUGUAUUUUUGGCUAUUUUUGUAAUUACGAAUUUAAUAUUUAAGAUAUUAGUAUUUUAUUUUAAAUAGAACUCUAAAAGAGAAGAGAGAGAGAGAUUUUAAGGAGGAAUCUAUUGUGAAAGAGGGGGAUUUUUGGAUUGGAGAAAAAGAAACCCUAGAUCUAAUUUUUCUCUUCUCUCUAUGAGGAACUAAACCCAUUUUUCUGGUUGAAGGUUAAUGAAGCUUUGAUUCAUCACUACUGUGAGAUCUUUCUUGUGCUUUAAUUGUUUUAUUACUUUUUGGGUAUUUGUUUAUUCUCUAAAUUAUUUUCAUGAUUAUGUUUGUUAAUUAGGUAAUUGGCCACUAUUUAAUUAUCAACUUAAUCUAUUGUCAAUUAAAGGAUUCAUCGUAUGAAGAAUUUGAUGUUUGUGACAAAUAACAUAGCAGAGAGUUGUGUUGUGAGAAUAAACAAUCUAAUUUAAAUGAAUCAUCAUAUGUGUUGAUUAGGAUUUGGGUCUCUCUGGUUUCUUAGGCUGUCAAUUGAUUAAAUUCUAUGAUCGUAUCUAGGGUUGUCUAUUGAUUAGGGAAAUAACCAACGGUCGUACCUUGGUUAUCGACUAGUUAAGGAGAGAUUGGCUAUUAGAGGGUCUCAGUAGCUAUAACCGAUCUAUUCAUAAGUAAUAAUAAUAAUCUAUAUUUGAAUCAAUGAUCAGUAGUCGAAUCAAGCUGAGUUAAUUCCUUCAACCAGAGCUUUCUCCAAUUUGAAUUACAACUUUAAUUUGCAUUCUUGUUUAUUUCAAUUUGAUUUUUAUUAUUGUCAACAAUUCCCCCAUUUUACGUUUUAUGUUUCAAAAGGAUUUAAAUAAUUACCGAUCUCUGUGGACACGACCCUGCUCAAUCACUAUACACAAUUUAUUUAGAGUAUGAAUUUAUUUUUGUUGGCUUCGACAUCCAUCAGACUCGUUGUUGGGCUGCCCUUCUUGUAAGUAAUCUAGUUGAUCCGACUGAAUGUGGAAGGUUGUAUCAUACACGCCCUGAAAAUCUGAAACUGAAUUACUCAAAUGAAUAUGCCUCUUCACAGCAAUUGGUUGAAACUUUACUGCAAAGACUUUUUGAAACCCUUGAAGAUGAUACUCUACCUGAUAACACAAGGAAACACAAUCAAUAUAAGAAGAUGAUUUUACGAAAAAAUGAAAGCUUGCCGUUAUUGGCAGAGCUCUACUCAAAUUUAAUGAGAUAUCUCUUAGGAGGGAGAGCUCUAAUAAUAUAUAAAGCCAAAAAUCUGAAAAUGUCUAACACUCAUCAAAUUGGCUUGUGAAGAAUUAAUCUUCCUUGCCAUCAUACAUGCCAGGUGUGGUGAACAAUCUUCAUUCUGACAUUUGCUUUAAUAAGCUGCUUAGUAUCCUUAACUUGAUAACUUACACAAACAAAAACUGUGAAAAUAGGUAGAGAAAAAGGUUAUGGAAUAAUUCUCUAUUUCAUAUCUUCAUGAGACUGUACGCAGAAUAUUACACACUGAUUUCUAGGAAGCAAUAACUUUAUAUUUACACCAAAUAUACACCUAAAUAUAUAAGGAAAACCAAAUCAAUUUGAUUGGGUCAACCUUUCAACACUCCCCCUCAAGCUGGUCUAAAAAUGUCUUUCAUGGCCAGCUUGCAAACCAAUUUCUCAAAAUGUUUCUUAGGUAGUCCCUUGGUGAAUAUAUCAGCAAUCUGCUCAUUUGUAGGAAUAUAGGGCAUGCAGACCAAACCACUGUCUAGUUUUUCUUUUAUGAAGUGUUUGUCCACUUCAACAUGUUUAGUUCGGUCGUGGAGUACUGGAUUAUGUGCUAUUGCAAUGGUAGAUUUGUUGUCACAAUAUACUUUCAUAGGUAGUGAAUUACUUGCCUUAAGUUCUUCAAGAAUUUUUUUGAUCCAAAAACCUCACAAAUUCCUAGAGCUACUGCUCUAUAUUCUGCCUCUACACUACUUUUUGCUACCACAGUUUGUUUCUUGCUGCGCCAAGUGACCAAAUUUCCUCCAACAAAGGUGCAGUAACCAGAAGUGGAUCUUCUAUCGGUUACACUACCAGCCCAGUCAGCAUCAGUGUAGACUUCUACUUGUAGGUGCCCGUUUUUUCUGAACAAAAGACCUUUACCCGGAGAUCCUUUUAAGUAUCUAAGGAUUCUAUAUACAGUUUCAAAGUGUUCUGGUCUUGGAGCAUGCAUAAACUGGCUGACUAAGCUCACUGCAAAGGCUAUGUCCGGGCGUGUAUGUGAAAGGUAGAUUAAUCUACCUACAAGGCGUUGGUACCGAUCUAUGUUGGUCACAUCUUCAAUUUUAGCUGGCUGUAAUUUCGUAUUAGGAUCUAUGGGUGUCUCGGCUGCUUUACAUCCGAGUAGACUUGUCUCUUCAAGCAAAUCAAGAACAUACUUGCGUUGAGACAUAACAAUCCCAUCUUUUGAUCUAGCAAACUCCAUGCCCAAAAAAUACUUCAGGUUGCCUAAGUCUUUGAUUUCAAAGUCACGUGCAAGCACUUUCUUUAAUCUGCAAAUCUCAACUAAGUCAUCACCAGCCAAAAUUAUAUCAUCUACAUAUACAAUUAACACGGCUAAUUUCCCUUCAAUAGAAUGUUUGUAAAACAUUGUAUCAUCUGCCUGACUUUGGGAGUAGUCGUGUCCCUUUAUAACAUUACCAAAGCGUUCAAACCAUGCUCUAGGAGACUAUUUAAGCCCAUACAAAGACUUAUGUAGUUUACACACUUUAUUGCUGCCGUGAUUUCCCUCAAAACCUGGUGGUAAAUCCAUAAAGACUUCUUCUUCUAGCUUCCCAUUCAGAAAAGCAUUUUUAACAUCUAACUGGUAUAGAUUCCAAUCAGAAUGUACAUCCAAUGAGAUAAGGACCCGGAUGGAAUUUAUCUUUGCAACGGGGACAAAGGUUUCUUGAUAAUCAAUUCCAUAGGUUUGAGUGAACCCUUUUGCUACAAGCCUUGCCUUAUAUCUCUCAACACUCCCAUCAGCAUUACAUUUAAGUGUAAACACCCACUUACAACCCACAGUUUUCUUUUCUUUUGGUAAAUCCACAAUCUCCCACGUACCAUUCUUCUUUAGAGCAUUCAUUUCCUCUAAAACUGCUAACUUCCAAUCUGGGUGGUCUAGGGCUUCUUUUAUGGUUUUAGGAAUUGGUAUCUGAGAGAUUUUUGUGGUAAAGGCUCUUUGUUUAUUGGACAACUUUUCAUAGGAAACAUAUCUAGCAAUGGGGUGCUUAGUACAGGUUUGGGUUCUUUUCCUAUGUGUUAUAGGUAAGUCAAGAUCAGGAAAAAAAGUGCUGGAAUGUUUAGGAGAAGAAAUGUUACCUGAAUUUUCUGAGGAAUCAGUGCUUGGAGGCGACGAUUGAGGCUGUACCAAGUUUAUGAGAGGGUCUUUACUGCUGUGAUGAUACUUUCGAGUAUAAACACGAAGCUCUGGUGGUGGAAUUUUAUCUUGUAGUAUUUCUCCCCCUGUCUCGGGUACAUUAACACUUGGUUCCUGUAGUUCAAGGUUUCCUAGGUUUUCAUUAUUAGAAAUAUCAGUUUUUUGAGUUUGAGUUGAAGUGCCCAGAUCAGGUAAAAACAUAUUAGGCAUAGGUGUAGAAGUAUGCCAAAAAUGAUCUUCACUAUUUUCUUUCUCCCCCUGAAGAGAAUUUGGGCCAAAAAAAGGUUGAUUUUCAAGAAAUAUAACAUCCAUACUGACAUGGAAUUUCUUUGUUUAAGGAUUGAAACAUUUGUAACCUUUUUUAUUAGGAGCAUAGCCCAAGAAAACACAUUUUUCAGAUCUAGGAUCCAAUUUAGAUCUAAGAUGGUUAGGAACAUGAACAAAUACAGUGCACCCAAAGACUUUUAACUGAAUAUUGGAGGUAAUCCUACUAGAAGGAUAUAUAAGUGUGAAGUAUUCUAAAGGUGAUUGAUACUUUAAAACACGGGUAGGCAUCCUAUUAAUCAAAUAACAUGCUGUUAAAACAACAUCACCCCACAAAUAUUUAGGAACAUGCAUAGAGAGCAUGAUAGCCUGACUAACUUCAAGUAAAUGGCGGUUUUUUCGUUCCGCAAUUCCAUUUUGUUGUGGAGUAUCACGACAAGUGGAUGUGUGAAUUAUACCCUUUUCCUUACAAAACACCUCUAGAUAAUUAUUAAAAUAUUCAGUACCAUUAUCUGUAUAGAGUAGGCUUAUUUUUGUUUGAAAUUGAUUUUCAACCAUGUUAUAAAAAUCUUUGAAUAACCCCUCAACUUCAGAUUUUUCUCUCAUUAAAUAAACCCAACAAAGCCGAGUAUGAUCAUCUAUGAAUGUUACAAACCAUUUUUUUUCCAAUUAAAGUGUUGAUUUUUGAGGGUCCCCAAACAUCACUAUGAAUUAAAUAAAAAGGUUUUGAGGCACGAUAAGUAAGUGCUUUAUAUGAAACUCGAUGACUUUUAGAUAAAAAACAACUUUCACACUGAAAAGUAGUACAAUCAACAUUUUUAAAUAAAUCUGGAAACAAAUAUUUCAAAUAAGGAAAGCUAGGGUGUCCUAGUCUAAGGUGCCAAAGCAUUAUUUGAUCCCUAGCAGAGUUUGAACUAAUACUACUGCUCAAACCUUGAGCUUGUUUAUUCAUUGAUAAGUAGUCAUCAAAAUAGUAAAGACCUUCUCGCAAACUAGCACUGCCAAUCAUCGUCCCCAAGUCCCUGUCCUGAAAUUCACAAUAGGAGUAAAAAAAGACAGCACAACAAUUAAAAUCUUUGGUUAAUUUACUGCCAGAUAACAAAUUGCAAGAAAGUUUAGGGACAUGUAGCACAUUUUUAAGCUCAAUGGUUCCAGAGAUUUUUAUUGAUCCUUUUCCAGCUAUGGAAGAUAAGCUUCCAUCAGCAACUCUUACCUUUUUGUUACCAGGGCAAGGAUAAUAGGAAUCAAAUAAACUAGAAAUGCUAGUCAUAUGAUCAGAAGCACCCAAAUCAAUAAUCCAUGGUGCAGUAGUUGAGUGGCUAAAUAGAGCAUUAAUAAUACUACCUGUUUGGGCUAGUGAACCACUAGGAGUACUAGGUGGAGGAUUAGAAGUGAGCAACUUUAUGAGAUGGUCAAUUUGCUCCUUGCUGAGAUUUUUUUCUAGAUUCUCCACUUCAUUGGCAGACGCACGGCUAUGCUUGCUGUUUUUCCAGUUUGCAGGCUUUUCGUGGAGUUUCCAGCAAGCCUCCCGAGUAUAGCGUGGUUUAUUACAGUAAUCACACCAUACUCGAGGUUUUUGUUGCUGUUGAGUGAUGGAGCGGGUAGCAUUAGCAUCUGCUGUAACAAGGGCAGAUUUUUCCACAGAGACAACGGAGUUCGUUUUUCCCAACAUAACACCUCGACGACUUUCUUCUCUCCUUACUUCAGAGAAAACAUCCUCAAGAGUAGGAAGUGGCUUUCUCCCAAUAAUUCUUCCUCUUACCUCAUCAAAUUCAACAUUGAGCCCAGCCAGGAACUUGAAGAUUCGCUCAUUAUUGACAAUUUGUUUGUGGUGUUUAAAAUCUUCCAUUCUCUCCCACUCGUAGUCAUUGAAUAAGUCCAGAUCUUGCCACAAUCUCUUUAGAGUAUUGAAGUAUUUUGUUAUACUAUAAUCUCCUUGACGAAUAUCUCUAAGAGCAAGCUGCAACUCAUAGAUCUGGGACUAAUUUCCAUAGUCAGAGUACAUCUGACUCACAUUAUCCCAGUGUUCUUUUGCAGUAGAGUAGCACAUAUAAUUUGCACUAAUGUCUUCAUCCAUGGAGUUGACUAACCACGCCAUAAUCAUGGAGUUUUCGGCAUCCCAAACACCAUAAGAGGGAUCAGAUAUUUCAGGAGCCUUAACAUCUCCGGUAAGAUAACCAAUCUUCCCUCUUCCCCUAAUAUACAUUCUAACCGACUGAGACCAUCUUUGAAAAUUUCCUUCAUUCAGCUGGAUAGUUGUAAUCUGGACAGAAAGAGAUUCAGAAUGGGAAAUUUUUUGUUCUAGUCUUUUUGAGGUGACUGUGGUUUCAGAAGAUUGGUCAGACAUGGUAGGGAAGAGAUUAGAAAGAAAGGGAGCCUAACUCUGAUACCAUGUGAAAAUAGGUAGAGGAAAAGGUUAUGGAAUAAUUCUCUAUUUCAUAUCUUCAUGAGACUGUACACAGUCUUAAUAUAGGGAUACAAGAGACUAAGAAAGGAAAGAAAAAAUUAAAGCAGAAUAUUACACACUGAUUUCUAGGAAGCAAUAACUCUAUAUUUACACCAAAUAUACACCUAAAUAUAUAAGGAAAACCAAAUCAAUUUGAUUGGGUCAACCUUUCAACAAAAGCAACUUUACUAAAGUUUAUUCCUUAAAGGCAAAAUAGUAAAGAAGAUGAUAUAUGCUGAUACAAUAAAUUGACCUGAGUUAUCCUGAUGUCAAGAAUCACAGCACCUCAUGUGGGCAAAAUCAUCGCAAUACAAGAUGCUGAAUUCAAGCAACAUCUUAUCACCUGUAAUUUAAUUAAGACAAUAACUUUCCUCAACUAUUACCCUUCUCAAUUUCAAUGUAUUAUUGGCAACUAAAUUCAUAGGGGACGUAGCUAAUUAAAUGCCCUUUUAACAAUAUCUUCCCCACCUAACAAUUAUUUGGAAAAUCUAAAUGAGAAUCAUGCAUUGAUGGCAUAAAAAAUUGGCCACAAAGCUGCCUAGAAAAAGGCUUUAAAUUCUUAAUGAGACAACGAAUUCGAACAAAUAUGGUGAAUGAAGAGACAAAGGCAUAACACCUCAAGAAGCAAAGCUCUGUUUCUGUAUGUGCUGAAACCAUUGGAAACCCAUGGAAAUGAAUUUCUACGAAUUAGACAUGUCAGCCAAAACAGGUGCUCUGUACGAGCAAAGUAAAAGAGAGUUACAAAAAAUUUUAAGAUAAUUAAACUUUUAAUCACCAUAUAAUUAAUAGAAAACUUUGUACACAAUGAUUUAUUGGAGAUUAAGAUUGUAUACCUAAGUUUUAAUUUCAAACUAAAUAUGCACAACAUGACAUUAGCAUUAGAAGACCGCACCAAAACGUACCGAAUUGAAUGUACCUCUUCGCGGCCAUUGUACAAGCAUUGAAACUUUACCGCAAAAGCUGUUUCAAACGUGAUGCACCUUAGAGAUGCAAGAUAAGAAAUUGUUAUUACAACUAGCAUUGAAACAUGUGUGGAACUGUUAAUGGACCUAAAUAACCUGAAAAUCAGAAAAGAUUAGGAAUGAGUGACUAAGCCUGCUAAUCGCAACUAAACAUACAAACCUUGAAAAUCCAAAAUUGUACUCGAUGAAUGUGCAAUUGCUCGAGCAGGUAACUGUGCAAUUGCUCGAGCAGGUAACUUUACUACAAAGGCUCUUACAAACCCUCAAAGAUGAUAAUCUACAUACCAUGGUAACCUGAAUAAUAAAAAGAAACACAGUGAAUAUUAAAGGGCAUUCUGACAAUGCAAAUUUGUGCAAAUUAACAACUGCGGUUACUUGUAUAAUAGUGUCGAUACCGAAUUCCUUCCUCCAUGGAAGCAUAUGAUCACCCCACAUGUGCUUUGCUCUGUAGCUUUUGAGUACCUGAAAUUGUUAUUACAACCAACCGUGAAAAUUGGGUGAAAAAAUGGUAAUAUUAGCAUAAUUGAAUUUGCUUAUAGAGGAUAAACCGAUCAAAGGAAAAAACAAGAUAGAAAUGAUGAUCUUAGUACCUUAAUAUCAUGUAAUAAUAAUCACCAUGCCUUCCAGGCAGCUAUCCAUCCUCAAUUGAAACAGAGCAGACCUGGCCAUCACUUUCUUCUUCAAAGUCCAGCAACUGAACGUUGCACACAACACCACAGUGGAAGUAGUUCCAACACCAGCCUAAUCCUUGAUUACCCCAAUGUUCUCCAUAGGGUCUUCAAAGUCAACCUAAAAAUAAAAAUGAAAAUGCAAUGCAUUAUUAUUAAGGAUCUAGUGCUUGAGCUUGCUUUGAUAUCAUGGUAUUAGCAAAUUCUGAUAUAGCCAAAAUGGUGAAUAAGAUGAUGUACUUGAUGAGAAAAACUUGAUUUAACAAAUAAUUAAGGAGCCGGUAACAAUCACAGAAUCUCAUCAUGUGGGGAACGCCUUGGCAACAGAAGAUGGUGCUUUCAUACAAGCAAUAGCAACUUUCCAAUUUCAUAAGGUAGUUUAAUGGCACUUUUAAGAACAUUUGUACCAGCCUAACAAUUAUUCAUGGAAAUUAAAAUUCAGAAUCAUGUUAGACUGAGAGAUGAAAUAUAAUAAGCGAUUUGGCCACCAUAUAUGCAUUUAUCACCUUCAAUUUGCUCAUCUUUGUCUAGUGUAUUGCUUCUGCAUUAACUUAAUUAGCUUGCAAGCCACCUUAAAAUGGUUUUAAAUAAAGUGUAAGAGCUCAAAUUCGAACGAAUUAAUCAAAUAUGCUGACAGGAGAAACAAAAGUAAAAUAACCACAAGAAGUAUAAAUAUACUUUUGUUAUAUUCGGAGCAUCUUCUAGCGUCAAGUUCUUUUCCUUUAGCUCUGUUUCUGUUUGUGCUCAAACGCAAUGGCUAAAGGGUCAAGAUAAUUUUAUGACCAUCAAUCUUUUUGCAGCCACAUGCAGACUUGAAAAACUGGUCGUGGCCCUAAGGAACUUGAAAAUUAGAAAAGAUUCAGAAUGAGUGACUAAAUAUUAUAAUCGAAACUAAUUAAACAUACACGCCUAGAAAAUCUGAAACUGAAUUCCUCAAAUGUAUAUGCCUCUUCGCAGCAAUUGCUUGUGGUGGAAACUUUACUGCAAAGACUUUCUCAAACCCUUGAAGAUCACACUCUACCUGAUAACAAAGAAACAGAGUCAAUAUACGAAGAUGAUUUUACUAACAAGUGAGAGCUUACACAUGUUGGAAGGAUAAUGAUUACUCAUAACCCAAAUCCCCAAUACUCCCUAAUAUCUCACUCAAGUGAGUUCGAGCUCCCAGAAUUCACUACUGUGAAACUCUCACAACAAAAUUCUCUUCAAAGAUUCUCUACUCAAAUUUGAUGAUGAUAUCUCUCGAAGGAAGGCAAAAGAAUCUAACACUGAUAAAAUUGGCUUGUGAAGAAUUAAUCUUCCUCGCCAUCAUUCAUACCAGGUGCGGUAACAAUCUUCAUUCUGACAUUUGCCUUAAUAAGCUGCUUUGUAACCUUAACCUGAUAACUCACACAAACAAAAACAACUUGCCUAAAGUUUAAUAUUUAGAGCAGAACAGUAAAGAAGAUGAUAUAUAUGAUACAAAAAUUUCACCUGUGUUACCCUGAUGUCAAGAAUCAUAGCAUCUCAUGUGGGCAAAAUCUUCGCAACACGAGAUGCUUGCAAAAUUGGAGCAGCAUCUUAUCACCUGUAAUUUAAUUGAGAGAAUAACUUUCCCCAACCAUUUCAAUGCAUUAUUGGCAACUAAAUUCAGAGGGUGCUAAUUAAAUACCCUUUUAAAAAUAUCUUCUUAUUCUUCUUCAAUCUAACAAUUAUUUGGAAAAUCUAAAUGACAAUCAUGCAUUGAUGGCAUCAAUAUUUGGCUACAAAGCAGCCUGGAAAGGGCUUUACUCUCUGAAUGAGAGCAUGAAUUCGAAACAAAUAUGAUGAAUGAAAAAACAAAGGCAUAAUACCACAAAAAGUAAAACUUUUUCCCAGGGCUCUCUGUUUCUGUUUGAGCUAAAACCAAUGGAAACCGAUGGAAAUGAAUUUCUAUGAAUUAGACAUAUCAGCCAAAACAGGUAUUCUGUACAAGCAAAGUAAAAUAGGGUUACAAAAAAUUUUAAGAUUGAUAUGAUAAUUAAAAUUGUAAUUAAAAUUUCAGUCACCAUAUAAUUAAUAGAAAACUUUGGACACAAUGAUUUAUUGCAUAUUAAGAUUGCUAUACAAAAUAUAAUAUUAGCAUUACGAGACCGCACCAAAGCAUACCGAAUUGAAUGUGCCUUUUCACAGCCAUUUUACAAGCUUUGAAGCUUUACCACAAAUGCUUUUUCCAACCCGUGAACAUGAUGCACCCGGGAGAUGCAAGCUACGAAAUUGGUACUACAGCAAGCGUUGGAACAUUUGUUAAAAAUGGAAGUUUAAGAAAAUAUGCCAUUGGAUACCUGUCUUCAGGAAUCAAUUCAUCCGUAAUAAUAAUUUUCAAGAAGUAUCAACUGCUUUAAGCUCAUCGACAUCACAGAGAUCUUCAACUAAAAUAGAGCAGAUCCGGCCAUCACUAUCCCUUCUACUGCUCUUUUCCUUUAGAGAAUGCUUGAAUUACAGAAUGCGUGUAAGGCAUUCUUCUUCAAGGUCCAAUGAUCAAACUGUUGGGGAAAAUUAGUUUUUUAAAUUUUUUAUAAAACCUUUUGAAGAUCGCUCUCAUAUAAUAUAUAAGAAUUUGUAUUCUAGAAAUCGUACCUUGAAAAUCCGAGUUGGCUUUUUCCGCUGAAGUGAUUUAGGCUCCUAGAUCAUGAUCCGCCACCACCACUCCUGUUAGAUCACGAUCCAUCACCACCACGCUUGUUAGAUCACGAACUGUCACCACCACGCUUGUUAGAUCACGAACUGUCACCAAUGAUCUUCCAGGUUAUGACUCAGGUUCGAUCUGCACUUGACGUGUGGGCGCCUUUAUCACUACCAAAGCAACUAGCACGAGAAAAAAAUUUUCUCAACAAUAGAGAGAAAAAAAUUUUCUCAACGAUCUUAUUCUCAGAUCUGUAUAAAGUGGCUUCACUCUUUUCUUUAGAGAAAAUAAGUCUUUUAUAUCACCCUUUAGUGAAAACCCUAGGCUCCAAAUAAUCAAAAAACAAAACCCACGUUAUUUGCUUUUUCAAUAGGGGACCCACCUUGUAAAAUAACAUAAGGCCCCUUACACAAAAGCUAAUUAAAUGGAGCCUCCCACUAAAUGAUAUAUUUAGGCUUUUGACCCAAAUAGCUAGUUAUCUUACUUAUUAGUCCAGUAGUGGUGCAGUCAAUUAAAUGAGCUAACCCGGGGAUCAUUUGGGAACAUACAAUAGUGGCUACAAUAAUUAGGCCUAUAAUUAAACUAGCCCAAUUAUUUAAUUCCAAAUCUACUCCACUAAAAGAUUGGAAUUGACUUCCAUUUUUGUAUGCUCGAAUAAUAAUUCGUCCCAAGCCACAUUGAUUUCUUUAUUGCACAAUCAUUUGUACCACAUCGUUAAUUAAAUUGAUAUCUCAACUGUCCAAUCAAUUUAAUAACAUCUUAUUCCUUGAUACUUACUGGUUUUCUCUAAUGAUCAUUUUCAACAUACUAAAUAUGUUGACACACUCUGGCCAGAGAAUUCUAUGAUCAAGUGCCGAAAACCCAUCAAGAGAUGUGUUGUACAAAUUCUAUAUUGUUAAUCUAUAACUCCAAUACUCAUAAAUGCUCCCACCAAGAUACCGGGUAAUCUAGACUACAAGUAUGUGUCAUGCCCAUUGGUAACUCAAAUGGAAUAACAAUUACAAUCAUGAAAUCAUAAUUAACUCAAGAUUAAGAUUACAGUAAAAUCAAUGCCUAUGAGAUUUAAUAAGUCUGACAGUUAUUACAAAGUUAAUUAAAUCUCAUAUGUGAUCCUGUUCAAUGUAGUCGUACUACAUCAAUAAAUUCAUAUAUGAUUAAGACAAAUCAUUUAAUGAAUUUAUUACAGUCUAUACCUAAAUAAAGUGCCCAACUUUAUUUAUCAACUGCGAACAAAAUUUAUUUAAUCAUAAGAUAACUUGUAUUUAUGUCUUCUGUGAAUCCACAUGGUGAUCACAUAAAUACAUAUAAUAUGAUUAAAUGGACUUUAAUAAAAAUAUUAAUGCAAUUAAGAUAUUUGAAUAAAAUACCUCAUUAAUUUUAUUAAUCAGAAAAAAUAUUUAUUACAAUUAAAUAAACACAUAUGCUUUUAAAGAGCAUAUUUUCCCAACACAAACCUUUCACAAUAAAAACAGAGGUAGUAGUUCCUUCGCCAGCCUAAUCCUUGGUCUCAGGAAUGUCCUCAACAGAGUUCUCGAAAUCAAGCUAAAAAUUAAGAAUGAGUUGGAAAACUGUUUAUGGCCCUAAAGAACUUGAAAAUCAGAAAAGAUUAAGAAUGAGUGACUAAACAUUUUGAUCGCAACUAAACAUACAAACCUUGAAAAUCUAAUUUUGAAGUACUCUUAAAUGAAUGAGCAAUUGCAGGAGCUGGUGACAACUAAGGUUACUGUGAAGUGUCUUACAAAUCCUUAAAGAUGAUACUUUACAUACCACGAUAACCUGAUAACACAUAGGAACACAAGGAACAUUAAAGUGUAUUCUGACAAUGCAAAUUUGUGGAAAUUAUCAGCUGUGGUUACCUAGACAAUAUUGCCAACACCAAACUCCUUCCUCAAUUGAAACAUAUGAUCAGCCCACAAAUGCUUUGCUUUGUAGCUUUUGAGAGCCUGAAAUUGUUUUCACAACCAACAAUGAAAAUUGGGUGAAAAUUUUGAUAAUAUUAGCAUAAUUCCAUAUGUUUAUAUAGGAUAAACCGAUCAAAGAAUGAAACAAGAUAGAAAUGAUGAUCUUAGCACCUUAACAUCAUGCAAUAAUAAUCAUCAUGUCUUUCAGGCAGCUAUCCAUCCUCAAUUGAAACAGAGCGGACCCGCCCAUCACUUCCUUCUUCAAAGUCCAGCAACCAAACGUUGCACAAUAACCACAGUGAUAAUCCUUGGUUACCCCAAUGUUCUCCGUAGAGUCUUCAAAGUCAACCUAAAAAUGAAAUAAAAAUGCAAUGCAGAUGGAAAUUGAAAAUUCUAUAAAUUAAAUAAAAUAAAAAUGCAAUGCUUUAGCAUCAUCAUAAUAGUAAAUUUUUAUAUACCUUUACUUCUCUGUUCUUGUUUAUACACAACAAGAUAUCAAUAGAAGAAGAUGGAAAUGAAAUUCUAUAAAAUAAAGCAAGUGAAUUACCAGCAGAACAUUUUAGCAAUCCUUUGGCUAAACUUUUCAUUUUCAUAGUUUUGCUCUCCUGCCUGCAUCAUUAGAACCAAAUUAGCUUGGACCUGCGAAUUGCUAGUGUAGUUCUGACAUUUCCUCGAAUCCCUGGUGAACAUAAUUACACUCGUAUGAAAUAAAACAAAGUGGGCUAAUGUACUACCAAAAACAAUUAUACAAUUACUUUAAAGAAUUAAUGUCACAUAAAUUAUAUAUAUAAAAAAAAUAUGAUUAUCAUUAUACAAGAUAAAAUUGAUAAUUUAGUUUUCAACAUUACUGCAAAUGUAUCACAGAGAUUUUGUCUCUCAAGAAGUUACACAUAACAAAUUUUCGUACAUUAAAAAAUAAAUUACAUUGGGAUUUUCUAUGAUGUUGUAUGAAAUUUUACAAAAGACUGCAUAUUUUUUAGAAGAAAAUAUAAAAAUUUCAAUAGACUAUACUUUUUUUUUAAUUAUUAUUAUAUAACCUUGAUAAUACAAGUUUAAUAGAUUUGAUAACUAGGAAGUUUAAAUUUUAAAUAACUGAAAUUAAAAUAUUAUCUUAAUUAACUUUUGACUUUAUGAAUUAUUGAUUAACUCUAACAGUACAUAUAUAUACCAUGAUUGAUUUUAUAAUUUUUAUAACAGCAUCAUAGAGUGACCCAUUAAAUUAAUGGUUGAAGUAAACAAAAUUCAAUAUGCAAAUCAAAAUAUUAGAAAAAUAUUAUAUAUUCCUGUCAGACAUUGGCAAUAUAUAGAAUUUUAAUUCAAAAUAUAAUUAUUUUUAUUACCGGCGAGUGAUAUCUUACGCCGACAGAAUGAUGUGGGGAAUGUGAGAUAUUUUAUGCCACUUUUCUCCUUUCCCCUCUCUAUAAUGGUUUUCCAGAAGAGGACAUCUGUCAAUAGUCAAUUCCUGCAGCGUCGACGUUCGAAGGAGGUAAUCCGACAGCACCUUUAAUUUGGGGCAAUACCAAAUUCGUAAGGAAGAAAGAUGUGGUCCUGCGAUCUUCUAGAAUGGGCAGUUCUUCUAGAAGAUCACAAGAAUAAAUACUUAGUUCCUACAAAAUUUAACUUUAAGCGACGGACUUUGUCACCAAAAGAAUUUAUGACUGAUUCCUUAGUACCAUUAAUUUCUAGCCACAGGCAUUCUUUGCUACUUACAAACUGAGCAAAAUCAUGUACUAUGUCAUGCAUCUUGAAACUCAUAAUAUUUCUUAAACUCUUGAAAGAAAGAGCGUGCUGCUAAAAUGUUGAAAUACUCUUCUCCAAUCAUCUCCAUUUCUUCGUCUUCUUCUGCAUUAAGGUAAUCUUGAGCCAUCCACAGAUUAAUCAAUUCCUCUUUAUCCAUAUUGCAGUCUUUUGGAAAGACAGUACAAUAUGAGAAACACCGUUUUACCAUAGAAUUGGAGGGUAAAUCGUUAUAACUCAACAACAAAGGAGUCAAAAGACCUUGCCCAAUCUCUUGUACUUUCCACAUUUCACUCCCUAAAAUUCUUUGUCACUCUUUUACUGUACUUUUAGACCGCAAGAGAUUCCCUAUUACCUUUGCAGCAACAGGCAAGCCUUUGCACUUGUGUGCAAUUUUUCGCCCCAUUGGUUCUAAUUUUUCACGAUCCUCAAAAGAACGACCGAAAAAUGCUAACCGCUCGAGCAACGACCAGCAUUCCUCUUCAGCCAAUUGCUCAAUGAAGAUAAUAUUUGUUGAUCCCAUCAUAUGUGCAACUGACUCAUUACGUGUGGUAACCAAAAUUUUACUUCCGUGGAGACCAUUCUUUAGAUAAAGGAAAAAUGGUUCCCAUUUGUUGUAAUCCCCAUCCCAUACAUCAUCUAAAACCAGAAAAAACUUUUUUCCUUCGAUUGAUCUAUGGAUAUGGCUCAUAAGAGAUUGGAAUUCGCUUAAACUAGAAGCUAACUCGCCUAAACCUUCAAUGAUUGCUUUGGCAACCCUAAUCUCCUCAAAAGUGUCUGAUACACACACCCAUAUAACUUUUUCAAAAUUUCUUUUCACCUCAUCAUUAUUAUAGGCCAGUUGUGCAAGAAUAGUUUUACCUAUACCCCCUAAUCCAACUAGUGAGAUGACAUAAAGGCCUUGUUGUUGUUCACUACUUUCACACAACAACUUGCUUAAGAGCUCAUUUUUCUCAUCAACUCUACCGCAAACCUCCCCCUCAUCAAUCAAGGAGGUGGUUCGCACUCGCUCUGGUUUCUUAACAUUGUUGCUCACAUUCUCAACAAAUUUAAACGUAUCUUUUUGGGAGGCAAUAUCAUCUAGCUUUCCAUUGAUUUCCCUAAUCUUGACGGCAAUGUCAUGACGAAGACUAAGUUGUUUGAUACAGCACAAAAGAAGGAGCGUACCUUCUUCUUAUGAGGAGCAAGAGCAAGAGCAUUGUCAUCAUCAACGCCCUCAAUCUGCAAUUUGAGCCUUGCAGUGGUCCACUCCUCCAGCAUGUCUUCCAUGUCGUAAGAUGCGUCUUUGAGCUGAUCCAGCCAAAAAGUAACAGCUUUGUCUUGCUGCAUUUGCCUUUGCUCUGCAUCCUCCAGCACAGCUCGAAUGGCCUGAAGAUUUCUGGUAAGCUUUUUCACUUCUUCUCGGACACCAGUCAGAAGCCUCACCUGUUGUUUCACUUCAUCAGCCGCAACAGAGAUCAGCUGCUCCAGGAGAGAGGAAACGAUCGCAUCAACCAUUCUAACAAAGAAGACGAGAAUUCUAAAGAGUUAUUAGAUGUGCUUUUGUUGCGAUGAUACUGAAAAUGUUUAUACUGCAUAGAAAAUGUUUAUGCUUAUCCCCACCCCACACGUCAAUGAUUGUAGAAUGUUUAAUUUUCCUGAUUCUACUCCACUGGUUAUGAUGCGUAAUUAUAAAUAUUCUCAAGUUAUGUAUGAAAAUAGCACAAAUUUGGACCUACUAAUGAUUUUUAUGAUUUUUGUGUCUUUACUUUUUCAUAAUCUUCUACUGUAAGAGUUCAGAUUUAAUUACUACUUUAAAAACUGAGCAAAAAAAAAUAUCAAGCAUUAAUUAAAAUUCACAAAGGAAUAAAUAACGAAAGAAAAAAAGAUUGGAAAAGUCAUAGAUGUAAAAUAGCACAUUGUUUUUUUAAUAAUCUAAAUAAAAUUAUUAAUAUUCAUGUUAGUCCCUAAAAAAUUAAUAAAUAUAACUAAAAAAAUCUUAUUAGUCUCCAUGAUCAAAAUUUAUUGAAAUAUUUUUAGCCUGGGUUCAAAAAAAAAUAAAUUUCCCAACUUCACACUAGCUAAAUCUAAAAUACACGUUCAUAUAUAGAUAUAUUCUUUCUCGCAGACGUCCGUACAAAAUAAAGUGCGAAUACGACAUUUUCCAGUCUAUCAAAAUGAUUUUUAUUAUUGUAAAAAUAUUAAUAAUAAACUAAAAUAAUAUAUCUACACGUUAUUUCGUCCAGAAAUAUGUAGAGAGAAUAUCUUAAUUUCUAGGGCCCGGCUACGGUGCAACUGUGGUACCGUGCCAUAAUUGCAUCUUACCGUUGGAUGCACUUACAUGGAUGGGGUUCACUGACAUCCAACGGCUGGAUGCAACUAUGGCACGAUACCACAGUUCCACCACAGGUUUUCCCUAAUUUCUAGUAACAUCAUAGUCAAAAUUUUAUCAACAUUUAUGCGAAGGAGUCCCCACUCUCCACCUGGGGGAAUUUGGCAUUUGAUGAAAAAAGUUAUGCUUAUACCCACCCACACGUUAGUGGUUGUAGCAGCAUCUUUGAUUUCCCCGAUUCUACUCCGCCGAUGAACACAUGUUUUGUAGUAACAUCUUUAAAUUCCCACACGUUAGGAAUUUGGCACAUAAUCACAAACUUGUCGCAUCUUUAACGUAUGAGGUUGAUGAAUAUAUUCUUUUCUCAUGUCAAUUUAAAACUCCGAGUGUGUUUCCAACAAUUGCUUUUCUUUUUCUAUUUUUGGAUUUUUGAAUCAUAAUUUUUCAAUUCAAUAAUGGCCUCUUCAAUUAUAAAAUAUGGUAGAAGGGGAUGGGGUGUAGUGUCUAGGCCCCCGCGACAACGGCAUCUUUGGACGUGGGCUUCAUCAUUUCUCCUUUUUUAUUUAAAAAAAAAUUACUUCUUGCAUGAUCUAAUUGGUCUUGUUUCAAAAGAAACAAAAAAAUAAUAAUAAAAAUAACUAAAAUAAAAUAAAAUAAAUCAUAUUCUUUAUCUUAAUUGCUUUCAUUUGUGAUUGACAUGUACUCAUGCAUUGUGUUUUUGUAUAUUUUAUUGAUAUGUUUCCUUAAGGGAUAAACUAAUUAUGUAGCAAAAUUUUAUUAGAGCUAGGAUUAUUUAUAUGUGUUCUAAUACUUUGAACAUCUUACUAUACACUUGUCUAUCAAAUUUUAACAUUAAUUUUUCCUACUCAUUAAAAUAUCAAAAUAGUCAUUGAUAAACAUCUUUCAUUAUUAUUAUUUUUUUUUAUAUAUUGAUAUAUUACAAUUAAAAUUCUAUUCCAAAAUAGUCAUUAACUAGACAUCUUUUAUUAAUGUUCAUUUUUUUAUACACUCAUAUAUUACAAUUAGAAUUCUAUCAAGACUAUCCUUGAUAAUUCUAACAUAGUACAACCAAAAAAUUCUACCCUUGCAAGAUACUAGAGAGAUAUUUAUUCUACUCUUAUUAAUCGAGAGAUAAUUUUACCUCUACCUAAUUUAAUUGGGAGGAAAAUCGAGAGAGAUAUCUAUUCUAUCCUUAUUAAUUGAGAAAUAAUUUUAUCCUUACCCAAUUUAAUUGGUAAGAAAAUUGAAUUCCAACAAUAACUAGGACUCGAACCCAUGCACUUAAGCUAACGUUAAAUGCUUCGACGCAUGGUUAUAAUGUUCUUUAUUUAAAUCCUAAUAAGAGGUGGGACUUGAACUUGUGCCUACAAACAUUGAGUGCUCAGGGCUGCAAAAUUUCACAACUUAAUUUUAAUUCAUGUGGCAUGUGCCCUAUCACAUAAACGUAGAUAAUAAUAAUUAAUACAUUAACAAAAUGAAAAAUAUUAGUUUACAAAAUACAAAUCCUAAUUUUUUGUGUGUGAGAGGGAACCUAAAAAGGGAGAGACUAAACAAAUAUGGUGACAAAUGACAUGUAUUACCAAAACUAAAAACACGAAGUCUAGGCAACUGAAAACAUCUCUGUCAAUUGCAAUGAACAGAUCACAACCCUUCAUAAUUAAUCAAAAUUAAACUUUAAAAAAAAAAAUCACACACACACAAAACAAUCACAACACACUAUUUGUUCUGAUCAUCCCUGCUUUUUCUUAGCGUAGCUCUUGGAAUGAAAAUUAACAAAAAGUGUCAAGAGAGAAGCAUUAAACACAGCAUUGAAGCACCAACCCAAAAUCCCUGACCAUCCAAAUCCCGUAAAAUGAUAAUACAGCAUCAAAACCGAAACAACAAAACUAAACACAAAUUGAACAAUCUGACAAUCAUGAGUGACCAAUCUCUUCCACUUUGGCCGCAACUCCAUCACACACAAUAGAUAGUGCCCGUACAUGAUCACGUGCACACUUGCAUUGGUGACAAGUGCCAUACGAAACAAAGACUGCUUCGUCUGUAACCAAAGGUAGCACAUUACGACGACGGUUGCAUGGUGGUAGACGUGGAGGAACGUGAGCCGUUGGACGGAGUUUUAUUUGAAUCAAUAAGGUGUUUGGCACGAGAGAAAGUGAAAGAAAAUUAAGAAAGAAAAUUUGACUAUGAAGUUUCUGGAACAAUCACAGAUUCUUAUUGAUUAAAGCUGAAAUCAUACAUUAUGAGCGUACUAGUCACUAUUUAUAGUCACACUCAAACUGAUUACAGAAACAAAGCUCAAAGCUGCAAUAUUAACAAACUAAUUAGCCUUCCAAUCAUAACAAGCCAGCUGGACAAUUCGUUACAACUUAUUCAGUGCAAAUAACAGCCCAAUCCAGCUCAGCAACUUAGUUACAAAACAUCAGUCAACUCAGCACCUUCAGCACGUCACCAGCCAGCUCAGCAGCUUCAGCUUAUACUCUUAACAUCCCCCCUCAAGCUCAGCCUAGUGAAGUCAGGGUGAGCUUGUCUCUCAGAUAAUGAAAAGGGUGAUAAGCUAAAGCUUUAGUAAGGAUAUCAGCUGAGUUAUGAGAACUUGGAACAUAACUAACUUGGAAGCUUUUAUUAGAGUUAAAUUUAAGUUCUUGGAACAUAAAUAACCUUUUUCUCGCAAGAAAUGAACAUCAAGUUCUAUGUGUUUAGUUCGGGAGUGGAAUUUAGGAUUACUUGCUAAGGCAGCUGCACUUUGGUUAUCACACCAAAUCAAGAGAAAUGCCAAUUUCAGCCAACAAGGACUUGACUGUUUCUGUAUAAACAUCAAAUUCAGUAAAAAAAGUUGUUAUCUAAUGACAAAAGAAUUUGUCUAAAAUUCCAAUUGAACGCAUAUUAAGUAUUUAAUACCAAGUAAAAUCUGAGAUCAAAGGAAAUUCUAAUAUGACAUCUAAUAGCUAAGUAGAAAAUAAAUAUAUUUAAUGAGGGUAUCUGUGAGAAGAAAACUGAUUUUCUAUUCAGAUAUUUUAUCAUUUAGAUAAAAUUGAAGAGAUUUUACUUUUUCUAUUCAGAUAAAAAUGUCUUACAAUAAAACUCCACGUAAAUUUUUCAAUUUAGCGAUAGCAUAUGGAUCCGAUCCAUUUCUUGUCUAUAUGGCGGAUAAGUUUUAUUAUCGGGUAGACAAAAGCAAAAGCCAUUAUCUUACUAAUUCAUUUGGUCUAUUGAAACUCCAAGAUCUAAUUCAAAGAGCGCGACUCAAAUAAUGGCAAUUAGUAAUUUAUUACAUCUGCAGUUAGACACUUUGUUUGAGAAAAAAGAAUAAAAUCAGUUCCAUAAUGAUUUUAAUUACAAUAAAUAUCAUACUAUGGUCUAUGGACACGCCUCAUAUUACAAAGAAAAUACGUGAAAUAUGAUUAAGGGAUAAAGCUUUCGACAACCAUUUAUAAAAUUGCUUUUGAAAAAUUGUUCUGAUGAAAUGAAAUUAUAUGAAAUUACUAAGAAUUUAAUCUGCCUCUGAAGGAGGAUUAAUUUUAGAUGAUUUUUCUAUUUAUAGCUAUUAUGUAGUCGUUAGAAAUUUCAAAUUUUGAGAAUUUUGCUUGUAGCUACAGGUUGCAGUCAUUUUGAUUUGGAGACUGAUUGAUAAUUAAAGCUAAUGUUGCAAGUAAAAAACAAAAUGAAAAAUAAUUAAAAAAAUAAAAAUCAAGGAGUUAGGCCCAAACUUUAUUAAACUUUUAAUAAAGUCUAUUUCUCAUUUUGUCAUAAUGAAAAAUAAUUAAUAAAAAAUGAAACAACCAGUUUACUUUGACUUUAUUUCACAGAAUAUAAUGUCUGAAAUUUAUAUAUCAUGUAUUCUAGGGUCAAAUCAGUCUUUUUGCACAUAACAUUUAAUAUUUCAUUAAGAAACCGCAAAGAUUAUUUCAAAGCCUUUAGGGUCAUGGUCUCCUCCGGAAGUGGCAAAUUCAGGUUCGGAUCAACCCGAUCAAGUUUCAAUUUGAUUGGGUUGGAAUAUUUGGAUUGGAUCGUAUUGAAUUAAAAAUUCAGGUUGAGUUUGGAUAUGAUCGGAUUAUAAUUAUAUGCGGGCCAUGUCAAGUUUGGAUUAAAAUUAGAUUUGGGUCAAUUAGGCUGAAUUCGAAUAAUGUUCGGAUUAGGGGUAAAUUUUGAGCUUGUUUACUUUUAUUUAUAUUUUUUCAAAUUACUUUAGUCAUUGAAGAUUGUUUUAAUGUAAUCAUCUCAUUUUAGUUCGUUUUUACCAAUUUUCAGCAAAAAAUGAAAAAAAUUACUGCUAUGAAAUCAAAUGAAUAAAAAUUAAAAUAAACUACUAUUAUCGAAUCGAAUCUCCAUCUCUUUGCCCUCUUCUGCAUUAAGGUAACCUUGAGCCACUGAUAGUGUAAUUAGUUCGUCUUUAUACAUAUUGUGGUCUUUUGAAAAGCCUCACUUGUUCCCUUCAUCAGCAACAAAGGAGUUCAGCAGCUCCAGGAGAGGGGAAGCGAAUCAAGCGAUCAAAGAAAAGGAGAAAUAAUUUGAUGAGUUAUUAAGCGUGCUUUUGUUGCGAAAAUACCGAAAGAAAAGGAGUUGUCACAUUCUUUUUAUACUGCAUGAAAAAUGUUUACUCCUAUCCUCUUGUAUAUAAUAGUUUAAAUCUCCAAAAUUUUUCUUUAUUUGAGUUUUAAAAAAGUUAUGUGAAUUUACUGUAAUUAUUUCUUGGGAGUGGGGGUGGAUUUACAAAAAUUGCAGGGUGAAAAUAUCACUACCCUUUUUGUUUAUUAAUUAUUGUAAAAUGCACAUCUUUCAUAUGAACACAUGUUUUUUUUUUUUAAAUUUACCUCCUACUUAGAAUGACAGUCUUUAAUUUUUUUUUUAGAAACGUGAAACAUCAAUUUAAAUUGUUUACAUUAAGAAGACAAUAUGUAUGUGUGUGUGUGUGUAUUCCUUAUCUUUUGAACAAAUAUAAGGACAAAUUGAUGUUUUUACCCUUUAAGAAGUAAAUUAAAGUUUGUUAUUCUAGUUUGGCAUUAAAAGAAGCUUAGCCCUGUAAUAUAUAUCAUGUAGACCAAGGUGACUUCGUCGUGAAUUCUUGUAAUCAAUUUCUUUUGUUCUUUUAUCUAACUAGAAAAGAAAAUUAAGGGGAGCAUUGUCUAUCGAAUUGAGCUUCUCUCAAGAAAAAUACGUACGGAUGAUUUAUAUAUAACCAUUAAAUAUGUUAAGACAUUUUGUUAUUUUUUUAGUCCUAAAAGUAUGAGAGAAAUUAACAUUUUUUGAAUUUAUUUAUAUACCAUAAAUUAAAGAAUGAAAUUAUUUACAAAAUUAUUUCAACUUUCAUGAUUUAAACAAGCAAUCAUCAUUGAUUUCAAUACAAAGAAGUAUUUCGGGUAGAACCGAUUUCUUUACCAAGAUAUGAUGUACAUGUAUUUGGGACUUCUUACUCUAUUAGCUUAAAUAACUACAUAACAAAUAUGACAUAAUCUAAUUGGUCUUGUUAUUGACAUGUACUAAUGCAUUCUAUUUUUGUAUAUUUUAUUGAUAGGUUUCUCUUGAGGUUGAGGAUAAUAUUCACUGUGUGGCAAAAUUUUAUUAAAACUAAGAUUAUUUAUGUUCUAAUACUUUGAACAUCUUAAUAUACACUCAUCUAUAAUAUUUUAACACUAAUUUUUGGAUAAAUUAUAUUUUAACCCCUUAUGAGAUUUACAUAUUUUAAUUUACUCAAAAAUAAAAAAUAAAAACUUCAAUUUACUCUCUAAAAUCUGUUAAAUUUAACUAUCAACCAAUAUUGACUCACUAAAAUACGAUAAUACCCCUGUUAAUUAUAGAAUAACUUAUGUUACUGAUAUAUUUAUGUUGGAAAGAUAUAUCACUUAUAUCCCUACUAUUUCUAAAAUAUAACUAAUUCAAACUUUAUGUGUGUCAUUAAUGAAAAUCAUCCUCUAAUCUAUUUUUUAAAAAAUAAAACAAAACCUCAAUAAUAUAUUUCAUAAAACAAGCAUAUUUCGGAAAGAGCUUGCCUCUUUGGUUGUUUUAAAUAACCAACGUAAUCAGUAGUAGUGCUCUAAUAAUACAUAAACCCAUAGACAUGCCAAGUAUACAUUGAUCCAAGCAAAUGGUUGUUAAUAAUUUUAAUGAUUAGUCUGGUUUUGGGGUUCAUUGAUGAAUUUGGGAAGAAGCUAAAGACUGCUUCGUCUGUAACCAAAGGAAGCACAUAACGACGACGGUUGCAUGGUGGAAGACGUGGAGGAACGUGAGCCGUUGGUCGGAGUUUGACAAAAUGAUCAAAAGGGUGUCUAAGAAUUCGAGUAUUUUGGAGAGGUAGAAGAUGUAAGCGUAGAAGAAGAGGGGGCCAGACGGAGAAAUGGUAGGGGGGAAACAGAGGGUGCAAUCGAGGUGGGGUAAAUGGAGGAUGAUGGAGAGAGUGCAACCAACGGCCAUGAUGACGGACAGGAGGAGGAGGGUAAGGUUAUGGACGGCUGUGAUGGGCUUGAGGAUGUGGGGUCCAAUGAAAGGUGAUGAUGGUGGUGAUGUUGAUGUUGAUGUGUGGUAGAGGAUGAAUGUGAGGGAGAGGUAAGUGAGGAUGGAGAGAAUGAGGAAGUGAGGGGAGGAAGCUAGUGUUUGGUUCUGAGUCCAUGUGAAGUUGAGGAUUUGGGGGUGGUUUAUAGCCAAUAUUGGAGUGUUGCGGUAAUUGAAUAUGAAGCCAUGGCUGGUUUUUUGGGGGAGAAAGAUUUGGAAGAGAUGAUGUUGAGAGGAACGGGGGAGUUUAUAAAGUUUUGGGAUAAUGCGGAGGGUAUUUUGGACAUAUUGUUAUCUUAGCUUAAAUUUUCGGAAAAAGAUAAUCAAUAAUAAGCUCUUUUUUCAUGUCAAUUUAAAACUCCGAGUGUGACUCCAAAAAUUGUUUUCGUUUUUCUAUUUUGGAUUUUAAAUCGUAAAUUUAGUAAAGGAAGUUAAAUCAAGUGAUCACUUUUUUUUUUUAAUGUAAAGCAAUUAUUUUUUUUUAUGAUUUAAGCAAAUAUUGAGCUUCGUACUUUAACGAUAUUAAUAUUUGAUUCAAAAUUUCAUCUACUGAAACUACAAAAAUUAAUAUUUUCUAAUAAAUCAAAACUAAAAUUAAAAGAUGACUCAUUGUCUGCCAACUGUCAUUAAACGAAGCCAUCACCCACGCCAAAAAAAAAAAGUGAUAUAUGCAUUUUAACGUAAUUUCAUACCAACAAAUCAUUCUUUUCUUUCGAACAAUGAUCUCUUUAAUUAUCCAGGGCUUUGUGAUAACGGCAUCUUUGGAUGUGAGUGUCAUUAAACUUUUGGCUCAAUCAGACUUGUGGAUUACAUGCACUCAACGUUGAUAAUAUAGAAAUGGGAGAAAAUUAUGUCAGAAAAAUCAAGUCAGUCAAAUAAGAAUUGUGUAUUUUUGAAAAAGUUGAAAAAAAUGGAUUGACGGUGCAUAAUUUCCUAACUCACUAGAAUUUCCUAAAGUAGGAGUAAAAAAGACUCCAAAGGAACAUGGCAAUUAUUAUUAUCUAGGAAAUAAUUCAUAGCUAAAACAAAAUUAAAUUUCCUAACUCACUAGAAUUUAACUGGAGAAAAAUUGGAAUAUACAACGUUGUAUCACAUAUAGUACUUAGACAUCAAGAAAAGAAUCCAUGUAUCAGUGAACCAUACUUGCCAGGAAACACCAGGCGAAUACCACCACCUGGGGUUUUUAAAUAAAGAUGCCUUAAAAGUAGGGUAUUUAGUUAAAUAUACCCCAUGUUUGAAAAUUAUCUAGAUAUACCUUUUUCUAUGGUACAUUGUCUAAAAUAUCCCUAAAGAAAAAUAUAAAACACACACAACUCACCUCCAACACUCUUUACUUCUCACUCUUUUUAACUCCACACAACAAAAACUCACUCCACACUCAAAAUCACUCACGAACAGCCAAUGCACUGAGAUUUUAAUUUGCAGCUGGGUGCAUUAUUCAUCACAUGAAUAAGGUAUUUGAAACUUUAUUUUUAUUUUGUGUUAUUUAUUUAUUUUGUUGACAUUAUAUUAUUUUUAGGGUUUUGUUUGGUUUGUGAUAAACAAUAAAGCAACUCACAUUUUCAUUAUAUUUGCAUCAUAUGACUGUUAUUUGAUGGAUUUUAUAACUACAUUCGUUAAAACCUGAAGUUGCUGCCAAAAUUUUGUUCUGCACCCCGACAUACACGACAGCAGUCGUGUAUGUAUGGAUUUACACGACAACAGUCGUGUAUGUAUGGAUUUACACGACAACAGUCGUGUAUGUAUGGAUUUACACGACUGUAGUCGUGAAAAUGUGCAAAAGAUUCAAAUUAUUAUGACACCCUAUCAUUUUAUUGGUGCAAAAAAUAUAUUAUUUUCAUUAGAUAUAUCAUUUUACUAUUACUAGACUAUAGUAGUGUGUUUUAAUAAGUUACACGACUACUAUCGUGUACGUAUGAACUUACAUAUUAUAAUUGUACAUAUAUGUAAAAUGUUCCAACUAUUAUGAGAUCCCAACAUUUUAUCAGUGCAAGAAAAAUAUUUUUUAAAGAAGAAAUAUGUCAUUUGACUAUUUAUAGUCAUGUAUUUCUAUAACUUACACAACUGUCAUCAUGUAUGUAUGACUUUUGUCAUGUAUGUAUGUAUGAAUUUACACGAUAGCAGUUGUGCAAGAUUGAAAGAUAUAGUAGUUGUUAUGACACAUAGCAUUCUGUUAGUAUAAAGAUUACAUUUUUUUACUAAACAUAUUCUAUAACUGUUUACUAGACUAUAGUUGUGUAUUUUAGCAAGUUACACAACUAUUAUCGUGUAAACUAGCUAUUUACACGACAGCUGUCGUGUAAAUAGACAGAUAGUUCCACACUUCAUAAUAUACCUUGUUUGAUUUUUUUUUUGUAUAAUCAUCUGUUGUAUUAUUACAUGAAGUGACUUCAGUAUGUGUGCCUAUUAUUCUUUAGAAUCAUAAGAAAUUAUGAUAGCAUCACAAGGUGAAGAAAAGUUACGCCGUAAGUACUGUAGGUGUGGUUCUCAAUGAUAUAAUCGACUAACUUGCAAUGCACCAAUCUCAUUGUCUAACAAUGAGCCCGUAGUUAGACCGAAUGAAACAAAAACAAGCACACAUACUACUAUGAACCUUACAUACUUGUCAUUUUUGUUGUUUUAAUUUCUUUAAUAUCUAAAAUAGUUAGUUGAUAAAUUUCUACCUUUUUUGUCUUGCAGCUGGAUAAACAUGUUGUGUGGCUUAUGUUGUUUUCAAAAGGAGGCGAACGGGGCCUUAUAAUACAUGGGUCGAGUGUUUGGGUUGAGCAUGCAAAUAAUUAUGAUGAUUGUGCAGCAACUUCGAUUAUAUUACGACUUAUUUAUGAUUUGAACAUGUAUUGGAUCUAUGUUGUUUGAUGCACAAUUACUUUUGUUAUUUGUUAAAUUGAAGUAUAAUAUGUUAAAGUCUAUAUUGAUUUUGUUGUCAUUAUAAUGAAUGUUUUAGGUAAUUUUAUGUUCUAUGUCCACUUACCCAACUACAGUCGUGUAUUUUGGCUCUUACUCGACUAUUGUCGUGUAUAUCUGAUUGUACUCAACUAUAAAUGUGAAUCUAUUAAAUACUCGACUAUUGUCGUUUAUUUAUGAAAAUACCCGACUAAAGUUAUGUACCAAUGCAAAUACCAGCUGGUCAUGUAUGUUUGCAAAUGCUCGACUGCAGUCGAGUAUCUGUGAAAAUACUCGACUGCAGUUGUGUACCAAUCCAAAUACCACCAGGUUAUAUAUGUUUGGAAAUAUUCGACUGCAGUCGAGUAUCUGUGAAAAUACCCGACUGCAGUCGUGUACCAAUGUAAAUACCAGCUGGUUAUGUAUGUUUGUAAAUACUCAACUACAUUUGAGUAUCUGUGAAAAUACCCGACUGCAGUCGUGUACUAAUGCAAAUACCAGCUGGUCAUAUAUGUUUGAAAAUACUCGACUGCAGUCGAGUAUCUGUGACAGCUGGUCAUAUAUGUUUGAAAAUACUCGACUGCAGUCGAGUAUCUGUGAAAAUACCCAACUGCAGUCGUGUACCAAUGCAAAUACCAGCUGGUCAUGUAUGUUUGUAAAUACUCGACUGCAGUCGAGUAUCUGUGACAGCUGGUCAUAUAUGUUUGAAAAUACUCGACUGCAGUCGAGUAUCUGUGAAAAUACCCAACUGCAGUCGUGUACCAAUGCAAAUACCAGCUGGUCAUGUAUGUUUGUAAAUACUCGACUGCAGUCGAGUAUCUGUGAAAAUACCUGACUGUAGUCGUGAACCAAUGCAAAUACCAGCUGGUCAUGUAUGUUUGCAAAUACUCGACUGCGGUCGAGUAUCUGUGAAAAUACCUGACUACAGUCAUGUAUUUGGGUUGAGCAUUUCUUGAGCAUAUAUGACCAUUCUAUUACAUCACAUAUAUUAUAUAAAACUAUCUUCUCUGUCAUUAAUAUACUUAAUAAAAAAAACAUAUGUAUGAUGUCAAAUUAACUUUAAUGAUAUCAAAUAUCAACAACAUCCCAUUGUAAUCAUUACAUCUCAUGAUAAGUAAUCCAAAAAAUGACACAUCAAUGAAGUUUUUAAGAGUGGGAGACUACGUAGUUUUUUUUUUCCAAGACCUACUCCAAAAUAAUUUGACAGCCAAUGCUUUUUGAAAUUGUGCAACAUCAUCUUGUUGGCAAUAUAAAUUGACAUCAAGUCAGUGGGCCAGGACCUCCAAGAACUGCAACAAAAAUGCUCCACAAUCACCACUAAAAAAAUUCAUAUAAAUCAAUCGUUAAAUAUGACCAUUGUUGUUGUUAAGUCAAAAAAAUAUAAUUUCAGUUUGUAGUAAAAAUAAUACUUCAAACUUAUUAUCACUGUCGUAAUAUAUUAUCAAUCUAUUAAAUGAUCACACAACAUAAAAGCAACAGAUAUGAGAACGUUUUACAACUUAAAAAUGUUCUAUAUAUAAGACAACAUGACUUUCUUACAACUAGUAUCUACAGGAUCAGCAUAACUAUAUUAUUUCAAGAACAAACCCAUCAAAUUAAAAUAUAUUGCCAAUAACUAUGAACUCAAAUAAUUUUUAAAUGAGUUAUAAACAAAAAUAAGAAAUAAACCAUCACUGCCACAUGACAUAAAAAUCAAACUUUAUGUAUCAAGUAUGUUAACAAUUCCAAAUAAAGUAUAAAUAUUCAAAGAAAAUGUUGAAUUUUUCCAUAACACUCAAACAAUUAAUUUUCAUUAGUUCAAUCUGAUUAAUAAGCUAUUAAGUAUGUGUAUAAUUGUCAAAAACUAAAAACAAGUCUAGGAGGAGUGUAUUAAAGGGCAAUUCUCCAAUAGUUAACUAGUUGGAAAUAUAUACAACAACAUUUGCUGCACAAUAAUAUCAAAUCCUAAAUGCUAUGUGACUUCUUCAAUCAAUAGCCUCACAAUGAGACAAAUUAAUAAAAUGAUCGAACAUUGUUUCAAAAUUCACAAGUCGUUCAAAACACAUUUAUUAAUAGUGUACUAUCAAUAGUUUUAUGCUGAAACAAAUAACAAAUUGUUAAUAAAUUAGAAUUGCAAAAUAAAGGUUCUAUAGCAAAUAAUAGAGAAAACCCAGAUUGUAGCAUAAUGAAUGCAUACGCCGCUGAAGAAAAUUGAUAUAUAAUUCCCAUGGAUGAAGUUCAACUACAAACAACAAGUAAAAUUAUAUAAAGAUCUAAUGCAUAAACUAGUGUAGCCAUAACCGAGUAUUCAUAAGGAUAAUAUUUGUUUCAUCCAAUUCUCUAUGAAUAUUUAAUUAGGAACUCCCACAACCAUUAUUAAAGAGCCAUGAAAUCACUCUCUUCAAUUUCAAAUCCACAAGUUCAUUAAGAACAGUGGUACUCCAAUAACAUCAAAAUGGUUGGUGACCACUCUAUCAAAUCCACACAAUAGCUGAUAUCUCAUGUUUGCAUAUAGUCCAAUGAAAGCACCAUAGCCAGGCUCUUUAGUACUUACAGAUGGGAUUGUCACAGCUAACCUGUCAGACAUCAAAUAUGGCCUAAAUUUACAGAUGGGGUUGUCGCGUUAGUGCUUAGACAGUAAACAUUUGCUCUAGUAGCCUGAUUACACAAGAAAUCGAGACAAGUGUUCAAAAUUUUAAUCUUUAUAUAUAGCCAAAAUGAUAAUGUAUUUGAUAAUACUGACCUGAGUUAAUAAAUACGGGGCUGGUGACAAUCACAGCAUCUCAUCAUGUGGGCAAAGCCUUCGCAACAGAAGACGCUGCUUGCUUUGAAGCAAUAAUAACUUUCCAAUUCCAUAAGGUAGCUUAAUGCCCUUUUAGGAUAUCAGCACCAGCCUAACAAUUAUUCAUGGAAAUUCGAUUUGCAUUUAUCACCUUUAAUUUGCUCAUAUUUGCCUAGAGUAUUGUUUUUGCGUUAACUUAACAAGCUUGCAAGCCACCUACAAAUGGUUUUAAAUAAUGUGUGAGAGUGUGAAAUCGAACAAAUUAAUCAAAUAUGAUGACAGAAGAAACAAAAGCAAAACAACCACAAGACGUAGAAAUUCACUUUUGUUAUAUUUAGAGCAUCUUCUACCGUCUUCUUUUCCUUUAGCUCUGUUUCUGUGUGUGUUCAAACGCAAUGCCUCAAGGCUCAAGAUAACUUUUUGACCAUCAAUCUUUUGCAGCCAUGUGCAGACUUGAAACACUGUAGUGUCCCUAAGUAACUUGAAAAUUAGAAAGUUUCAGUAUGAGUGACUAAAUAUGAUAAUCGAAACUAAUUUAAUAUACACACCUUGUAAAUCUGAAACUAAAUUACUCAAAUGUAUAUGCCUCAUCGCAGCAAUUGCUUGUGGUGGAAAGUUUACUGCAAAGACUUCCUCAAACCCUUGAAGAUCACACUCUUCCUGGCAACAAAGAAACAGAGUUAAUGUACGAAGAUGAUUUUACUAACAAGUGAGAGCUUGCAAAUAUUGGAAGGAUAACGAUUACUCAUAACCCAAAUCCCCAAUACACUCUAUUAUCUCACUCAAGUGAGUUCAAGCUCCCAAAAUUCACUACAGUGAAACUCUCACAACAAAAUUCUAUUCAAAGAUUCUCUACUCAAAUUUGAUUAAGCUGCUUAGAAUCCUUAACCUGAUAACUUACACAAACAAAAACAACUUGCCUAAAGUUUAAUAUUUAGAGGCAGAACAGUAAAGAAGAAGAUAUAUAUUGAUACUAAAAUUUGACCUGUAUUGCCCUGAUGUCAAGAAUCACGGCAUCUUAUGUGGGCAAAAUCUUCACAAUACGAGAUGCUUGCAAAAUUGAAGCAGCAUCUUAUCACCUGUAAUUUAAUUAAGACAAUAACUUUCCCCAACUAUUUCAAUGCAUUAUUGGCAACUAAAUUCAGAGAGCGCUAAUUAAAUAUCCUUUUAAUAAUAUCUUCUUAUUCUUCUCCAAUCUAACAGUUAUUUGGAAAUCUGAAAAGAGGUUCAACAUUUUACAACCAAUCAAAAAUCACUGAACCAUUGGAAAGUGAUUUACGUAUAAUUUUUUUUUCCAAACUCUGCCCAAAAUGAUGAAUGAGAUAGGAUGACACAAGAAACAAAUGUAAAUUGACCGCAAGUAGAAAUAUACUUCUAUUAUAUUUGCAACAUCUUCUAGUGUCAAUUGCUUUUCCUUGAGCUCUGUUUCUGCAUGUGCUCUGUUAAGGAAGUCCAAUAUGCUGAGCUCACAGAGAGUAGGAGUAAGAAGGAGAAGAAGCUUCAGUCUCAGUCAGUCAAACAUUUCAGCAAUGCCAGCUCAUCAGAGUUAGUUAAGCAAGUUGCCAGAUCAGCACAAGAUGGUUAAGCUUGUUAUCAGUCAUUUCGUAUGUGUGUGUAACUGAAUGUAAUUAGCUUAAGCUGUAAUCUUGUGCGUGUAUAUAAGUUUAGUUGAUUCAAUUGCAAAGGUUAAGAAAAAUCAAUAAGAAAUAAAGUGAUCUUCUCUCUGAAAAUAAUUUUCCUAAAAAACAAACAACUCAUUUUCUCUUUCAUGGUAUCAGAGCCAUCCAUGGCUAGUUCCAGUACAAUAAAUCAAAAUUGUUCAAAUUUCAAUCAAAUGCAUUCCACACAAACUUCAUUUACCUUUGCCACAACAGUAAAACUCGAUCGAUCAAACUUCCUUCUCUGGCGCAAACAAGUGAUUACUUCAAUCAGAGGGAAUCGACUUGAAGGAUUAAUCUCAGAAAAACAAAAUGUUCCAGAGCAAUAUGUUUCUCAGUCCCAAGCUGAUGGAUCUGUGGAAAGGAUUGAAAAUCCAGCUUAUGUCAACUGGAGAGCUCAAGAUCAGACUCUACUUAGCUGGCUUCUAUCAACAAUCAGUGAAGGUAUCUUAAGCUUAGUUCUUAACCAUGAAACUUCUUUUGAUGUAUGGAGAUCUAUUGAAAAGCAAUUUGGAGUACAAUCUAAAGCAAAAAUAAUGCAACUUCGAUAUGAAUUAGAUACUCUGAGAAAAGAGUCAAUGUCCAUUGAAGAAUAUUGUUCGAAAAUGAAAAUGCUAGCUAAUAAACUUGCAUGUGCUGGAGAUAACAUAACUGAAAAGGAUUUGCUGAUAAGGACACUAAAUGGACUUGGAUCUGGCUAUCUAGAUCUGGCUUCAAUAAUCACAGCCAAUAAGAUGAGUUAUGAUGAUGCGUAUGCACUUUUACUGACACAUGAAGCUAGGCUGGAACAAAAUCAGAAUCCUCAGGCUAUGUUUAAUGCAAAUUAUAGUAUGAUGAAUACAAAUUAUUCACAUAUGAGAGGUGCUCCUAGGAGAAAUGCUUAUGGUAAUAGUAGUGCCAUUUAUGGACAAUCUGGAGGCAGAGGUCAGAUUUUUGGUCGAGGCAUGUUUUCUGCUUCUUAUCCUAGAGGAUUUCCAGCUGGUGGUAAUACUGCUAGUGGUUUUGGUAGAGGAAAUGUUGCAGGUUUUGGAAGAAAUCAGUUCAUGCAGUCUCAUAGGCACCACAAAUGAGGCAUAUGUUCACUCCUGCUAAUACUUCAAAUGUUUCUGAAUCAAGUGAGCCAUUACCUAUAUGUCAAAUAUGUCAUAAGCAAGGACAUACUGCUGAUGCAUGUUGGUAUAGGUAUGGUGAUGCUUAUUUUUCCUCACCUAAACAAUUUGGAAGAGGAAAAAUGAUGGGAUCUAAGACUGCAUAUAUGGCUAAUUUUGAGCCAUUUCCUUAUCAACCAUCUUCAUUUGAAGAUCCUUAUGAAAUCUCAGACUCUAGCUGUCAGUUCAUGAACUAUUCUCCUGUUUCCUCUUAUCCAUCAGAGGCUUUUACUCUGCCUGAAGCCUAUGUUGCAAAUGUUGAAGGCUCAACUGAUGAAGGGUGGUAUCUUGACAGUGGAGCUACACACCAUAUUACCAACAACAUGGCAAAUAUGCAUGUGAGAGAAGAAUUCAAAGGCUCAGACCAAUUGACCAUCGGCAAUGGACAAGGUUUGAUCAUUACUCAUAUUGGUGAUGCAUGCUUUAACCAUAAAAGUUUCAAAUCUGCCUACAAACACACACCUGUAGCACUCAAGGAUAUUUUGUUAGUUCCCUCAAUUACUAAGAAUUUGAUAAGCAUAUCCAAAUUGACCACUGAUAAUAAUCUUUCCAUUGAAUUUGUUGGCAAUAAUAAUCUUUCCAUUGAAUUUGUUGGCAAUGUGUGUUAUGUAAAGGAUUUACUGAAGGGACAAGUACUUCUGCAAGGUCUUGCUGAGAAAGGAUUGUAUAGGCUGCUGUUAAAAUCAUCAGAGUCAUCACAGUCUCCCUCUUCCUUCGUGUGUCAAGUUUCUUCAAAUCAGCCUCUGUCUAUGUUAUCAACAUGUCAUGUUUCUUUUCCUAUUUCAAAUAAUGUUCAGAAUAAACACUCAAGCUCUAAAGCUUGUUUUCAAACUGAUGUUUCCUCUUGUAAUUCAUUUGUCAAUAAAGUUGAUCUUCUUCAUAGAAGAUUUGGUCAUCCUCAUCAUAAUGUCUUCAUGCAUUUGCUUAAGAAUGAUCAAACUAUUAAUCUCUCAUCUUCUCUUAUUAACCAAGCUGCACAACAAAUAUGUGAUGCAUGUCAAAUGGGAAAAAGUCACAGGUUGCACUUCCCUGUCUCAGAAACCAAAACUUCUCAGGUGCUUGAACUAAUUCACACUGACUUAUGGGGCCCUUCACCUAUCCUUUCUAAAGCUGGUUAUGUCUAUUAUAUCAGCUUUGUUGAUGACUUCAGUAGAUACACCUGGAUUUAUCCAUUAAAAUUGAAAUCAGAAGCCCUACAAGUCUUCAAAUUGUUCAGAUUGCAAGCUGAAAAACAAUUUCAAAGUCCCAUUAAAAUGCUGCAAUCUGACUGGGGGGAGAGUAUAGAGCAUUUACUGAUUUUCUGAACCAAAAUGGAAUCAUGUUCAGACACUUGUGUCCCUAUACACAUCACCAAAAUGGGGUAGUUGAGAGGAAACAUAGGCAUGUUGUUGAGUUAGGACUCACACUUCUAGCUCAAGCUAAAUUACCUUUAAGUUUUUGGUGGGAAGCUUUUCAAACAGCAGUUUACCAUAUUAACAAGUUGCCUUCUACAACUCUGAAAUUCUUUACUCCAUAUGAAAAAUUGUUCAAACAUAAACCAGACUACAAAAUGCUUAAAUGUUUUGGCUGUGCAUGCUAUCCAUAUUUGAGAGAUUAUAACAAGCAUAAGUUUGGCUACCAUUCUAGCAAAUGUAUUUUCAUUGGGUACAACCCUUCUCAUAAAGGGUACAAGUGUUUGCAUCCAUCUGGUCAGGUUUAUAUAGCAAGACAUGUUGUCUUUGAUGAGUCUUCUUUUCCUUAUUCCUCAGAUUCUGCUUUUGCUUCUAAUAAAUCAAACUCAUGUCAAAACUUGUCUUUCACUCCUCAGCAAGUGUAUCAUCUAUCCACUUUGCCAUUAUUCUUAACUUCAGAUGAUAACAGCACUCAUAAUCCUAACUCUGCAAGCUCUACCAGUAGCAGUUCUCAUCAUUCAGUUUCUCCUAAUCAUAACAACAAUUCUCAUCUAUUGUCCCAAACAAACACAUUACCAAUCACUAAUACAGAGCCUAAUACAGAACUUCAUACUUCUUUACCAGUUCAGCCAAUCACCACCAACAGACCUCCCAUUUUUCAAACAUUACCUGAAACAAAUCAAAACACAUUAGCUCCAGAAAACACACAACAAUCCAAAACUCCUUUAAACACACGUCCUAUGACCACUAGAGGUAAGAUUGGCAUUUUCAAGCCUAAGCUCUACAAUGUAGCUCUUGUUCAUAAAGAGCCAGAAUCUGUAGAAGAAGCUAUGCAGAAUCCUAAAUGGUUUGAAGCUAUGAAUGAAGAAUAUAGUGCUCUGCUCAAGAACAAUACAUGGUAUUUAGUUCCAAGAUCUGAUGGUCAGAAGAUUGUUGGAAACAAGUGGGUAUAUCGAGUUAAGCAUAACUUAGAUGGAAGUCUGGCCAAGUACAAGGCCAGAUUAGUUACUAAGGGUUUUCAACAAAUUGCAGGGGUAAAUUACUUUGAAACUUUCAGUCCAGUGGUAAAAUUAGCUACUGUUAUAGUAGUGAUUAGUUUGGCUGUUAUGAAUCAGUGGCAAAAUCAGGCAGGUAGAUGUUAAUAAUGCCUUUCUUAAUGGGGAGUUAACAAAGAAGUUUUUAUGGAUCAGCCAGCAGGUUUGUUGACAGUCAAAAACCAAACUUUGUGUGUAAACUCCAUAAGUGGCCUCAAGCAAGCUCCACGAGCUUGGUAUGAAAAGUUAAGAAGUUGUUUGUUACAGUGGGACUUUGAAAACUCAAGAGCUGACACUUCUCUGUUCAUCAAGAAAACCAGCUCAUAUAUGAUAUUGGUACUGAUUUAUGUUGAUGACAUCUUAAUCACAGGACCAGAUAGUGCAGAACUAGAAUCUUUCAUUGCCAAAUUUAAUGCAGUUUUUGCACUAAAGGAUUUGGGUACUCUCUCUUAUUUUCUGGGCAUAGAAGUCUUAUAUGGUGCAGAUUGCAUUUAUAUGUCUCAAAGGAAAUACAUAAGAGAUCUAUUGACUAAGGUUCAGUUGCUUGAGUGUAAAGAGAUUGACACACCUUUGAGUACUGGAAUUAAGCUGCAAAAGGAAGCUCAAGGAUAUCUAGGCCAAUAUAUUGCUGAUGCUACACAUUACAGGAGCAUUGUAGGAGGGAUGCAAUAUUUGGUUUUAACAAGGCCAGAAAUUGCCUUUGCUGUAAACAAGUUAAGUCAGUAUGUUUCAAGUCCUACAAUGCAACAUCUUAUAGCCUGUAAGAGAGUGCUUAGAUACUUAAAGUCUACUCAAGAUUAUGGACUUAAGUUUGUUCAAAAUGGAGAAAUGAAGAUUACUGGAUUCACUGAUGCAGACUGAGCUUGUGAUUUAGAUGAUCGAAAAUCUGUUGGAGCCUAUUGCAUCUACUUAGGUAAUAAUUUGAUUUCAUGGUCAUCCAAGAAGCAAUCAGUCAUUGCUAGGUCUAGUGCUGAGAGUGAGUACAGGGCCUUAGCUUCAGCUAGUGCAGAGAUCAGCUGGUUACAAUAUUUAUUUUCUGAAAUUGGUUUGUGUUGUUCAGAGAUACCUACUGUCUGGUGUGACAAUACCAGUGCCACUGAGCUUAGCUCAUAAUCCUGUUUUCCAUUCUAGAACUAAACACAUCGAGCUUGACUUACACUUCAUCGGAAACAAAGUGAUUGCAGGGGAGUUAAAAAUUCAGUACAUUCCCAGUGAAGAACAGAUUGCUGAUAUCAUGACAAAACCUCUUUCGUUUGUUCAUUUUAACUAUCUGAGAUCAAAACUCAAUGUGCAGCCUUACCCCUUGAGUUUGAGGGGGGCUGUUAAGGAAGUCCAAUAUGCUGAGCUCACAGAGAGUAGGAGUAAGAAGGAGAAGAAGCUUCAGUCUCAGUCAGUCAAACAUUUCAGCAAUGCCAGCUCAUCAGAGUUAGUUAAGCAAGUUGCCAGAUCAGCACAAGAUGGUUAAGCUUAUUAUCAGUCAUUUCGUAUGUGUGUGUAACUGAAUGUAAUUAGCUUAAGCUGUAAUCUUGUGCGUGUAUAUAAGUUUAGUUGAUUCAAUUGUAAAGGUUAAGAAAAAUCAAUAAGAAAUAAAGUGAUAUUCUCUCUGAAAAUAAUUUUCCUCAGAAACAAACAACUUCAUUUUCUCUUUCAAAAUGCAACACACAUACCACAAGAUAUAAUUAUCAACAGGAUCUCCCUAAGUUACAUGCAUGUAACUUAGCAUUAGCCUUAUCAACAUGAAUCUUUUGCCGCCACAUGCAGCCCAAAACUGUUUAUGGCCAUAAAGAACGGGAUAAUCAGAAAUCAUUAACAACGAGAGAAAUCAUUUUAAUCGCAGCCAAACAUACACACUAAGAAAAUCUAAAAUUUAAUUUCUCCCAAUGAAUGUGCCUCUUCACAGCAAUUGCACUAGCUAAUCCCAGCAGCCUGCGUCAUGGAGCUUCUCCCAAUGAGUGAGUGAGCCUUCAACAAUUAUCACUUAGCUCAAACUAAAAUGAAAUUAUUGUGGACAUCUGAAUUAAAAAUACAUGUAAAAGCAGUUUUCUCAAAGCAAGGUCAAGAUAAGAGAUUAACUCUGCUCCUUAUUUACAUUAAAAAUAACAAACAAUGAAAAACAAAGCUAGAGAAGAACUUACCUGUGCAUUGAGACCAUGUGGGGAAUGUGAGAUGUCUUCUUAUAUUUGUUUUGAGAAACUCCAUCUUCUUCUGAAAGUUCUGACAGUUCUGACAGUUCCCUAAACCCAGGCCAAUACAAUUGCAACAGAAACUGCAUGCAUUAAGCAGCAUCUGAUCAUCUCCUGUUAUUUCAAGAUAAUAAUAACUUAAUUGCAACACUGCAUGCUUCAACCAUUAACCUUUUCAACUUCAACACUUCUUUUGUCCCCCUCCCGAUGCCCUUUUCACAAUUCUAUGAAUCAGAUAAAUCAGCCUUCUUCGCAAAACUAUGAAAAACUUUUCACCGUGUUCCACACAUUCCGGGAUUAGUAUUGAUAACAAACAUUUGAUGAAGACCCUGCCAAUUAAAAUUUCGGUCCCCAUGUAGCAGAAUUUCUUAUUUUUCCUUUGUACACAAAUGCAGACACUUACGCAAAUUAGGAUUUCUUUUGACCCUGCAAGUUACAAUUUCAGUCCCCAUGUAAUAGAAACAUUUUGUACACAUAUUUAUAGCAAACUAAUAUUUCAUACCUCACAAUAUUUAUCAUAACCAUCAAUCUUUAGAAACCACAUGCAGACUUUUUAACUGUUUAUGGCCCAAAAUAACAGGAAAAUUAGAACAGAUUUUUAAGAAUGAGCCACUACAUAUUUCAAUGGCAACUAAAAUUACACAUCUUGGAAAUCUAAAACUCAAGUACUCAGAAUGAAUGUGCCUCUUCACAGCAAUUAAACAAGCUGGGAACUUUAGUGCAAAUGCUUUUUCAUAAUCUUCAAUUGCAUAAGUCAGUAAGAAUCAAUCUUUCUUAAUCUUUCAAUUCACACAUGAGAGCCUGGUAACACAAGGAAACACUGUAAGUGAAUUGUCAACUCUGACAUAUUUUGGGUAAAAACUAUCAACUGUAGUUAUCCGCAUAACAUAUAGUGUCAACACCAAAUUCCUUCCUGAUUCGUGGAAGCAUUUCAGCCCACAGACGGUUUGGUUUGUCAAUAUAUAUCAAGCUUUGUAGCUUUUAAGAAACUGACAGGUGAAAGACCUGGAAUUUUCGAUAGCAACUCAGGAUUCUAUAUUUAAACUAUGAUGUUUGAUAACUUGCUGAUACAAAAGACAUUGCCCCAAGCACUUUUUUACAGGAGCUAAACUCAAGCAAGUCACUUCCAUUUGUUGCAGUUUUAACGCAGAAAGAAAAGGGAGAAAAAAAUCUGCAAGAUACCGCAUGUUCGCAGAAGCAGAGUUGAAUAAUUACAAAAUUACAUUCUUGAUUGCACAGAAAUGAUUACAAAAUUACUUUCCAAUUUCAUAAGGUAGCUUAAUGCCCUUUUAAGAAUAUCUACACCAGCCUGACAAUUAUUCAUGGAAAUUCAAAUUCAAAAUCAUGUUCCUAUGAGAGAUGAAAUGUAAUGAGCGACUUGGCCACUAUAUAUGCAUUUAUCAUCUUCAAUUUGCUCAUCUUUGUCUAGAGUAUUGCUUCUGCGUUAACUUAAUUAGCGUGCAAGCCACCUGAAAAUGGUUUUAAAUUAUGAGAAAGAGUCUGAAUUCGAAAGAAUCAAUCAAAUAUGAUGACAGAAAACACAAAAGUAAAAUAACCAAAAGAAGUAGAAAUAUACUUUUGUUAGAUUUAGAGCAUAAUUCUUCUGUCAAGUUCUUUUCCAUUAGCCUUGUUUCUGUGUGUGCUCAAACGCAAUUCCUCAACGCUCAAGAUAGUUCCUGCGGACCUGAAAAACUAGUUGUGGCCAUAAGGAACUUGAAAAUUAGAAAAGAUUCAGAAUGAGUGACUAAAUAUUUUAAUCAAAACUAAUUAAACCUACACUCCCUGAAAAUCUGAAACUGAAUUACUCAAAUGAAUAUGCCUCUUCACAGCAAUUGGUUGAAACUUUACUGCAAAGACUUUUUGAAACCCUUGAAGAUGAUACUCUACCUGAUAACACAAGGAAACACAAUCAAUAUAAGAAGAUGAUUUUACAAACAAAUGAAAGCUUGCAGUUAUUGGGAGAGCUCUACUCAAAUUUAAUGAGAUAUCUCUCAGGAGGGAGAGCUCUAAUAAUAUAUAAAGCCAAAAAUCUGAAAAUGUCUAACACUCAUCAAAUUGGCUUGUGAAGAAUUAAUCUUCCUUGCCAUCAUACAUGCCAGGUGUGGUGAACAAUCUUCAUUCUGACAUUUGCCUUAAUAAGCUGCUUAGUAUCCUUAACCUGAUAACAUACACAAACAAGAACAACUUUACUAAAGUUUAUUCUUUAAAGGCAAAACAGUAAAGAAGAUGAUAUAUGCUGAUACAAAAAAUUGACCUGAGUUAUCCUGAUGUCAAGAAUCACAGAACCUCAUGUGGGCAAAAUCAUCGCAAUACAAGAUGCUGAAUUCAAGCAACAUCUUAUCACCUGUAAUUUAAUUAAGACAAUAACUUUCCUCAACUAUUAUCCUUCUCAAUUUCAAUGUAUUAUUGGCAACUAAAUUCAUAGGGGACGUAGCUAAUUAAAUGCCCUUUUAACAAUAUCUUCCCCACCUAACAAUUAUUUGGAAAAUCUAAAUGACAAUCAUGCAUUGAUGGCAUAAAAAAUUGGCCACAAAGCUGCCUACAAAAAGGCUUUAAAUUCUUAAUGAGACAACGUAUUCGAACAAAUAUGGUGAAUGAAGAGACAAAGGCAUAACACCUCAAGAAGUAAAGCUCUGUUUCUGUAUGUGCUCAAACCAAUGGAAACCCAUGGAAAUGAAUUUCUACUAAUUAGACAUGUCAGCCAAAACAGGUACUCUGUACAAGCAAAGUAAAAGAGAGUUACAAAAAAAUUUUAAGAUAAUUAAACUUUCAGUCACCAUAUAAUUAAUAGAAAACUUUGUACACAAUGAUUUAUUGGAGAUUAAGAUUGUAUACCUAAGUUUUAAUUGCAAACUAAAUAUACACAACAUGAUAUUAGCAUUAGAAGACCGCACCAAAACGUACCGAAUUAAAUGUACAUCUUCACGGCCAUUGUACCAGCCUAAUCCUUGAUUACACCAAUGUUCUCCAUAGGGUCUUCAAAGUCAACCUAAAAAUAAAAUGAAAAUGCAAUGCAUUAUUAUUAGGGAUCUAGUGCUUGAGCUUGCUUUGACAUCAUGGUAUUAGCAAAUUCUGAUAUAGCCAAAAUGGUGAAUAAGAUGACGUACUUGAUAAGAAAAACCUGAUUUAACAAAUAAUUAAGGAGCAGGUAACAAUCACAGAAUCUCAUCAUGUGGGGAACGCCUUGGCAACAGAAGAUGGUGCUUUCAUUCAAGCAAUAGCAACUUUCCAAUUUCAUAAGGUAGUUUAAUGGCCCUUUUAAGAACAUCUGCACCAGCCUAAUAAUUAUUCAUGGAAAUUAAUAAUCAGAAUCAUGUUAGAUUGAGAGAUGAAACAUAAUAAGCGAUUUGGCCACCAUAUAUGCAUUUAUCACCUUCAAUUUGCUCAUCUUUGUCUAGAGUAUUGCUUCUGCAUUAACUUAAUUAGCUUGCAAGCCACCUGAACAUGGUUUUAAAUGAAGUGUAAGAGCUCGAAUUCGAACGAAUUAAUCAAAUAUGCUGACAGGAGAAACAAAAGUAAAAUAACCACAAGAAGUAGAAAUAUACUUUUGUUAUAUUCAGAGCAUCUUCUAGUGUCAAGUAAAAUAAACGCAAUGGCUCAAGGGUCAAGAUAAUUUUAUGACCAUCAAUCUUUUUGCAGCCACAUGCAGACUUGAAAAACUGGUCGUGGCACUAGGGAACUUGAAAAUUAGAAAAGAUUCAGAAUGAUUGACUAAAUAUUAUAAUCGAAACUAAUUAAACAUACAUGCCUAGAAAAUCUGAAACUGAAUUUCUCAAAUGUAUAUGCCUCUUCGCAGCAAUUGCUUGUGGUGGAAACUUUACUGCAAAGACUUUCUCAAACCCUUGAAGAUCACACUCUACCUGAUAACAAAGAAAGAGUCAAUAUACGAAGAUGAUUUUACUAACAAGUGAGAGCUUACACAUACUGGAAGGAUAAUGAUUACUCAUAACCCAAAUCCCCAAUACUCCCUAAUAUCUCACUCAAGAGAGUUCGAGCUCCCAGAAUUCACUACUGUGAAACUCUCACAACAAAAUUCUCUUCAAAGAUUCUCUACUCAAAUUUGAUGAUGAUGUCCCUCGAAAGGAGGCAAAAAAUCUAACACUGAUCAAAUUGGCUUGUGAACAAUUAAUCUUCCUGGCCAUCAUGCAUACCAGGUGUGGUGAGCAAUCUUCAUUCUGACAUUUGCCUUAAUAAGCGGCUUAGUAUCCUUAACCUGAUAACUUACACAAACAAAAACAACUUGAUUAAAGUUUAAUAUUUAGAGGCAGAACAGUAAAGAAGAUGAUAUAUAUUGAUACUAAAAUUUGACCUGUGUUAUCCUGACGUCAAGAAUCACAGCAUCUCAUGUGGGCAGAAUCUUCGCAGUACAAGAUGCUUGCAAAAUUGAAGCCGCAUCUUAUCACCUGUAAUUUAAUUAAGACAAUAACUUUCCCCAACCAUUUCAAUGCAUUAUUGCCAACUAAAUUCAGAGGGUGCUAAUUAAAUAGCCUUUGAACAAUAUAUUCUUAUUCUUCUCCAAUCUAACAAUUAUUUGGAAAAUCUAAAUGACAAUCAUGCAUCGAUGGCAUCAAAAUUUGGCUACAAAGCAGCCUGGAAAAGGCUUUACUCUCUGAAUGAGAGCAUGAAUUCGAAACAAAUAUCAUGAAUGAAGAAACAAAGGCAUAAUACCACAAAAAGUAAAACUUUUUCCCAGGGCUCUCUGUUUCUGUUUGAACUAAAACCAAUGGAAACCGAUCGAAAUGAAUUUCUAGGAAUUUGACAUAUUAGCCAAAACAGGUGCUCUGUACAAGCAAAGUAAAACAGGGUUACAAAAAAUUUUAAGAUUGAUAUGAUAAUUAAAAUUUCAGUCACCAUAUAAUUAAUAGAAAACUUUGGACACAAUGAUUUAUUGCAUAUUAAGAUUGCUAUAUAAAAUAUAAUAUUAGCAUUAGGAGACCGCACCAAAGCAUACCGAAUUGAAUGUGCCUUUUCACAGCCAUUUUACAAGCUUUGAAGCUUUACCACAAAUGCUUUUUCCAACCCGUGAACAUGAUGCACCCGAGAGAUGCAAGCUAUGAAAUUGUUACUACAGCAAGCCAUUUUACAAGGAAGUUUAUGAAAAUAUGCCUUUGGAAACCCGUCUUCAGGAAUGAAUUCAUCCGCAAUAACAAUUUUCAAGACGUAUCAACUGCUUCAAGCUCAUCCAAUAGAGCAGAUCCCGCCUGACGAACAAGGAGGGCUAUUCUGAUUUUUUCUUGAAUCCCUGGUGAACAUAAUUAAACUCGUAUGAAAUAAAACAAAGUGGGCUAAUGUACUACUAAAAACAAUUACACAAUUACUUUAAAGAAUUAAUGUCACAUAAAUUAUAUAUAAAAAAAUACGAUUAUCAUUAUACAAGAUAAAAUUGAUGAUUUAGUUUUCAACAUUUCUGCAAAUGUAUCACAGAGAUUUUGUCUCUCAGGAAGUUGCACAUAACAAAUUUUCGUGCAUUAAAAAAUAAAAUAUAUUAGGAUUUUCUAUGAUGUUGUAUGAAAUUUUACAAAAGACUACAUUUUUUUUUUAAAGAAAAUAUAGAAAUUUCAUCAGACUACACUUGUUUUUUUUAUUUAAUCUUUAGAAAACAAGUUUAACUGAUUUGAUAACUAGGAAGUUUAAAUUUUAAAUAAUUAAAAUUAAAAUAUUAUCCUAACUAACUUUUAAUUUUUUGAACUAUUGAUUAAAUCUAACAGUAAAUAUUUAUACCAUGAUUGAUUUUAUAAUUUUUAUAACAAUAUCAUAAAGUGACCUAUUAAAUUAAUGGUUCAAGUAAAUAAUUGAAUUCAAUACGCAAAUCAAAAUAUUAGAAAAUAUUAUAUAUUCCCAUCAGACAUUGGCAAUAUACAGAAUUUUAAUUCAAAAUAUAAAUAUUUUUAUUAAUUUCAUUGCAAGCAACAACAGGGUAAAUCAGAGGAGGAGAAAUUACCGUCGGGUGACAUCUGGAUGUGGGGAAUGUGAGAUAUCUUAUGCCGUGACAUCUGGAUGUGGGGAAUGUGAGAUAUCUUAUGCCUGUCUUCUCCUUUCCCCUCUCUAUAACGGUUUUCCAGAAUGGGACAUCCCCAAAUUUUCAAUUCCUGCAGUGCCGUCGUCUGAAGAAGGUAAUCCGGCAGCGCCUUCAAUUUGGGGCAAGACUCAAUCGACAAGAGAGAAAGACGUGGCAUGACGGAGAUGUUUUCCUUCCUCGUAAUCCUGUAAUUCCACUCUUCCAGUUCUGUCAUGACGCUAAUUUCGAGUGAUUUCAAAUUGGGGAAGGCAAUAACUGAUGAUGACGAUGAAGAUGAAGAUGGAUCAUCCUCAGUGCUUUCUUCUAUUCCCAAAAACUCAUUACCCACUCUUUUUACACUUUUCAAAUUGUAUAGGGUGAGUUUUUCCAGAGGUAAUUUUCCCAAAGGAGGCAAAUGCUCACAGUCAAUGCACGAGAGAAGUCUUAAUUCGCUUAGAUUGGUUAGUGAAGUCAACCAUUUGGGAAAAAUGUUGCCUCCGUAGAAUCUAAUCCUUAACUCCUCUACAUUCAAAGGCGGUUGUAAGGCUUCAAGAAGUUGUUCAUCUUUCUCAUUCUUCCUCCUCCCUUCUUCGCCUUCCCCAUCUACAACUCUACCAAACUGAAGACCCAAACGAAGGAGGUUUUUCUUAUUGUAAAGUUGUAACCUCUCAGCCUCAUCUACAUGCGAUACAUUACUUAGCCCUUGUACUCUACAUUCACGAAGGAGUUGAAGAUUUUUCAGAGAUUCAAGCCUACACGUGCUGCCACCAUCAACACCUCCACCCACAACAAACUUUUCUAAUGUUCGAAGACUGGUUAAUUUGGAAAUCCCUAUUGGCAUGUACUUCAACGAACGAGUUUCACCAUUCAGUAAACUCCUCAUGUUCAUUAACUUCCCAAUCCCCUCUGGCAAUUCUCUAAGAUUUCGGCACAGCCUAAUAUCUAGCUUUUGUAAAUUAUAUAAUUCACACAAAGUCUCAGGUAGUCUCUCUAUGACUAAUUCAGACAAAUUAAGAUAUUUUAAAUGUAUCAAUUUUCCAACAUUUUCUGGAAUUUCUCUAAUCCAAUUUGCCUCAGGAUGCGAACCUAAAAGGUAAUAUUGCCUUAUAACUAAUGCCCUUAAACAUGCCAAUUUACUAAAUAACUCCGAAAGGAUGCUAUUAUUAAGAGAUGGGUUGAAAAGAUUUUCAUCAUAAAUUAAUAGGGUAUGCAAUCUAUUAAGUCCAUGAAUGGACAUAGGAAAUGAAGUGCCUCCUUGAAAAUUUAACCCUAAGUGACGGACUUUGUCACCAAAAGAGUUUAUGACUGAUUCCUUGGUACCAUUAAUUUCUAGCCACAAACAUUCUUUGCUACUUACAAAUUGAGCAAAAUCAUGUACGAUGUCAUGCAUCUUGCAACUCAUAAUAUCAUCGUCAUUUUUCUGAAAUUCUUGAAAGAAAGAGCGUGUAGUUAAGAUGUUGAAAUACUCUUCUCCAAUCAUCUCCAUUUCUUCGUCUUCAUCUGCAUUAAGGUAACCUUGAGCCAUCCAUAGAUUAAUCAAUUCCCUUUUGUUCAUAUUGUAGUCUUUUGGAAAGACAGCACAAUAUGAGAAGCACCGUUUUACCAUAGAAUUGGAGGGCAAAUCAUUAUAACUCAACAACAAAGGAGCCAAAAUACCUUGUCCAAUCUCUUCUACUUUCCACAUUUCACUCUCUAAAAUUCUUUGCCACUCUUUUACUGUACUUUUAGAGCGCAAGAGAUUCCCUAUUACCUUUGCAGCAAGAGGCAGGCCUUUGCACUUACAUGCAAUUUUUCGCCCGAUUGGUUCUAAUUUUUCACAAUCCUCAAAGGACCUACGUAGAAAUGCUAUCUGCUUAAACAGUAACCAACAUUCCCCUUCACCCAACUCCUUGACAGGGAUAAUAUCUAUUGAUCCCAACUGCAGUGCAACUGACCUAUCACGUGUGGUAAUUAGAAUUUUACUUUCAUGGUGGCCAUUCUUUAGACAAGAAAAGAAUGGGUCCCAUUUUUUGUAAUCUCCAUCCCACACAUCAUCUAAAACAAGAAAAAUUUUCUUCCCUGUAAUAUAUUCCUGAAUCUGUUUCAUAAGAGAUUCGAAUUCGCUUAAACCAGAAGCUGACACGCCUAGACCUUCAAUGAUUGCUUUGGCGACCCUAAUCUCCUCAAAAGUGUAUGAUACACACACCCAUAUAACUUUGCCAAAAUUUCUUUUCACCUCAUCAUUAUUAUACGCCAAUUGUGCAAGAGUGGUUUUACCUAUACCCCCCAACCCAACUAGUGAAAUGACAUGAAGGCCUUUUUGUUGUUCACUACUUUCACACAACAACUUGCUUAAGAGCUCAUUUUUCUCCUCAACUCUACCGCAAACCUCUCCCUCAUCAAUCAAGGAGAUGGUUCGCACUCGCUCUGGAUUCCUAACAUUGUUACUCACAUUCUCAACAAAAUUAAACCUAUCUUUUCGAGUGGCAAUUUCAUCUAGCCUUUUACUGAUUUCUCUAAUCUUGACAGCAAUAUGAUGACGAAGACUGAGUUGUUUGAAACCACCAAAGCAGUUUGAGGCAGCAGGAAAGAAGGAACAUACCUUCGUCAAAAAAGUAACAAAAGCACUGUCGUUAUCAUCAUCAUCAUCAUCAUCGCCUCCCUCAUCAAGCUGCAAUUUCCGUGUUUCAGUGAUCCACUCGUCCAACACAUCUUCCAUGUCGUAGGAUGCGUCUCUGAGCUGAUCCAGCCAAAAAGUAACAGCUUUGUCCUGCUUCAUUUGCCUCUGCUCUGCAUCUUCCACCACAGCUUGAAUGGCUUGAAGAUUGGUGGUAAGCUUUCCCACUUCUUGUUCGACACCCGUCACAAGCCUCCACUUUUCUUUCACCUGAUCUUGAGCAAUGGAUUUCAGCUGGUCCAAGAGAGAGGAAACGAUCGCAUGAGCCAUUCUGAUAUUAGAUCAAAUGGUAAAUGCAGCAAUUGCUUUUCUUGCUAAAAUGCUCCGAGGAAUGGAUCCACUUUUCAAUAUAGCUUUAACGUAUGGAUCCAAUUUCUCAUCUAUAUGGCCUUUUAUUAUCAGGUAGGGCGAAGCCAUUUGGUCAUUUGAAAAAGUUGUGAUUCCGUUUUAGUCCAUUAUGUCACGACAAAAAGAGAAUUGUUAAAUAUAACAUUCUCAAAUUAUUUUGUGGUAGUCGGGGCCCAUGCCCGUGGAAACGAGAAAAAAUAAAACAAAAGUUGGAAAAAUCAUGCAGCCGACCCUUUUUUCUAUCUGAUUGCGCAAUAUUAGGUAUAAAACAGAGAAUUAUUGCAAUUUUUUUGGAGUGUGGCCCCAAUUUGAAAUAGAAAUAUUGUCUAAUUGCUCUUCAGAUGUGAAAAGUGCAGGCGUCGAACAGCUACUUGUCUUCAAUAAUUCAUAAGAUGAAAUGGAUGAUUACUGUCUUGGCCGGCCUGCCAAUGAGAUAGAUGAAAGUCAUCUUGCAAAAAAUUAAAAUAUUGAAUUCCCCUAAUUGGAAUUGGGGCCAUGUAUGGUGUAUAAAAUAGCAUUAAACAACAAACACAGACAACAAUUAAUGCUAUUUUAUACACCAUACACGGCCCCCAUUCCAAAUUAAAAUAUUGACAUUAGUUGCGUUUUCAUCUUGUCUUCAAUAAUUAACAAGAUGAAAGGAAUCCAAACGCACGAUGAACGACCUGUUUUACUCUUUGGCCUUAUCUGUGAAUGACCUGUUUAGACUUCAAAUUUUUCCCGACGGUGGUUCACCGAUAUUAUUCCCUGAAAAUAAAAUCAGACUGUGCUUACAGUUACCCCCUUGCAAACAGAAAAUUGAGGGGGAAUUUUUUUUUUUUCUGGAUCCCAAAGAAAUUAGAAAGAGAAAACUGAAAUUUAGUUGUAUUUAGUCACUAAUUUUUCAUGACUAAAUUGCAGAUCCUCAGUCUCAUUAGUUCUUCACUAUCGUCAAGCAAGCUCUAAUUAUUAGGGGCGGAAAAAGGUAUAUGGUCAUCAGUCCCAACUCUCUCUCUACAAGUGACAUUAACAUUUCGUUUUGACAUUUUCUUUCUACACAUACAAAUCGCAACUCUCUUUUCCUCUUAGAUUCUAAUAAAACAGGUAAUAAAUUGCUGAGAGUAUCCAUCUCAAGCUUAAUUAAACUUUGAGGACCAAUUCUGUCAUAGAACAAGCAUUAAAAAAAAAAAAUCUAAUUGGGUUAAAAUAAUUAUAAAUAAAUUACUUUAAACAAUAAAAAAGAAUUAAAUUUUAACUCAAGUAUAAUUUGAAAUUUUUUAUUCUUUAUUGUGUAGUUAUUGAUCUAAUUGCAGAUUAAAUUCAUUUAAAAUUUCAGAAUUUAUCUGAUUGCGCAAUAUUAGAUAUAGGCAAAUGCGACUUCAUCGAUCAUCGGGUCAUUUUAAACAGCAGUGGUUCUGUGAUUAAUAUUUUUCUUUUAUUUAAUUAAGAAAAGGAAGAAAAGAUAGCACAUGUUAUGAUUAUUAUGAAUUUUCCAUCCCUUAUAUAAAUUCUCAAAUUUAUUUAAAUUGUGAGUCAUAGAAGGAUAUUACCUAAAUUAUUUUAUCAGGCCAUGUUCAUAUACUAGGAUUAAGUACGAAAUUGGACUAAUUUUGUGAUUAAAUAUUUAUCUCAUGUUUGUUAAACUUAAUUGAAUUGGACUCAGGGACUAAAUUUAAGUUUAAUCCUAAAAUUAUGGGAUUAAUAAUUCUAAUUUACACAUGGUUUUAGUUGGGAUAAAAUUAAAGAAAAAAAGUUAUCUAUUUAUGAGACUUUAAUUCCUAUCAUUACUGUUUAUUUAUACUUAAUAUUAAUUAAUUUUUUAAUUUAUAAUUUACUUAAAAAUUAUUUUUAUUUAUUAUCUAUCAUCUGAUUAAAUUGGAACUUUACUUGUACCAACUCUUGAGAUUAAUUUUUCAUUAUUUGCAUAUUUGAUAAUUUGUGAAUAAAAUUAACCAUUUAAUAAUUUAUAGCAUUAUUGAUUGUAUUAAAUUUAAUAAUCACUAAUAUAAUAUUAAAAAUAUCAUGAAAAUUAACAACACCAUCAAUUAAUUGAUUUUAUAUAUUUUUUAAAUAUUUGAUAAGAAUUUGAUAAAAAUUAAUUAAGUAUUUAAAUUUUUAUUCAUUUUUUAUUUGUUUAUUUUAUUAUGAAUACCCAAUAACUUACAAUAUAAUUAAUUUUCUUAUUCAGACUACUCAGAAUCAACUCCUAUAAAAUUUCUCACAUUAUAAGCAACAAAAUAUUUAUAAACUACUACAAAAGGCUUAGAUCAAUACACCGAUGAGCCUUCUGAAGUUAUAUAUAAUAUAUUAAUUGUUGAUCUAGAAUAGUCUUAGUAGAUAGAUUUUUUUAAUUAUAAAUAAUCAAUAAAUUUUUUAUCGUUUAAUAGGUAUUGAUGUAAUUUCGCCGGAUCAUAUGAAUCCAUUAUGAAUUUCAGCGGAAAUUUGAAUGUAUUCUGGACCGUGCAAGUGAAAUUUCAGAUAAAAUCAUCUCCUGACAAUUUAUUUAUUAUUUUCGGGUGCUGCUCCUGUAACUUUAUUAUGUCAUGACAAACUUCAAAAUCUAAUUUAGAGUGCAACUCAAAUAAUUGUAAUUAGUAAUUUAUUACAUCUGCAGUCGGAUUUUUGUUGAUAAAAAAAAAAAAGAGAAUAAAAUCAAUCCCAUAAUGAUUUUAAUAAAUAUCAUACUACAAAGAAAAUAUGCGAAAGAUAUCUAAGGAAUAAAGCUUUUCCACAAUGAUUUAUAAAAUUGCUUUUGGAGAACGGUUAUGAAAUUAUAUCAAAUUACUAAAAUUUAGUUAACCUCUCAAGAAGUCUAUUUCUCAAGUUUAAAAUUCGAAUGUCAAAAAAGAUAAAAUGUUAAAAAAAUAUUUUAAAUAUUAUCCACCCUUUCACUAUUUUAAUAUACAAAAAGAAGAAUUACUUAUUUUUAACAUAGCAACCGGGGGCAUAAUAUAUCUGAUGGAUUUUUCUAUAGAACAAAGCUUAUUAUAUCUCCUAUUAAAAAUGUCAUUUUUUUGUUAGGAAAAAGACAUUUAUAUCCCCAAAGUUAGGAGAAAUGGAUACCAACGCUCCUAAGUUUUCAAGAAAAGAUACUAAAACUUCUUUCUUACUACAAUACCCUUUACCUUUAUUAUCCCAAAAAUUAACUUUAAUUUUUUUAUAGUAAAGAGAAAUAUAAUAUUAAAAUAAAUGUAAUAAUUUAUACAUUUUAAAAUAAUUUCAAUAUUUAAAAAUAUUUUAAUAUUUUACAAUCUAUUAAUAUAUUUUAUUAUGUUAUAGUAAAUUUUAUGAUAAAUGUAAACAUAAUAUUAAAAUAAAUGUAUUAAAAUUUAAAUUAUUAUGUAAAAUAAUAAUUUUAACAUUAUUAGUAUGUGAGAGUUUUUUAAUUGUAAAAUGUAUUUAAUGCAAAUAUUUAUUUAAAAUCUCUACAAUAAAUACAAAUAUAUUAUUAAAUAAAUAUAUUAAUUUACAUAUUUAAAUUUAUUUAAAUAUUUUAAUCUUAUUAAUCUACAACAUAGAUUACAUUAUUUAUAUAAUAUUUGUAUUUAUUCAUUUGCAAGUUAAAUUUUUCGGGAUACUAAAGGUAAAGGGUAUUAUGGUCAAAAAGGAGUCUUGAUGUCCUUUUUAGAAAACUUGUAGUAUUGGUGACUAUUUCUCCAAACCUUAGAGAUAUAAAUACCCUUUUCCCUUUUUCAUUUUAAGCAAGUGGCAAACUAAAGAUUAAACUGUCAUAAAUUCACAAAAUAUUCACCACAAUAGUUGUAGGAAAUUUCUUCUUCCCUAAGUGGAAAAUACAAAAAAAAAAACAUAAUUGGCAAUUUCACUAGCAAAACUAAUAUUUUAUUCCAUAUCAGGGGCGGAGCUCAGGGUAAAUCUUCAUGAGGCCCAAGUUCAAAUUUCAAGUGUUAGUUGGGGAUUAAUUUUAUUCAGUUUUUUCUAUUUAUAGCUAGUAUGUAGGGUAUUCCAAAAUUUGAGAAUUUUGUGACUGAUAAUUGAAACUAUUGUUGCAAGAGAAAACAAAAUGAACAAAAUAAAAAUCAAAGAGGUAGGCCCAAACUUACAAACUUUUAAAAAAGGCUAUGAAAAAUAAUUAACAAAUAAAAAUCAAACAAUCAGGUUUAAUUGAUUUUAUUUCACAAAAUAUACAAUUAAAGUUUCAUUAUAUGUAUCAAGUUUAUGUAUCAAGUAUUCAAGGGCAAAUUAGUCAUUUUAUACCUAAUUUUGAAUAUUUCAUUUAAAAACCUCAAAAAAAAUUUCAAAGCUUAUAGGGUGAUGGUCCCCUCUAGGAGUGCACAAAUUUGGGUUUGGAUCAACUUGAUUGGGUUUUAGGUUGAUUGGCUUGGAAUAUUCGAAUUGGAUUAGAUCAAAUCAAAACUUUGGAGUUGAGUCUAGAUCGGAUCAGGUUAUAAUUAUAUGAGGCCGAGGUUGGGUUUGAGUUAAAUUUGAAUUUGGGUCAAUUAUGAUGGAUUCAGAUAAUGUUCGGAACAAGGGUAAUUUUGGGCCUUUUUUUGUUUUGAUUCUUUUUCAAAAUUAUCUCAUUUUAGUUCAUUUUUACAAAUUUUAAACUAAAAAAAUGAAAACUACUACUAUGAAAUCAAAUGUACAAAAAUUAAAAUAAACCAAAAAUAAUAUUGUUAAAUUAUGCUAUCCAGGGGUUAUUGGUUAUUAUAAAAAAGUAGGACGUAAAUGAUAUAUAUUGAUUACAGUAUGGGGGAAAAUUGUCAUUCUCCCUCUAUAUAUAUAUAUAUAAAGAGUGGAUAUGGGGCCUUUUAAUGCUUUAGCUUAAGAGCAAAAGUAAAAGAUUAUAAAGAAAAGGAUGUAUAUGUCAGCAAGAGACUUCGUAUUACCUUUGCAUUAAGAGGCAAGCCUUUAAACUUGUAUGAAAUUUUUUUUUUUUGAUUGGUUCUAAAUUUUCAAGAUCCUCAAAGGACCGCCAAAAGCAUACUUGCUUAAACAGUGACCAACAUUCUCUUUUAGCCAAUUCUUUUACUGGGGCUGAGAGAUCAAAGGCAACAUUAUUGGGGCCGAGCGAUUACUUAAUUUGACAUAAAUUAAGAGUAGACGCCGGCUAAUGAAAAUUACAUGCCAACUAAAGAUAUUGUCUUGAACAAAUUGGCAUAAUAAUUUAUGCCAACGCUUGAUAUGAAAGCUUUGUUGGAACAAAUUGGCAUGAAUUAUAUUUUAUCUCUCUUUCUUCAAGGUAUUAGGUAAUUGCCCUAUCCCAAAAACAAAGAAAAAAGAAAACAAGUAUUAGGUAAAUGCAUGUGAAUUAGACAUUUGGCCUCCGGGAUCAUAUAUUUAUAUUAAAGACAACCAUAUAACCACAAAGACAAUGAAAAGUCUAAAAAUUAUUGUUCAAUUUCUAAUUCCUCGCAAGUGCGAAAGGAAACAUUUUCCAAGAAUAAAACUAAGAUGCAUUUCUAGGAAUAGUUUUCCAACUGAUCUAUAUUUUAUAAUAUUUUAAGAUUUCUUCAUUUUUUUUCAAAAGAAAAAUUUAAUUUAAGAUUAAGCUCAUUAAAAAAUUAACAUCAUUAUAGAUUCAUUCAAAAUAUUAUAUGUGCAUAAAUACAGAAAUUCAUGUGACAAUUGCGAGGGGUACUCGGGUUUUAAUGAUCUUUUUUAUCUCAAUUAAUUAUUGGAAAAUUUUAUUCAUUUUUUUUUAAAUCCUGAGCAAGGUCAACUCCUAUAUGCUUUUGUGCGUAUGUACGUGUGCUUGUGUGUAUGUGUAAUAAUUACAAUAUUGUCUGGUUAAUCCACAAUUUCAUCAGCAUCAUUAAUCCAUAGUGAGUUGAGAAAUAAGCCAUGAAUAAGUGCUUGAGAAGUUCAAAGAUAAAAUAUUUAUUCUGACACAAAACGUCGAAUGAUAUAAAAUGUUGAGAACUAAUAAUAGUUUAGUGUUUGGUUUAAGUUUCAUGAAUUUUGUGCCAAAUAUGACGUUGUAAGGUACAAGAAUGUCAGGCGUACUUCGCCGAAGAAUGGAUUAGGAGGGACGACGGAUAGGAACUUGAUUUACAAACUCAAAGCUACCAAAGUCUCUUCGGCGGGGAAGUUUUACCACAUUUUGUGCGGUGAGUCGAUAGACCCAAUAGGAUAAUGAUUGAUAAAAUGAAAUAAAAUUAAUGUUUAUACCUAGAUUGAGAUAUAAAUUUAUUAUCCAACUUAUGUAUUAUAUAGAGAGAGAAAUGACGGGUUGGCCGACAUCGAUUGUGGAAGAGGCUGAUAAUGACUUCAUAAAUGUGAGGGAAUAUCUCUCUCUUUGAGCUAGCUUUUGAAGUCGAGAGAAGCCCAAGACCAUCUAACAUUAGUAUCAAAGCUCAGGUUCACCAACAACUCAACCAACAAUCUAAUAGGGAGAAUGGAUGUUUAUGCUUCCAACCCAAGGCCCGAUGAGUGAGGGGAGAUUGUUGGAUUUAUCCCACAUUGGUUGUGGGAGGAGUUCGUGGUGAUUUCAUAAGUGUGAGAAAAAAAAUCUCACUUAUUGAGCUAACUUUUGACUUUUGAGGUUGAGAUAAGCCCAAGACCACCUCACACGAAAAUUGUAUAGUGUUGGAAUAAAAAUUCUACUACCAAUAGUGGGCCGAUUAUUGACCAUUAAGCUUAAAUAUUAAAAUAUUCAUCCUAAAUAUCGAGAUUCGUCAUGAAAAAAAAAAAAAAAACUUCUCAGUUUUGGUAACAACUCAAAUAGUCUAGGAGUGGAAAUUUUUUUGAAUGAAAUACUUAAGCACAAAUAUUCUCUAAUCACUUGAUGUUUUAGACUUUAUAAAAAAUACACGACCACAUUUUUUUUAUAACAAUUCCACCUGAUGUUUACAAAAUAUAUCAUUUCUACACUAUUGUCAUCACGCCGUUAGAAUUUUACUGAUGUCAGAAUGAUAAACUUGUCAUUGGACUCUUAACGGACAAAAACGACGUCGUAUUUAAAGAAGAAUUAUAUAAUCCCAUCUGCUUGAAACUUUCUACAAUGACAAGACAUAACUAGUAACGGACAACCUGCUGUGCCAGUCAUUUUUCUCCUUCGAUUGGGAUCGUCGAUUUCUUUACUAAAAUCAACGAGUGAAUGAUUAUCAGCAUCAGGAGCCAAAGAAGGCAAACCGCCACAUUUUUUUUCGCUGUGGUCCUAUAAUUUAGGGGUCGGCAUGGGUUGGUUUGGGUUAGAUUUUAAGUCAACCCAAACCAAACUAUAAAAAUUUAGAUCCAACCCAAACCAACGCAAAUAUUUUUAACUCAACGCAAACCAAACCAUUUAGCUUUGGUUUGGGUUUGGUUUGAAUUUUAUUAUCAAAAUAAUUUUUAUUUUAAUAAAAUUUAAUUAUAUCAAAAUUAUAAUAAUUAUUAAUUGUUAUUAAUUAUUAAAUUGAUAUUAAAAUAUAAAAAAUAUAGUGGAUAAAAAUUAUAAAUUUUACAAUAACUUAAUCCUUAAAUUAAAGAAUACUAGAAAAUCAAAAUAAAUUUUAAUCACAAAAAUUAUUAUUUCUCAAUAAAUAAGAACGUACACUUUAAUAAUAAACUUUCACAAACAUGACAUUAACAAUCAAAUAAUAAAUUUUGCCACUUGUUGUUUAUUUAAGGGUAAAAGCUCAUUUAGUCCUUAUAUUUUAAGAUUAGUAUCCAUUUAGUCCUUGUAUUUUAAAAAUACCUCAAAACAUCCAUGUCGUUAAAGUAUUGAUACCCCUACCGUUACUUUUUAUUUCUUUUGGCUUACUUUUACAAUAUUACCCUUUUAUAAUAAUUUUUUUAGACAUUAAUAAAAAGAAAAUAAUUAAAUUACCAAUUUAACCCUAAAAAAUAAAAAAAAUUAUAUUAAUUUUUAAUUGUCAAAAAUUGUAUGCAAACUACCAAGUGUGCAAAUGGUGCUUGCAAAAAAAUUAAUAUAAUUUUUUUAUUUUCUAGGGUUAAAUUGAUAUUUAAUUAUUUUCUUUUUAUUAAUAUCCAAACAAAAAAAUUAUUAUAAAAGGGUAAUAUUGUAAAAGUAAGCCAAAAGAAAUAAAAAGUAACGGUAGGGGUAUCAAUACUUUAACAGCAGGAAUAUUUCGAGGUAUUUUUUAAAAUAUAGGGACCAAAUAGACACUAAUCUUAAAAUACAUGGGCUAAAUGAGCUUUUACCCUUUAUUUAAUUAUGCAAUAUUUAUUUUUAUUUAUCGUUUUGGUAAUUUUGCGUUAUGUUGUCUACUUAUAUGCUUAAUUUUAGGGAGAUUGCCACUUUCCUCCCUACAGUAAUCAACAUAUAUCAUUUUUCCCCCUUCUGUUUUUAUAAUGGCCAAAAACCCCCCUAAUAGUAUAAGUUUACAAUAUUACCCUUAUUUUCAACUACUUUUUUAUUUAUAUUUAUUAUAAAUUAAAUAAAUCACAUGAAUAAAAACUAAAUAAAAAAUAAAACAUUAAAAUAAGAAAUAUAUGUUUUGAUAUGAACAAAAAAAUUAAUAAUAAAAUUUUUUUAUACUUAUUUAUUUUGUGAAAAUUUUCUUAUAAUAAAUAUAUAAGAAAAUUAUUAGUAAAAUGAUAAAAAAAAUUAUUAUAAGAAAACUUGAAUGACAAAUAAAAAUUUAUUUUAAGAUAAAUAAUAAAAUAUUUUACCUAUUUGUGUUCAUUUAUUUUGUUUUCAUUUGAAAAUUUUGAGUGUUAGGGUUUUGUUCAUAACCCAUGGGUAAACCAUACCCAACCCAUAAUGAAAUUGUUUUUUAUAUAAAACCUACAUCUAACCCAUUUUCAUGAUUUACCCAACCCAAACCAUAAUUUGGUUUGGGUUUGGGUAAACCCAUGGGUUGUGGGUUUAUGCCCACCCCUACUAUAAUUUAUUGAAAAAAUCAACGAUUGCCCCAAAAUAACAAAGCUAAAUUAACACAACAUACAACACAGUAUCAAACUACCACCAAAUUUUAUCACUUAACCAAUAAACUAAAAAAUUCAAGGUUUAAAAAAAAUUUGAAAGUUUAAAAUUCUUAAACGACUUGAUAAUAAGCCCCAAUCCGCCAUCGCCACGAUCCACGGGUACAGGUACCAGAUUAAAGUGCGUUUUCCCUUGAGCUCUCUUUUAAUUAUUUUAGUUUUAAUUCUGAUUUUUUAUUUUAUUUAUUAUUUAAUAUCUAUAUUGCAGUCAUCUAUUUUUUUUCGUUAUUAAAUUAGGGCAAAUUAGUUAUUUUAUGUUAAGGGUAGAAUAAUCAUUUACAUUUAGGGUAAAAUAAUCAUUUUCUCAGUAUUUUGUUAAAUUCUCUUACGCUGGUAUGACGGAAGUAGAGCAAUGAUGCACUUUAAACAUUAGGAACUGUGGGAACGAGAACAUUUUUUAAUGAAAUACUUAAUAAUUAGCAACUCAAAAUAUAUCAUUUGUAAUGAACUAUUUAAUUUGCAAUUUCUUUAGUUUUGGAUGGCAACUCGGGAUUCUUCAUUUAAACUAUGACGAUUUAUAACUUGCGGGUACACAAGACAUUGCUCCCACCACUUUUCACAGAAGUAAAAAUCAAGCCAAUCGCUUCCAUUUGUGGCAAUUUUAUCGGAGAAAGAAAAAGGAAAAAAAAAAUAAAAAGAAUUUUGUAACUACUUAACUUUGCCGAAGCAGAGUUAAGUAGUUACAAAAUUGCAUUCUUGAAUGUACAGAAAUGAUAUGCAGCAAAACCAAGCAUAAAGAAAUAAGAAGAUAAUGUUAUAUGGUACGGCUAUUAGCCUAUGUCAUAGUAAAAGACAUGAAGAAAAUUUUACUAAGAAAUGGGUGUGUACAAAUAUUAAAGGAAAACAUUCACCGACGACCCAAAUCGCAGAUAUGUGCUUAAUUUUCUUACUCACUCUAAGAACAUUCAAUCUCCGAAAAUUCAUUCAAAUGAAACUUUCAGAAAGACUUAAUAUUAAGGCUUUAGCAUCACUUCAUAUGCUCAACAAUUCAAAUUUGAGUAUGAUAUUUCUCAAAAUGGAGGGCUCUACUUGGCUUGUGAACAAUCUUCCUCACCAUCAUCAUCCUUGCCAUACCAGCAGCACUGAACAAUCUUUGUUCUGACAUUUGCCCUAUUUAUCUGAUUACACAAGAAUCCGAAACAACUGUUAGAAAUUUUAAUCUUUAUAUAUAUCCAAAAUGGUGAAUAAGAUGAUGUGGUUGAUGAUAAAAACCUGAGUUAAAUAAUUAAGGGUCCGGUAACAAUCACAGCAUCUCAUCAUGUGGGGAAAGCCUUCGCAACAGAAGACGGUGCUUGCAUUCAAGCAAUAAUAACUUUCCAAUUUCAUAAGGUAGCUUAACGCCCUUUCAAGAAUAAGUGCACCAGCCUAACAAUUAUUCAUGGAAAUUCAAAUUCAGAAUCAUGUUAGUAUGAGAGAUGAAGUAUAAUAAGCGACUUGGCCACUAUAUAUGCACUUAUCACCUUCAAUUUGCUCAUCUUCGUCUAGAGUAUUGUUUCUGCUUUAACUUAAUCAGCUUGCAAGCCACAUAAAAAUGGUUUUAAAUAAUAAGUGAGAGUGUGAAUUCGAACAAUUAAUCAAAUAUGAUGACCGAAGAGACAAAAGUAAAAUAGCCACAAGAAGUAGAAAUAUACUUUUGUUAUAUUUAGAGCAUCUUCUACUGGCAAGUUCUUUUCCUUUAGCUCUGUUUCUGUGUGCGCUCAAACGCAAUGCCUCAAGGCUCAAGAUAAUUUUAUGACCAUCAAUCAUUUGCAGCCACAUGCAGACUUGAAAAACUAGUCGUGGCCCUAAGGAACUUGAAAAUUAGAAAAGAUUCAGAAUGAGUGACUAAAAUAACUUAAUCGAGACUACUUAAACAUGCACGCCUUGAAAAUCUGAAACUGAAUUACUCAAAUGAAUGUGGUUGAAACUUUACUGCAAAGACUUCUUGAAACCCAUGAAGAUGAUACUCUACCUGAUAACACAAGGAAACACAAUCAAUACAAGAAGAUGAUUUUACAAACAAAUGAGAGCCUAUAAUUAUUGGGAGAGCUCUACUCAAAUUUGAUGAGAUAUCUCUCAAAAGGGAGAGCUCCAAUACUAUAUAAAGCCAAAAAUCUAACACUCAUCAAACUGGCUUGUGAACAAUUAAUCUUCCUCGCCAUCAUACAUGCCAGGUGUAGUGAACAAUCUUCAUUCUAACAUUUGCCUUAAUAAGCUGCUUAGCAUCCUUAACCUGAUAAAUUGCACAAACAAAAACAACUUUACUAAAGUUUAUUCUUUAAAGGCAUAGCAGUAAAGAAGAUGAUAUCUGUUUAUGCUAAAAAUUGACCUGAGUUAUCCGAAUGUCAAGAAUCACAGCGUCUCAUGUGGGCAAAAUCAUCGCAAUACAACAUGCUGAUUUCAAGCAACAUCUUAUCACCUGUAAUUUAAUUAAGACAAUAACUUUCCUCAACCAUUACCCUACUCAAUUUCAAUGUAUUAUUGGCAACUAAAUUCAUAGGGUAAGUAGCUAAUCAAAUGCUCUUUUAACAAUAUUUCUCCAAAUAACAAAUAUUCGGAAAAUCUAAAUGACAAUCAUGCAUUUAUGGCAUCAAAAUUUGGCUGCAAAGCUGCCUGGAAAAGGCUUUAAAUUCUUAAUGAGGGCAUGAAUUCGAACAAAUAUGGUGAAUAAAGAAACAAAGGCAUAAUACCGCAAGAAGUAAACCUUUUCCUCAGACUUCUGUUUCUGUUUGUGCUGAAACCAAUGGAAACCGAUGGAAAUGAAUUUCUAUGAAUUAGACACAUCAGCCAAAACAGGUACUCUGUACAAAGAAAGUAAAAGAGAGUCAUAGAAAAAUUUUAAGAUAAUUAAACUUUCAGUCACCAUAUCAUUAAUAGAAACUUUGUGCACUACGAUCUAUUGCAGAUUAAGAUUUGUAUACCUAAGUUUUAAUUGCAAACUAAAUAUACACAACAUUAUACCAGCAUUAGGAGGCCGUACCAAAAUGUACCGAAUUUAGUGUGCCUCUUCACAGCCAUUGUACAAGCAUCGAAGACUUUACCGCGAAAGCUGUUUCAAACGUGAUGCACGUUAGAGAUGCAAGAUAUGAAAUUGUCAUUACAAGAAGCAUUGAAACAUGUGUGAAAACUGUUUAUGGACCUAAAAUAACUUGAAAAUCAGAAAGAUUAGGAAUAAGUGACUAAGCAUUUUAAUUAAAACUGAGCAUACAAACCUUGAAAAUCCAAAAUUGUACUCCGAUGAAUGAGCAAUUGCACGAGCAGCUAAAUUUACUGCAAAGGCUCUUACAACCCUUGAAGAUGAUACUCUACAUACCUACACAAAGAAACACAGUGAAUAUGAAGGGUAUUCUGACAAUGCAAAUUUGUGAAAAUUAUCAACUCUGGUUACCUGCAUAAUAGUGCUAACAUCGAAUUGCUUCGUCAAUUGAAAUAUAUGAUCAGCCCAAAGAUGCUUUGCUUUGAGGCUUUUGAGAACCUGAAAUGGUUAUUACAACCAACAGUGAAAAUUGGGUGAAGAACUGAUAUUACUAGCAUAAUUCCAUAUGCUUACAGAGGAUAAACCGAUCAAAGAAAGAAACAAGAUAGAAAUGAUGAUCUCAGCACCUUAAUAUCAUGCAAUAAUAAUCAUCAUGUCUUCCAGGCAGCUAUCCAUCCUCAACUGAAACAGAGCAGACCCAGCCACCACUUAGUUUUCAACAUUGCUACAAAGUACCCCAGAAAUUCAGUCCUCAAGAAGUUUCACGUAACAAAUUAUCGUACACUGAAGUAAAUAGUUAUAUUCAAUACAAAAAUCAAAAUAUUAGAAAAUAUUGCACAUUCCUAUGAGACAUUGGCAAAAUAUAGAAAUUUAAUUCAAAAUUUAAUUAUUAUCAUUAUUAUUAUUAAUUUCAUUACAAGUAACAAUGAAGCAAAACAGAGGAGGAGGAGAAAUUACCGGCGGGUUAUAGUAAGUGCAACCGUUCGAGAAUUUAAAACUCGAUGUGGGGAAUGUGAGAUAACUUAUGCCAGUCUUCUAGAAUAGGACAUCCCCCAAUACUAAAUUCCUGCAGUGUCGUCGUUUGAAGGUGGUCAUCUGGCAACACCUUUAAUUUGUGGCAAUUCAUAAUUUGCAAGGAAGAAAGACGUGGCAUGAUGGAGAUGUUUUCCUUCCUCGUAACCAUGUAAUCCCAACCUCCCAAUUCUUCCAUGUCCUAAAUUUUGAGUGAUUUCAAUUUGGGGAAGGCAAUAACUGAUGAUGAUGAUGAAGAUGAAGCUGGGUCAUCAUCACUACUUUCCUCUAUUCCCAAAACCUCAUUACCCACUCUUUUUACACUAUUCAAAUUUUGCAGGGCGAGUUUUUCCAGAGGCAAUUUUCCCAGAGGAGGCAAAUGCUCACAGUUAAGACACCCGUGAAGAAAUAAGUUCCUUAGAUUGGUUAGCGAAGUCACCCAUUUGGGAAAAAUGUUGCCUCCAUAUAAUAAAAUCCAUAAUUCCUCUACAUUCAAAGGCGGCUGUAAGGCUUCAAGAAGUUGUUCAUCUUUCUCAUUCUUCCUCCUCCUUUCUUCAUCUUCCCCAUUUACAACUUCACCUCCUUCUUCUUCUUCAUAUCCCCCAUCCUCACCUUCAUCUUCAUCCUCUUCUUUAUCUUCCCAAUCUACAACUUCAAACAAAAGAUACAAACAAAGGAGGUUUUCCAUAUUUUUGAGUUCUAAUCUCUCAGCCUCAUCUAUAUGUGACAAAUUACUCAGCCCUUCUAUUCCACAUUCUCGAAGGAGUUGAAGAUUUUCCACCAUCAACACCUCCACCCACAGCAAACUUGUCUAAUGUUCGAAGAUCGGUUAAUUUGGAAAUCCCUAUUGGCAUGUACUUCAACGAACAAGUAAGACCAUUUAGCAAACUCCUCAUGUUCUUUAUCUUCCCAAUCCCUGCAGGCAAUUCUCUUAGAUUUCGACACCCCCUAAUAUCUAGCUUUUGUAAAUUAUGUAAUUCACACAAAGUCUCAGGCAGUCUCUCUAUGUGUAAUUCAGACAAAUUAAGAUAUUUUAAAUGCAUCAAUUUUCUGACAUCUUCUGGAAUUUCCUAAUCAAAUUUGGGUCAGGACGAAAAAGCAAGAACGAUUGCCUUAUAACUAAUGCUCUUAAACACGCCAAUUUACUAAAUAACUCAGGAAGGAUGCUACUAUCAAGAGACGAAUUGUAAGGACUUUCAUCAUCAAUUAGGAGGGUACGCAAUCUAUUAAGUCCAUGAAUGGACAUAAGAAAUGAAGCGCCUCCUUUAAACUUUAACCCUAAGGGACGGACUUUCCCACCAAAAGAGUUUAUGACUGAUUCUUUGGUACCAUUAAUUUCCAGCCACAAACAUUCUUUGCUACUUACAAAUUGAGCAAAAUCAUGUACUAUGUCAUGCAUCUUGCAACUCAUAAUAUCAUCAUCAUCAUUUUUCUCAAACUCUUGAAAGAAAGAGCGUGCUGCUAAAAUGUUGAAACACUCUUCCCCGGUCAUCUCCAUCUCUUUAUAUUCUUCUACAUUAAGGUAACCUUGAGCCAUCCAUAGUGAAAUUAGCUCCUCUUUAUACAUAUUGUAGUCUUUUGGAAAGACAGCUCAAAAUGAAAAAUAUCGUUUUACCAUAGAAUUGGACGACAAAUCAUUAUAACUCAACAAUAAAGGAGUCAAAAGACCUUUCCCAAUCUCUUCUGCCUUCCACAUUUCACUAUCUAAAAUUCUUUGCCAGUCGUUUAUUGCACUUUUAGAACGCAAGAGAUUCCCUAUUACCUUUGCAGCAAGAGGCAGGCCUUUGCACUUGCGUGCAAUUUUUCACUCGAUUGGUUCUAAUCUUUCACAAUCCUCGAAAGAGUGACUGAAAAAUGCUAAUCGUUUGAACAACGACUAGCAAUCCUCUUCAGUCAAUUGCUCAAUGAAGAUAAUAUUUGUUGAUCUCAUCAUACUUGCAACUAACUCAUUAUGUGUAGUAACCAAAAUUUUACUUCCGUGGAGACCAUGAUUUAAAUAAAGGAAGAAUGGUGCCCAUUUCUGAAUUUAUUUUUAUGCUGUAAAAGGAUCAAAUUACUCACAAAGUGAUUUUAGCUUUCAUGAUAUAAACAAAUAAUCAUCAUUUAAUUUCAAUAGAAAGAAGUAUUCUAGGUAGAAUAUUGACUUCUUUAGCAGGGACUUCUUACUCUAUUAGGUUAAUAAUGCAUCAAUUGUCACGUCAUUAAUUUUAGAUUUUAAACUUUUUUUUUAAUGGAAAGUACCUUCAUUUCAACUCAAACAAGAAAAUAAGUACAACAAGUGGGGAGGGUAUGAACCCAUCCAAACAAUAGUUUCGAGCAUCUCUAGAGCUAGCUUAGCUAAAGAGUGGGCUAUCGCAUUACAAGAUCAAUGAGCAUAUUGGACACAAACUGAGCUAAAGCUCUUCGAAAUUCUCUGCACAUCUGAAAUGGUCCAGAAGAUCUCGGAUCUGCAGCCCCGCUUGUUGUUAACUAACUUAACAACCUCUUGAGCAUCUGAUUCCUCAAUCAAAGACUCUAUACAAGCAUUCCUUGCAACUUGAAGCCCCCAUUUGAUUGCUUCUGCCUCUGCAAAACACACAUCACCAUAGACCUUGGAAACUUUGACUACAACUGCAAUCACAUUCCCAGCUUCAUCACGAAUUACAGCCCCUAGACCUGCAAUUUGCUUCUCCGAAUUGGUGGCAGCAUCUACAUUAACCUUAAAAAAUCCUUUUUGGGGAGGAUUCCAGGCCUUUAGCAUCAGAGAUCUUUGGUUGCCUAUAUGAGUAGCAGCUGGAAGCUGGGUUCUUCGGUAGGCUUCCAGCACAGCUUCAACCUUAGAGACUAUCACUUGGGGUCUUUCUUUUACUCUUUUGAAAAUCCAUUUGUUUCGAGCAUUCCAUAUCAUCCAUAAGAUCGAAACCAGUAGCUUAAUAUCAUCAUUACUCCUUCUCAGCUUCAGCCCAAUCAACAAGCUUAGAAUGUCUUGAUCAACACAAUCCUUCAAAUCAUUCUCAAAUCUGGUAAUUUUCUAGAUUUUCUUCACCAUCUUACAGCCCACUAAAGUAUGCAAAACUGUUUCCAGCUUGUUGUUACAAAUCUGACACACAACCUCCUAAAUCACCUUCCUUUUCCAUAGAUUUUCGGUUGAAGGAAGAAGAUUUUUUACAGCCCUCCAAGCAAAAAUCCUGAUCUUCUCCGGUAAGGUGAGAAACCAUAUUGUAUUCCAUUGGUUUUGCUCAGUUGCUGAACUUGUCGGCCUAGCUGGAAAAUUCAUAUUUAAAGUAAUCUGAUAGCCACUCUUAACUGAGUACUGGCCUUUUCUAUCAUAGUGCCACAUUACUUCAUCCUUCAUUGGUCUCCUUGGCAAGGGAAUUUUAAUUAUUACUUCCACAUCUAUUUUGGCAAAGUGCCUGUGAAUCAGCCCUUCAUUCCACCCAUGCUUUGCAUUUAUUAACUCAGCAACUAAAGCAUCAUCUGGCAAGCUUGGUUUAUAAAUCGGUUUGAAGGUCAGGGGUCUGAGCAGCCAAUUCUCUUUAUGAAGCAGGAUGCUUUGGCCAUUUCCAAUCCUCCAUCUUGAACCCUUGGAUAUGACUUACCGUCCCCAUAAAAUGCUUCUCCAAAUAAAAGAGGGGUUUGAGCCAAGUCUUGCCUUCAUAAAAUCUUUGUGCUGGAAAUAUCUCGCCUGCAGAGUUCUUGCCACGAGGGAGUCUGGAAAUUGCAGGAUCUUCCAACCUUGUUUGGCUACUAGUGCUUGGUUGAAACUUGAGAACUCUCUGAACCCUAUUCCUCCUCUGCACUUAGCCAGACUUAGGUUGUUCCAUCUCGACCAGUGGAUGGCCUUCUUAUCGUUCCCUGAUCCCCACCAGAAUUUUGCUAUUAUUCGCUGAAUGUCAUCACAUAUGCCCAUGGGAAUCUUGAAAACGCUCAUUGCAUAUGCGGGAAUAGCUUGAGCAGCCGCCUUAAUCAAAACCUCUUUGCCUCCUAUUGAGAAAAUUUUGUUCUACCAACUAGAAACUUUAUUAUGGAUCUUUAGCUUGAUAUCAGUAAAAAAACUACUUCUCUUUCUCCCGAUCAUAGAUGGCAAGCCUAAGUAUUUUUCGUGUCUUGAAACAAUGUUGAGCUGGAAGAUGUCUUUGAUUGUUGCCGCUUGCCCAGCCUGAAUAUUGCCGCUGAGAAACAUUGAAGAUUUGUCGAGAUUGAACAACUGGCCUGAGGCUGCAGAGUAGCAGUCGAAGAUUCUCUUCAGAUUUUGGCAAUCAGUAAUUGAGGCUCUAGUGAAUACUAGGCUAUCAUCCGCAAAUAAGAGGUGAGAGAUUUUAAGCUCCUUCCCAAAUGACAGCCCAUGAAUAAGCCUCUGGUGCUCUGCUUGUUGGAGAAGAAAGGAGAAGGCUUCAGCCCCAAUAAUGAAUAAAUAUGGAGAUAAGGGGCACCCUUGUCUGAGGCCGAAUCACCCUGCUUACAGCACCAUUUAUAAUCACUGAGGAUGUGACUGAGCUUAUACACCUCAUGAUUAGGCUGAUCCAAUUCUGCAAGAACCCGAGGGACUUCAUUGUUUGUUCAAAAAACUCUCAUUCCAGCCUAUCAUAUGUUUUGCUCACAUCAAACUUCAAUGCCACCAUGCCUUUUUUUCUUCCUUUACAAUGUCUUAUCUUAUGGAGGCACUCAUAUCCUGCAAUAAUAUUAUCGGUGAUUAGCCGAUUAGGAAUAAAAGCACUUUGCAUUGGCAAGAUAAUUUUGGGUAGUACAUGUUAAGCCUAUUAGCUAUUGCUUUAGCAACAAUCCUAUAAAUAACAUUGCAUAGACUAAUAGGCCUAAAAUCGGUAACUUUUCUAGGCUUUUUUUUUUUUAGAAUUAAAGCGAUAUAGGUGUGAUUGAGUUGGGCUACAUCACCUUGCUUAUUAAGGAUGUGGAGGCAUGUUGAGAGGACUCCUUGCUUGACCGUUUGCCAGUGCUUUUAGUAGAACACUGCUGGCAAGCCAUCCGAACCCGGUGCCUUUGUUGGGCAAAUUUGUGUCAAUGCUUCCACAACUUCUUUGGGUGUGAAUGGCAUCUCCAAGAAAUCAUUCAUCUCACUAGAAACUCUUUGAGAUAUUCCUAACAGCACAGCUGCUAUUUGAGCUUGAUUAGGCUUGGAUGUAAUGAACAAAUUUGUGAAGUAUUUGUUGAACUCAUGCUCCACUUCUUCGGCAUUUUCAAUCCAACUUCCAGCUACAUUUUCGAUCCCCCAGAUUUGGUUCUUCUUUUUCCUUGAGGAUGCCUUGUGAUGGAAAAAUUUUGUGUUCUUGUCCCUUCCCUUGAGCCAAUCCGCCCUUAGCGUUGUUUCCAGAAAAUUUCCUCGUCGGCUAACAUGUUUUGGAUUUGUCUUUCCACCUCUUUAAUCUUAUUCCCAUUGACAUACUGAACCCGAUUAAGCUUGAGGCUUCGGAGUUGUUUCGUUAGUUUCUCAAGCUUUUUUGGUCUCCCUCGGAAUUCUUUUUUGCUCCACCGAAUUAGCCUGGCCAUAGAUAUCUUUGCCACUUUUUGAAACAACGAAACAGGAUUCUCAAUAUUCCAGCUUCCCUGCAAGCUCCACUCUUCCUCAACGAUUUCCGUACAAGCAUCGUAAGGGCUGUUAACAUAAAUUAUUCUUUAUUGAUUUUGAUGAUAACAAACAUGAUUAAGAUUGAUUAAUCGUUUUAAAAGCUCAACAUAAUUUUCAUCUAUUUUGACAAGUUUCAUAAAGUAUUUUUAUAAAGAUUUGGAGACAAAACAGUCAUCUUGCAAAAUAGUUCACUGCAGCAGUUUUUGUGGAUAACGGCGAUCCGACAUGUGUAGUAAACGGCUCACCGAUUUCAAGCAGAAAUGGAGAUUAGCCUCUGGACCAAAACGGCGAACCGACAUAUGUGAUAAACGGCUCGCCGAUAUCAACCAGUAGCCUCUGGACCAAAACGGCGAACCGACAUAUGUGAUAAACGGCUCGCCGAUAUCAAUCAGUAGCCUCUGGACCUAAACGGCGAUCCGAUAUCUAGAUAACGGCGAUCCGACAAUUUGAAAAAUCAGCCCAACGGUCAUAUUGACCAGUCAAACGGCAAUCCGACAUCUAGCUAACUCAAUAACGGCUAGUUUUCAGCAGCAGCUAUAAAUAAGCUCAUUCAAAUUCAAACAAAGAUUGAUCACAACACAGCCAUUGAGCAAAUAUUCGAGAAUACAAUCUUCAUAGAGCUUAAAACACAUUCUCUCUUCAUCUAUUCACAAAUUGGGCAUUGAUUUGUAAUCUUUUACUUUGAGUGAUUGUAAGUGUUGGGAUACACUUGGGUUAAGAGAUUGGGGAUAAUCUCUUGUUGUAAAGGUUUAUUGACACCUUGGAAGUCAAGUGUAAGCAUUUGAAGCCUUGGAGGCUUGCUUAGUGGAAUCCUCAAGCCCGGAAAGCUUGGAGGCGUGGACGUAGGCGAGGUUAGCCGAACCACGUAAAAAUCUCGGUGUUUGAAUCCCUCUUCCCUUAUCUUUUUAUAUUGUGAUCAUCUUAAUUGUCAUUGCUUUGAAUUUGAUUUAUAAUUGUAUUAAGUUUUUCUUCAAUAAAUUGAAUAAUUUUUUUUGAAACCCGAUUCACCCCCCCUCUUCGGUUGCAUACUUGUAUUUCAAGGGCUCCACAUAUCUUCGUAGUGGAUCCGAGUGGCUCGUCUUUGGUUAAAAUUCAUCUCACGGCCCCUUAUUUGAACUUCCAUCACCAUCGGGCAAUGAUCAGAGGUCGAAGUGUCAAUAUUAGUAGCUACAACAUCCAAAAAAAUGUCUCUCCAUGAGCUAUUACAAACAAAUCUAUCUAGCCGUUCCUCCACAAAAGUGGGGCUGAACCUUCCAUUACUCCACAUAAAAGGGUACCCCUUGUAACUAAUUCUCUUGUUAUCAGAGCCUCAAUUGGUAUCAGAGCCUCAUUCUCUUGUUAAGACUUAAUCGUCUAGAGUAAAAGAUCCAUGGCAACCCUAAAUGACUCAACCUUUAGAGAAGGGCAAUCCACAACUAGACCACCAUUUUUCGAUGGUAAUGACUAUGCUUAUUGAAAAACUAGAAUGAGAAUCUAUUUGCAAGCAUUAGAUUAUGAAAUUUGGGAAGUUGUUUGUGAUGGUCCAUUUAUGCCUAUGUUCAAAGAUGAAGUAGGAGAUGAUAUUCCUAAACCAUCGAGUCAAUGGAGUGAGUUAGAAAAGAGAAAGAUGUCUCUAAACUCCAAGGCUAUGAAUGCUUUGUUUUGUGCCCUUGAUAAGAAAGAAUUCCAUAGAGUAUCUAGUUGUGAAAGUGCACAAGAAAUAUGGAAUAAACUUGAAGUUGUCUAUGAAGGGACAAGUCAAGUUAAAGAGUCUAAAAUCAGUAGAUACACUCGUCAAUAUGAGCUGUUCCAAAUGGAACAAAAUGAGAAUGUGUAUUCUAUGUAUACUAGAUUCAUAGACAUAGUGAACACUCUAGGUGCCUUGGGGAAGACCUUCUCAAAUAGUGAGAAAGUUAAGAAAAUCAUUAGGUCACUUCCAAAAGAAUGGAGACCUAAAAGAACUGCCAUUGAAGAGGCUAAAGAUUUAAAUAUUUUACCUCUUGAUGAUUUAAUUGGUUCUCUCAUUUCAUAUGAAGAGGAUUUAGCUACAGAAAAAGGACAUGAGGAGAAGAAGAAAAGCAUUGCUCUCAAAGCUUUAAAAUAUGAGAGUGAUGGGGAGAGUGAACCGGAUGAUGAAGAGCUAGCCAUGCUAGCAAGGAGGUUCAGAAAAUUCUUCAAGAAAACCGGAGAGCGAAGAAAUUUCAGAAACUUCAAGAACCAUAGGGAGAAGAAGGAGGCAAUAGGGAGAAGAAGGAGGCAAUCACAUGCUAUGAAUGCAAGAAGCCUGGACAUAUAAGAUCGGAGUGCCCACUUAUCAACAAACUCAAGAAGAAAGCAAUGGUUGCAACUUGGGAUGAUAGUGAGGAAGAAUCAAGUGAUGAAGAAGGAUCGCAAGAAGUAUCAAACCUAGCACUCAUGGCAAUAGGAGGGAAUGAUGAUCUCAAUGAGGUAAGUGAUCCCACCUAUGAUGAAUUGUAUGAUGCUUUUAAAGAUUUGCAUGAUGAGUUGAUGAAGAUUGGUAAAAAGAAUGUAUGUCUUAAAAAGGAAAUGGCAAAGCUUAAAAAUGAAAAUGAAUCUCUAAAUGCAAGAAUUGUAUGCCUAGAAGUAGGGAACAAAACAUUGCAUGAUGAAAUUGCAUUAUCAAAUGAGAAACCUAGCAUCUUGCAUGAGCAUUUAGAAUCACACAUAGAUGAGUUGAAAAAUGAGAAUGAAAUGCUUAAGAAAAAGAGUAAUGAAAUGAAAUUGUUUUGAAAUUUACAAAUGGGCAAAAGAUGUUGGAAAAUAUGCUUAACUCACAAAAAUGUGUUUUUGAUAAAGGAGGACUUGGAUAUAAGCCUAACUUGAAGCAAAAGUAUUAUAAGAAUUAUUUUGUUAAAGCUACCUCCACAAAUGAUCAUAAGAUUGUAUGUCACUAUUGUAAUCAAAAUGGUCACAUGAAAUAUAGAUGUCCCGUGAAAAGGAAUGCAUAUUAUGGUGUCAAAUGCAUUUGGGUUCCAAAAGGAACCGUUGCUAACUCUCAAGGACCCAAAAAGCUUUGGGUACCUAAAACUUGAGAUUUUUUUUCUUGUAGGGAUUGAAGAAGAAGAAAAAUAAAUGGUACUUGGACAACGGUUGUUCAAGGCACAUGACCAGAAACUAUGCAUGGUUCUCAAGCUUCACCAAAGUUGAAAAUGGUGGAGACGUAUCUUUUGGAGACAACUCAAAAGGAAAAAUUCUUGGAAUUGGAAAUGUUGGUAAAGUCUCUUCAACUCUAAUUGAGAAUGUAUGUUUGGUUAAGAACUUGAAACACAACUUAAUUAGCAUUAGUCAAUUAUGUGACAAAGGUUAUAAAGUUAUCUUUGAUAAAUUUAGUUGUGUUAUUGAGAACUCAUGUGAUGGCAAAACCUUAUUUGUUGGAAAUAGAUGUGGUAAUGUUUAUAUCAUUGACAUAGAAUGUGCAUCUACUCUUGAUAAAUGUUUUUCGGCAUUGCAUGAUGAUUGUUGGUUAUGGCAUAGAAGGUUAGGACAUGCAAGUAUGGAUUUGAUUUCAAAAAUUUCGAAAGAUGAUUUGGUUAAAGGUCUUCCGAAAAUUGGUUUUCAAAAGGAUAAGAUUUGUGAAGCUUGUCAAUUUGGAAAACAAAUUAAAACUUCUUUCAAGAAUAAAAACCAUAUUUCUACUUCAAAACCACUUGAACUUCUUCACAUAGAUCUUUUUGGGCCAUCUAGAUAUGCAAGUCUAAAUGGCAAAUAUUAUGCAUUUGUGAUAGUGGAUGAUUAUUCUAGAUAUACAUAGGUAUUAUUCUUAGCCAAUAAGGAUGAUGCUCUUGAUGCUUUUAAAGUGCUUUGUAAGAAAUUACAAAAUGAAAAAGGGCAUGGUAUUGUAUGCAUUAGGAGUAAUCAUGGAGGAGAAUUUGAAAAUCAUGCAUUUGAGAGUUUUUGCAAUAAUCUAGGCAUUGAGCAUCAAUUUUCAUCACCUAGAACUCCACAACAAAAUGGAGUUGUUGAGAGAAAGAAUAGGUCUAUUCAAGAAAUGGCUAGGACCAUGUUAAAUGAAAAUGCAUUACCAAAAUAUUUUUGGGCCGAAGCCGUCAACACCGCUUGUUAUGUUUUAAAUCGGGUGUUGAUUAGACCUAAUCUUAAUAAAACUCCAUAUGAGCUUUGGAAAGAUAGAAAACCCAACAUUGGCUAUUUUAAAGUUUUUGGAUGCAAAUGUUUUGUUUUGAACACAAAAGAUAAUCUUGGUAAAUUUGAUCCAAAAUCUGAUGUUGGUAUUUUUCUUGGUUAUUCAAUUUCAAGCAAAGCUUAUAGAGUCUAUAACAAAAGAACUUUAGUUGUGGAGGAGUCCAUGCAUGUUACGUUUGAUGAAUCUAACCCCUCUUCUGCGGAGAAAGGAGUUGCUAAUGAUGAUGCAGAUGGAGAGUUACAAGAAGAAUCAUCAAAAGAGAAUCAAGAGAAUGCACCACAAGAAAAUCAAGAGGAUAGGCAAGAAGAACAAACCAAUACGGAGCUGGAGCAACAAGAAGGUAUUUCUCAAACACUCCCCAAGGAGUGGAGGUAUGUCUCUUCUCAUCCUAAAGAUGUAAUUUUAGGAGAUCCUUCACGAGGUGUUACAACUAGAUCAUCUCUUAAGAAUACUUGUGAGCAUAAUGCAUUUAUCUCUCAAAUUGAACCCAAAUCCUUUGCGGAUGCGGAAAAUGAUGAAUCUUGGAUUAUGGUAAUGUAAGAGGAGUUAAAUCAAUUUGAAAGAAACAAUGUGUGGGAAUUAGUUCCUAAACCGGAACAUCAAUCUGUCAUAGGCACUAAAUGGGUAUUUAGAAAUAAGAUGGAUGAAUCCGGGGUGGUUGUAAGAAAUAAAGCUAGAUUAGUGGCUCAAGGUUACAACCAAGAAGAAGGAAUUGAUUUUGAUGAAACUUUUGCACCCGUUGCUAGACUAGAAUCAAUUAGAAUGUUGUUGGCAUUUGCAUGUCAUAAAGAUUUCAUCUUAUUUCAAAUGGAUGUGAAAAGUGCUUUCCUAAAUGGGUAUAUUAUGGAAGAAGUGUAUGUAAAACAACCCCCUGGUUUUGAAAAUGAAAAGUUUCCAAAUCAUGUUUAUAAGUUGCUUAAAGCCUUGUAUGGAUUAAAACAAGCACCUAGAGCAUGGUAUGAUAGACUUAAAAAUUUCUUGCUAGAAAAUGAUUUUUCUAUGGGUAAAGCAGAUACUACUCUAUUUGUUAAGCAUAAGAACCAAGACAUACUUAUUGUUCAAAUUUAUGUUGAUGAUAUUAUUUUUGGUUCUACUAAUGAGUUGUUGUGUAAAGAAUUUUCAUCGUGUAUGAGCAAAGAAUUUGAGAUGAGUAUGAUGGGAGAGUUGAAGUACUUCCUUGGACUUCAAAUCAAACAAAACGAGGAAGGAAUUUUCAUAAAUCAAGCCAAGUACGUAAAAGAUCUACUCAAACGAUUCGGCAUUGAUGACUCAAAGACCAAAAAUACACCAAUGAGCACAACAACCAAGCUGGACAAAGAUUAAAAAGGCAAAGAAGUGGAUAUCAAAAUGUAUCGAGGUAUGAUCGGAUCCCUACUUUAUUUGACUGUAAGUAGACCCGAUAUCAUGUUUAGUGUAUGUUUGUGUGCAAGAUUUCAGUCUUGUCCCAAGGAAUCUCAUUUGCUUGCUGUUAAAAGAAUUUUCCGUUAUUUGAGUGGAACCAUAGAUUUUUGCCUUUGGUAUCUUAGGGGAACUCAUAUAGAUUUAACAUGUUAUUCGGAUGCGGACUUUACCGGUUAUAAAGUGGAUAGGAAGAGCACUAGUGGUACUUGCUAUAUUCUAGGACACUCUCUUGUUUCAUGGUUUAGCAAAAAACAAAAUUCUGUCGCACUUUCAACUACCGAGGCUGAAUAUAUAGCUGCCGGAAGUUGUUGUGCACAAGCACUUUGGAUGAAACAAACACUUAGAGAUUAUGGCAUUAAUCUUGAACAAAUUCCUAUUAAGUGUGAUAAUACUAGUGCUAUUAAUCUUUCAAAGAAUCCCAUUCAACACUCUCGAACCAAGCAUAUAGAAAUAAGACAUCAUUUCUUGAGAGAUCAUGUUCUAAAGAGAGACAUUGCAUUAGAGUUUAUUUCUACGGAAAAAUAACUUGCCGAUAUUUUUACAAAACCACUUUGCGAAGAACAAUUUUCCAAAAUUCGGCAUGAACUUGGGAUAAUGAUUUUUUCACAUUAACAUCUUUAUUCAUGCUAUUGAGUCUAUUAACAUUGAUUGAUCUAUGACUUGAUGCUUUAAUAUCUAUGGAAUGCUCAAUCGUAAUAUACAUGAGAUGUGUAUGGAUAUUUGAAAAUGUAUGAAUUAAUUGUUGCAAUACAUAUAUAUAUUCAAGAAUUAUGCAUUGAACUGGCACUCAAAUCAUUUUGGAUCAAUAAAAUGAUCUUGAAAUGUAUUGAUAAGUAGCCAAAUAUCAAAAUACAUGUGCGAAAUCAUAAGUUGUAGAAAACGGAUUGCCGUUAUUUCAAUAAACGGCUAACCGUUUUGGGCAGAAACAAUGGAAAAUUUUCUAUACGCUAUCGGUUCGCCGAUAACUAUCUAUCGGCUCGCCGUCCUGAUACAAAAAAAUUUGAGGAGACUCCCUGGACCCUAUCGGCUCGCCGUUAUGUAUAUAAACGGCUCGCCGUUUUAAUGAAAUUUUUGGAGGACUCUCUGGACUCUGUCGGCUCGCCGUUUUCUCUAUAACGGCUCGCCGUUAUCACGCGUAAAUUGAACAGUCCUUCGUCUUCCUCCUCAUUUCGGCUUCUCUUUCUCUCUCUCUCUCACUUCAACUCGCGGCUGCACCAGUUCUCUCCUCUCAAAUCCAUCACUUUUCUUGUCAUUUUUCACCAAAUUGAAGCAUUACAAACCACUUCUAUCAUCUCUAGCACCUUUUAACCGAUUCAAAUCCUUCUUUUUCUUCAAAUUUUGAAAAAUCUCAUCUUGAAACCCUAGAACCAGCCGAAUCUCAUUCGUUCACUUUGACCCAAAUUUCUUCAUCUUUCCAACUACUUUUCCAUCCACAAUCACUAUCUCCUCUCUCACACUUCGUUUCCACCGAUUUUUUUUUUCUCUAUGGCGGAACGACCCCAAAGGCGUGCUCGAACCAAGCACACUGCUCAGCGACGCUCUAGUCCCCCCAGGUCUCCUCCUCAAGACUUUGAGAGUCUUCAUUUUCCCGAUGCUACCUCUGCUCAGCGAUUUCGUGAGAAAUUCAUGGGUAAACCCGUAACUCCCUCUUUUUCUCUUAACAUCUCGGAGUUUUCGGAUAUUACUGUUUGUGGUAACUCCAUUACUCAAAUGCUUAAUCAUUGGCAGCAAGCAUUAAGUAUUGAAGAACCUAUUUAUGAAAAUCUAGUUCGAGUCUUUUAUUCUAGGGAAAUUUACACUCGUCCGCCUGUUUGUUUUGCCUUUUUCAAAAAUACACAAACACUUUUUUUUUUUUCAGUGCGCCACCUGAAGUUUGCUUUUUGUUGCAUUUUUCCACUUCCGUCUAAUUUUCGUUAGUGGAUUUAACGGAAUGUUAACGAAAUGACCUUUUUACCCCUCAAAAUUACAAUUUAACCCAAAAUAAAUGGAAAUUGGAGAUAAAUUGGAUGUAUUUAAAUUUUUUCAAAGGUGGAUGCUAGAAAUUAGAGGAAAAUAGUGUUUGUUGCUUGCUAAAUUUAGAAAAUUUGUAUUUAUUUUUUUGAAAGAGAAAAAAUAAAUACAAAUUUUCUAAAUCUAGCAAGUAACAAAUACUAUUUUCCUCCAAAAAAAUAAAUACAAAUUUUCUAAAUUUAGCAAGCAACAAACAUUAUUUUCCUCCAAUUUCUAGCAUCCACCUUUGAAAAAAAAUUAAAUCCAUCCAAUUUAUCUCCAAUUUCUAUUUAUUUUGGGUUAAAUUGUAAUUUUGAGGGGUAAAAAGGUCAUUCUGUUAAAUUUGCUAACGGAAAUUAGACGGAAGUGGAAGAAUGCAACAAAAAGUGAACUUCAGGUGGCGCGCUGAAAAAAAAAAAGUGUUUGUGUAUUUUUGAAAAAGACAAAACAAACAGGUGGACGGUUGUAAAUUUCCCUUUAUUCUAACAUAGAAUUCUCCUCUACUCGUCGUGACGAGCUUCAUACAUUUGUAGGAGGAAUUCGUAUUGAACUAGAUGAACCCGAAUUAUGUAGUAUUCUCGGAAUUGCUUAUGGAGGGUUAGAUCUGUACACCGCUAGGAAAGAACUUUCUUUUAGUAAUUUUCGUCAUGUGGAUGGUGUACGGAACAUUUGUCGUCGUCGGGAUCUUUCCGAUGACAUCUGCUCUCUGUCCUUCAGGUCUCAACUCCUCCCUUUUCAGAUUCGAAUUCUUCACAUUAUUCUCCAACACAUGGUCACUCCUAGACAGGGUCACACUGAUGAGGUCACUAGGCUUGAUAUUGGUCUAUUAGAUUCUCUUAUCCGUCGACGCCAUGUGAGCCUAUCCUACACUAUUAUGUGCCAUAUGUUGUCCACCCCUAAAGUCUCCAAUCGAUCUCUUCCUUAUGGCAGCAUCAUUACUAAAAUCUUGAACCACUUUCAUGUUCCUAUCGUCGAGCCUGUUUUUCUCGAGACUCGUAAGCUCGGACGAGAAAUUAUUUCUGCCAUCGGAUUCUUUAAGAAGCGUGGGAAAUGGGAUAAGACCACAUCCUCUAAAAACGAAGACACACUGCUUGCACCAGAGGAUGAUCGCAUGUUGAAUGACGUCUACUCUGAGGAUGAGCUACCUGAUUUCCGUCUUGGGGCUAGACCGCGUGUUCCACGCCGGGCAGCUGCACCAGCAGCACCUGCAACACCUGUAGCACCAGCAGCACCUGCAGCACCAGCAGCAGCUGCAUCUCAGGAUGACGAGCCUACCGAGACUGUCGUCCCUCCUGCGGCAUCAGCUGUUCCUGAGGAUCGCUUCCAGCAGCUUCUCGACCGAGUGGAUGCCCUGUCCCAGUAGCAGCAGCAGCUUCGAUCUAAUUUUGCAACCUUUCGGGAGCAAAUUUCUGAUCAGCAGAUAGAGUUAAUUGCAGGACAGCGUCGCAUUCUCGGCUAUUUUGGAUAUGACCCCGGCAGCUCGUCUUCCCAGCCCCCAUCUUAGAUUUCUCUGCCCCUCUGACAUUCGCACAGACAUCUUUCAUUUCAUUUUCCAUAUGUGUAUGAUAUUAUUUGUGUUCUGUGUGUUAUGUGUUUUGUGAUUAUGCUUUUGAUAUUUCUUGUUGGACAUAUGCACUUAAUUUCUGUUUGGGUUGUUUUUGGUGUUAUAUUGAUUAUAUUGCUCAUUCUAGAAGUGUGAAUUUGUUGGUAUGGAGGUUGGUUGAUAUGGUGGUAUAUUUAUAUGGAAGUAUUUUUCUUUUUAACUCUGUGUGUUGUUGAGGAACUGCUCAUAUUUCAGAGGAGACUCUGCCCAAAUUUCUCCAAACAUAAGUCAUUCGUCGCGUAUCUUUCUUUUUGAUGAUGAAGGGGGAGAGAAAUUGGCAAAAUGCAAAAUUGGUUUUGGCAAAAUAGUAUUGGCAUGCAUGUGUUUACUGGCAUAAUUUUUUUUUUUUUCAAUCUGUCGUGUUUAAAAUUUUGAGAUUAACAGUUGAAUUUUUUUUAACAAGGGAGUUAACAAGUCUUUCAAAAUUUCACUUAGGGGGAGCACAUAUUUAGGGGGAGCAAAAAUUGCACAAGUAUUUUCUUGAAAAGUUUGUCAUCAUCAAAAAGGGGGAGAUUGUUAACAUAAAUUAUUCUUUAUUGAUUUUGAUGAUAACAAACAUGAUUAAGAUUGAUUAAUCGUUUUAAAAGCUCAACAUAAUUUUCAUCUAUUUUGACAAGUUUCAUAAAGUAUUUUUUUAAAGAUUUGGAGACAAAACAGUCAUCAUGCAAAAUAGUUCACUGCAGCAGUUUUUGUGGAAAACGGCGAUCCGACAUGUGUAGUAAACGGCUCACCGAUUUCAAGCAGAAAUGGAGAUUAGCCUCUGGACCAAAACGGCGAACCGACAUAUGUGAUAAACGGCUCGCCGAUAUCAACCAGUAGCCUCUGGACCAAAACGGCGAACCGACAUAUGUGAUAAACGGCUCGCCGAUAUCAACCAGUAGCCUCUGGACCAAAACGGCGAACCGACAUAUGUGAUAAACGGCUCGCCGAUAUCAACCAGUAGCCUCUGGACCAAAACGGCGAACCGACAUAUGUGAUAAACGGCUCGCCGAUAUCAAUCAGUAGCCUCUGGACCUAAACGGCGAUCCGAUAUCUAGAUAACGGCGAUCCGACAAUUUGACAAAUCAGCCCAACGAUCAUAUUGACCAGUCAAACGGCGAUCCGACAUCUAGCUAACGGCGAUCCGACAGUAUGCAGAAAGUCAAUAACGGCUAGUUUUCAGCAGCAGCUAUAAAUAAGCUCAUUCAAAUUCAAACAAAGAUUGAUCACAACACAGCCAUUGAGCAAAUAUUCGAGAAUACAAUCUUCAUAGAGCUUAAAACACAUUCUCUCUUCAUCUAUUCACAAAUUGGGCAUUGAUUUGUAAUCUUUUACUUUGAGUGAUUGUAAGUGUUGGGAUACACUUGGGUUAAGAGAUUGGGGAUAAUCUCUUGUUGUAAAGGUUUAUUGACACCUUGGAAGUCAAGUGUAAGCAUUUGAAGCCUUGGAGGCUUGCUUAGUGGAAUCCUCAAGCCCGGAAAGCUUGGAGGCGUGGACGUAGGCGAGGUUAGCCGAACCACGUAAAAAUCUCGGUGUUUGAAUCCCUCUUCCCUUAUCUUUUUAUAUUGUGAUCAUCUUAAUUGUCAUUGCUUUGAAUUUGAUUUAUAAUUGUAUUAAGUUUUUCUUCAAUAAAUUGAAUAAUUUUUUUUGAAACCCGAUUCACCCCCCCUCUUCGGUUGCAUACUUGUAUUUCAAGGGCUCCACAUAUCUUCGUAGUGGAUCCGAGUGGCUCGUCUUUGGUUAAAAUUCAUCUCACGGCCCCUUAUUUGAACUUCCAUCACCAUCGGGCAAUGAUCAGAGGUCCAAGUGUCAAUAUUAGUAGCUACAACAUCUGAAAAAAUGUCUCUCCAUGAGCUAUUACAAACAAAUCUAUCUAGCCGUUCCUCCACAAAAGUGGGGCUGAACCUUCCAUUACUCCACAUAAAAGGGUACCCCUUGUAACUAAUAUCUAAACGAUCACAGUCUCGGAGAGCUUCUCUAAAAUCAGUAAUUAAGCUUAACUGCCUCUCAUUUCCCCUACUCUUCUCCAACGGAUGAAGGAUCUCAUUAAAGUCUCCGAAGCAUGACCAAGGGGUGGAAGAUAAACCCGAUAACCGCCUCAAUAAUGUCCAUGUAUGCUUUCUCUGUCUCAUGUCUGGGUGACCAUAAACCCCCGUACAUCGAAUAAGCUUCCCAUUUUCCAUCACUAUCUUAGCAUCAAUGUGAUGCUAAUUGAAAGAUUUAAUUUGCACUUUUAUUUCAGACUUCCAAAGUAAGGCUAGACCACCUCCUUUUCCGAUACUACUCACAGCAAAGCAAUUUUCAUAAUUUAGUUUUCUACUGACCUCAUUCAUAUGCAUAGUCUUCAGCUUCGUUUCACAUAAAAAAAAACUAGGCGAAGACCGUGCACUUGGAGAAUUUUCUUGAGAGCUAGAUACAUUCGGGGAUUCCCCAGACCCCGAAUGUUCCAACUGAGUAUUUUCAUGGCUUCCGGCGGGGGCUGGUAGCCAACCCCGCCGAUAUCUCCUCUAAGCUUAAAGCUGUAAGCUCCAUUUCCUCUGUUGCUAACAGCUCCCAGUGCAACUUGGUUUGUUCUGCUAUCAAAGAAAGUUUCUUCAUUUCCGAAUGGCUUGGGUCAUCCACUUUAGUUUUCUUUAGCUUCGAGUUUGGCCCUGCUGCCUCGCUAUUUGGCCUUUUAUGAGUUCUUAGGCCCAAGCUUGCUCCCCCUUCAUUUUUUGUGGCACGUGCCUGCCUCUUCCAUUUGUUUUUGUUUAACUGAGUUUGGGAUUUAUCGGCCUCGGCAUAUAUUUUCGUUUCCUCAGCUUCCUCUUGGGCUGCAUUUGAGCCCAAAUUCUCCUUGUGUUUCUCGGCCCUGACUACUUCCAUUUUUUCCCCCUCAAUUGAGUUUACAUUUCCCGCCUCAAUUCUCAAAUCUCUAGGGACUGUUACAUUGCCAGUACUGCCUCCCUGCAUUUCGCCGUUAGCCUGCUUCGUAGCCAUCAUUUCUGUCACGCUCUUCAUUAAAUGUUGUUCACCCACCCACUCCACCUCUCUAGUCCUAUCAAUCUCCUUAGUUUGACCCAUUUCCUCCUCCCUGGAUCCUAACCUAUUUUUGUCAGCUGGUUUCACUUGCUCCUGCUGGAGCUGUUGGGACUUAUCAUGGAAUUUUGAACUUGUCGAUUUUUCAGUUCUUUCACCUCUGUUCUACCAUCUUUCUUUGCCUCGGUAUUUCCUUGAGCGUCCCCUGAUUAUGAGUGCUUUCAUCCACAUCCCAAAUGAGAGAUCUUCUUUUGGUUGGCCUUGGUAUUGAGCACACUCCUUGAAUUGAUGACCGAUAAUGCCACAGCAGAAGCAAAAAUUUGGCAAGCAUUCAUACACCACUAGCAUUGGAAUAUCUGUCUUGCCCUCUUGUUUUAGGAAUAAGAUUUUCUUCAAUGGCUGUGUUAUGUUGAUGAAAAUCCUGAUUCUUGCAAAUUCCCCAAAGCAAUCCCCAUUCUCAUCUGUUUCAAUUUCUUCCACUUUUCCUAUCAUUCCCCCGAGCUCUUGCAGAAAGUCCCUCUCCAUACACGCAAUUGGAAUAUUGCGUAUCUGCACCCAGAAGGGGACGUGAGUAAAAUUUUGCUUUGAAACCUCUCCAAUAUCUGUUGGCUCGGUGAGGACAAUCAACGCCCUAUCAAAAUGCCACGAGCCUCUAGCUAGAACUCUUCUUUUAUCAGCUUCUUCCGCGAAUUUGAACAUAAAUAUAUUAUUUCCCAGACUCUCGAUCUUAACCUCUUUAAAAGUUCGCCAUACCUGCUGUAAAGCAACUUUAAGCCCUUCUCUGUUAACACCUCUUGAUAGGAGUACCUUACCCAUCAGGCAUCCUGCUAACACUUGCCCUCUUUGUUCUUUCAUGUUUACUCCCAAUGACAUUUUGCUUUUGUCUUCCUCUCUAAUCGUGAUUGCUUUGCACUUACGGAUUAAUUCUUCAGUGUCCAUGGAGUUAUUACAAGGGAGAGAUUUGAUAAUAAUAAUCACCUAACAAGAAGACCCUGCGAAAUAAACCCCUCACCUACUCUGCUCUAGCCUUUACUGCACUUCAACUGGAAAAACUUACGUAACGUAACUAAUCUAACUUCAAACUAGAAAACAACACUCACUCUCGGAGUGACCAUGUGGGUCAUACAGGCCCCUCAAAGUACUUCCAUUCAUGAGGCUGUAUCGGAGAGAGAGAGCUCUCGUGAAGGAAGAUUCUAAGUGAUCUGACAUUCUAAACUUUAUAUUCAAACUUUGUAAGAUCAUCAUUUCUCCUUUUUUAUUUAACAAAAAAAUUAACUUCUUGCAUGAUCUAAUUGGUCUCGUUUCCUCUCAACAACGUUUUCUUUAAAACACACUUUUAAAGCCAAUCUCUACAUCUCUCGGAAAACUUUUCCUCCCCAAACUCCUCAUCUCUUCCUCACCAAAUCUUUGGAGGCAAAAAUCUUUCUUGCCUUCUCCAGUGGAUUCUUGGUUUUUUUUUUUUGGUUGCACCCACCUCUUCCUUAUGAUUUGAGGAUGGGUGUCUUGUUCUGGCCUUCUUCACCCUAAGCUGGUUGUUCUAGUUCAAUUUUCUCCUCCUUUGGUUUUGAGGAUGGCUGCUAUGCGUCCAUUCAGAUCUUGAUCUGUGAUGGUAAUAAUGUACCUGUUAUGGUGAUAAUGUUGGUUUAAUUUCUAAUUUCCAGUACAUAACCCUUCAACUUUUAGAUCUCGAGUCUAUGUUUCUCAUGUUUGUAAAGUUAGAGGGUGUGAAUCAAUUUUAACGAUAAAUCUAUUUUGCUACUAGCUGGAAAGCAUAAAUAUGGUGGUGGAGAUUAUUUCGAAAGAGCCAUGGAAUCCCAAAUGGAGCUUGAAUUAUAUGUGCAGUACGAAUGGAAGUGUUUCUUCCUAUUCUUUAAUAAAAUUUUAGGGGUUAAUUCAAUUGAUUACUGUAAUAGAUCUCUGUAACUAAACAGAUCUCUGUAUUUUGAUCUUUAUAAUGUGAACUAGUGAUGUACUGCAAGUAGUUGUAUUGUUGUUAUUUUUUUAAUGAAAUAUUAAUACUUUCCUAUCAGAAAAAUCUUAAAAUUUUAGCUUUAAUUCAGACAAAAUAAAGGAAAAAGAAAAAACCAGCAAUGUACUUUAAAAGGGAGCAAAAAGGGAAUAACAAGAAGAGCUUGUUAAAGAAAGAAGCUGAGAGAGUCAGUGGGUUGGUGAAUGAUGAUAUUGUUGUUGUUGUUGUUGUUACUAUUAUUUAUGUCGUAAAAGCAUAUGCAGAGAGAGGCAGAGCAACCCAAUAAAAUCGCAUGGUUAAUAUUAGUUGGUUUUAUGUUGGAGUUGAUCCAACCUAGCCAAAGCCUUAUUUAAAUCCGAACAAAUGGUGGGACUUGGACUUAAGACUUGUUUCUACAAACAUUGAGUGUUUAGCUGCUGCAAAAUUUCAUAACUUAAUUUUAGUUGAUGUGGCAUGUGUCCUAUCACAUAAAUGUAGAUAAUAAUUAUUAAUACAUUAACAAAAUGAAAAUUAUUAGUUUACAAAUUACAAAUCUGAAUUUUUUGUUUGUGAGAGGGAAUUCAAAAGGGAGAGACUAAACAAAUGUGGUGACAAACGACAUGUAUUACCAAAACUGAAAAUACGAAAUCUAGGCAACUGAAAACAUCUCUAUCAAUUGCAAUGAACCGAUCAAAACCAUUUAUAAUUAACCAAAAUCAAACUAAAAAAAAAAUCAAAACUACUAUUUGUUUUGAUCAUCCCUGCUUCUUCUUCUUAGCAUAGCUCUUGGAAUAAAAAUUAACAAAACGUGCCAAAAGGGAAGCAUUAAACACAGCAUUAAACCCAAAAUCCCUGCGCAACCAAAUCCCGUAAAAUGAUAAUACAGACUGCUUCGUCUGUAGCAGUCUGUGUUAUCAUUGGUUAUUGAUAAUACAUUGGUUAUUGAUAUUUUGAGGUUUUAAUCUUAAAUAAUAAUAACAAAAGAAUAAAAUUUUAUCAAGAUUUAACGAAAUAAGUUGUAGCUUAAUAAUUGGUAAAUUAGGAAUGUCAACCAAAUAUCGUCAAAAUAAAUAAUAAAUUGUCGAGUUGAGAAAAUUUAUUUGAAUAAUUUUUAUUUUUUUUUUGUCUAUCAUUGUAAAUUUAAAUAGGGACAAACUUGUGGGGUGCCAAUAUUACCACUCUUAAUACUAUACAUAACAUUCUAAAAAAGAAAUUAGAGCGGUGAUAACCCUUUUUUUUCAAUUAACUACAUCCUUUUUUUCUGAAAUAUCCUUUUUUUUGCAUUGGUCACAAACAAAGACUGCUUCGUCUGCAGCCAAAGGUAGCACAUUACGACGACGGUUGCAUGGUGGUAGACGUGGAGGAACCUGAGGCGCUGGAUGGAGUUUGACAAAACGAUCAAAAGGGUGUCUAGGAAUUCCAGUAUUUCGAAAAAGGUAGAAGAUGUAAGCGUAGAAGAAGAGGGGGCCGGAGGGAGAAAUGGUGGGGGGGAAACAGAGGGUGUAACGGAGGUGGGGUCAGGGACGGAGCCAGCAUGGGACGAGGUUGGGCACAGGCCCCAGCUGGCUUUUAAUUUUUUUUUAUAAUUAUAGUAAAAAAUUGUAUUUUAUUGUUAUUUAUGAAAAAUGCCCCAGCUGAAUUGUAAAAUUUGAAAUUGACUCCAAUAAUUUUAAAAUAUUUCAUAUUGUCCCUAGUUUAAAUUUCUAAUUAUAAAUAAUUUAAUUAGUUAUUAAAAUUUCAUGAAACUUGAUUAAAGAUACGAGAACAAAUAUUAAAAUAAAAAACAAUCAUAAGAAAAUGUUAGUAUAAUGAUUAAUGGACCAAUCUUUAAUCUUGUUAGUAUAAUGAUUAAUGGACCAAUCUUUAAUCUUUUUUAUUUUUUAUUCAAGUAAAAUCAAUUAUUUAAUCUUUCAACACUGAACCAUAAGUUGUCAAUCUACCUAAUUCUAAUUUUUAAUUUUCUAAUUAAUCUUUUGUCUAGUUUUAAAAUUUAUAAUUUUAUCAUGCAUUUCAUAUUUGUUCUGUGUUGCAAUAUAUGAAUAUUUUUGUUAUUAUUAAAAGAUUUUAAGAGCAAAACAAGUAAUAACCUAGUCUUGUAUAUUGAAAAAUAUUUUUUUGCUUAUAUUGAUAAUGCAUUAUUUUCAACUCAUAAAAUUUUAUUGAGGAGUUUUCACGGAGAACCAUUGUAAUAAGUAAAUUUAUUAUCAAUGAAUAUUAUAGUUGUAAUGUUAUGUAUUGCUAUCUAAAUUUUUAGAAAUGUAUUAUACUUUAAAUAUAGUUUCAAUUAGAUUCAUACAGAUGCACUUUAUAAGGAGCACAAUUGUACAUGUAGCAAGCUCCCAUUUGGAGUUUAUGGGGUCCAUAAUACAGUUUCCUAAAUAAAGACUUAUCGCAUGAGCAAUCCCACAUUCGAGUCAUGUUUAAUUUUAAAUGUGCCCUGGCUCGAUCAAAAUCCUAGCUACGUCCGUGGGUGGGGUGAGUGGAGGAUGAUGGAGAGGGUGCAACCAACAGCCAUGAUGAGGGAGAGGAGGAGGAGGGUGAGGUUAUGGACGGCUGUGAUGGGCUUGAGGACGUGGGGUCCAAUGAGAGGUGAUGAUGAUGGUGAUGUUGACGUUAAUGUGUGGUAGAGGAUGGAUGUGAGGGAGAGGUAAGUGAGGAUGGAGAGAAUGAGGAAGUUUAGGGAGGAAGCUGGGGUUUGGUUUUCAGUCCAUGUGAAGUUGAGGAUUUGUGGGUGGUUUACAAGCCAAUGUUGGAGAGUUGAGGUGAUUGAAUUUGAAGCCAUGGCUGGUGUGUUUUUUUUUUUUUUUUUUGGUGGGGGGGGGGGGGGGGGGGGGAGAUUUGGAAGAGAUGAUGUUGAGAGGAGCGGGGGAGUUUAGAAAGUUAGGGAUAAUAUGAGGGUAUUUUGGGCAUAUACUGAUGUCUUAGCUUAAAUUUUGAAAAAGAAAAUAAUAAUAAACUCUUUUUUCACAUGAAUUUAAUACUCCGAGUGUGUUUCCAAGAAUUGUUCUUCUUUUUCUAUUUUUGGAUUUUGAAUCAUAAUUUUUCAAUUUAUUAAUGGCUCUUCAAUUACAAAAUAUGGAAAGAGGGGAUGGGGUGUAGUGCCUAGGCAUCUGUGACAACGGCACUUCUGGACGUGGGUUUCAUUAUUAUUAUUAUUAUUAUUAUUAUUUGGCUAUUUCUGCUCAAUCAAACUUGUGGAUUGCAUGCACUCAACGUGGAAUGGACGCAAUGGAUUUGCUGGGAUCACCCAAGCCGAAGAAGCAUGAACCUGGGACCAAUUUGUUGACAAAAAUUUAGGCAUAAAAUAUACAAAUCAAAGUCGAGUAAGAUUUAAGUAUAAUUGGGGAAUGUCUUCUACGGUGAAGUACAUCGAGUAAGGACUUCUACAAUCGCGCUAGAAAGUACAACUAAAAUCCGGUAAGUGUUUCGUAGAGCAUAAUUUUUAGGGUCCAACGUUAAGAGUAUUUUGUAAACAUUUAUAAUUAUUACUUAAAUUGAUCUAAUCUCAUACUCCAUUAUAGAAAAAAAAACUAAAAUAUCUCUAAUAAUUUUAUCAAAAUUAUUAUUUAACAAUCAUAUUUACUCUAUAAUAUCAACGUUUAUAUUAUAAUUAGAGCUAAUACUAAACAAGGACUCGAAUACGAUCAAGUAAUUAAAAGUUUUAGCUUUUUGGUAUUGCAAGAUGAUUCAAACUUAAACUAGCGAUCAAAAGUCUAUCAAAGAAAUCACAAAGACGCUUUUUUUGACAAAUCCGCAUUAGAAUUUGCAAAAUUUAACAAAGAGAGUGAAUAAGAUUCCAAAGUAAAUCAACUUUAUUAAGAAUUUUACUGGAGAAAAAUUGGAAUAUACGAAGUUGUAUCACAUAUGAUAUUUAGACAUCAAGAAAAGAAUCCAUCUAUCAGUGAACUAUACUUGCCAGGAAACACAGUGAAUACCACCACCUCCCUACUAGUUCUUCCCCUUCAACAGAGUCGACAUUCCCUUGUUUGAUGCCAAGGAGCCCAAGCCCGGAGACAAUGGCAUUCUUUGAUAUCAACCGCUUUGGGGACUUUUGAGUUGAGCUAUUGACAUCCUGAGACAGCCUGUGCCUUCUUCAAAAGGUCAUCUGACUGAAGUAGCGGAUCCGCUUCCACUCCUAGCCAAGCAAGCUUUGAUCUUUCUCCUAAUUGGACAUUAAAAACCCUGCAUGGAAUCCAUUUGAGAAGUUGAACAAUAGACAAAGUCCAACAUAUGUAGGUAGUAAAGAAGAAUUUGGACGGCAAUUACUGAUUGUUUACGCACAGGGCUGAACAAAUGGGUAUAUUAAGGCACUUAAAAGUUAGAACAAUAUUCACCACUUGUAUUUCCUUAGAGAACUAUCUCAGAGUUCAGUUAAUUUAAAACCUUCGAGAUAUAAUUAUCAUCAUCAAUCUUUUGCAGCCACAUGCGGUACUUGGAAAACUGUUUAUGGCCCCUAAAGAACUGGAAAAUCAGAGAACAUUAAGAACAAGAGACUACUAAUUUUGAUCGCGACCAAGCGUACACACUAUGAAAAUCUAAAAUUGAAUUACUCCGAAUGAAUGUGCCUCUUAACAGGAAUUGCACAAGCUAAUCCUUGCAGCCUGCGUCAUGGAGCUUCUCGCAAUGAGUAAGUGAGCCUUGAACAGUUAGCUCAAACUAAAAUGAAAUUGCUGUGGACAUGUGAAUUAAAAAUAGAUGUAAAAGCAGUUUUCUCAAAGCAAGGACAAGAUAAGAGAUUAACUCUGCUUCUUAGUUACAUUAAAAAUAACAAACAAUGAAAAAACAGAGCUAGAGAAGAACUUACCUGUGCGUUGAGACCACGUGGGGAAUGUGAGAUAUCUUCUUAGAUUUGGUUUGAGAAACUCCAUCUUCUUCUGAAAGUUCUGACAGUUCCCUAAACCCAGGCCAAUACAAUUGCAACAGAAACUGCAUGCUUUAACCAGCAUCUGAUCAUCUCCUGUUAUUUCAAGACAAUAAAAACUUAAUUGCAACACUGCAUGCUUCAACCAUUAACCUUCUCAAUUUCAACACUUCUUUUGUCCCCCGCCCAAUGCCCUUAUUAGAGUGAGUGAGAAAUUAAGUACAUAUCAGUGAUUUGGGUUGUUAGUGAAUGUUUUUCUUUAAUAUUGUUAGUGAAUGUUAGUGAAAGGUGAUGAUGGUGGUGAUGUUGAUGUUGAUGUGUGGUAGAGGAUGAAUGUGAGGGAGAGGUAAGUGAGGAUGGAGAGAAUGAGGAAGUGAGGGGAGGAAGCUAGUGUUUGGUUCUGAGUCCAUGUGAAGUUGAGGAUUUGGGGGUGGUUUACAAGCCACUAUUGGAGUGUUGCGGUAAUUGAAUAUGAAGCCAUGGCUGGUUUUUUGGGGGAGAAAGAUUUGGAAGAGAUGAUGUUCAGAGGAACGGGGGAGUUAAAGUUUUGGGAUAAUGCGGAGGGUAUUUUGGACAUAUUGUUAUCUUAGCUUAAAUUUUAAGAAAAAGAUAAUCAAUAAUAGGCUUUUUUUUCAUGUCAAUUUAAAACUCCGAGUGUGAUUCCAAAAAUUGUUUUCGUUUUUCUAUUUUGGAUUUUAAAUCGUAAAUUUAGUAAAGGAAGUUAAAUCAAGUGAUCACUUAUUAUUAUUAUUAUUUUAAUGUAAAGCAAUUUUUUUUUUUUUUGUGAUUUAAGCAAAUAUUGAGUUGCGUACUUUGACAAUAUUAAUAUUUGAUUCGAAAUUUCAUCUAUUGAAACUACAAAAAUUAAUAUUUUCUAAUAAAUCAAAACUAAAAUUAAAAGAUGACUCAUUAUCUGCCGACUGUCAUUAAACGAAGCCAUCACUCACGCAAAAAAAAAAAAUGAUAUAUUUAUUUUAACGUAAUUUCAUACCAACAAAUCAUUCUUUUCUUUCGAACAAUGACCUCUUUAAUUAUCCAGGGCUUUGUGAUAACAGCAUCUUUGGACGUGAGUGUCAUUAGACUUUUGGGUCAAUCAGACUUGUGGAUUACAUGCACUCAACGUCGAUAAUAUAGAAAUGGGAGAAAAUUAUGUCAGUAAAAUCAAGUCAGUCAAAUAAAAAUUGUGUAUUUUUGAAAAAGUUGAAAAAACCAGGUUGACAGUGCAUAAUUUUCUAACUCAGUAGAAUUUCCUAAAGUUGGAGUAAAUAAGACUCCAAAGGAACAUGGCAAUUAUUAUUAUCUAAGAAAUAAUUCAUAGCUAAAACAAAAUUAAAUUUCCUAACUCACUAGAAUUUAACUGGAGAAGAAUUGGAAUAUACAACGUUGUAUCACAUAUAGUAUUUAGACAUCAAGAAAAGAAUCCCUGUAUCAGUGAACCAUACUUGCCAGAAAACACCAGGCGAAUACCACCACCUCCUACUAGUUCUUAGGUGUCUCAGAGUUUGAGGACGACUUCCAUGCUAUGUCUCUUCGACAGGCAGCAAAAUUGGGCAAUUGACUGCAUCAACUCCAAGAAAUUUAUGCAGUCACCUUCCUCCGGACUAUCUUGUUUGACGCCAAGGAGCCCAAGCCCAGAAACAAUGGCACUCUUUGGCAUCAACCACCUGGGGACUUUUGAGCUGAACCAUGACAUCCUGAGAUGGGCUGUUGUGUAAGCCUUCUUCAAAAGGUCAUCCGUUGAUCUUUCUCCUAAUUAGACCAUCAAAACCCUGCAUGGAAUCCAUUGGAGAAGUUGGACAAUAGACAAACUCCAACACACACAGACAGUAAAGAAGAAUUUAGACCGCAAUCACUGUGGCUGAACAAAUGGGCCUAUUAAAAGUGGGAACCAUAUUCACCACCCGCAUUUCCUUAGAGAACUAUAUCAGAAUUCUGUAAAUUUGAAACUAUUCUUACAUAUUUAACUGUAAAACAAGAGAAAUUGUACUUCCGUAGCAAAGUCUCACUAUUGGUAAGUAUCUGGACUUGGAAAGGAUGCUAGUUGAUUAAGUAAAGGAAAAUUGAAAUCAGACUUUGAGGUGAUAGAUCUAUAUCCACUUUUAUAGGAACCGCAUUAACAUCAUAUGAGACAAUUAAACAAAUAACCCAGUCAAAGUUCAACAAACAAAACAUUAAAACAAGAGUAAUUUGGUCUAUCAAUGUAUAUUUAGAGAUGUCGAUCAAUAGACAAAUACGUAAACGAGAGACGGAGAGACCUCAAAGCCGUGCUUAAGAACAGUGCUACUCCAAUAACAUCAAAAUGGUUGGUGACCGCUCUAUCAAAUCCACACAAUAGCUGAUAUCUCAUGUUUUCAUAUAGUCCAAUGAAAGCACCAUAACCAGGCGCUUUAGUACUUACAGAUGGGAUUGUCACAGGUUGUUAACAUAUAUGUUUCCAUAAUAUUGAUUUUGAUGAUAACAAACAAGAUUAAGAAUGAUUAAUCUUUUAAGCUCAAAUUAUUGAAAAAUAUAUUUUAAAUAAAUCAUUAUUUUUACAUUAUAAAUGUUUUAUAUUUAAUGGAAAAAUGAUUUUAUGAAAUUGAUUAUUUUUAUUCUUUUUAAAUAAAUCAUUAUUUUCACAUUAUAAAUGUUUCAUAUUAAUGGAAAAAUGAUUUUAUAAAAUUGGUUGUUUUUCAAAGUUUAUGGUUUAAUUAAAAGAAUUUUAAAAACUUUGAAAUAAAGAAGUAUUGCUUGAAAUUUUGGUAAAAGACUUAUUUGAAAAGUGUCAUUGUAUUGUGGGCUAUAUCAUAAUUUCAUAAAGUUUUGGAAAUAGUAAGUAUUAUUUAGAAAUUCUGAAAUUAGAUUUAUUUGCAAAGUUUUAUAACGUUUUGGGCCAUAGUACAGUUAUAUAAAAUUUGAGGGUCAAACUGUUAUUUUACAAAAUAGUUCACUGUAGCAGUCACUGUAGAAAACGGCGAUCCGACAUUUGGUUAACGGCUCGCCGACUUCGAACAUAAUUGAAGAUUAGUCUCUGGACACUAACGGUGAUCCGACAUCAGUUAACGGCGAUCCGACAAUUUGAAAAAUCAGCCCAACGGUCAUAUUGACCAGUCAAACAGCGAUCCGACAUCUAGCUAACGGCGAUCCGACAGUGUGCAGAAAGUCAAUAACGGCUAGUUUUCAGCUCCAACUAGAAAUAAGCUCAAUCCAAUUCAAACAAGAAGAAUUCCAACGAUCAUCAUUGAGCAAAAUAUUGAGAAUACAACUUUCAUUGAGCUUUAAAUCUUUGUAUUCAUCUCAUUCAUUCACACAUUGAGCUUUCACUUGUGAUCAAACACAUUGUGUGAGAGAGAUUCAUUUGUAAUCCUUUUUGUAAAAUCAAGUUAAAAGAUUGUAAGUGUUGGGAUACACUUGGGAUAAGAGAUUGGGGAUAAUCUCUUGUUGUAAAGGUCCAUUGACACCUUGGAAGUCAAUUGUAAGCGUUUGAAGCCUUGGGAGGCUAGCUUAGUGAAAUCCUCAAGCCCGGUGUGCUUGGAGGCGUGGACGUAGGCGGGGAUUGCCGAACCACGUAAAAAUCCUUGAGUUUGCUUUCUCUUCCCUUACUCAUUUAUUAUUGUGCUUUUAUUGAAUUUAUUGUUUUCGAAUUUGUUAAGGCAUUAGAUUGGAUUUGUGUGUGGUUUGCCUAGGAUAAUUUUUAAAAUCCCAAUUCACCCCCCCUCUUGGGUUGCCUAGUUAGUAUUUCACAGGUAACCUGUCAGACAUCAAAUAUGGCCCAAAUUUACAAAUGGGAUUGUCGCGUUAGUGCUUAGACAGUAAACAUUUGCUCUAGUAGCCUGAUUAAACAAGAAAUCGAGACAAGUGUUCAAAAUUUUAAUCUUUAUAUAUAGCCAAAAUGAUAAUGUAGUUGAUAAUACUGACCUGAGUUAAUAAAUACGGGGCUGGUAACAAUCACAGCAUCUCAUCAUGUGGGGAAAGCCUUCACAACAGAAGACGCUGCUUGCUUUGAAGCAAUAAUAACUUUCCAAUUCCAUAAGGUAGCUUAAUGACCUUUUAGGAUAUCAGCACCAGCCUAACAAUUAUUCAUGGAAAUUCGAUUUGCAUUUAUCACCUUUAAUUUGCUCAUCUUUGCCUAGAGUAUUGUUUUUGCGUAAACUUAACAAGCUUGUAAGCCACCUACAAAUGGUUUUAAAUAUGUGCGAGAGUGUGAAUUCGAACGAAUUAAUCAAAUAUGAUGACAGAAGAAACAAAAGCAAAACAACCACAAGACGUAGAAAUAUAUUUUUGUUAUAUUUAGAGCAUCUUCUACGGUCUUCUUUUCCUUUAGCUCUGUUUCUGUGUGUGUUCAAACGCAAUGCCUCAAGGCUCAAGAUGUUAGGAAAUUAGUGGGUGAAGCAGGACCGCAGCUAAAGUAAAAUUGGAAGAAAAAUAAAGAACAAGCACAAUAGAGGACACUAGAAAUUACUUGGUUCGGCGUUUAGCCUACGUCCACGGGUGAAAACAAAAGGAAAAUAUUAUACUAGUGAAAAAGAGUUACAAGUACUGUAGUAUUUUAGCUCACUACCUAAAACCCCAAUACACCCAAACUCUCAAAUUACUAGACUCUUAAAAUCACUCUCUAAAUAAAGAAAAGAACUGAAGAACUCGAUGAUUUACAAAUGAAGGGAGCCAGCAUUUUUAUAGCCAAAAUUGGUUACUGUUUAUUUAAUAUUUUAUUAUUAUUAUUAUUAUAUUAAUUUUUCUUUUCUUUUCCUUCUUCGGCCUGACAUCUCUUUUUCUUCCCUCUUUCUUCUUUUUCCUUUUUUUCUUUGGUUUCUUUCUUUGGGCGGCACCUCUUUUUUUUUUUUCUUCUUCAAACUGCUUCUUUUUCCAUUUUCCUUUUCAAGCAUUUUGGCUGGCCCAUUUUCAACAUUUCUAGAAGAGUGGUGCCCCAUAUUCAACAUUUCUCUCACUUAGAGAUUUGAUUGAGAAUCAAUCAAUCUCCACACCAUCCUUUCUGUUUCGCCAUAGUCAUGUUACCUACGUUUCUGCUAGGCCACAAGACGAUCUACUCCAGACAAACUUGUCAGUAUUGAUUGGCUUGAUCAUAACAUCUGCUAGGUUCUCUUUCGUAUGGAUUUUCUAUAAAUCUACACUUCUGUCUUCCACUACUUCUCGAACGAAGUGAUACUUAACUCCUAUGUGCUUUGUCCUGGAAUGAAAGGCUGGAUUCCUUGCAAUGUGCAAGGCACUCUGACUGUCACAAAACACAUGAAUUUUCUGUUGUUUCUGCCUGACCUCCUCCAAUAAUCUUUGUAUCCAAAUAGCUUCCUUGCAAGCUUGUAUAGCUGCCAUGUACUCUGCUUCUAUUGUAGAUAAAGCCACAACGGUCUGCAGUUUUGAAACCCAGCUUACAGCUGCUCCUGCAAGUGCAAACACAUAAUCAGUAGUGGAUUUCCUUUUAUCAAGGUCUCUUACAAAAUCUGAAUCCACAUAGCCCCUGACAGUAAACUCUGAUCUUCCAUAACAUAAUGUAACAUCUGAGGUUCCUCUGAUGUAUCUCAAAAUCCUCUUCGCAGUUAUCCAAUGCUUUCCACCAGGAUUCGUCAUGUAUCGACUAAUUGCUCCCACUGCUUGUGCAAUGUCUGGUCUUGUACAUAUCAUAGCGAACAUCAAACUUCCCACUGCUGAUGCAUACGGUACUCAAGACAUCUCCUUCCUCUCUGCUUCAUUGCUAGGACACAUACUUGAGGAUAAUUUGAAAUUAACAGGAAGUGGGGUAGAAAUUGACUUACAAUCUUGCAUGUUGAAGCGCCGCAAGAUUUUCUUCAAGUAAUUCUUCUGUGAAAUUCAAAUCUUCAUGUUAUUUCUGUCUCGGUGAAUUUGCAUCCCUAGAAUCUUGUUUGUUGGUCCCAAGUCCUUCAUUUCAAACUCCUUAGCCAAUUAUGCCUUCAAUUCUUAGAUUCGAUCUUUAUUGGGGCCUGCUACCAACAUGUCAUCCACAUACAAUAGCAAAAUAAUGAAAUCAUUAUCUUCAAACCUUUUGUAAUAUGCACAAUGGUCUGAACUGAGUUUGUUGUAUCCAAGGCUCAUGAUGAAGGAAUCAAAUCUCUUAUACCAACACCUCGGCGCCUGUUUGAGACCGUAUAGAGAUUUGUUCAACCUGCAAACCAAGUUCUCGUUUCCUGUUUCUGCAAAACCUUCUGGUUGUAGCAUAUAUAUUUCUUCUUCAAGUUCUCUAUGAAGAAAUGCAGUUUUCACAUCUAACUGCUCUAGAUGUAAGUCAAAUGUAGCACACAUCGCCAAGACUACUCUGACUGUCGUGAGUCGAACCACCGGCGAAAAUAUCUCGUUAAAGUCAAUACCUUCUUUCUGAGCAUAUCCUUUCACCACCAAUCUCACACGAUACCACUCCGCUUGGUCAUUGCCAUCACGUUUGAUCUUGUAGACCCAUUUGUUUCCAAUGGCUUUUCUUCCAUGUGGUAGUGGUACAAGUUCUCAUGUUUUAUUCUUGUGUAGAGCUUCAAUUUCUUCCUGCAUUACUAUCAUCCACAAAGUAACAUCUGAGCUUUCUAAAGUUUCAUGAAAAGUUGAAGGCUCUCCAUCCUCUGUUAGAAGACAGUACGCAACAUUAAUCUCUGUGACAUACUCUGAGUGCCACGCCGGUAGUCGUCUCUCACGAGUUAACCUACGAACUUCUAGAGCCUCGGACUCGACCGGUUCUUGUUAUUCGUGCUCUGGUGCUGUUUCAGAAGAAUCUGAAUCUUCUGGAUUAUUUUCCACAUAUACUGGCACAAUCUCUGACUUUUCUUUUGCAGUGCCAUCAUCCUUAUCUCUCCUUUGCAAUUGAUCUUCUAUAAAGAUAACAUCUCUGCUGAUGAUGAUCUUGUGGGUAGUGGGGUCCUACAGAUGAUACCCCUUUACUCCAUCAGCAUACCUCAAGAAGAUACAUCUUCUAGAUUUUGCAUCCAACUUUGUUCUUUCUUGGGCAUUGUACAUCACGUACACAUGACAUCCAAAUGCAUGUAGGUAGGAAUAAUCAGCUGACUUUCCAGUCCACAUCUCCAUCGCUGUCUUCAGCCCAAUUGUUGUAGAUGGCGACAGAUUUACUAUAUAACAAGCAGUUUUGGUUGCUUCUGCCCAGAAUGAAUUGGGUAGACCAGCAGUCCUCAACAUAGCUCUUAUUCUAUCUGUAAGAGUUCUGUUCAUCCGCCCUGCCACUCCAUUUUGUUGAGGAGUGUAUGCCACUGUGAACUACCUCUGAAUACCUUCUUGCUUACAGAAAGUAAGAAACUCGCCGUCUGUAUACUCUCCACCAUUAUCUGUCUUGAAGCACUUGAUCUUUUUACCAAAUUCAAGUUCCACCCGCGCUUUAUAUUCUUUAAAUACUAGAAAUACAUCUGACUUUUUCUUAAUUGGAUACACCCAACAUCUUCUGGAAUAAUCAUCAAUGAAAGUCACCAUCCCCUGGAUAUAUCCGGUGAUUCCCAAACAUCAGAAUGAAUCAAGUCUAAAAUGCAUUUACUUCUAACAACGGAUCUACUGAAUUUUAAUCUAUGUUGCUAACUGUUGUGCAAAUUUUAAUGUACUCGCAAGCGCACGAAUCUAUUGUAGUAUAGACUAAUGGUGACGAGUGUCGAUCCCACGAGGAGGUGGAUUUCAAUUGUAUAUAGAAUUAAUUUUGUAAAUGGGUGGUUGGAUUUGUGGUGGAAAUGAUUUGGAAUAUGCUAAAACUUAAAUUAAAAUGGCGAGAAUAAAUUCUGAAAUUGAAAUUGAAAUGACGAGAAUAAAUUGAAGCGAAGAUCUAUUGAAAUGACGUACUUGGGUAUCUGGAUCCGUAUCAACAUGCAUCAUGGGCUAAAUAAUCCGUAUUAAUGCCAAUUAAAUCAUGAGGGGGGAAUCCACACCUCAUGAACCACGCUCUAAUCAAUAUGGUGCUAAGGGCUUAUCGUGCCAAAUAAUAAUAACCUUUGUACUAGAGGGCCGGUGAAACCAAGGCGGUACUAGACAAGAUUAGUAUUAUUUGUCGACGAGAAGUCAAAACAUCCACAAAAAUUAGAGGGGAAGAGAAAGUAAAUUUACCAAAUAAAGCCCAUGACACAUGUUGAGACUUCACCUUCAACCCAAGCUUGAAAGAAAAUUAGCCACUCAUAAUUGAACUAGGGGCAAAAUGAAAAUUUAUUAAAAUACGAAGAAAAUACAAGAUGGAGAGAGAAUUACAGAAAAUGGAUCCCAAAAAUGGAUUCAGAGAUAUCAAAUUAGGGGGGGAAGGCCCCCUUUUUAUAGAUACAUGGAGUAAAUCAUGGCCAUCGGAUUAAAAACAGUUUGGACGCUCAGGAUUGCGCCACGUCAUCAGUCAACAGUCCACGGUUUGACCACGCGGAUGAACAGUAACACGGUUUUGACCCGGAUGAACAGUAACGCGGUUUGGUUGAAAAUAAUCCUGUGUAAUGCAUGCACCGUACGCGAGAUUUUUCGUCCACUGAUAUGCUGCCACGUCACCAUCAACAGUACAUAAGAAUUUUAGUCCAACAGGAUCGUGACACCUCAUCAGUCAAUGCCACAUCAUCGGUCAAUGCCACGUCAUCGAUCCGUCUAUGUGAACAGUGUCGUGAAAAGUAACAUAUACAGUACCGUAUACGUGAAUAGUACCGUACAUGUGAAUAGUGCCAUUUUUCCUUUUAUGCUCCUCCUAAGGUUUUCGACCGUCCUGAGUUCAAAAGUGAUGUCCGUUUUACCGUCUGAUCUCUCCUUUAUUGUGAAAUGACUAUAAUGCCCCUAAAAUACAUAAAAUACUUAAUUAAAAUAAAACACAUGUAAUUAAAUCACAAGAAGGUUAAAUACAUAAAAGUAAGGGUUGUUAGUAAGACUUGAAAUGUAAAAUGACAGAUUUCUCCUUUAUAAAUAUGCAUUUUCUAACACUCAACACACCCCCCAACCAGCUUAUUGCUAGUCCCUAGCAAAUAAAGCGAAAAUAAAAUUCAAAUCCAAAAUGAUUUUUUUUUUUUUAAUAAAAACACUCAUAUUUAUUCAAUCAGAUUAAUGAUAGCACUCAAAUAAAAGUAUAAGCAUUAUCUCCAGUCUAAAGCAACAUCACACCCACAUCAACCAUUCACAUGAAUCAGCCUAGUAGACUUUGUUAUAGCUACUUUCAAGAAUGACAUGUCAAACCCCAAAAUCUCACUGGAAGUAGUGACACUCUCACAAAGAAAUUAAAACCCAAUAAAAAUAGUCACUCCAAUGAAUGGUAAUUGAGAGAGAAAAUAAUAAAGAAGUGAUAUCACAUGCUCUCACCAAGAUGAAAUAAAUAUGCCCUCAGCUUAGAAAUAAUACGAUCUCAAGUCAAAUAAAAUGUUAGUCAACCCACUUUAUUUAUCUUUUUUUUUUUCUUUUUUUUUUUAUUAUGCAUCAUUACAUCUUUUUAGCCCAUUUAACUAGCUUCUACUUCAAACUAUAGUUCCCUAAAAUCAAGAAGGACUUUUAUUAGGACGUAACGUAGGCUAGGAAUAUGGCUAACAAAGAAAGGAAAUAAGGAAAAUAAAGUGUAUGUUUGAGAAAAAUGCAGAAUUAUUUUUUUUUUUUGGAAGUUGCAAGGUGGAUUUCACCUAUUAUUGUUAUUUUUAUUCUUUUGAAACAACAACUUUUGUUUUUGUUUUUUUUUUCUUUUUGCUUUUAUUUGGCAUAACUUCACUGAACAACAUAAUUAUUUACAUUUUCUCAAACAUAAAUAGGUGAUGGAACUUAAAAGACAUUGGGUAAUACUCCAAAUCGGAGUGGGUCAAGAUGAUAAGUUGACAAAGAAAAGGUUUUUGUUCUUUUUUUUUUUUUUUUUUUUUAAAGGCUCAAAAGGGGUAACUAUGGAUAUUUAAUAAAAGGGAUGGCUAGAAAGGCUCAAACGGAUCAAAGAUGGCCUUUCCAUCGUCUUUUAGGGCUCUAAAUAAUCAUCCAUAUCUACUAGUUAGAUGGGCCUCCCAAUGUAGCAACACAUAAUUUUUUUUUUAUUUUACAAUUUUUUUUUUUAAGGGUUAACUCAAAAGAAAUCUAGAGAUCGUAUAUACAAUAAUAAACUGCUAAGCUGUAUAAAGAAUGGGCAAAAGGGUUACUCUCCAAGAAAAAUGAUAGGCUCAAAAGCUCACUUGGUACUUAUUAUGACAUGUUCAUUCCUUCAAGCAACUCAUAUUUGUCUCCGACAUCAACAUGUAAAGUAGCAAACAUAGUGUAACAUCACUUCAGACUAAAGAUAAUACAAAUACUAAAAUUUGAAAUUCAUCAUGUCAUCCAAUGUUAACACAAAUCACAAUUUUUUUUUUUAAAUUUGAAACAACAUUCUACCCCCCAACCUAUUCUAAACAUGAAAGGAAAAUAUGCAUGCAAAAAUGUGAAAAUGAUGUAGAAAAAUUAAUUAGAAAAAAAAAUUUUUUUUUUUUUUAACUAAGAAGAUGCGUUUCUAGAGGCACGACACUCCAUAUUCAGCCAUCUUCGACUCAAAAAUUGGAAAAUAUAUAUUUAUAAAGGAGAAAGAGGAAGAAAACAAUUUUUUUUUAAACGAUGAAGAUGCGUUUCUAGAGUAACUACACUCCAUAUUCAGCCAUCUUCAACACAAAACGUUAGCAACAGUUAGUUUCUACAACAAAAAAUCAGUAAAAACUUAACCAAGAUUCCACAAUUGUCGACUAUUCCCUCCCCCCAACCAGAACGAAACAUUGUCCUCAAUGUUUGAAAGGAACGAAGUAGAGUUUAGAAGACAUCACCUGGGUGGUGCAACACAGAAGAAAAUAUUUACAGGCGGAGAGUUAAAUCUAAUUUGUACUUCUUACUGCGGCUACUGUUACCAUCAUUAUUUGGUCGCUCCAACACAAAGGUCCAGGGGUCUGGCUCCGGUUUAUAAGCUUGUAACAUAUCAAGUAGCUCAUUAGCAGUGUGAGCACAAAUAAAGAGUUUUUUCACAUUAGAAGGAAUGAAAUAGUUUUUUAUUGCAUGGUUAAGAAAUGCGAUAAAGCCAUCAUAAAAGUUAUUGACAUUUAACAAACCGAUGGGUUUCUGGUGAAUGUACAGAUGGGCCCAAGAUGAUAGUGUGAUAAGUGCCUCUAGUGUUGCAAGAUCUCCUGGAAGGAAAAUAAAAGCAUCAGCGUGAUUAAGCAUUUCGGUUAUUCUUUCUUGCAUACCUGAGACGACUAACUCUUCUCCAGUUGAUGAGUUAGACGAACUGCCCAAUGGUUUUAGGACUCUUGGGAUGAUGCCUAAUGUUGAGUGUUAGAAAAUGCAUAUUUAUAAAGGAGAAAACCGUCAUUUUACAUUUCAAGUCUUACUAACAACCCUUACUUUUAUGUAUUUAACCUUCUUGUGAUGUAAUUACGUGUGUGUUAUUUUAAUUAAGUAUUUUAUGUAUUUUAGGGGCAUUAUAGUCAUUUCACAAUAAAGGAGAGAUCAGACGGCAAAACGGACAUCACUUUUGAACUCAGGACGGUCGAAAACCUUAGGAGGAGCAUAAAAGGAAAAAUGGCACUAUUCACAUGUACGGUACUAUUCACGUAUACGGUACUGUAUAUGUUACUGUUCACGGCACUGUUCACAUAGACGGAUCGAUGACGUGGCAUUGACCGAUGAUGUGGCAUUGACUGAUGAGGUGUCACGAUCCUGUUGGACUAAAAUUCUUAUGUACUGUUGAUGGUGACGUGGCAGCAUAUCAGUGGACGAAAAAUCUCGCGUACGGUGCAUGCAUCACACAGGAUUAUUUUCAAUCAAACCGUGUUACUGUUCAUCCGCGUGGUCAAACCGUGGACUGUUGACUGAUGACGUGGCGCAAUCCUGAGCGUCCAAACUGUUUUUAAUCCGAUGGCCAUGAUUUACUCCAUGUAUCUAUAAAAAGGGGGCCUCCCCCCCCUAAUUUGAUAUCUCUGAAUCCAUUUUUGGGAUCCAUUUUCUGUAAUUCCCUCUCCAUCUUGUAUUUUCUUUGUAUUUUAAUAAAUUCCCAUUUUGCCCCUAGUUCAAUUAUGAGUAGCUAAUUUCCUUUCAAGCUUGGGUUGAAGGUGAAGUCUCAACAUGUGUCAUGGGCUUUAUUUGGUAAAUUUAUUUUCUUUUCCCCUCUAGUUUUUGUGGAUGAUUUGACUUAUCGUCGACAAAUAAUACUGAUCUUGUCUAGAUACCGCCUUGGUUACACCGGCUCUCUAGUAUAAGGUUAUUAUUAUUUGGCACGAUAAGCCCUUAACACCAUAUUGAUUAGAGCGUGGUUCAUGAGGUGUGGAUUCCCCCCUCAUGAUUUAAUUGGCAUUAAUACGGAUUAUUUAGCCCAUGAUGCAUGUUGAUACGGAUCCAGAUACCCAAGUACGUCAUUUCAAUAGAAUUCUCUUCAAUUUAUUCUCGCCAUUUCAAUUCCAAUUUCAGAAUUUAUUCUCACCAUUUUAAUUUAAGUUUUAGCAUAUUCCAAAUCAUUUCCACCACAGAUCCAAUCAACCAUUUGCAAAAUUAAUUCUAUACACAAUUAAAAUCCACCUCCUCGUGGGAUCGACACUCGUCACCAUUGAUCUAUACUACAAUAGAUUCGUGCACUUGCGAGUACAUUAAAAUUUGCACAACAAGUUUUUGGCGCCGUUGCCGGGGAGGUAAGUAAUUUUAAUUCAUAGAAUUAAUUUUUGUGAAUAAUUCCAUUUAAUUGUUUUCUUGUAUUUUUUAUUAUUUAAAAAAAAAAGAAAAAAAAAGUAAAUCUAUAUUUAAAGGUUAGUAUUUCUUUUCUUUUUCUCUUCUUUAAAAUUCUGUAAUUUAAUUUUCAAUUUAUUUUUUCUUUGUAAGUUUUGUUUAUUUUAUUAAUUUAAUUUUUAGUUAAUUUAUUUCACGUAUUUAUUUUUGUGUAUUUUUAUAGAAAGGUUGUAACAGCGUAAUAAGGUUAGUAUCGUAAUUUCUCCCUCUUCUUUAUUUUUAUUUGUUUUGUUCUCAUCUUUAUUUUUUAUUUGUUUUGUUCCCAUCUUUAUUUUUUUUGUUUUGUUUGCAUCUUUAUUUUUAUUUUAUUUAUUUUGCAUGCAUGGUCGUAGGUCAUUAUUACCUAAUCUUGAACCUAUAGACCUUGAACUAGAAAAAACACUUCGCACACAAAAACACAUUAAAAAUAAAUUUGGAAUGGAUUUACAAGCACCACAGGAGAGGCCAUUUAAGGACUAUUUUAGUCCCUUAGCUAAUUUGAGCACAUCAUGCAUAAGAUACCCAAAUGUAGCUGCUAGGAGUUUUGAAUUAAAACCUAGUGUGCUAAAUUGUCUCCCCACAUUCUAUGGCCUAGAAAAUGAGGACCCAUAUAAUCAUCUGAAUGAUUUUCAUGCCAUUUGUCAAACUUUUAAAUAUGAAAAUUUUUCAGACGAUGAUGUUAAACUUAGAUUAUUCCCAUUUUCUUUAAAGGAUAGAGCUCGUUCAUGGUUAAAUACUUUGCCUGCUAAUAGCAUUGCAUCAUGGGAACAAAUGGUUACAAAAUUUCUAAAUAAAUAUUUCCCAGUGCAUAAAACCAAUUCUAUUCGCAGGGAAAUUUCAGAGUUUAAACAAAGAGAGGACGAGCAGUUUUUCGAAACUUGGGAGCGAUUCAAUGGGCUACUCUUGAAGUGUCCACAUCAUGGGUACGAGAAAUGGCACCAAUGCCAAUACUUUUUGGAAGGGUUAUUGCCAAAUGUGCAAGAAUGGCUAAUGGCAACAAGUGGAGGAGAGCUAAUGUCAAAAAGCGCAACAGAGAUUUGGGAAUUCUUCCAGCGACAAGCGGAUAAUUCCCAACAACGGAGUCGAUCACUCAGGAAUACUAGAAGAAUUAAAGGAGUGAAUGAGGUUCAAAUUGGCGAGUCAACUUCGGGAAUCAAAGAAGUCAAGGAGAUGGUUGAAGGUCUUGCUCGACAAAUAGCAUCGUUGUCGACUGCUAAAUCAACAGAGCCACAUGACCAUGACUCAUACUCAGAUCAAGCCAAUGCCAUAGGUGUAAUGAGAAAGCCAUCUAAUUACAACCCAUACUCCAACACAUAUAACCCUGGAUGGAGAGACCACCCCAAUUUUUCAUGGUCUCAAGGAUUUCAACAGAAUGGACCAGCAGCUCCAGCUCCACCAAUGCAACAAAUUUCUCAAAAUCCUCAAGCCUCUCAGCCACCAUUCAGACCAUACAAUCAGAACCAGAACUACUCUCAACCCAGACCAUGGGAGGAUGCAUUCCAGAAUUUCAAGAAUGUUACUCACUCCACGAUUGAGCAACAGAACCGCACCAUUGAUGGAUUACGAAAUGAGUUGAGAGCAGGCUUCAACUCACAAGCCCAAUCAGUUUCAAGCCUUGAGAAGAUGGUGGGACAACUUGCUUCUUCAGUUCAGACCUUGGCAAUGACUGUUGAGAAAGGCAAGUUUCCAAGUCAACCAGUGCCUAAUCCUAAAGGAGUACAUGAAGCAAGUACCAGUUCACCACAGCAGCAUGGAGAGGUCAAAGCAGUCAUGACCUUGCGAAAAGGAAAGGAAGUCGACAACAAAGUGGAGAUGCCGGUGACAAAAGAAAAUCAAAUUGUACCUGUGAAUGUUGAGGACUCACCACCGGAGGAAAAAGAAGAAACCAACCCACGAGAAUAUGUUCCUAAAGCUCCAUUUCCUCAGAGGUUAGCGAAAGGAAAGAAGGGAAAAUCCACAGGUGAGAUUCUCGAAAUCUUCAAACAUGUAAGUGUUAACAUCCCUUUACUUGAUGCUAUUAAACAAGUUCCAUCUUAUGCCAAGUUUCUUAAAGACCUUUGUACUAAAAAGAGAAAUAUGCAUGUUCAAAAGAAGGCCUUUUUAACAGAAAACGUUAGUUCUAUACUCCAAUAUAAAAUUCCUCUAAAAUGCAAAGACCCAGGCUCCCCCACUAUCUCAUGUAGUAUAGGGAACCACACAAUUGAGAAUGCUUUGUUGGAUUUAGGAGCUAGUGUAAAUCUGUUGCCUUAUUCAGUAUUCGUGAAACUUGGACUGGGAGAAUUACACCCAACUCCAGUGGUGUUACAGCUUGCAGAUCGGUCCACAAAAAUACCUCGUGGUAUUGUGGAGGACGUGCUUAUCCAGGUAGACAAGUUUUAUUUUCCUGUUGAUUUCAUUGUAAUUGACACUCAACCAAUACAGGAUUCAAGGAAGCACAUCCCCAUUAUCCUAGGCCGACCUUUCUUGGCAACUGCGGAUGCUCACAUUCAAUGCAGGACUGGAAAUAUGCAGUUGUCCUUCGGCAACAUGACUAUGGAGCUAAAUAUUUUCAACAUUGCCAAACAACCUCACAGUGCAGAUGAUGGAAUUGUUGAUGUGGAUUUAAUAGAAACAAUAGUCGAUAAUACUUUUAUUUCAAAUCUUAGUGAUGACCCUUUACAGACAUGCUUAACUCACUUUGGUUUGGAUUUUGAUAUUGACAGAUCAGUUGAUGAGGUCAACGCUCUACUUGACUCAGCACCAUCCAUGGACACUAAUAAAUGGAAGUCAAGAGUUGAACAACUAGCACCAUCAGAGAAGAAACUCAUCCCAUCAUCAGAAUCACCACCGAAACUCGAGCUCAAACCAUUGCCCAACACAUUGGAAUAUGCAUUUUUGGGAGAAGAAAGUACUCUACCGGUAAUCAUCUCAUCAUCCUUAAAUGACGAACAAAAAGGUAAGUUGUUGGAUGUUUUAAAAGAGCACAAAGGAGCAUUAGGAUGGACCAUAGCAGACAUUAAAGGUAUAAACCCAGUAGACUGCAUGCAUUACAUUCACCUUGAUGAAAAUGCUAAAACUACUAGGGAGAUGCAACGUCGGUUAAAUCCUAAUAUGAAAGAAGUUGUUAGAACAGAAGUCCUUAAGCUAUUAGACGCAGGUAUCAUUUACCCAAUUUCUGAUAGUUCAUGAGUCAGUCCUGUACAAGUUGUCCCCAAAAAGUCAGGAGUCACAGUAGUUACCAAUGCUGAUAAUGAAUUGAUACCAACUAGAGUAACUACAGGAUGGCGUGUAUGCAUUGAUUAUAGAAAGUUGAAUUCUGUCACACGUAAAGACCAUUUUCCUUUACCAUUUAUUGAUCAAAUGCUCGAUAGAUUAGCAGGCCAUGAAUUUUAUUGCUUUCUAGAUGGCUACUCAGGAUAUAAUCAGAUUCCCAUAGCACCAAAAGAUCAAGAGAAAACUACUUUCACUUGCCCUUUUGGCACUUUUGCAUAUAGGAGAAUGCCAUUUGGAUUAUGUAAUGCACCUGCUACAUUCCAACGAUGCAUGUUGAGCAUUUUUUCUGAUAUGGUUGAACGAUUCCUUGAAGUCUUUAUGGAUGAUUUUUCUGUCUUUGGUGACUCGUUUGAUCAAUGUUUACAUCAUCUAAUGCUAGUUCUGCAGAGAUGUAUCGAGAAGAACUUAAUCUUAAAUUGGGAGAAGUGCCAUUUUAUGGUAAAACAAGGUAUUGUUCUCGGUCACAUCAUUUCGAGCAAAGGUAUUGAGGUUGACAAAGCCAAGGUGGAUCUCAUUUCUAAUCUUCCUCCACCUAAAACAGUCAGAGAAGUAAGAUCUUUCCUUGGACAUGCUGGUUUUUUAUAGACGUUUCAUUAAAGAUUUUAGCAAAGUUUCUAGACCCUUAUGCAAUUUACUUGCUAAGGAUGUACCUUUUAUCUUUAAUGAUUCAUGUCUUAUGGCUUUUGAAAAAUUAAAGCAAUUGUUGACAUCAUCACCCAUCAUUCAGGCCCCAAACUGGAGCUUACCAUUUGAGCUUAUGUGUGAUGCAUCUGAUUAUGCAGUAGGAGCAGUUUUAGGACAAAGAGUUGAUCGAAUUCCUCAUGUUAUUUACUAUGCUAGUAUGACAUUGAAUGAUGCACAGUUGAACUAUUCAACUACUGAAAAAGAAAUGCUAGCAGUAGUGUUUGCAUUGGAAAAAUUUCGAUCUUAUCUCAUUGGUUGUAAAAUAAUUGUGUUCACAGAUCAUGCUGCUCUUAAAUAUCUUCUCACAAAGAAAGAUGCAAAAGCUAGACUAAUUCGUUGGGUGUUACUUUUGCAGGAAUUUGACUUGGAAUUCAAAGAUAAGAAAGGGACAGAAAAUGUUGUGGCGGACCAUCUCUCUCGUCUCCACUUUGACACAAUUACAGAACCAUUACCAUUGAAUGAGUCAUUUCCAGAUGAACAAUUAAUGAAUGUGGAAGUAUUACCUUGGUAUGCUGAUAUAGUUAAUUAUCUUGUUACAGGUAAACUUCCAGAGCAUUGGACCAAGCAAGACAAGGCUAAAUUCUUUGCGGAAAUAAAGAAUUUCUUUUGGGAUGACCCGUAUUUGUUCAAGUAUUGUGCAGAUCAAAUUGUUAGGCGAUGUGUCCCAGAAAGUGAAAUUCAGAAUAUCCUGUCAUUCUGCCAUGCACAAGCUUGUGGAGGCCACUUCAGUGCUAAGAAAACAGCGACUAAAGUUUUACAAUGUGGUUUCUAUUGGCCAACUAUAUUUCGAGAUGCUUACACUUUCUGUUCUUCAUGUGAUAGGUGUCAACGAAUGGGGAGUAUUACACGAAGGAACAUGAUGCCACUAAAUCCAAUUUUAGUGGUUGAGAUUUUUGACGUAUGGGGUAUCGACUUCAUGGGACCCUUUCCCCCUUCUUUUGGCCAUCAAUACAUAUUGGUUGGUGUUGACUACGUCUCGAAAUGGGUAGAAGCAAUUCCAUGUAGGACCAAUGAUCACAAAGUGGUGAUAGGAUUUUUGAAAAGCAACAUUGUUUCACGCUUUGGAUUCCCUCGAGCGAUAAUCAGUGAUGGUGGUGCCCACUUUUGUAACAAAACAUUCAAAGUUCUUUUGACAAAGUAUUCAAUCACACACAAAGUGGCGACCCCGUAUCAUCCGCAAACCAGUGGCCAAGUUGAGAUCUCCAAUCGAGAAAUCAAGCACAUAUUAGAAAAAAACGGUGAGGCCAGACAGAAAAGAUUGGUCAUUAAGACUUGAUGAUGCAUUAUGGGCAUAUAGAACGGCUUUCAAGACCCGAUUGGGAUGUCACCUACAGGCUAGUGUAUGGAAAAGCUUGCCACCUACCUGUGGAACCGAGCAUCGUGCAUAUUGGGCCAUCAAGAAAUUCAAUUUUGACAUGCAGCAAGCCAGCUCAGAAAGAAGAUUACAACUGGCAGAACUUGAAGAAAAUUCGCAAUGAUGCAUACGAAAAUGCCAAGAUUUACAAGCAACGAAUGAAAGUCUUUCAUGACAAGCACAUUAUGAGAAAAUCGUUCACUCCAGGUCAGAAAGUGCUUUUUAUUCAAAUUCUCGUUUGCACCUAUUCCAGGUAAGUUACGCUCCUCGAUGGUCUGUCCCUUUAUUGUUCAUACUAUUUUUCCACAUGGGGCAAUUGAAAUUAAAGACCCAAAGAACGGUGUCACGUUUAAAGUUAAUGGUCAAAGAUUAAAGCCAUAUCUAGAGUACCAACCACAUGGAGAAGACACCGAAAUAAAUUUGAGUGACCCACCAGAUUUGAAUUGAUUUUUUUCUUUUUGUUGAUUUGAUUUUUCUUUCUUUCUUUUUAUUAUUCUUUUGCUAAUUGAAAUUAUUUUUGCAUAAGUGUGUUUGUUUUACCAUUAAGUUUUCUUUUUUCUUAUCAUUGUUAAUCAUGAGUACCAUACUUAGACCGUUCCUCCUGAACAUUCUUAAACCACUUCAACGUGUCAAAACUCAUCUCAAAAAGCAGAUUCAAUUUUGUAAAACACAACGCAUUUGGGCUCUACAACCACCAGAGUUAGUAGCCUAUGUUGAGGGUUUAGAACGCCAACUCAGAGACAUUGAAGAAGUGUUUACGACAUCCAGUUGGAGCUUGAGGUAAAUUCAAUAAGAGGACGAUUUUAAUUUUCUUUGUGUGUUUUUAAUUUGUUUUUUCUGUUGUGUGCUUUAGUUUGUUACCCCGGUGAAAUGGCGGAUAACGGUACUCCGUGACAAUCAAGUCGGUUACUUCAGUUUCCCACAAUAACUGACAUUCUGAGGUGAAAGUAUGGACAGAAACGAGAUUCUAGCGAAGCUUCACAAGCGAUUCCCUUCACUUCCUCAGAAUGCCCUCCUUACAAUCUAUAAAGCCCGGUCUGAACGCAUGCGAUUGCUCAUGAAGAAUAACAUACCUGCUGACAUCCGUUGGUUAAUCGAGGCUAAAGUACGAUCGGCAGGUGAGUUACCUCCAAAAUUUAUUGCAUUCAUGCUUGGUUGUGGUAAAGGAAAUUAUGCAAAAGAAAACGACGAGCUCGAAGAAUUUCUGUUGCUUGUCAUAAGUGUGCCAGAAUGAGUUGCGAUAGAAACCCAUGUUCUUUAGGAAUGGUGUCUGAUAACAGGGAAGAUAAGAUUCAAUUCAUUAGGGAUGGCUUGAAUAAGGAGUCAUUGGAUGAUAUCCUUUUGUCUCUUGAAACGCAUCCCAGUGGAUAUGUGCAAGGAGCGAUUCUCCAGUUAUGGCCAUUAUUCCAGAAAGAGCAUACACGAUAUAGUCUCGGGAAUCUGACUAUAAACGACCCUGUUUGCCAGUUUAUAAGAAAACUGGAUGGGAAGCCCAUCCUCGACCCAUAGAGGCGUUUCAAGCCGUUUCUGGACGUAAAACCAGAGGAAGAUGUGAGCCACAGUCGCAACUACGUGUAAAUAUCCUUUUACUUUACUGUUAUUUAUUUCAUUUCACUAUUGUUUAUCGUUUGCAUUAUUGCCUUUAAUAAUUUUAUUACUGUUUGCUUUUUCCUUUUUACUGUUCCUUUUUGACUCGCGAGCCACGUGCUUUACGCGUUAUUUGACACUGACAUUCAAAAGAAGGCCUUUUUAACAGAAAACGUUAGUUCUAUACUCCAAUAUAAAAUUCCUCUAAAAUGCAAAGACCCAGGCUCCCCCACUAUCUCAUGUAGUAUAGGGAACCACACAAUUGAGAAUGCUUUGUUGGAUUUAGGAGCUAGUGUAAAUCUGUUGCUUUAUUCAGUAUUCGUGAAACUUGGACUGGGAGAAUUACACCCAACUCCAGUGGUGUUACAGCUUGCAGAUCGGUCCACAAAAAUACCUCGUGGUAUUGUGGAGGACGUGCUUAUCCAGGUAGACAAGUUUUAUUUUCCUGUUGAUUUCAUUGUAAUUGACACUCAACCAAUACAGGAUUCAAGGAAGCACAUCCCCAUUAUCCUAGGCCGACCUUUCUUGGCAACUGCGGAUGCUCACAUUCAAUGCAGGACUGGAAAUAUGCAGUUGUCCUUCGGCAACAUGACUAUGGAGCUAAAUAUUUUCAACAUUGCCAAACAACCUCACAGUGCAGAUGAUGGAAUUGUUUGAUGUGGAUUUAAUAGAAACAAUAGUCGAUAAUACUUUUAUUUCAAAUCUUUAGUGAUGACCUUUACAGACAUGCUUAACUCACUUUGGUUUGGAUUUUUGAUAUUGACAGAUCAGUUGAUGAGGUCAACGCUCUACUUGACUCAGCACCAUCCAUGGACACUAAUAAAUGGAAGUCAAGAGUUGAACAACUAGCACCAUCAGAGAAGAAACUCAUCCCAUCAUCAGAAUCACCACCGAAACUCGAGCUCAAACCAUUGCCCAACACAUUGGAAUAUGCAUUUUUGGGAGAAGAAAGUACUCUACCGGUAAUCAUCUCAUCAUCCUUAAAUGACGAACAAAAAGGUAAGUUGUUGGAUGUUUUAAAAGAGCACAAAGGAGCAUUAGGAUGGACCAUAGCAGACAUUAAAGGUAUAAACCCAGUAGACUGCAUGCAUUACAUUCACCUUGAUGAAAAUGCUAAAACUACUAGGGAGAUGCAACGUCGGGUUAAAUCCUAAUAUGAAAGAAGUUGUUAGAACAGAAGUCCUUAAGCUAUUAGACGCAGGUAUCAUUUACCCAAUUUUGAUAGUUCAUGGAGUCAGUCCUGUACAAGUUGUCCCCAAAAGGUCAGGAGUCACAGUAGUUACCAAUGCUGAUAAUGAAUUGAUACCAACUAGAGUAACUACAGGAUGGCGUGUAUGCAUUGAUUAUAGAAAGUUGAAUUCUGUCACACGUAAAGACCAUUUUCCUUUACCAUUUAUUGAUCAAUGCUCGAUAGAUUAGCAGGCCAUGAAUUUUAUUGCUUUCUAGAUGGCUACUCAGGAUAUAAUCAGAUUCCCAUAGCACCAAAAGAUCAAGAGAAAAUACUUUCACUUGCCCUUUUGGCACUUUUGCAUAUAGGAGAAUGCCAUUUGGAUUAUGUAAUGCACCUGCUACAUUCCAACGAUGCAUGUUGAGCAUUUUUUCUGAUAUGGUUGAACGAUUCCUUGAAGUCUUUAUGGAUGAUUUUUCUGUCUUUGGUGACUCGUUUGAUCAAUGUUUACAUCAUCUAAUGCUAGUUCUGCAGAGAUGUAUCGAGAAGAACUUAAUCUUAAAUUGGGAGAAGUGCCAUUUUAUGGUAAAACAAGGUAUUGUUCUCGGUCACAUCAUUUCGAGCAAAGGUAUUGAGGUUGACAAAGCCAAGGUGGAUCUCAUUUCUAAUCUUCCUCCACCUAAAACAGUCAGAGAAGUAAGAUCUUUCCUUGGACAUGCUGGUUUUUAUAGACGUUUCAUUAAAGAUUUUAGCAAAGUUUCUAGACCCUUAUGCAAUUUACUUGCUAAGGAUGUACCUUUUAUCUUUAAUGAUUCAUGUCUUAUGGCUUUUGAAAAAUUAAAGCAAUUGUUGACAUCAUCACCCAUCAUUCAGGCCCAAACUGGAGCUUACCAUUUGAGCUUAUGUGUGAUGCAUCUGAUUAUGCAGUAGGAGCAGUUUAGGACAAAGAGUUGAUCGAAUUCCUCAUGUUAUUUACUAUGCUAGUAUGACAUUGAAUGAUGCACAGUUGAACUAUUCAACUACUGAAAAAGAAAUGCUAGCAGUAGUGUUUGCAUUGGAAAAAUUUCGAUCUUAUCUCAUUGGUUGUAAAAUAAUUGUGUUCACAGAUCAUGCUGCUCUUAAAUAUCUUCUCACAAAGAAAGAUGCAAAAGCUAGACUAAUUCGUUGGGUGUUACUUUUGCAGGAAUUUGACUUGGAAUUCAAAGAUAAGAAAGGGACAGAAAAUGUUGUGGCGGACCAUCUCUCUCGUCUCCACUUUGACACAAUUACAGAACCAUUACCAUUGAAUGAGUCAUUUCCAGAUGAACAAUUAAUGAAUGUGGAAGUAUUACCUUGGUAUGCUGAUAUAGUUAAUUAUCUUGUUACAGGUAAACUUCCAGAGCAUUGGACCAAGCAAGACAAGGCUAAAUUCUUUGCGGAAAUAAAGAAUUUCUUUUGGGAUGACCCGUAUUUGUUCAAGUAUUGUGCAGAUCAAAUUGUUAGGCGAUGUGUCCCAGAAAGUGAAAUUCAGAAUAUCCUGUCAUUCUGCCAUGCACAAGCUUGUGGAGGCCACUUCAGUGCUAAGAAAACAGCGACUAAAGUUUUACAAUGUGGUUUCUAUUGGCCAACUAUAUUUCGAGAUGCUUACACUUUCUGUUCUUCAUGUGAUAGGUGUCAACGAAUGGGGAGUAUUACACGAAGGAACAUGAUGCCACUAAAUCCAAUUUUAGUGGUUGAGAUUUUUGACGUAUGGGGUAUCGACUUCAUGGGACCCUUUCCCCCUUCUUUUGGCCAUCAAUACAUAUUGGUUGGUGUUGACUACGUCUCGAAAUGGGUAGAAGCAAUUCCAUGUAGGACCAAUGAUCACAAAGUGGUGAUAGGAUUUUUGAAAAGCAACAUUGUUUCACGCUUUGGAUUCCCUCGAGCGAUAAUCAGUGAUGGUGGUGCCCACUUUUGUAACAAAACAUUCAAAGUUCUUUUGACAAAGUAUUCAAUCACACACAAAGUGGCGACCCCGUAUCAUCCGCAAACCAGUGGCCAAGUUGAGAUCUCCAAUCGAGAAAUCAAGCACAUAUUAGAAAAAACGGUGAGGCCAGACAGAAAAGAUUGGUCAUUAAGACUUGAUGAUGCAUUAUGGGCAUAUAGAACGGCUUUCAAGACCCCGAUUGGGAUGUCACCCUACAGGCUAGUGUAUGGAAAAGCUUGCCACCUACCUGUGGAACUCGAGCAUCGUGCAUAUUGGGCCAUCAAGAAAUUCAAUUUUGACAUGCAGCAAGCCAGCUCAGAAAGAAGAUUACAACUGGCAGAACUUGAAGAAAUUCGCAAUGAUGCAUACGAAAAUGCCAAGAUUUACAAGCAACGAAUGAAAGUCUUUCAUGACAAGCACAUUAUGAGAAAAUCGUUCACUCCAGGUCAGAAAGUGCUUUUAUUCAAUUCUCGUUUGCACCUAUUCCCAGGUAAGUUACGCUCUCGAUGGUCUGGUCCCUUUAUUGUUCAUACUAUUUUUCCACAUGGGGCAAUUGAAAUUAAAGACCCAAAGAACGGUGUCACGUUUAAAGUUAAUGGUCAAAGAUUAAAGCCAUAUCUAGAGUACCAACCACAUGGAGAAGACACCGAAAUAAAUUUGAGUGACCCACCAGAUUUGAAUUGAUUUUUUUCUUUUUGUUGAUUUGAUUUUUCUUUCUUUCUUUUUAUUAUUCUUUUGCUAAUUGAAAUUAUUUUUGCAUAAGUGUGUUUGUUUUACCAUUAAGUUUUCUUUUUUCUUAUCAUUGUUAAUCAUGAGUACCAUACUUAGACCGUUCCUCCUGAACAUUCUUAAACCACUUCAACGUGUCAAAACUCAUCUCAAAAAGCAGAUUCAAUUUUGUAAAACACAACGCAUUUGGGCUCUACAACCACCAGAGUUAGUAGCCUAUGUUGAGGGUUUAGAACGCCAACUCAGAGACAUUGAGAGAAGUGUUUACGACAUCCAGUUGGAGCUUGAGGUAAAUUCAAUAAGAGGACGAUUUUAAUUUUCUUUGUGUGUUUUAAUUUGUUUUUCUGUUUGUGUGCUUUAGUUUGUUACCCCGGUGAAAUGGCGGAUAACGGUACUCCGUGACAAUCAAGUCGGUUACUUCAGUUUCCCACAAUAACUGACAUUCUGAGGUGAAAGUAUGGACAGAAACGAGAUUCUAGCGAAGCUUCACAAGCGAUUCCCUUCACUUCCUCAGAAUGCCCUCCUUACAAUCUAUAAAGCCCGGUCUGAACGCAUGCGAUUGCUCAUGAAGAAUAACAUACCUGCUGACAUCCGUUGGUUAAUCGAGGCUAAAGUACGAUCGGCAGGUGAGUUACCUCCAAAAUUUAUUGCAUUCAUGCUUGGUUGUGGUAAAGGAAAUUAUGCAAGAAAACGACGAGCUCGAAGAAUUUCUGUUGCUUGUCAUAAGUGUGCCAGAAUGAGUUGCGAUAGAAACCCAUGUUCUUUAGGAAUGGUGUCUGAUAACAGGGAAGAUAAGAUUCAAUUCAUUAGGGAUGGCUUGAAUAAGGAGUCAUUGGAUGAUAUCCUUUUGUCUCUUGAAACGCAUCCCAGUGGAUAUGUGCAAGGAGCGAUUCUCCAGUUAUGGCCAUUAUUCCAGAAAGAGCAUACACGAUAUAGUCUCGGGAAUCUGACUAUAAACGACCCUGUUUGCCAGUUUAUAAGAAAACUGGAUGGGAAGCCCAUCCUCGACCCAUAGAGGGCGUUCAAGCCGUUUCUGGACGUAAAACCAGAGGAAGAUGUGAGCCACAGUCGCAACUACGUGUAAAUAUCCUUUUACUUUACUGUUAUUUUAUUUCAUUUCACUAUUGUUUUAUCGUUUGCAUUAUUGCCUUUAAUAAUUUUAUUACUGUUUGCUUUUUCCUUUUUACUGUUUCCUUUUUGACUCGCGAGCCACGUGCUUUACGCGUUAUUUGACACUGACAUGUUACCUCAUUCACAGCUGUGAUCCACUGUCACCAAGAUUCUUAAAUGUGAUUUACUUUUUGUCAAGCACUCACAAAUUGUUUUUGAGAAAUAUUCCAAUGGCAGCUACUCCCAAUAGACAAUUCAAGAACAUUUGUGUGCUUUCUGGAUUUACCUAUGGCAAACAUAAAGAGUUCGUGGAGGCAGCCAUAGAUCUUGGUCGAAGCAUAGCAGCGAGAAAAUUACACUUGGUGUAUGGAGGAGGUAACCGAGGGUUAUCAAAAAUGGUUUCAGAAGCAGCUUUUAUCAGAGGAAGUCAAGUGUUAGGCAUCAUCCCAAGAGUCUUAAAACCAUUGGGCAGUUCGUCUGACUCAUCAACUGGAGAAGAGUUAGUCGUCUCAGGUAUGCAAGAAAGAAUAACUGAAAUGCUUAAUCAUGCUGAUGCUUUUAUUUUCCUUCCAGGAGAUCUUGCAACACUAGAGGCACUUAUGACACUAGCAUCUUGGGCCCAUCUACACAUUCACCAGAAACCCAUCGGUUUGUUAAAUGUCAAUAACUUUUAUGAUGGCUUUAUCGCAUUUCUUAACCAUGCAAUAAAAAACUAUUUCAUUCCUUCUAAUGUGAAAAAACUCUUUAUUUGUGCUCACACUGCUAAUGAGCUACUUGAUAUGUUACAAGCUUAUAAACCGGAGCCAGACCCCUGGACCUUUGUGUUGGAGCGACCAAAUAAUGAUGGUAACAGUAGCCGCAGUAAGAAGUACAAAUUAGAUUUAACUCUCCGCCUGUAAAUAUUUUCUUCUGUGUUGCACCACCCAGGUGAUGUCUUCUAAACUCUACUUAUUUCCUUUCAAACAUUGAGGACAAUGUUUCGUUCUGGUUGGGGGGAGGGAAUAGUCGACAAUUGUGGAAUCUUGGUUAAGUUUUUACUAAUUUUUUGUUGUAGAAACUAACUGUUGCUAACUUUUUGUGUUGAAGAUGGCUGAAUAUGGAGUGUAGUUACUCUAGAAACGCAUCUUCAUUGUUCGAAAAAAAAUAAAAAUUCUUUUUCUUUAUUAAGUUUUGAUGUUCAUUUUUCUUCUUCUUUUUAUUUUCUCCUCUAUAAAUAUACAUUUUCCAACUUUUGAGUCGAAGAUGGCUGAAUAUGGAGUGUAGUGCCUCUAGAAACGCAUCUUUAAAAAAAAAAAAAAAAAAAAAAACCAUUUUCUUUUCCUAUCAUUUUAAGUGUAACUUUUCUAAUUAGUUUUUCUACAUCAUUUUCGCAUUUCUGCAUGCAUAUUUUCCUUUCAUGCUUAGAAUAGGUUGGGGGUAGAAUGUUGUUAAAAAAAAAAAAAAAAAAAAAAAAAAUUUGUGUUAUUUGUUUUAACAUUGGAUGACAUGAUUAAUUUCAAAUUUUAGUAUUUGUAUUAUCUUUGGUCUUAAGUGAUGUUACGCUAUGUUUGCUACUUUACAUGUUGAUGUCGGAGACAAAUAUGAGUUGCUUGAAGGAAUGAACAUGUCAUAAAUAAGUGCCAAGUGAGUUGUUGAGCCUAUCAUUUUCUUGGAGAGUAACCCUUUUGCCCAUUCUCUAUACAGCUUAGCAGUUUAUUAUUUUAUACACGAUCUCUAGAUUUCUUUUGAGUUAACCCUUUAAAAAAAAAAUGGUAAAAUUAAAAAAAAAAGAAAAAAGAAAAAAAAUGUGUGUUACUACAUUGGGAGGCCCAUCUAACUAGUAGAUAUGGAUAAUUAUUUAGAGCCCUAAAAGACGAUGGAAAGGCCAUCUUUGAUCCGUUUGAGCCUUUCUAGCCAUCCCUGUUAUUAAAUAUCCAUAGUUACCCCUUUUGAGCCUUUAAAAAAAAAAAAAAAAAAAAAAAACCUUUUCUUUGUCAACUUAUCAUCUUGACCCACUCUGAUUUGGAGUAUUACCCAAUGUCUUUUAAGUUCCAUCACCUAUUUAUGUUUGAGAAAAUGUAAAUAAUUUUGUUGUUCAGUGAAGUUAUGCCAAAUAAAAGCAAAAAGAACAAAAAAAAACAAAAACAAAAUUUGUUGUUUCAAAAGAAUAAGAAUAACAAUAAUAGGUGAAAUCCACCUUGCAACUUCCAAAAAAAAAAAAAAAAAAAAAAAUUUGCAUUUUUCUCAAACAUACACUUUGUUUUCCUUAUUUCCUUUCUUUGUUAGCCAUAUCCCUAGCCUACGUUACGUCCUAAUAAAAGUCCUUCUUGAUUUUAGGGAACUAUAGUUUGAAGUAGAAGCUAGUUAUAUGGGCUAAAAAGAUGUAGUGAUGCAUAAUAAAAAAAAAAAAGAUAAAUAAAGUGGGUUGACUAACAUUUUAUUUGACUUGAGAUCGUAUUAUUUCUAAGCUGAGGGCAUAUUUAUUUCAUCUUGGUGAGAGCAUGUGAUAUCAUUUCUUUAUUAUUUUCUCUCUCAAUUACCAUUCAUUGGAGUGACUAUGUUUAUUGGGUUUUAAUUUCUUUGUGAGAGUGUCACUACUUCCAGUGAGAUUUUGGGGUUUGACAUGUCAUUCUUGAAAGUAGCUAUAACAAAGUCUACUGGGCUAAUUCAUGUGGAUGGUUGAUGUGGGUGUGAUGUUGCUUUAGACUGGAGAUAAUGCUUAUACUUUUAUUUGAUUGCUAUCAUUAAUCUGACGGAAUAAAUACGAGUGUUUCUAUUAAAAAAAAUAUAUAUAUAUUUUAAAUUUGAAUUUUGUUUUCGCUUUAUUUGCUAGGGACUAGCAAUAAGCUGGUUGGGGGGUGUGUUGAGUGUUAGAAAAUGCAUAUUUAUAAAGGAGAAAACCGUCAUUUUACAUUUCAAGUCUUACUAACAACCCUUACUUUUAUGUAUUUAACCUUCUUGUGAUGUAAUUACGUGUGUGUUAUUUUAAUUAAGUAUUUUAUGUAUUUUAGGGGCAUUAUAGUCAUUUCACAAUAAAGGAGAGAUCAGACGGCAAAACGGACAUCACUUUUGAACUCAGGACGGUCGAAAACCUUAGGAGGAGCAUAAAAGGAAAAAUGGCACUAUUCACAUGUACGGUACUAUUCACGUAUACGGUACUGUAUAUGUUACUGUUCACGGCACUGUUCACAUAGACGGAUCGAUGACGUGGCAUUGACCGAUGAUGUGGCAUUGACUGAUGAGGUGUCACGAUCCUGUUGGACUAAAAUUCUUAUGUACUGUUGAUGGUGACGUGGCAGCAUAUCAGUGGACGAAAAAUCUCGCGUACGGUGCAUGCAUCACACAGGAUUAUUUUCAAUCAAACCGUGUUACUGUUCAUCCGCGUGGUCAAACCGUGGACUGUUGACUGAUGACGUGGCGCAAUCCUGAGCGUCCAAACUGUUUUUAAUCCGAUGGCCAUGAUUUACUCCAUGUAUCUAUAAAAAGGGGGCCUCCCCCCCCUAAUUUGAUAUCUCUGAAUCCAUUUUUGGGAUCCAUUUUCUGUAAUUCCCUCUCCAUCUUGUAUUUUCUUUGUAUUUUAAUAAAUUCCCAUUUUGCCCCUAGUUCAAUUAUGAGUAGCUAAUUUCCUUUCAAGCUUGGGUUGAAGGUGAAGUCUCAACAUGUGUCAUGGGCUUUAUUUGGUAAAUUUAUUUUCUUUUCCCCUCUAGUUUUUGUGGAUGAUUUGACUUAUCGUCGACAAAUAAUACUGAUCUUGUCUAGAUACCGCCUUGGUUACACCGGCUCUCUAGUAUAAGGUUAUUAUUAUUUGGCACGAUAAGCCCUUAACACCAUAUUGAUUAGAGCGUGGUUCAUGAGGUGUGGAUUCCCCCCUCAUGAUUUAAUUGGCAUUAAUACGGAUUAUUUAGCCCAUGAUGCAUGUUGAUACGGAUCCAGAUACCCAAGUACGUCAUUUCAAUAGAAUUCUCUUCAAUUUAUUCUCGCCAUUUCAAUUCCAAUUUCAGAAUUUAUUCUCACCAUUUUAAUUUAAGUUUUAGCAUAUUCCAAAUCAUUUCCACCACAGAUCCAAUCAACCAUUUGCAAAAUUAAUUCUAUACACAAUUAAAAUCCACCUCCUCGUGGGAUCGACACUCGUCACCAUUGAUCUAUACUACAAUAGAUUCGUGCACUUGCGAGUACAUUAAAAUUUGCACAACACCUAACACUUGACUUCCUCUGAUAAAAGCUGCUUCUGAGACCAUUUUUGAUAACCCUCGGUUACCUCCUCCAUACACCAAGUGUAAUUUUCUCGCUGCUAUGCUUCGACCAAGAUCUAUGGCUGCCUCCACGAACUCUUUAUGUUUGCCAUAGGUAAAUCCAGAAAGCACACAAAUGUUCUUGAAUUGUCUAUUGGGAGUAGCUGCCAUUGUGAUACUUCUCAAAAACAAUUUGUGAGUGCUUGACAAAAGAUAAAUCACAUUUAAGAAUUUUGGUGACAGUGGAUCACAGCUGUGAAUGAGGUAACAUGUCAGUGUCAAAUAACGCGUAAAGCACGUGGCUCGCGAGUCAAAAAGGAAACAGUAAAAAGGAAAAAGCAAACAGUAAUAAAAUUAUUAAAGACAAUAAUGCAAACAAUAAAACAACAGUGAAAUGAAAUAAAAUAACUGUAAAAUAAAAGGAUAUUUACACGUAGUUGCGACUGUGGCUCACAUCUUCCUCUGGUUUUACGUCCAGAAACGGCUUGAACGCCCUCUAUGGGUCGAGGAUAGGCUUCCCAUCCAGUUUUCUUAUAAACUGACAAACAGGGUCGUUUAUAGUCAGAUUCCCGAGACUAUAUCGUGCAUGCUCUUUCUGGAAUAAUGGCCAUAACUGGAGAAUCGCUCCUUGCACAUAUCCACUGGGAUGCGUUUCAAGAGACAAAAGGAUAUCAUCCAAUGACUCCUUAUUCAAGCCAUCCCUAAUGAAUUGAAUCUUAUCUUCUCUGUUAUCAGACAUCAUUCCUAAAGAACAUGGGUUUCUAUCGCAACUCAUUCUGGCACACUUGUGACAAGCAACAGAAAUUCUUCGAGCUCGUCAUUUUCUUGCAUAAUUUCCUUUACCACAACCAGGCAUGUAUGCAAUAAAUUUAGGAGGUAACUCACCUGCUAAUCGUACUUUAGCCUCGAUUAACCAACGGAUGUCUGCAGGUAUGUUAUUCCUCAUGAGCAAUCGCAUGCGUUCAGACCGGGCUUUAUAGAUUGUAAGGAGGGCAUUCUGAGGAAGUGAAGGAAAUCGCUUGUGAAGCUUUGCUAAAAUCUCAUUUCUAUCCAUACCUUCUCCUCAGAAUAUCAGUUAUUAUGGGAAACUGAAGUUAACCGACUUGAUUGUCACGGAGUACCGUUAUCCGCCACUUUACCGGGGUAACAAACUAAAACACACCAAAAAGAAAAACAAAUUAAAACACACAAGGAAAAUUAAAAUCGUCCUCUUAUUGAAUUUACCUCAAGCUCCAACUGGAUGUCGUAAACACUUCUCUCAAUAUCUCGGAGUUGGCUUUCUAGAUUCUCAACAUAGGCUACUAACUCUGGUGGUUGUAAAGCCCAAAUGCGAUGUGUUUUACAAAAUUGAAUCUGCCUUUUGAGAUGAGUUUUGACACAUUGAAGUGGUUUAAGAAUGUUCAGGAGGAACGGUCUAAGUAUGAUACUCAUGAUUAAAAAUGAUAAGAGAAAACUUAAUAGUUAAACAAACAAACACACUUAUGCAAAAAUAAUUUCAUUUAGCAAAAGAAUAAUAGAAAGAAAGAAAGAAAAAUCAAAUCAGCGAAAAGAAAAAAAAAUCAAUUCAAUUCUGGUGGGUCACUCAAAUUUAUUUCGGUGUUUUCUCCAUGUGCUUGGUACUCUAAAUAUGGCUUUAAUCUUUGACCAUUGACUUUAAACGUGACACCGUUCUUUGGGUCCUUAAUUUCAAUUGCCCCAUGUGGAAAAACAGUAUGAACAAUAAAUGGACCAGACCAACGAGAGCGUAACUUACCUGGGAAUAGGUGCAAACGAGAAUUGAAUAAAAGCACUUUCUGACCUGGAGUGAACGAUUUUCUCAUAAUGUGCUUGUCAUGAAAGACUUUCAUUCAUUGCUUGUAGAUCUUGGCAUUUUCGUAUGCAUUAUUGCGAAUUUCUUCAAGUUCUACCAGUUGUAAUCUUCUUUCUGAGCUGGCAUGCUGCAUAUCAAAGUUGAACUUCUUGAUAGCCCAAUAUGCACGAUGCUCGAAUUCCACAGGUAGGUGGCAAGCUUUUCCAUACACUAGCCUGUAGGGUGACAUCCCAAUCGGGGUCUUGAAAGCCGUUCUAUAUGCCCAUAAUGCAUCAUCAAGUCUUAAUGACCAAUCUUUUCUGUCCGGCCUCACCGUCUUUUCUAAUAUGUGCUUUAUUUCUCGAUUGGAGAUUUCAACUUGGCCACUGGUUUGCGGAUGAUUAGGGGUGGCCACUUUGUGAGUGAUUGAAUACUUUGUCAAAAGUGCUUUAAAUGCUUUGUUACAAAAGUGGGCACCACCAUCACUGAUUAUUGCUCGAGGGAAUCCAAAGCUUGAGACAAUGUUGCUUUUCAAAAAUCCUAUCACCACUUUGUGAUCAUUGGUCCUACAUGGAAUUGCUUCUACCCAUUUCGAUACAUAGUCAACAGCAACCAAUAUGUAUUGAUGGCCAAAAGAAGGGGGAAAGGGUCCCAUGAAGUCGAUACCCCAUACGUCAAAAGUCUCAACCACUAAAAUUGGAUUUAGUGGCAUCAUGUUCCUUCGUGUAAUGCUCCCCAUUCGUUGACACCUAUCACAUGAAGAACAGAAAGUGUAAGCGUCUCGAAAUAUAGUUGACCAAUAAAAACCACAUUGUAAAACUUUAGUCGCUGUUUUCUUAGCACUGAAAUGGCCUCCACAAGCUUGUUCAUGACAAAAUGAAAGGAUAUUCUGAAUUUCACUUUCUGGGACACAUCGUCUAACAAUUUGGUCUGCACAAUACUUGAACAAAUACGGGUCAUCCCAAAAGAAAUUCUUUAUUUCUGCAAAGAAUUUAGCCUUGUCUUGCUUGGUCCAAUGCUCUGGAAAUUUACCUGUAACAAGAUAAUUAACUAUAUCAGCAUACCAAGGUAAUACUUCCACAUUCAUCAAUUGUUCAUCUGGGAAUGACUCAUUUAAUGGUAAUGGCUCUGUAAUUGUGUCAAAAUAGAGACGAGAGAGAUGGUCCGCCACGACAUUUUCUAUGCCUUUCUUAUCUUUGAAUUCCAAGUCAAAUUCCUGCAAAAGUAAUACCCAACGAAUUAGUCUAGCUUUUGCAUCUUUCUUUGUGAGAAGAUAUUUAAGAGCAGCAUGAUCUGUGAAUAUAAUUAUUUUACAACCAAUGAGAUAAGAUCGAAAUUUUUCCAAUGCAAACACUACUGCUAGCAUUUCUUUUUCAGUAGUUGAAUAGUUCAACUGUGCAUCAUUCAAUGUCAUACUAGCAUAGUAAAUAACAUGAGGAAUUCGAUCAACUCUUUGUCCUAAAACUGCUCCUACUGCAUAAUCAGAUGCAUCACACAUGAGCUCAAAUGGUAAGCUCCAGUUUGGGGGCUGAAUGAUGGGUGAUGAUGUCAACAAAUGCUUUAAUUUUUCAAAUGCAACAAGACAUGAAUCAUUAAAGACAAAAGGUACAUCCUUAGCAAGUAGAUUGCAUAAGGGUCUAGAAACUUUACUAAAAUCUUUAAUGAAACGUCUAUAAAAACCAGCAUGCCCAAGGAAAGAUCUUACUUCUCUGACUGUUUUGGGUGGAGGAAGAUUAGAAAUGAGAUCCACCUUGGCUUUGUCAACCUCAAUACCUUUGCUUGAAAUGAUGUGACCGAGAACAAUACCUUGUUUUACCAUAAAAUGACACUUCUCCCAAUUUAAGACUAAGCUCUUCUCGAUACAUCUCUGCAGAACUAAUGUUAGAUGAUGUAAACAUUGAUCAAACGAGUCACCAAAGACAGAAAAAUCAUCCAUAAAGACUUCAAGGAAUCGUUCAACCAUAUCAGAAAAAAUGCUCAACAUGCAUCGUUGGAAUGUAGCAGGUGCAUUACAUAAUCCAAAUGGCAUUCUCCUAUAUGCAAAAGUGCCAAAAGGGCAAGUGAAAGUAGUUUUCUCCUGAUCUUUUGGUGCUAUGGGAAUCUGAUUAUAUCCUGACUAGCCAUCUAGAAAGCAAUAAAAUUCAUGGCCUGCUAUCUAUCAAGCAUUUGAUCAAUAAAUGGUAAAGGAAAAUGGUCUUUACGUGUGACAGAAUUCAACUUUCUAUAAUCAAUGCAUACACGCCAUCCUGUAGUCACUCUAGUUGGUAUCAAUUCAUUAUCGGCAUUCGUAACUACUGUGACUCCUGACUUUUUGGGGACAACUUGUACAGGACUGACCCAUGAACUAUCAGAAAUUGGGUAAAUGAUACAUGCGUCUAAUAGCUUAAGGACUUCUGUUCUAACAACUUCUUUCAUAUUAGGAUUUAACCGACGUUGCAUUUCCCUAGUAGAUUUAGCAUUUUCAUCAAGGUGAAUGUAAUGCAUGCAAUCUACAGGGUCUAUACCUUUUAUGUCUGCUAUGGUCCAUCCUAAUGCCCCUUUGUGCUCUUUUAAAACAUCCAACAACUUACCUUUUUGUUCAUCAUUGAGGGAUGAUGAAAUGAUUACCGGCAAAGUACUUUCUUCCCCCAAAAAUGCAUAUUCCAAAGUGUUGGGUAAUGGUUUGAGCUCGAGUUUCGGUGGUGAUUCUGAUGAUGGGAUGAGUUUCUUCUCUGAUGGUGCUAGUUGUUCAACUCUUGACUUCCAUUUAUUAGUGUCCAUAGAUGGUGCUGAGUCAAGUAGGGCAUUGACCUCUUCGACCGAUCUGUCAAUAUCAAAAUCAAAACCAAAGUGAGUUAAGCAUGUCUGUAAAGGAUCAUCACUAAGGUUUGAAACAAAAGUGUCAUCAACUAAUGCUUCUAUUAAAUCCACAUCAACAAUUCCAUCAUCUGCAUUGUGAGGUUGUUUGGCAAUGUUGAAGAUGUUCAGCUCCAUAGUCAUGUUGCCGAAGGACAACUGCAUAUUUCCAGUCCUACAUUGAAUGUGAGCAUCCGCAGUUGCCAAGAAAGGUCGGCCUAAAAUAAUGGGGAUGUGCUUCCUUGAAUCCUGUAUAGGUUGAGUGUCAAUUACAAUGAAAUCAACAGGAAAAUAAAACUUGUCUACCUGGAUAAGCACGUCCUCCACAAUACCACGAGGUAUUUUCGUGGACCGAUCUGCAAGUUGUAACACCACUGGAGUUGGGUGUAAUUCUCCAAGUCCAAGUUUCACAAACACAGAGUAAGGCAACAAAUUUACACUAGCUCCUAAAUCCAACAAAGCAUUCUCAAUUGUGUGGUUCCCUAUACUACAUGAGAUAGUGGGGGAGCCUGGGUCUUUGCAUUUUAAAGGAAUUUUAUGUUGGAGUAUAGAACUAACGUUUUCUGUUAAAAAUGCCUUCUUUUGAACAUGCAUAUUUCUCUUUUUAGUACACAGGUCUUUAAGAAACUUAGCAUAAGAUGGAACUUGUUUAAUAGCAUCAAGCAAAGGGAUGUUAACACUUACCUGUUUGAAGAUUUCAAGAAUCUCACCUGUCGAUUUUCCCUUCUUUCCUUUAGCUAACCUCUGAGGAAAUGGAGCUUUCGGAACAUAUUCUCGUGGGUUGGUUUCUUUUUUCUCCUCUGGUGAUGAGUCCUCAACAUUCACAGGUACAAUUUGAUUUUCUUUGGUCACCGGCAUCUCCACUUUGUUGUCGACUUCUUUACCUUUUCGCAAGGUCAUGACUGCUUUGACCUCUCCAUGCUGCUGUGGUGAACUGGUACUUGCUUCAUGUACUCCUUUAGGAUUAGGCACUGGUUGACUUGGAAACUUGCCUUUCUCAACAGUCAUUGCCAAGGUCUAAACUGAAGAAGCGAGUUGUCCCACCAUCUUCUCCAGGCUUGAAACUGAUUGAGCUUGUGAGUUGAAGCCUGCUCUCAACUCAUUUCGUAGUCCAUCAAUGGUGCGGUUCUGUUGCUCAAUCGUAGAGUGAGUAACAUUCUUGAAAUUUUGGAAUGCAUCCUCCCAUGGUUUAGGUUGAGAGUAAUUCUGGUUUUGAUUGUAUUGUCUAAAUGGGGGCUGAGAGGCUUGAGGAAUUUGAGGAAUUUGUUGCAUUGGUGGAGCUGGAGCUGCUGGUCCAUUCUGUUGGAAUCCUUGAGACCAUGAAAAAUUGGGGUGGUCUCUCCAUCCAGGGUUAUAUGUGUUGGAGUACGGGUUGUAAUUUGAUGGUUUUCUCAUUACACCUAUAACAUUGGCUUGAUCUGAGUAUGAGUCAGGGUCAUGUGGUUCUGUUGAUUUAGCAGUCGAUAACGAUGCUAUUUGUCGAGCAAGACCCUCAACCAUCUCCUUGACUUCUUUGAUUCCCGAAGUUGACUCGCCAAUUUGAACCUCAUUUACUCCCUUAAUUCUUCUAGUAUUCCUGAGUGAUCGACUCCGUUGUUGGGAAUUAUCCGCUUGUCGCUGGAAGAAUUCCCAAAUCUCUGAUGCACUUUUUGACAUUAGCUCUCCUCCACUUGUUGCCAUUAGCCAUUCUUGCACAUUCGGCAAUAAUCCCUCCAAAAAGUAUUGGUAUUGGUGCCAUUUCUCGUACCCAUGAUGUGGACACUUCAAGAGUAGCCCAUUGAAUCGCUCCCAUGUUUCGAAAAACUGCUCGUCCUCUCUUUGGGUAAACUCUGAAAUUUCCCUGCGAAUAGAAUUAGUUUUAUGCACUGGGAAAUAUUUAUUUAGAAAUUUUGUAACCAUUUGUUCCCAUGAUGCAAUGCUAUUAGCAGGCAAAGUAUUUAACCAUGAACGAGCUCUAUCCUUUAAAGAAAAUGGGAAUAAUCUAAGUUUAACAUCAUCGUCUGAAAAAUUUUCAUAUUUAAAAGUUUGACAAAUGGCAUUAAAAUCAUUCAGAUGAUUAUAUGGGUCCUCAUUUUCUAGGCCAUAGAAUGUGGGGAGACAAUUUAGCACACUAGGUUUUAAUUCAAAACUUCUAGCAGCUACAUUUGGGUAUCUUAUGCAUGAUGUACUCAAAUUAGCUAAGGGACUAAAAUAGUCCUUAAAUGGCCUCUCCUGUGGUGCUUGUAAAUCCAUUCCAAAUUUAUUUUUAAUGUGCUUUUGUGUGCGAAGUGUUUUUUCUAAUUCAAGGUCUAUAGGUUCAAGAUUAGGUAAUAAUGACCUACGACCAUGCAUGCAAAACAAAUAAAAUAAAAAUAAAGAUGGGAACAAAACAAAUAAAAAUAAAGAAGAUGGAGAAAUUACGAUACUAACCUUAUUGCGCUAUUACAACCUUUCUAUAAAAAUACACAAAAAUAAAUACGUGAAAUAAAUUAACUAAAAAUUAAAUUAAUAAAAUAAACAAAAAUUACAAAGAAAAAAUAAAUAAAUUGAAAAUUAAAUUACAGAAUUUUAAAGAAGAGAAAAAGAAAAGAAAUACUAACCUUUAAAUGUAGAUUCACUUUUUUUUUUUAAUAAAAAAUACAAGAAAACAAAUAAAAGAAAUUAUUCACAAAAAUUAAUUCUAUGAAUUAAAAUUACUUACCUUCCCGGCAACGGCGCCAAAAACUUGUUGUGCAAAUUUUAAUGUACUCGCAAGCGCACGAAUCUAUUGUAGUAUAGACUAAUGGUGACGAGUGUCGAUCCCACGAGGAGAUGGAUUUUAAUUGUAUAUAGAAUUAAUUUUGUAAAUGGGUGGUUGGAUUUGUGGUGGAAAUGAUUUGGAAUAUGCUAAAACUUAAAUUAAAAUGGCGAGAAUAAAUUCUGAAAUUGAAAUUGAAAUGACGAGAAUAAAUUGAAGCGAAGAUCUAUUGAAAUGACGUACUUGGGUAUCUGGAUCCGUAUCAACAUGCAUCAUGGGCUAAAUAAUCCGUAUUAAUGCCAAUUAAAUCAUGAGGGGGGAAUCCACACCUCAUGAACCACGCUCUAAUCAAUAUGGUGCUAAGGGCUUAUCGUGCCAAAUAAUAAUAACCUUUGUACUAGAGGGCCGGUGAAACCAAGGCGGUACUAGACAAGAUUAGUAUUAUUUGUCGACGAGAAGUCAAAACAUCCACAAAAAUUAGAGGGGAAGAGAAAGUAAAUUUACCAAAUAAAGCCCAUGACACAUGUUGAGACUUCACCUUCAACCCAAGCUUGAAAGAAAAUUAGCCACUCAUAAUUGAACUAGGGGCAAAAUGGAAAUUUAUUAAAAUACGAAGAAAAUACAAGAUGGAGAGAGAAUUACAGAAAAUGGAUCCCAAAACUGGAUUCAGAGAUAUCAAAUUAGGGGGGGAAGGCCCCCUUUUUAUAGAUACAUGGAGUAAAUCAUGGCCAUCGGAUUAAAAACAGUUUGGACGCUCAGGAUUGCGCCACGUCAUCAGUCAACAGUCCACGGUUUGACCACGCGGAUGAACAGUAACACGGUUUGGUUGAAAAUAAUCCUGUGUGAUGCAUGCACCGUACGCGAGAUUUUUCGUCCACUGAUAUGCUGCCACGUCACCAUCAACAGUACAUAAGAAUUUUAGUCCAACAGGAUCGUGACACCUCAUCAGUCAAUGCCACAUCAUCGGUUAAUGCCACGUCAUCGAUCCGUCUAUGUGAACAGUGUCGUGAAAAGUAACAUAUACAGUACCGUAUACGUGAAUAGUACCGUACAUGUGAAUAGUGCUAUUUUUCCUUUUAUGCUCCUCCUAAGGUUUUCGACCGUCCUGAGUUCAAAAGUGAUGUCCGUUUUGCCGUAUGAUCUCUCCUUUUUUGUGAAAUGACUAUAAUGCCCCUAAAAUACAUAAAAUACUUAAUUAAAAUAAAACACAUGUAAUUAAAUCACAAGAAGGUUAAAUACAUAAAAGUAAGGGUUGUUAGUAAGACUUGAAAUGUAAAAUGACAGAUUUCUCCUUUAUAAAUAUGCAUUUUCUAACACUCAACACUAACUUGUAACACAAUACUCGCAAAAUGGUAAACUUACCAAUUUGAGCCCUGGAAGCAAUUUUCGCUCAGAGAGAAUCCUCAAACCUUGUUAUGACAUGUGGCGAAGUUUGAGAUGCCAUAUUAUCAUUGACUCUUCUCCAUUUGAUGCGACACACGCAUCAGCCUCCUGUAGUGUUUCUCCUUUAAACAUGAAUAGAUUAGCACCGAUCUUUUCUGCCUUCAUCAAUACAAGCACGCCUUUAACGAUCUUCAUAAUUCCAUUCUCCACAUGAGUUUUGUACCCAUGACUAUCCAUUUGUCCCAAAGACAAUAGAUUUUUCUUCAGGUCGUUGACAUGUCGUACCCCCCCCCCCCCAAUUGUGCGAAUUAUACCAUCAAACAUUUUUAUUUUGAUAGUACCAAUAUCAGCGAUCUCCAAGGCAUGAUCAUCUCCUAUAUAUACAAAUCCUCCUGAGAUAGGUUCAUAUGUGUGGAACCAUUCUCUCCGAGAGGUCAUGUGCCAGGUAGCUCCUGAGUUUAUAAGCCAGACAUCAGAUGUCGUUUUCUGCCUUUUGAAAUAGUUGUUGCCUCGCUGUAGAGAAUUUCACCAUCAUCUGAGGUACUUGCUACACACCCUUGAGCAUUUGAUGACUCAGGUUCUUUGCCAUCUCUUCUCUUCUGGUUACUCCAACACUCUUUCUUGAUGUGCCAUUUCUUGCCACAGUUAUAGCAUUUAACAUUCUUCUUACUUCUGGAUUUUGAUCUACCAUGAUUGUGAAUCCCACUAGGGCCACAUUCCGUUGAUCUCCCUCUUGUCACCGAUAGCGCCUUCGCUUGCUGCGAACUUGCUUGUUUGUUUUCCUUAUUUUUCUGCCUGCUCUCCUCAUUUAAUACGGAGGCUGCAACAUCGUCGAAAACUAGAUUGUCUGCUGGAUUGUUGUUCGUCAGGUUGAUGAUGAGUUGAUCAUACGAAUCUGGUAGACUUUGAAGUAGAAGCUCUGCACGUUCAUUUUCCUCUAUAUUAUGACCCAUCGUUGUGAGUUGUGAAAAUAGAGUUUUCAAGGUGUUAAUGUGGUCGGUCACCAUUGUAGAUUCCGCCAUUCAAAGAGCAUAGAGUUUCCUCUUCAAGAAGAUUUUGUUGUGUAGUAACUUGACCUCGUACAAUUUUGUAAGAGUAUCCCAUAUUUCCUUCGCUGUAUUUUUCUCUGCCACACUGGAUAAUACUCCAUCUGCAAGUGCCAAGUGUAGAUCAGAAAUGGCGUUACCAUCUACCUCAUUCCACUUGUCAUCAGUUAUCUCCAUGGGCCUUUCUACAAUUACUGCCAAGCAAUUAUUUUUCCUCAAUACAGCUUUCAUCUUCAUUUUUCACAACGAAAAAUUAUUUCCGUUAAACUUCUCAAUUUCAUACUUUGCCACCAUUUUGUUGAUAAAUACCGCACACAAGCUAGUGUACCACCUUGAAUAGUUGUGAGUAUGUGUGAGAAUGCACAGCAGGAAAGUUCCCAGGAAAGACUGGAGGGGUCACAAUGGUGCCACUUAAAACCCAGACUCCUUAAGCUCUUAUCGCCUUUGUGACAGAACUUUCUUAGACAUGUACAAAACCACACAAUUGUUUUACUCACACCACUAUUCCCUGCUUUGCACCGCAAAAUUAUUGGAUCGCUCCCACCGUUUCACGUGAAUAGUACCAUAUACGUGAACAGUACCAUAUACAUGAAUAGUACCCCUUAUGUGACAGUACCCGACUCUAAAAAUACAACCAAUAGCUUUGAUACCACUGUUAGGAAAUUGGUGGGUGAAGCAGGACUGCAGCUAAAGUAAAAUUGGAAGAAAAAUAAAGAACAAGCACAAUAGAGACACCAGAAAUUACGUGGUUUGCCUUUUAGUCUAUGUUCACGGGCGAAAACAGAAGGAAAAUAUUAUACUAGUGAAAAGGAAUUACAAGUACUGUAGUAUUUUAGCUCACUACCUAAAACCCCAAUACACCCAAACUCUCAAAUCACUAGACUCUUAAAAUCACUCUCUAAAUAAAUAAAAGAACUGAAGAACUCAAUGAUUUACAAAUGAAGGGAGACAACAUUUUUAUAGCCAAAAUUGGCUACUGUUCAUUUAAUAUUUAAUUAUUAUUAUUAUUUUAUUAAUUUUUCUUUUCUUUUCCUUCUUCGGCCUAGCAUCUCUUUUUCUUCUCUCUUUUUUCUUUUUCCUUAUUUUCUUUGGUUUCUUUCUUUGGGCGGUACCUCUCAUUUUUUUUUCUUCUUCAAACUGCUUCGUUUUCCAUUUUCCUUUUCAAGCAUUUCGGUUGGCCCAUUUUCAACAUUUCCAGAAGAGUGGUACCCCAUAUUCAACACAAGAUAAUUUUAUGACCAUCAAUCUUUUGCAGCCAUAUGCAGACUUGAAACACUGUAGUGUCCCUAAGGAACUUGAAAAUUAGAAAGUUUCAGAAUGAGUGACUAAAUAUGAUAAUCGAAACUAAUUUAAUAUACACGCCUUGUAAAUCUGAAACUAAAUUACUCAAAUGUAUAUGCCUCUUCACAGCAAUUGCUCGUGGUGGAAAGUUUACUGCAAAGACUUCCUCAAACCCUUGAAGAUCACACUCUUCCUGGCAACAAAGAAACAGAGUCAAUAUACGAAGAUGAUUUUAUUAACAAGUGAGAGCUUGCAAAUAUUGGAAGGAUAACGAUUAGUCAUAACCCAAAUCCCCAAUGCCUUCUAAUAUCUCACUCACUUGAGUUCAAGCUCCCAAAAUUCACUACAGUGAAACCCUCACAACAAAAUUCUCUUCAAAGAUUCUCUACUCAAAUUUGAUUAAGUUGAUUAGAAUCCUUAACCUGAUAACUUAAACAAAAACAACUUGCCUAAAGUUUAAUAUUUAGAGGCUGAACAGUAAAGAAGAAGAUAUAUAUUGAUACUAAAAUUUGACCUGUAUUAUUCUGACGUAAAAAAUCACGACAUCUCAUAUGGGCAAAAUCUUCACAAUACGAGAUGCUUGCAAAAUUGAAGCAGCAUCUUAUCACCUGUAAUUUAAUUAAGACAAUAACUUUCCCCAACUAUUUCAAUGCAUUAUUGGCAACUAAAUUCAGAGGGCGCUAAUUAAAUAUCCUUUUAAUAAUAUCUUCUUAUUCUUCUCCAAUCUAACAGUUAUUUGGAAAUCUGAAAAGAGGUUCAACAUUUUACAACCAAUAAAAAAUCACUGAACCAUUGGAAAGUGAUUUACGUAUAAUUUUUUUUUUCCAAAUUUUGUCCAAAGUGAUGAAUGAGAUAGGAUGACACAAGAAACAAAUUUAAAUUGACCGCAAGUAGAAAUAUACUUCUGUUAUAUUUGCAACAUCUUCUAGGGUCAAUUGCUUUUCCUUGAGCUCUGUUUCUGCAUGUGCUCAAAUGCAACACACAUACCACAAGAUAUAAUUAUCAACAUGAAUCUUUUGCCGCCAUAUGCAGCACUUAGAAAACUGUUUAUGGCCAUAAAGAACGGGAAAAUCAGAAAUCAUUAACAACGAGAGAAAUCAUUUUAAUCACAGGCAAACAUACACACUAAGAAAAUCUAGAAUUGAAUUUCUCCUAAUGAAUGUGCCUCUUCACAGCAAUUGCACAAGCUAAUCCCAGCAGCCUGCAUCAUCGAGCUUCUCCCAAUGAGUGAGUGAGCCUUGAACAGUUAUCACUUAGCUCAAACUAAAAUGAAAUUAUUGUGGACAUCUGAAUUAAAUAUACAUGUAAAAGGAGUUUUCUCAAAGCAAGGUCAAGAUAAGAGAUUAACUCUGCUCCUUAUUUACAGUAAAAAUAACAAACAAUGAAAAACAGAGCUAGAGAAGAACUUACCUGUGCAUUGAGACCAUGUGGAGAAUGUGAGAUAUCUUCUUAUAUUUGGUUUGAGAAACUCCAUCUUCUUCUGAAAGUUCUGGCAGUUCCCUAAACCCAGGCCAAUACAAUUGCAACAGAAACUGCAUGCUUUAACCAGCAUCUUAUCAUCUCUUCUUAUUUCAAGACAAGAAUAACUUAAUUGCAAGUUUACAACAUUGCGUGAUUCCACCAUUAACCUUUUCAAUUUCAACACUUCUUUUGUCCCCCGCCCGAUGCCCUUUUAAAAAUUCUAUGAAUCAGAUAAAUCAUUCUUCAACCCCAAAUUCCUUCCGAAUCCGUGGAAGCAUUUCAGCCCACAGACGGUUUGCUUUGUCAAUAUACAGCAACUCAGGAUUCUAUAUUUAAACUAUGAUGUUUGAUGACUUGCUGAUGCAAAAAACAUUGCCCCAAGCACUUUUUUACAGGAAUUAAAAUCAAGCCAGUCACUUCCAUUUGUUGCAGUUUUAAUGCAGAAAGAAAAAGGGGCAAAAAAAUCCGCAAGAUGCCACUUGUAAUACCGCAUGUUCGCAAAAGCAGAGUUAAAUAAUUACAAAAUUACAUUCUUGAUUGCACAGAAAUAAUAUAUAGCAAAACAAGCAUAAGGAAAUAACAAUAUAAUUUUACAUUUUUCAGCUUUUGGACUACGUCACAGUCAGAGACGUGAAGAGAAUUUUACUAAGAAAUAAGAGUGUACUAAUAUUAAAGAAAACAUUCACUAAUCGCUAAUAUAUGCUUAAUUUCUCACCCACUAAGAAUGUUCAAUUCACUCAAAUGAAACUUUCACAAGAAAGUCUCAUUAUUAAGGCUUUAGCUUUACUUCACAUGCUCAACAAUUCAAAUUUGAGGAUGAUAUUUCUCAAAAUGGAGGGCUCUAUUUGGCUUGCCAACAAUCUUCCUCACUACUAUCAUCCUUGCUAUACCGGUUGCACUGGACAAUCUUCAUUCUGACAUUUGCCCUGUUAACCUGAGUACACAAGAAUCCAAAACAACUGUUAGAAAUUUUAAUCUUUAUACAUAGCCAAAAUGGUGAAUAAAAUGAUGUACUUGAUAACAAAAACCUGAUUUAAUAAAUAAUUAAGCGGCCGAUAACAAGCACAGAAUCUCAUCGUGUGGGGAAAGCCUUGACAACAGAAGAUGGUGCUUUCAUUCAAGCAAUGAUAACUUUCCAAUUUCAUAAGGUAGCUUAAUGCCCUUUUAAGAAUAUCUGCACCAGCCUGACAAUUAUUGAUGAAAAUUCAAAUUCAGAAUCAUGUUCGUAUGAGAGAUGAAAUGUAAUGAGCAACUUGGCCACCAUGUAUGCAUUUAUCACUUCAAUUUGCUCAUCUUUGUCUAGAUUAUUGCUUAUGCGUUAACUGAAUUAGCGUGCAAGCCACCUGAAAAUGGUUUUAAAUAAUGAGAGUCUGGAUUCGAAUGAAUUAAUCAAAUAUGAUGACAGAAAAUACAAAUGUAAAAUAACCACAAGAAGUAGAAAUAUACUUUUGUUAGAUUUAGAGCAUAAUUCUUCUGUCAAGUUCUUUUCCAUUAGCCUUGUUUCUGUGUGUGCUCAAACGCAAUUCCUCAACACUUAAGAUAGUUUCUGCAGACCUGAAAAACUGGUUGUGGCCCUAAGGAACUUGAAAAUUAGAAAAGAUUCAGAAUGAGUGAAAAUCUAAUUAAACAUACACGCCCUGAAAAUCUGAAACUGAAUUACUCAAAUGAAUAUGCCUCUUCACAGCAAUUGGUUGAAACUUUACUGCAAAGACUUUUUGAAACCCUUGAAGAUAAUACACUACCUGAUAACACAAGGAAACACAAUCAAUAUAAGAAGAUGAUUUUACAAACAAAUGAAAGCUUGCAAUUAUUGAGAGAGCUCUACUCAAAUUUAAUGAGAUAUCUCUCAGAAUGGAGAGCUCUAAUAAUAUAUAAAGCCAAAAAUCUAACACUCAUCAAAUUGGCUUGUGAACAAUUAAUCUUCCUUGCCAUCAUAAAUGCCAGGUAUGGUGAACAAUCUUCAUUCUGACAUUUGCCUUAAUAAGCUGCUUAGUAUCCUUAACCUGAUAACUUACACAAACAAAAACAACUUCACUAAAGUUUAUUCUUUAAAGGCAAAACUGUAAACAAGAUGAUAUAUGCUGAUACAAAAAAAUGACCUAAGUUAUCCUGAUGUCAAGAAUCACAGAACCUCAUGUGGGCAAAAUCAUCGCAAUACAAGAUGCUGAAUUCAAGCAACAUCUUAUCACCUAUAAUUUAAUUAAGACAAUAACUUUCCUCAACUAUUAGCCUUCUCAAUUUCAAUGUAUUAUUGGCAACUAAAUUUAUAGGGGACGUAGCUAAUUAAAUGCCCUUUUAACAAUAUCUUCCCCACCUAACAAUUAUUUGGAAAAUCUAAAUGACAAUCAUGCAUUGAUGGCAUAAAAAAUUGGCCACAAAGCUGCCUAGAAAAAGGCUUUAAAUUCUUAAUGAGACAACGUAUUCGAACAAAUAUGCUGAAUGAAGAGACAAAGGCAUAACACCUCAGGAAGUAAAGCUCUGUUUCUGUAUGUGCUCAAACCAAUGGAAACCCAUGGAAAUGAAUUUCUACAAAUUAGAUAUGUCAGCCAAAACAGGUACUCUAUACAAGCAAAGUAAAAGAGAGUUAACAAAAAAUUUUAAGAUAAUUAAACUUUUAGUCACCAUAUAAUUAAUAGAAAACUUUGUACACAAUGAUUUAUAUGAGAUUAAGAUUGUAUACCUAAGUUUUAAUUGCAAACUAAAUACACACAAAAUGAUAUUAGCAUUAGAAGACUGCACCAAAACGUACCGAAUUGAAUGUACCUCUCAACGGCCAUUUUACAUGCAUUGAAAGUUUACCGCAAAAGCUGUUUCAAACGUGAUGCAUCUUAGAGAUGCAAGAUGAGAAAUUGUUAGUACAACUAGCAUUGAAACAUGUGUGAAAACUGUUAAUGGACCUAAAUAACUUGAAAAUCAGAAAAGAUUAGGAAUGAGUGACUAAGCCUGCUAAUCGCAACUGAGCAAAUUAUUGAAGAAAUAUAUAUCUCAUUUUCUCUUCUUUUAUAAUAGGAUUACAUAAUACAUUUAUAGAUUCUAAACUACAUAACGUGCAAGAGUAGGAAAGUAAACAACUGCAGACCAAGAAACUAGGAAACAAACUCUAUCAAAAAACUGAAAUUCUAUCCCUAUCUUUUUUCUUUUCUAUCCCUAUCUUUUUUCCUUAAAAAUAGGAUAGAAAACAUGUGACUUUUCCACACUCCCCCUCAAGCUGGUUCGAAAAUAUCAAUCAUUCCUAGCUUGCUAGUUAGUGACUCAAAGCUUGAUUUAUGGAGUCCUUUAGUAAGAAUAUCGGCUAGCUGCUUUAUUGUUGGAAUAAAGGUCAUGCAUAUCAAACCACUUUCUAUUUUCUCCUUGAUAAAAUGACGAUCCACUUCAACAUGUUUAGUUUUGUCAUGAUGAACAGGGUUAUGAGCAAUGUUUAUUGCUGCCUUGUUGUCACAAUACAACUUCAUAGGAACAUCAAUAAUAAUCUUUAAUUCUUCAAGUAGCUUCUUUAACCAAAAAAGUUCAAAAAUACCAUGUGCUACUGCUCUAAAUUCAACUUCGGCACUACUUCUUGCAACCACUGAUUGCUUCUUACUCCUCUAAGUUACCAAGUUUCCUCCCACAAAUGUGCAAUACCCUGAAGUUGACCUUCUAUCAAUAACAGAUCCAGCCCAAUCUGCAUCAGUAGAUACUUCAACUUGCAGAUCGUUAUUUUUCUUGAAUAGCAGACCUUUUCCUGGAGUUUUUUUCAGGUACUUAAGAACCUUGUAAAUAGCUUCCAAGUGCUCUUUACAUGGAGAGUGCAUAAAUUGACUAAUAACACUUACUGCAAAGGCUAUGUCUGGCCUAGUAUGAGACAAGUAUAUCAACUUACCAACCAACCUUUGGUAACUUUCUCUAUCCACUGAUUUUCCUUCAAUUGCAUAUCCCAAUUUGUGAUAAGGAUCAAUAGGAGUGUCUCCAGGUUUGCAUCCCAACAUGCCAGUUUCCUUGAGCAAGUCUAAAGUAUAUUUCCUUUGAGAAACAAAAAUGCCUUUACUGGAUCUUGCAAUUUCCAUGCCCAAAAAGUAUCUUAAGGGUCCAAGAUCCUUUAUCUCAAAUUCUCUAGCAAGAACCUUCUUGAGAUUUUCCAUUUCUAUUACAUUGCUUCCAGUCAAGAUGACACCGUCUAUAUAUACAAUGACGAUCACAACACUACCAUCAGUGAAGUGUUUAAAAAACAUUGUAUGAUCUGCUUGACUCUGUAAAUAUCCAAAGCUACAAACAGAUUUGGUAAAUCUAUCAAACCAAGCUCGAGGAGAUUGUUUUAAGCCGUAAAGUGAUCUCUUCAGCUUGCAAACUUUUUCAAUACCAUAUUCAUUCUCAAAACCUGGUGGUAGAUCCAUAUAUACCUCCUCUUCAAGCUCUCCAUUAAGGAAUGCAUUCUUAACAUCUAACUAUUGUAAUUGCCAUCCUAGGCUUGCUGCAAGAGACAACAAAACCCGAAUGGAAUUCAUCUUUGCCACGGGAGCAAAUGUUUCUUGGUAGUCAAUGCCGUAUGUUUGUGUAAAACUUUUCGUGACGAGCCUAGCUUUGUACCGCUCAAGUGACCCAUCUGCUCUGUAUUUAACUGUAAAAAUCCAUUUGCAACCCACUGGUUUUUUUCCUUCUGGUAACUUGACUAGUUCCUAAGUUUUUUUUUUUCUAGAGCUCUCAUCUCUGCAUACACAGCAUCUCUCCAUUCUGGAAUAGAAAGAGCAUCUUGUACAGAUUUUGGAAUUACUAUAACAGACAGGUUAGCUGUAAAAGCUCUAAAAAAUGGAGAUAAUCUAUGAUAUGACACAUACUUAGAAAUUGGAUGAAGAGUACAAGACCUAGUUCCUUUCUGUUGUGCAAUUGGAACAUCUAGAUCAUUUGUAGUUUCUAAAACAGAUUCUAAAAUGUUACCGGCAAGUUCCAAGUUGCCUGUGUUUGGAUCCGAGUCUUGGCAGUGAGGAGAGGAAUGAUGAUUUGACCUUUUCGAAUUUCGUCGUGUGUAGACUUAAAGCUCUGGUUCUAGAACUCUCUCUAAUGAUUUUUCAUUAUUCACAAUUGAUGGCAUUGUAGAAGGAACACGAGUUACACAAGACAUAAUAGGCAUUGGAAGAGAAAAUUCCCAAAAAUGAUCUUCCUGAGUAUGAUCCUCCCCCUGAAGAGAAGUGUUGAGUGUUAGAAAAUGUAUAUUUAUAAGGAGAAAAUCAUCAUUUUACACUUCAAGUUUUACUAACACCCUUACUUUUAUGUAUUUAACUUUCUUUUGAUUUAAUUCCGUGUGUUUUAUUUUAAUUAAGUAUUUUAUAUAUUUUAGGGGCAUCAUAUAUAUUUCACAAUGAACGAGAGAUCAGACUGCAAAACAGACAUCAAUUUUGAAUUCAGGACGGUCAAAAACCUUAGGAGGAGCAUAAAAGGAAAAAUGGCACUAUUCACAUGUACGGUACUAUCUACGUUACUGUUAACGAUAUUGUUCAUAAAGACGGAUCGAUGACGUGACAUUAACCGAUGAUGUGGCAUUGACUGAUGAGGUGCCACGAUCCUGUUGGACUAAAAUUCUUAUGCACUGUUGAUCGAUGAUGUGGCAGCAUAUUAGUGGACCAGAAAUCUCGCGUACGGUACAUGCAUUACACGGGAUUAUUUUCAACCAAACCGCGUUACUGUUCAAGCCGGGUCAAACCGUGUUACUGUUCACCCGCGUGGUCAAACCGCGUACUGUUGACUGAUGACGUGGCGCAAUCUUGAGCGUCCAAACUGUUUUUAAUCUAAUGGCCAUUAUUUACUCCAUGUAUCUAUAAAAAGGAGGCCUCCCCCCCUAAUUUGAUAUCUCUGAAUCCAUUUUUGGGAUUCAUUUUCUGUAAUUCCUCCAUCUUGUAUUUUCUAUGUAUUUUAAUAAAUUCCUAUUUUGCCCCUAGUUCAAUUAUGAGUAGCUAAUUUUCUUUCAAGCUGGGGUUGAAGGUGAAGUCUUAACAUGUGUCAUGGCUUAAUUUCGUAAAUUUAUUUUCUUCUCCCCUCUAAUUUUUGUAGAUGAUUUGACUUUUCGUCGACAAAUAAUAAUAAUCUUGUCUAGAUACCGUCUUGGUUUCACCGGCUCUCUAGUAUAAGGUUAUUAUUAUUUGGCACGAUAAGCCCUUAAUACUAUAUUGAUUAGAGUGUGGUUCAUAAGGUGUAGAUUCCCCCCUCAUGAUUUAAUUGGUAUUAAUAAAGAAUAUUUAGCCCAUGGUGCAUGUUGAUACGGAUCUAGAUACCCAAGUACGUCAUUUCAAUAGAUUUCUCUUCAAUUUAUUCUCGCCAUUUCAAUUCCAAUUUUAGUAUAAUCUAAGUCAUUUUCACCCUAAAUCCAACCACCCAUUUAGAAAAUUAAUUCUACACACAAUUAAAAUCCACCUCCUCGUGGGAUCGACACUCGUCACCAUUAAUCUACACUACAAUAGAUUCGUGCACUUGCGAGUUCAAUAAAAUUUGCACAACAAGUUUUUGGUGCCGUUGCCGGGGAGGUAAGUUAUUUUAAUUUGUAGAAUUAAUUUUUGAGAAUAAUUUCUUUUAUUUGUUUUCUUGUAUUUUUUUCUUAUAAAAAAAAGAAAAAUAAAAAUGAAUCGACAUUUAGAGGUUAGUAUUUCUUUUCUUUUUCUCUUCUUUAAAAUUAUGUAAUUUAAUUUUCAAGUUAUUAUUUUUUUCUUCUUUGUAAUUUUUGUUUAUCUUACUAAUUCUUUUUAAUAAAUUUAUUUUACGUAUUUUUUUGUGUGUUUUUAUAGUAAGGUUGUAAUAGCGCAAUAAGGUUAGUAUCGUAAUUUCUCCUUCUUUUUUUAUUUUUAUUUGUUUUGUUCUCAUCUUUAUUUUUAUUUUAUUUGUUUUGCAUGCAUGGUCCAAGGUCAUUAUUACCUAAUCUUGAACCUAUAGACCUUGAACUUGAAAAAACACUUCGCACACACAAACAAGUCAAAAAUAAAAUGGAUUUGCAACCACAGGAGAGGCCAUUUUAGGACUAUUUUAGUCUCUUAGCUAAUUUGAGCACAUCAUACAUAAGAUACUCAAAUGUAGCUGCUAGGAGUUUUGAACUAAAAUUUAGUGUGCUAAAUUGUCUCCCAACAUUCUAUGGCUUAGAAAAUGAGGACCCAUGUAAUCAUUUGAAUGAUUUUCAUGCUAUUUGUCAAAAAUUUAAAUAUGAGAAUUUUUCAGAUGAUGAUGUAAAACUUAGACUAUUCCCAUUUUCUUUAAAGGAUAGAGCUCGUUUGGCUUAAUACAUUGUCUUCCAAUAGUAUUUCAUCAUGGGAACAAAUGGUACCAAAAUUUUUGAAUAAAUAUUUCUCAGUGCAUAAAACCAAUGCUAUUCGUAAGGAAAUUUCAGAGUUUACCCAGAGAGAAGACGAGCAGUUUUUCGAAACAUAGGAGAGAUUCAAUGGGCUACUCUUGAAGUGUCCACAUCAUGGGUACGAGAAAUGGCACCAAUGCCAAUACUUUUUGGAGGGAUUAUUGCCGAAUGUGCAAGAAUGACUAAUGGCAACAAGUGGAGGAGAGCUAAUGUCAAAAAGUGCAUCAGAGAUUUAGGAAUUCUUCCAGCGACAAGCGGAUAAUUCCCAACAACGGAGUCGAUCACUCAAGAAUACUAGAAGAAUUAAGGGAGUGAAUGAGGUUCACAUUGGCAAGUCAAGUUCAGAAAUCAAAGAAGUCAAGGAGAUGAUUGAAAGUCUCGCUCGACAAUAGCAUCGUUAUUGACUGUUAAAUCAACAAAGCCACAUGACCAUGACUCAUACUCAGAUCAAGCCAAUGCCAUAGGUGUAAUAAGAAAACCAUCAAAUUACAACCCAUACUCCAACACAUAUAAUCCUGGAUGGAGAGACCACCCCAAUUUUUCAUGGUCUCAAGGAUUCCAACAGAAUGGACCAGUAGCUCCAGCUCCACCAAUGCAACAAAUUCCUCAAGUUUCUCAAGCCUCUCAGCCACCAUUUAGACCAUACAAUCAAAACCAAAACUACUCUCAACCCAUACUAUGGGAGGAUACAUUCCAGAAUUUCAAGAAUGUUACUCACUCCACGAUUGAGUAACAGAACCGCACCAUUGAUGGACUACGAAAUGAGUUGAGAGCAGGCUUCAACCCACAAGCUCAAUCAGUUUCAAGCCUCGAGAAGAUGGUGGGACAACUUGCUUCUUCAGUUCAGACCUUGGCAAUGACUGUUGAGAAAGGCAAGUUUCCAAGUCAACCAGUGCCUAAUCCUAAAGGAGUACAUGAAGCAAGUACCAGUUCACCACAACAGCAUGGAGAGUAAAAGCAGUCAUGACCUUGCGAAAAGGAAAAGAAGUCAACAACAAAGUUGAGAUGCCGGUGACAAAAGAAAAUCAAAUUGUACCUGUGAGUGUUGAGGACUCAUCACCGAAUGAGAGAGAAGAAACCAAACCACGAGAAUACAUUCCGAAAGCUCCAUUUCCUCAGAGGUUAGGGAAGGAAAGAAGGGAAAAUCCACAGGUGAGAUUCUUGAAAUCUUCAAACAGAUAAGUGUUAACAUCCCUUUACUUGAUGUUAUAAAGCAAGUUCCAUCUUAUGCCAAAUUUCUUAAAGACCUUUGUACUAAAAAGAGAAACAUUCAUGUUCAAAAGAAUGCAUUUUUAACAGAAAACGUUAGUUCUAUACUCCAACAUAAAAUUCCUCUAAAAUGCAAAGACCCAGGCUCCCCCACUAUCUCAUGUAGCAUAUGGAACCACACAAUUGAGAAUUCUUUGUUGGAUUUAGGAGCUAGUGUAAAUCUGUUGCCUUAGUAUUUUUGAAACUUGGACUUGGAGAAUUACACCCAACUCCAGUGGUGUUACAGCUUGUAGAUCGGUCCACGAAAAUACCUCAUGGUAUUGUGGAGGACGUGCUUAUCCAAGUAGACAAGUUUUAUUUUUCUGUUGAUUUCAAUGCAAUUGACACUCAACCAAUCCAGGAUUCAAGGAAGCACAUCCCCAUUAUCCUCGGCCGACCUUUCUUGGCAACUGCGGAUGCUCACAUUCAAUGCAGAACUGGAAAUAUGCAGUUGUCCUUCGGCAACAGGACUAUGAAACUGAACUUCUUCAACAUUGCCAAACAACCUCACAAUGCAAAUGAUGAAAUUGUUGAUAUGAAUUUAAUUGAAGCAUUAGUUGAUAACACUUUUCUUUCAAACCUUAGUGAUGAUCCUUUACAAACAUGCUUAACUCACUUUGGUUUAGAUUUUUAUAUUGACAGAUCGGUCGAUGAGGUUAACGCCCUACUUGACUCAGCACCAUCCAUGGACACUAAUAAAUGGAAGUCAAGAGUUGAGCAACUAGCAUCAUCAGAGAAGAAACUCAUCCCAUCAUCAGAAUCACCACCGAAACUCGAGCUCAAACCAUUGCCCAACACUUUGGAAUAUGCAUUUUUGGGAGAAGAAAGCACUCUACCGGUAAUCAUCUCAUCAUCUCUCAACGAUGAACAAAAAGGUAAGUUGUUAGAUGUUUUAAAAGAGCACAAAGGAGCAUUAGGAUGGACUAUAGCAGACAUCAAAGGUUUUCAAGACCCCGAUUGGGAUGUCACCCUACAGGCUAGUGUAUGGAAAAGCUUGCCACCUACCUGUGGAACUCGAGCAUCGUGCAUAUUGGGCUAUCAAGAAAUUCAACUUUGACAUGCAGCAAGCCAGCUCAGAAAGAAGAUUACAGCUGGGAGAACUUGAAGAAAUUCACAAUGAUGCAUACGAAAAUGUCAAGCAACGAAUGAAAGUCUUCCAUGACAAGCAAAUUAUGAGAAAAUCAUUCACUCCAGGUCAGAAUAUUUGUGUGCUUUCUGGAUUUAACUAUGGCAAACAUAAAGAAUUCGUUGAGGCAGCCAUAGAUCUUGGCCGAAGCAUAGUAGAGAGAAAAUUACACUUGGUGUAUGGAGGAGAUAACCGAGGGUUAUCAAAAUUGGUCUCAGAAACUGCUUUUAUCAGAGGUAGCCAAGUGUUAGGCAUCAUCCCAAAAGCCCUAAAACUUUUGGGCAGUUUGAUUGACUCAUCGAUUGGAGAAGAGUUAGUCGUCUCAGAUAUGCAAGAACAAAUAACUAAAAUGCUUAAUCAUGCUUAUGCUUUUAUUUUCCUUCCAGAAGAUCCUGCAACACUAGAGGCACUUAUCACACUAGCAUUUUGGGCCCAUCUGCACAUUCACUAGAUACCCAUCGGUUUGUUAAAUGUCAAUAACUUUUAUGAUGGCUUCAUCGCAUUUCUUAGCCAUGCAAUAAAAAAUUAUUUCAUUCCUUCCAAUGUGAAAAAAUUUUUUAUUUGUGCUCACACUGCUAAUGAGCUACUUGAUCUGUUACAAGCUUAUAGACCGGAGCCAGACCCCUGGACCUUUGUGUUGGAGCGUCCAAAUAAUGAUGGUAACAGUAGCCGCAGUAAUUAGUAUUAAAAAUUGUUUAAUUAUCAAGCGAUAAUAUGUUAUUUUAUGCUUAUGUUAUAAUUUAUAUUUGUGUUUAUGUAAUAUAUUAUGAAUUAUUAAUUAUGUGUUCAAUAUAUUUAAUUUUGUGUAUUUUUAUGUGUUUAUUAGGAAAAUAUUAAUUUCACGUACUUCGAGGCUCCAAACAAAUAAACGGAGGUCAAAUUUAGAUUUCAGAGGUUCGAAAACCUUAAGAUCAGUCAAGAUCGGCUUAAAAUUGGGCUUGUGUAAAAAAAAGUUGACUUUUCCUGUUGACCGAGCACUGAUUGGAUGAUGAAAUGAGCUUACAAUAGAUAUGAGUGCAUGGGAUAGCUGGCAAUCUUGACUAAAUCUCAACCGUUCAUGAUUCAAUGGUCAUGAUUGUGCCCCGUGGCAAUGGUUGGUGAAGCAAGUUGGAGGAUCCGAAUCUUUGUAUUCGGGUCGACCCGAUCCACCCAUUAACCCGCCAAAUCUCAACCGUUCUUUGGGCAAAUCGGACGAGUCAAAUGAUACCACGUGUGAUGUUGACUUUUGAAGUUUGAGCAGCCAUUGGAUCUUGAUCUAAGGGUUGUGAGGAGCACAUGCAUGAAGCCUAUGAUGGACCGCAAAGCACUGGAUUAUGAAUUUAUUUUUCUAUAAAUAGAGCCUUAUUUUUAUGUUUUAAUCAUCUCUCUACAACUCUCUUCUUCUCAAAUUAUCUCCAUCUCCUUGUAAUCUUGAUUUCCAGGUGUGUUUUUAAUAUUUUAUAUAAUUAUUUUUAUAAAUAAAAUUAGUUUUAUUUCCAAUUUUAGUUGUUUUUAUUUCUUUUAAUUAUAAGUAAUUCAAUUUUAUUACUUCUUUUUAUUUUAAUUAUGCUUAACUAAAUAAUAUUAAUUAGGGGAAGGUGAAACUCUUAGGAAAUAAAUAUGAUUUAAGCAAAUUCUAUUCUUAAUUUUAUAAAUUAAAUUAUUUUCUAUUUAAUUUUAUACAUAUUUUAUAUUUUGAAAUUUUGAUUUAUUGUAGACAAACAAAUGAAUUUGGCACAAUAAAUUCUUAAUAUCUUAAUAUAAGGUAUGGUAAAAUGGUAUUUUGACUUAUUGUAGACAAAUUAAAUUUUGGCACAAUAAAUACUUAAUCCAUCAUAAAAUUAAAGGGAAAAUAACAAUAAUUUAUAUAAUUAAUCUUUUGGGCAAUAAUGUAAAAAAAAAGGGCAAAAAGAAUUUAUUAAGUUUUAUUUACUUCUAAGAGUUGAUCCAUAACCCUAACUAGUUCAAUUUCAUAGUUUCAUUUAAAUUAAGUUUUUUGUAUUUAAGUUUUAAUUUCAAUUUUUAGUUAAAAUAAAGUAAACUAAUUAAAUCUUUUCUCUGUGGAUCGACCUCGAACUCACCGAGUUAUAAUACAACAAGACACUUUUAUACUUGAGAGUUAAAAAUUACUUUUAAGUUGUGUCAAGUUUUUGGCGCCGUUGCCGGGAAAAGUUUUUAUUUUGCUUUAUUUUUUUGGUUUUUGAUUUUUCUCUUUAUGUAAAUUUUCGUUUGUCCCCUUUUUUUUUCUUAAAUUCUCUUUUGUCCUCAUAUCUUUCAUAAUUCUCGUUUCACCCCAACAAGCCCAUUUCUAGCCCAAUUUCUAGUAAUUACAUUCUGACCCCAACAUCUUUCAGUCGUUUCAUUUUCAUCCCAAAUUGCUAAUUCUAAACUUCUAAAAAUUACAAUUUGACCAUAAAAUUAAAAAUAAUUUGCAAUAGAAUCCCUAGACGAUUCCUCAAAAUAAUUAAGACUUGGACAUACUUUGGACAUAUUUGGACUUAUUUUGGACUUAAUUUGGACCAAACUAACUUUAACUACUAACUCUAAUUACUAACUCUUAACUUACUAACUGCUAACUCCUAACUUUUUUUUAAUUUCAUUUAUUUAAUUUUCUGCAUUUAUUUUAUUUCGUAUUUAUUUGUUUAUUUUUGCUUUAUUGGUGGGUUUAACCACCAAACUAACUACUAACUACUAACUCUUAACUUUUAUUUUCAGUUAUUUAAUUUUAAGAAUUUAUUUAAUUUUGCUUUUUUUUUAAUUGGUGGGUUCAACCACCAUUUUUUUUCUUUUUCUUUUUCUUUCUCUUGCAUUUAUUUUAUACGUAAUUUAUUGUUAAUUGGUGGGUUCAACCACCAAAAUUGUUAUUUAAUUUUCUUUUGUACACUUAUAUUAUUUGCUUAUUUUUUAUUUAUUUUUUUAUUUUAUUAUCAAUUUGUGUAAAUAUUAUCUUUAUAACAUAACCAUUGCAUGAGGCGUUGGUCUCGAUCUUCAAGUGAGAAUCAAGGAUGGAUGAGAAUCAAGGCGAAAACGUUUUGGGCAAACUUAAUCCUCAAAUUGAUCAGGGAGACAACCAAUCUCAACAUGGGCAUGAUCAGAAUCAACCAAGGACUCUGAGAGACUACAUGAAUCCAACCAGAACCGGAGCACCGUCGUGUAUAGUAUUUCCUCCAGAAGCAUCUCGAUUUAAUUUUAAACCAGGUAUUAUCCAACUUUUACCAACAUUUCAUGGUUUAGAAUCUGAGAAUCCGUACUUGCAUCUAAGAGAUUUUGAGGAAGUUUGUAAUACAUACACGGACCAAAAUUGUAGCAUGAACAUAAUUAAAUUAAAACUUUUUCCUUUUUCAUUAAAAGAUAAAGCUAAAACUUGGCUACAAAACCUUAGAUCUGGAUCAGUAAGAACUUGGAAUAACAUGUAAGAACAGUUUUUGAAAAAAUUCUUUCCACCUCAUAGAACAAAUUCUUUUAAAAGGCAAAUCACUUCUUUCACUCAAAAAAAUGGAGAAACAUUAUACCAAUGUUGGGAUAGGUUUAAAGAGUUGCUUAACAUAUGCCCACAUCAUGGUUUUGAAACUUGGCGAUUGGUCACUUACUUCUACGAGGGCUUAAUACCCCAAAGUAGACAGGUUGUUGAAAUGAUGUGUAAUGGUGAAUUUAGGGAUAAAAAUCCUGAAGAUGCACUAGAUUACCUUGACCAAUUAGUUGAAAAUGCACAACAUUGGGAUACUGUUGGAACUUUUGAAUUGACAAAUAAGCAACAAUUAUCUCCAUCUAGUGGAGGAAUCCAUAACCUUAGGGAAGAUCAUGAUUUACAAGCAAAAUUUGCAUCCCUAGUUAGGAAAGUUGAAGCUUUGGAGUAUAAAAAGAGUGAUCAAGUAAAAUAUGUUCAAGAAAUUAUAUGUAACAUAUGUAAUUCGAAUGAUCAUUUCACUCAAGAGUGUCCCACUUUGCCUGCACUUAAAGAAUGUCUAAAUGAUCAAGCUAAUGUCAUUAACACUUUCAAUAAACCAAACCCAUAUUCACAGACUUAUAAUCCUGGUUGGAGAAAUCAUCUGAAUUUCAGUUGGAGGAAUAAUAAUAAUGCACAAUCUUCACAAGCACCACCUCUACAAAAUUUUCAAAAUCCUCAGCCUUAUGCACCAUAUGUUCCACCACCCUGGAAAAAUCUGGAAGACACAAUACAUUUAUUCAUCAGAAAGCAAGAUGUUAUUAACAAUCAAAAUGCACAAACUUUUUCUGAUUUGAAAGAUACUCUUGCUAAAAUUGCUUCUGCACUCACCAUUCAAGAAAAAGGAAAAUUUCCAGCCCAACCACAACCAAAUCCUAAAAUUCAACAAAAUCCACUCACAGACCAAGUCAAGUCAGUUAUAACUCUUCGUAGUGGUAAGGUUGUUGAUAGACCUAUGCCUGAACCUUAUGAAAAUGAUGAAAAUUCAAAGGGUAAGGAAGGACUAAAUGAACUUACACCUAGUGAAGAAAUAACUAGUGUUCCAUCUGAACCACCAUUUCCGCAUGCAUUGAAUAAACCAAAGAAAUCAAACCACUCUUUUGAAAUUUAUGAAAUCUUUAAGCAAGUGAAAGCUAACAUUCCUCUAUUAGAUGCAAUCAAGCAGGUUCCUUCAUAUGCCAAAUUUUUAAAGGACUUGUGCACUAUUAAGAGGAAAUUGAAGGUAAGAAAGAGUGCUUUCAUGGCCGAACAGGUAAUUACAAUUUUGUUUACUAAUAAUAAGUUGAAAUAUAAAAGAUCCUGAUUGUCCUACUAUUUCUUGUAUUAUUGGUAACCACAUAAUUGAGCAUGCUUUACUAGAUCUUGGUGCUAGUGUUAAUUUACUUCCAUAUUCAGUUUAUCUUCAACUUAAUCUUGGUGAGUUAAAAUCAACUUCAACUACAUUUUUACUUGCCGAUAGAUCAGUUAAAGUACCAAAAGGAAUAGUGAAAGAUGUUUUAGUAUAAGCUGAUAAAUUUAUUUAUCCUGUGGAUUUUAUUAUCUUGGAAACUGAACCUGUUGUGAAUAAUUACAAACCAAUUCUUGUAAUUUUAGGUCGACCAUUUUUAGCAACUGCUAAUGCUUUGAUUAAUUGUAGGAAUGGUUUAAUGAAUUUAUCCUUUGGGAAUAUGACUUUGGAAUUGAAUGUUUUCAACAUGUGCAGGCAACCUAAUGAAGAAAAUAAGAAUGAAGAUGAUACUGAUGAACAAAAGGAAUUGUUUGAAUCUUGUAUCGAGGAAAAUAUUCAAAAAGGGGAUUUUUCUAAACUCUCAAAUGUUUGUUUAGUUAAUUCAAUUGAGUCAAAUAAGCAACUUGAACUUAAUAUUUCUAAUAUAAAUUCGUUGCUUGAUUCUGUGCAGACUUCACAAAAUUAUGAUGACGAGCCAAAAUUUGAGGAGCUUGGAAGUAUUGAAAAGACAGAACAACAAGAAGUGCCUAAAAUGGAAUUGAAACAUUUGCCUGAAGGAUUGAAAUAUGCUUUUCUUGGAGAAGAACAAACUUAUACUGUUGUGAUUUCUUCUAUUUUAACAAGCGACCAAGAAGGUAAGUUACUAAAUGUUCUUAAAAAGUAUAAAAAUGCAAUUGGAUGGACUUUAAAUGAUAUUAAAGGCAUUAAUCCCCUAAUCUGCACUCAUAGAAUUAAUUUGGAAGAAAAUGCUAAAACAUGUCAACAACCUCAAAGAAGAUUAAACCCACACAUGAAAGAGGUAGUCAAAACAGAAGUCUUUAAAUUGCUUGAUGUGGGAAUUAUCUACCCUAUUCUUGAUAGUAAGUGGGUAAGUCCUACACAAGUAGUGCCAAAAAAAUCUAGAAUCACUGUUGUUAAAAAUGAAAAAGGUGAAUUAAUUCCAAUACGAAUUACAUCUAGUUGGCGCAUGUGCAUUGACUAUAGAAAAUUAAAUGAAGCCACUAGAAAAGAUCAUUUUCCAUUACCAUUCCUUGACCAAAUCUUAGAAAGAGUAGCAGGACAUCCCUACUACUGUUUUUUAGAUGGAUAUUCGGGCUAUUAUCAAAUUCCUAUAGCACUCGAGGACCAAGAAAAGACCACAUUUACAUGUCCAUUUGGAACAUUUGCAUUUAAAAGAAUGCCAUUCGGGCUUUGUAAUGCUCCUGCAACAUUUCAAAGAUGUAUGUUAAGCAUUUUUUGUGAUAUGGUUGAACAUUGUUUAGAGGUCUUUAUGGAUGAUUUGAUUGUGUUUGGGAAUUCUUUUAAUGAUUGCCUCGAUAAUUUGGAUAAAGUUUUAAAAAGAUGUGUUGAAAAAGAACUCGUGUUGAAUUGGGAAAAAUGUCACUACAUGGUUACUUCUGGAAUUGUUUUGGGUCAUGUUGUUUCUAUUAAAGGAAUUGAAGUUGACAAAGCAAAAAUCGAAGUCAUAUCUAAAUUGCCACAACCAAAAACAGUUAGAUAUGUGCGAUCUUUUUAGGACAUGCAGGAUUUUAUAGGAGGUUUAUAAAAAACUUUAGUGCCAUAUCUAAACCACUUUAUAACCUCUUAUUAAAAGAUGCAUCGUUUGAAUGGAAUGAUGAUUGCCAAAAAUCUUUUGAAAAAAUAAUUUGUCUUUUAACAUUUGCACCUAUUAUGCAAUCUCCUAAUUGGUCUUUGCCAUUUGAAUUAAUGUGUGAUGCAAGUGAUUUUGCUGUUGGUGCUGUUUUAGGACAAAGAAGGGAUGGUAAGCUUUUUGUGAUUUAUUAUGCGAGUAAGACUUUGGAUAGUGCUCAAAUGAAUUAUUCUACAACUGAAAAAGAAUUACUUGCUGUGGUAUUUAUAUUAAACAAAUUCCGUUCAUAUUUGCUUGGCUCUAAAUCUGUUGUGUUUACUGACCACGCUGCUGUGAGAUAUUUGAUGAGUAAACAGGAUGCCAAACCGAGACUAAUUCGUUGGAUUUUGUUACUACAAGAAUUUGACCUUACCAUCAAAGAUAAAAAGGGUGCUAAAAAUGUUGUUGCUGAUCAUCUAUCAAGACUCGCAUAUGAAUUCUGCAAUGAUAUAACACCUAUAAAUGAUUCUUUCCUUGAUGAAUUUUUAUUUUCUGUUACUUCAAUGCCAUGGUAUGCUAAUAUUGUUAAUUUUCUUGUUAUAGGUAAAAUACCUUUGCAAUGGAAUGCUCAAGAGAAGAAGAAAUUUUUUGUUGAAGUAAAGAAAUUUUAUUGGGAUGACCCUUAUUUGUUCAAGUAUUGCCCAGAUCAAAUUUUUCGGCGAUGUAUUCCUGAUAAUGAGAUAAGUAGUGUCAUUAAUUUUUGUCAUUCUAAAGCAUGUGGUGGUCACUUUUCUUCAAGAAAAACUACUGCUAAAAUUUUACAGUGUGGAUUAUUAUUGGCCUACUAUGUUUAAAGACACAUAUGAAUUCUGCAAAAGUUGUGAAAAAUGUCAAAAAUUGGGAUCAAUUACAAAAAGAAACAUGAUGCCCUUAAAUCCCAUACUUGAAAUUGAAAUAUUUAACUGUUGGGGAAUUGAUUUCAUGGGUCCAUUUCCAUCAUCUUUUAGAUUUGUGUAUAUAUUAAUUGCAGUUGAUUAUGUCUCAAAAUGGAUUGAAGCAAUUUCUUGUCGAAAUAAUGAUAUUAAAACUGUGAUUAAAUUUUUAAGAGAAAACAUUUUAAGUCGAUUUGGAAUCCCUCAAGCCAUUAUCAGUGAUGGAGGUAAGCAUUUCUGUAAUAAGUCAUUUGAGUCUUUAAUGAAGAAAUAUGAAAUUACACAUAAAAUUGCUACCCCUUAUCAUCCUCAAACAAAUGGUCAAGUUGAAUUAGCAAAUAGGGAGAUAAAACAAAUUUUGGAAAAAACAGUUAACCCAAACCGAAAAGAUUGGUCUCUUAGACUUAAUGAUGCACUUUAGGCUUACCGUAUUGCAUUUAAAACGUCAUUAGUAAUGUCACCCUAUCAGUUAGUUUAUGGUAAACCUUGUCAUUUACCUGUUGAACUUGAACAUAAAUCACUUUGGGCUAUUAAAGCUUUUAAUUCAAAUUUGGAUGAUGCUGGUAAUGUGCGAAAAUUGCAAUUGAAUGAACUUGAGGAAUUAAGGAAUGAUGCAUAUGAAAAUUCAAGAAUUAUUAAGGCAAGAAUAAAAGCAUUUCAUGAUAAAAGAAUUUUUCGAAAAACAUUUGAGAUUGGUCAAAAAGUGUUGCUUUAUAAUUCUCGUCUUCAUUUAUUUCCAGGGAAGUUAAAGUCAAAAUGGAAUGGUUCAUUUGUUGUAAAAAAUGUAUAUUCACAUGGGGCCAUAGAAAUUGAGAAUCCAAAGAAUGGUGUCACAUUUAAAGUUAAUGGUCAAAGAUUAAAAUCAUAUCUGGAACAUCACCCACAUCACGAGGACACCGAAAUUAAUUUGGGUAACCCACCAGUUCUUGAUUAAGUCUUUAAUGAUUUAUUUUAUUUUAAUUUUUUUGUUUUACAUUCUUUUACUGUUUCAUUGUUUGAUUUUUUUUCUUUUUCUCUCGAUUGAUGCACUGUACAUAGUUUUUGUUUAACAUUAUUUUUCUUGUGUAAGCGUGUUUGUUUGACAGUUGUACAUUCUCUCAUCAAUUUUCAUUUUACAUCAUGAGCACCUCAAUGAGAAAAUUCUUGUUUGCACAUCUUAAAAGAUUUCUGCAUAUAAAAUUUCACUUAAGAGGCCUGAUACAAAGCUGUAAAUCACAUCCACUUUGGGAUCUGCAACCACCAGAAUUCGUGUCCUAUGUUGAGGAUCUAGAGGGACAACUUAGAACAUUAGAGAGUGGCAUAUAUGAAUUUUAAAUGGAGCUUGGGUUAACUCAAUGAGAGGACGAAUGUAAGUUCAUUUUCCUUUUAUAUUGUGUGCUUCUUUUUGCUCGCUUUCACGCUUGAUUUGAUUUUACAAAUUUGAUUUUGGUGUGUUUUGAUUUAUUUUCCCGUAUAAAUGGCGGAUAACGGUACUCUGUGACUUCUUAAGUCGGUAUCUUCAGUUUCCCACAAUAACUGAAACCCCAAAAUCAAACAUAGAAGAAAUACAACAUAAACUCCAUAAGCAUUUUCCCUCUCUCCCUCAGAAUGCCCUCAGGAAAAUUUACAAAGCUCGUUGUGAACGACUGCGUUUGUUAAUGAUCAAUGGCAUUCCUUCUGACAUUCGUUGGUUAAUUGAAGCAAAGGUCCAAUUAGCAGGUGAGUUUUCUGGUCCAUUUGUUUCUUACAUGGCUGGUUUUGGUAAAAGUACGUUUGCUAAGAAAAGGAGAGCUAAACGACUUGGCUCAAAAUGUCAUAACUGUGUAAGACUUGGUUGCAAACGACCAGAUUGUAAAUCUUUAGGAAUGGUUUCUGAUACUCGUGAAGAUAAAAUUAAAUUCGUUAAAAAUGGCAUGUGUAAAGAAUCGUUGGAUGAUAUCUUACGAUCUCUUGAGACGCAUCGAAGCAGAUUUGUGUAACGUGAGAUUUAUAAUUUGUGGAUACUAUUCUAAAAAUAAAGUGCACAGUUUAGUCUUGGGAAUCUGACUCAAAAAGACCAUGUUUGCCAGUUUAUAAGAAAACUGGAUGGGAAGCCGAUCCUUGACCCAUAGAGGGCGUUCAAGCCGUUACUGGACGUAAAACCAGAGAAAGAUGUGAGCCACAAUCACAACUACCAGUAAAUAUCCUUUCACUUCACUGUUAUUUUACUUUACUGUUAUUUUAUCAUUUGCAUUAUUGCAUUUAGUGAUGUGAUUUUGUAUUUAAUAAAUAUUUGGUUUCUUUUACUGUUUACUUUUUCUAAUUAUUAUUUUCUUUUCACCGUUUGUUUUUGAAUUAUUGAGCCACGAGCUUUACUCGUCAUUUGACAAAUAUGCCAACCCAUUUACAGCUAUUUCUUAUUAUUUAUAUCACCAAGAUCUUUAAAUAUGAGCUCAUUUUUCAAACACUCAUAACUUGUUUUUGAAAAAUUUGUCCAAUGGCAGCAUCUUCGAGUAAACAAUUCAAAAAUAUUUGUGUGCUUUCUGGGUUUCAUUAUGGAAAGUACAAAGAGUUUGUUCAGGCAACUGUAGAUCUUGGUCGUGUCAUAGCAGAGAGGAAACUGCAUAUUGUAUAUGGAGGAGGUGAACGAGGGUUAUCAAGACUUGUCUCAGAAGCUGUUUUUACCAGAGGAAGCCAAGUACUCGGCAUUAUCCCAAAACCCAUGAAACCGCUAGUGUGCAUGUCUGGUCUACCAAUUGGAGAAGAAUUAGUGGUAUCAAGUAUGCAAGAGAGAAUAUCUGAAAUGAUGAAUCAUGCUGAUACUUUUAUUUUCUUGCCAGGAGAUCUUGCAACUUUUGAGGCACUGAUUACAUUUGCAUCUUGGGCCCACUUGAACAUUCAUCAAAAACCCAUCGGUUUGUUAAAUGUUACUAAUUUUUAUGAUGGCUUGCUAACUUUUAUUAACCAUGCAAUAAAGAAUCAUUUUGUUCCACAUUCUUUGAAAAAACUCUUUAUCUCUGCUUCUACUGCUAAUGAGUUACUUGAUCUUUUACAAGCUUAUACACCAGAGCCAGAUCCAAAGACUUUUGCACUGAAUUGGUCGACUGAUGAUGGUAGCAGUAACAGUAGCAGUAAUAAGAAGUGCGAUUUAGAUUUAACUCUCCGUCUGUAAAUAUUUUCUGUUGUAGUGUUCAUGUGUUGUCUUCUAAACUCUUUCUCUUUCCUUUUAAAACAUUAAGGACAAUGUCUUUUUCAGGUUGGGGGGAGAGAAUAGUUGAUAAUUGUGGAAUGUCUUAGUCCUGGUGAUGUGUUUACAAAAAUAAAAAUAAAAAUUUUUUUUUCUGUAAAGACUAACUUAGGACAAAUUUGAGUCGAAGAUGGCAGGAUAUAGAGAAUGUAGUACCUCUAGAAACGCAUCUUCUUAAUCUUAAGGGUGUUAUUAAAAAAAAAAUUGAAUUUCUCUUCAUCUUUGUUAUCUGCUUGUAAGCUUCUGCAUCAAGUUCAGGUGAGAUCUCCUCUUCUUCUUCUUUUAUUAUUCUCUUUUAUUUUUAUUUUUUUUGCAUAUUUGUAAAAUUAUAAAAUGUUAAGAUAAUGUUUAGAUUAGGUUGUGGGGUGGGGAUAAUUGACGAAUGUUUUAAAUAUGUGGGGUGUGUUGUUUUUCACUUUUCUCUUUUCUUUUCUUUGUUGAAAAAAAAACAAAAAAAAAACAUUUUUAUUUUGUCUAGGAUGGCCGUGUAAAGAGUCACGACUUUUGAGACGCAUCCUAAUAGUCUUGUUGUAUUAUAUUUUGAUUUUGAGAUUCAUAGUAAAUUAUUUUUGUUCCCUUUUCUUUGAAUUACUCGAAUUUGUGAACUCUCCAAUUGGUUAUUAAGUUAUUUAAUUGUUUACUCAUUUAACAGGUAUUAUUGAAUCAUUCUUGAUGCAGCGGAAGUUUAAUGUUCAAAAUAUUCCGUUGAUUCUAGAGAAUACCAGAAUAAAAGAACAGCUAAAUUCACGUUGAUUCAAAAGAAUACCGCGAACUUAGGGAUUUAAGACUCAUUGAUUCCGCAGAAUACCGAGAAUUAACUGUUCAAAUACUCACAAAGAGAUUUGAAAAUUGAAAUAUUAUUGAACUCAAAAUUCUGCCUCUAUAGGCUACAAGAGGGAGCUAUUUAUAGUAGUAGUAAUUAUCCUAAUUUAUGAAGUAAAAACAAAAUCCUAAAUUGAAAGAGAAACAAAAUUCUAAAUUAGAAAGGAAUUUAAAAGUCUUAAACUUUAGUUAAUAAGGAAACUAAUCCUCGUAUAAUAUAGAUUCCUACUCUUCAUCAAUUCUUUACACACACACACUAUGACACAUACUAGUGGGUUGUAAGUUAAAAUUUUACAGCAUUUAGUUCUUUUGAUUUAUUAGGAAUAGUAUCUAAGGUAGUAGAAAGUGUAUAUUUCCAAAAAAAAAAAAAGUAGAAAAAAAUUGUUUUUAAUUUUUCCAUGUCUAGAACCCGAGUAAUUAAGUCCAUAGGGGUGCUUCAACACCUAGUGUCCUAAAGUCAACUGGUCUAGGAGUCACUGACCUAAAGCUCACUACAUGGGUAAUAGAUAUAUUGUUUGUUUAUUAGAAACCCGAGUAAUUAAGUCCGUAGGGGUGCUUCAACACGUAGUGCCAUAAGGCCAACUGGUCUGGGAGUCACUGACCUAAAGCUCGCUACACGGGUUAGAAAUGUAAUAUUUUAAAAAUAUGUGUGAAUAAUAUAUUGCUUAAAGAUAUAAUUUCUAAUGAAUUUUGGAACGAAAAUGUUGUUUUUCUUUUAAUGAAGCCUCAUAAGUAUUGUGUUAAUUACUUGAGCACAAAAGAAGGUUUAAUGAUAUUUUAGAUAAUGAGUGAACAUCAAUGUGGUAAAGAAAUCUGGGAGAGUUCAUUUAUUUAGUAAUUUGAAGGAUGGAUGAACAACUAUUAACUUGCAUGUGAAUUUUAUAAAUCUUAAUUUAAUAUAACGCUUUAAUUGCUAGAGGGCUAGCAAUAAGCUGGUUGGGGGGGUGUGAUUAGUAUUAAAAAUUGUUUAAUUAUCAAGCAAUAAUAUGUUAUUUUAUGCUUAUGUUAUAAUUUAUAUUUGUGUUUAUGUAAUAUAUUAUGAAUUAUUAAUUAUGUUUUCAAUAUAUUUAAUUGUGUAUUUUUAUAUGUUAUUAGGAAAAAUAUUAAUUUCACGUACUUCGAGACUCCAAACAGAUAAACGGAGGUCAAAUUUAGAUUUUAGAGGUCCGAAAACUUUAAGAUCAGUCAAGAUCGGCUUAAAAUUGGGCUUGUGUAAAAAAAAUUAACUUUUCCUGUUGACCGAGCACUGAUUGGAUGAUGAAAUGAGCUUACAAUAGAUAUGAGUGCAUGGGAUAGCCGGCAAUCUUGACUAAAUCUCAACUGUUCAUGAUUCAAUGGCCAUGAUUGUGCCAUGUGGCAAUGGUUGGUGAAGCAAGUUGGAGGAUCCGAAUCUUUAUAUUCGGGUCGACCCGAUCCACCCAUUAACCCGCCAAAUCUGAACCGUUCUUUGGGCAAAUCGGACGAGUCAAACGAUGCCAUGUGUGAUGUUGACUUUUGAAGUUUGACCAGCCAUUGGAUCUUGAUCUAAGGGUUGUGAGGAGCACAUGCAUGAAACCUACGAUGGACCGCAAAGCACUGGAUUAUGAAUUUAUUUUUCUAUAAAUAGAGCCUCAUUUUUAUGUUUUAAUCAUCUCUCUACAACUCUCUUCUUCUCAAAUUUUCUCCAUCUCCUUGUAAUCUUGAUUUCCAUGUGUGUUUUUAAUAUUUUGUAUAAUUAUUUUUAUAAAUAAAAUUAGUUUUAUUUCCAAUUUUAGUUGUUUUUAUUUCUUUUAAUUAUAAGUAAUUCAAUUUUACUACUUCUUUUUAUUUUAAUUAUGCUUAACUAAAUAAUAUUAGUUAGGGGAAGGUGAAACUCUUAGGAAAUAAAUAUGAUUUAAGCAAAUUCUAUUCUUAAUUUUAUAAAUUAAAUUAUUUUCUAUUUAAUUUUAUACAUAUUUUAUAUUUUGAAAUUUUGAUUUAUUGUAGACAAACAAAUGAAUUUGGCACAAUAAAUUCUUAAUAUCUUAAUAUAAGGUAUGGUAAAAUGGUAUUUUGACUUAUUGUAGACAAAUUAAAUUUUCGCACAAUAAAUACUUAAUCCAUCAUAAAAUUAAAGGGAAAAUAAUAAUAAUUUAUAUAAUUAAUCUUUUGGGCAAUAAUGUAAAAAAAAGAAGGGCAAAAAGAAUUUAUUAAGUUUUAUUUACUUCUAAGAGUGGAUCCAUAACCCUAACUAGUUCAAUUUCAUAGUUUCAUUUAAAUUAAGUUUUUUAUAUUUAAGUUUUAAUUUCAAUUUUUAGUUAAAAUAAAGUAAACUAAUUAAAUCUUUUCUCUGUGGAUCGACCUCGGACUCACCGAGUUAUAAUACAACAAGACACUCUUAUACUUGGGAGUUAAAAAUUACUUUUAAGUUGUGUCACGCAGUAAGAAGUACAAAUUAGAUUUAACUCUCCGCCUGUAAAUAUUUUCUUCUGUGUUACACCACCCAGGUGAUGUCCUCUAAACUCUACUUCUUUCCUUUCAAACAUUGACGACAAUGUUUCGUUCUGGUUGGGGGGAGGGAAUAGUCGACAAUUAGGGAAUCUUGGUUAAGUUUUUACUAAUUUUUUGUUGUAGAAACUAAUUGUUGCUAACUUUUUGUGUUGAAGAUGGCUGAAUAUGGAGUGUAGUGACUCUAGAAACGCAUCUUCAUCAUUUGAAAAAAACAAAACAAAAAAAAUUCAAAAAAAAUAAAAAAAAUUCAGACAUUUUCUUUUUCUUUAGUAAGUUUUGAUAUUCAUUUUUCUUGUUCUUUAAUUUCUCCUUUAUAAAUAUACAUUUUUAAAUAUUUGAGUUGAAGAUAGAUGAAUAUGAAGUGUAGUGCCUCUAAAAACGCAUCUUCUUAGUAAAAAAAAAAAAAAAACCAUUUUCUUUUUCUAUCAUUUUAAGUGUAACUUUUCUGAUUAGUUUUUCUACUUCAUUUUCACAUUUCUGCAUGCAUAUUUUCCUUUUAUGUUUAGAAUAGGUUGGGGGGUAGAAUAUUCUUUAAAAAAAAUUGUGUGAUUUGUUUUAACAUUGAAUGACAUGAUUAAUUUCAAAUUUUAGUAUUUAUUUUAUCUUUGGUCUUAAGUGAUGUUACACUAUGUUUGCUACUCUACAUGUUGAUGUCGGAGACAAAUAUGAGUUGCUUGAAAGAAUGAACAUGUCAUAAUAAGUACCAAGUGAGUUUUUAAGCCUAUUAUUUUUCUUGGAGAGUAACCCUUUUGCCCAUUCUUUAUACAGCUUAACAGUUUAUUAUUGUAUACACGAUCUCUAGAUUUCUUUUGAGUUAACCCUUAAAAAAAAUUGUAAAAUUAAAAAAAAAAAGAAAAAAAUGUGUGUUGCUACAUUUGAAUGCCCAUCUAACUAGUAGAUAUGGAAGGUUAUUUAGAGCCCUAAAAGACGAUGGAAAGGCCAUCUUUGAUCCGUUUGAGCCUUUCUAGCCAUCCAUUUUAUCAAAUAUCCAUAGUCAACCCUUUUGAGCCUUAAAAAAAAAAAAAAAUUUCUUUGUCAAACUUAUCAUCUUGACCCACUCCGAUUUGGAGUAUUACCCAAUAUCUUACAAGUUCCAUCACCUAUUUAUAUUUGAGAAAAAUGUAAAUAAAUAAUUUGUACAGUGAAGUUAUGCUAAAAAAAAAAAUUGUUAGUUCAAAAAAAAGAAGAAAAAAAUAACAAUAAUAGGUGAAAUCCACCUUGCAACUUCUGAAAAAAAAAAUUCCUCUGCAUUUUUCUCAAACAUACACUUUAUUUUCCUUAUUUCUCUUCUUUGUUAACCAUGUCCCUAGCCUACGUUACGUCAUAAUAAAAGUUCUUCUUGAUUUUACGGAAUUAUAGUCUGAAGUAGAAGCUAGUUAUAUGGGCUAAAAAGAUGUAGUGGUGUAUAAAAAAAUAAUAAUAAUAAAUAAAUUGGGCUGACUAGCAUUUUUAUUUGACUUGAGAUCGUAUUAUUUCUAAGCUGAGGGCAUAUUUCUUUCAUCUUGGUGAGAGCACGUGAUAUCAUUUCUUUAUUAUUUUCUCUCAAUUACCAUUCAUUGCAGUUACUAUUUUUAUUGGGUAUAAUUUCUUUGUGAGAGUGUCACUAUAUCCAGUGAGAUUUUGGGAUUUAACAUGUCAUUCUUGAAAGUAGCUGUGACAAAGUCUACUGGUCUGAUUCAUGUGGAUGGUUGAUGUGGGUGUGAUGUUUCUUUAGAUUGGAGAUAAUGCUUAUACUUUUAUUUGAUUACUAUCAUUAGUCUAAUUGAAUAAACAUGAGUGUUAAAAAAAAAUAUUAUUUUGGAUUUAAAUUUUGUUUUCGCUUUAUUUGCUAAGGACUAGCAAUAAGUUGGUUGGGAGGUGUGUUGAGUGUUAGAAAAUGUAUAUUUGUAAAGGAGAAAAUCGUCAUUUUACACUUUAAAUUUUACUAACACCCUUACUUUUAUGUAUUUAACUUUCUUUUGAUUUAAUUCCGUGUGUUUUAUUUUAAUUAAGUAUUUUAUGUAUUUUAGGGGCAUCAUAGUCAUUUCACAAUGAACGAGAGAUCAGACUGCAAAACGAACAUCAAUUUUGAACUCAGGACGGUCGAAAACCUUAGGAGGAGCAUAAAAGGAAAAAUAGUACUGUUCACAUGUACGGUACUAUUCACAUAUACGAUACUGUCUACGUUACUGUUCAUGACACUGUUCAUAUAGACGGAUCGAUGAUGUGGCAUUGACCGAUGAUGUGGCAUUGACUGAUGAGGUGUCACGAUCCUGUUGGACUAAAAUUCUUAUGUACUGUUGAUCGAUGACGUGGCAGCAUAUUAGUGGACCAGAAAUCUCGCGUACGGUACAUGCAUUACACAGGAUUAUUUUCAACCAAACCGCGUUACUGCUUAAGCCGGGUCAAACCGUGUUACUGUUCACCCACGUGGUCAAACCGCGUACUGUUGACUGGUAACGUGGCGCAAUCCUGAGCGUCCAAACUGUUUUUAAUCCGAUGGCCAUGAUUUACUCCAUGUAUCUAUAAAAAGGGGGCCUCCCCCCUAAUUUGAUAUCUCUGAAUCCAUUUUUGGAAUUCAUUUUCUGCAAUUCCUUCUCCAUCUUGUAUUUUCUACGUAUUUUAAUAAAUUUUCAUUUUGCCCCUAUUUCAAUUAUGAGUAGCUAAUUUUCUUUCAAGUUUAGGUUGAAGGUGAAGUCUCAACAUGUGUCAUUGGCUAAUUUGGUAAAUUUAUUUUCUUCUCUCCUCUAAUUUUUGUUGAAAAUUUGACUUUUCGUCGACAAAUAAUAAUAAUCUUGCCUAGAUACCGCCUUGGUUUUACUGGCUCCCUAGUACAAGGUUAUUAUUAUUUGGCACGAUAAGCCCUUAACACCAUAUUGAUUAGAGUGUGGUUUAUGAGGUGUGGAUUCCCCCCUCAUGAUUUAAUUGAUAUUAAUAAAGAAUAUUUAGCCCAUGACGCAUGUUGAUACGGAUCCAGAUACCCAAGUACGCCAUUUCAAUAGAUUUCUCUUCAAUUUAUUCUUGCCAUUUCAAUUCCAAUUUUAGUAUAAUCCAAGUCAUUUUCACCAUAAAUCCAACCACCCAUUUAGAAAAUUAAUUCUACACACAAUUAAAAUCCACCUCCUCGUGGGAUCGACACUCGUCACUAUUAAUCUACACUACAAUAUAUUUGUGCACUGAGUUCAAUAAAAUUUGCACAACAAGAAGUUUUGGGAAAGAAAGACCUAUUUUCAAAAAAUGUAACAUCCAUUGUGACGAAGAAUUUUUUAAACAAUGGAUCAUAACAUUUGUAGCCUUUUUGAGUAGGAGAAUAGCCAAGAAAUACACAUUUUAAAGCCCUAGGAUCAAGUUUGCUCCUGUUCUGUUUAUGAACGUGAACAAAAGCAAUGCACCCAAAAAUCUUUGGUGGUAAAGAUGUGAAAACCUUAGCGAAGGGAUAGAAUUUUGUGAAAACAUUUAAUGGAGACUGAAAAUUAAAGAUUCGGGUAGGCAUACGAUUUAUCAAGUAUGAUGCUGUGAGAAUGGCUUUACCCCAAAACUGUUUUGGCACUUUAUUUGUGAACAUAAGAGAGCGUGCAACUUCUAAUAGGUGUCGAUUUUUCCGUUCAGCAACACCAUUUUGCUGAGGAGUAUCUACACAAGAGAAUUGGUGCACAAUACCAUUUUCCAUGAAAUAAUGACCAAGGGCAGUAGCAAAAUACUCUCUCCCAUUAUCAAUUCUAAAGACUUGAAUUUUUGCUUGAAAUUGUGUUUGAAUCAUGGUAUGAAAGGUUUUAAAAACUGUUGCAGUUUCUGAUUUUUCUUUAAGCAAGUACACCCAACAAACACGAGUGAGGUCAUCAAUAAAAGUUAUGAACCAUUUAGCCCCCGAAAUGUUUGUAACACGAGAGGGUCCCCAAAUAUCAUUGUGUAUAAGAGAAAAAGGUGCAGAUUUUUUAUACGGCUGUGAAGGAAAAGAUGCACGAUGAUUUUUGGACAAUACACAAAUUUCACACUGAAACAAAGAAAGAUUUUUAUUCUUGAACAGUAAAGGAAACAAAUGUUGUAAAUAAGAAAAACUAGGAUGACCUAAUCGGAGAUGCCACAACAUUAUUUCAUCUUCAAUAGAGAAAGUUAGUUCAUUAUUUGCUGACUGAGCUUCUCCACACAAACUAACAUCCUCCUCGAAGUAGUACAAACCAUCUACCUCUCUAGCACUGCCAAUCUUCUUCCCCGAACACAGGUCCUGAAAUUCACAAUAGGAACGAGAAAAUUUAGCAAUGCAAUGAAGAUCCUUGGUAAUUUUGCUAACAGAUAAAAGGUUACAAGACAAAUUAGGAACAUGAAGAACAGAUGUUAACACCAAAUUUGUGGAGAUAGGAAUAGAUCCUUUUCCUGCUACGGAAGAUAGUGAACUGUUGAAUGUUAGAAAAUGUAUAUUUAUAAAGGAGAAAAUCGUCAUUUUACAUUUCAAGUCUUACUAACAACCCUUACUUUUAUGUAUUUAAGCUUCUUGUAAUUUAAUUAUGUGUGUUUGAUUUUAAUUAAGUAUUUUAUGUAUUUUAGGGGCAUCAUAGUCAUUUCACAAUAAACGAGGGAUCAAACGGUAAAACAGACAUGACUUUUGAACUCAAGACGGUCGAAAACCUUAGGAGGAGCAUAAAAGAAAAAAUGGUACUGUUCACAUGUGCGGUACUGUCUACCUUACUGUUCACAUAGACGGAUCGAUGACGUGGCAUUGACUGAUGAGGUGUCAUGAUCAUGUUGGACUAAAAUUCUUAUGUACUAUUGAUGGUGACGUGGCAGCAUAUUAGUGGACCAAAAAACGCACGUACGGUACAUGCAACAUAUGGGAUUAUUUUCAACCAAACCGCGUGGUCCAACUGUGUUACUGUUCAAACCGCGUGGUCAAACCGCAUACUGUUCACGCGUACUAUUGACGCGUACUGUUGACUGAUGACGUGGCACAAUCUUGAGUGUCCAAACUGUUUUUAAUCCGAUGGCCAUGAUUUACUCAAUGUAUCUAUCAAAAGGGGACCUCUCCCCCCUAAUUUGAUGCCUCUGAAUCCAUUUUUUGACUCUGUUUUCUAUAAUUCCUUCUCUAUCUUGUAUUUUCUAUGUAUUUUAAUAAAUUUCCAUUUUACCCCUAGUUCAAUUAUGAGUGACUAAUUUUCUUUCAAGCUUGGGUUGAAGGUGAAGUCUCAACAUGUGUCAUGGGCUUUAUUUGGUAAAUUUAUUUUCUCUUCCCCUCUAGUUUUUGUGGAUGAUUUGACUUCUCGUCGACAAAUAAUAAUAGUCUUGUCUAGAUACUGCCCUGGUUUCACCGGCACCCUAGUACAAGGUUAUUAUUAUUUGGCACGAUAAGCCCUUAGCACCAUAUUGAUUAGAGUGUGGUUCAUGAGGUGUGGAUUCCCGCACUCAUGAUUUAAUUGGCAUUAGUAAGGAUUAUUUAGCCCAUAACGCAUGUUGAUACAAAUGCAAAUACCCAAGUACGUCAUUUCAAUAGAUUUCUCUUCAAUUUAUUCUCGUCAUUGCAAUUCCAAUUUUAGAAUUUAUUAUCGCCAUUUCAAUUCCAAUUUUAGGAUAAUUUAAAUCACUUCCACUACAAUUACAACCACCCAUUUACAAAAUUAAUUCUACACAUAAUUAAAAUCCACCUCCUCGUGGGAUCGACACUCGUCACCAUUAGUCUAUUCUACAAUAGAUUCGUGCACUUGCGAUUCAAUAAAAUUUGCACAACAUGAACCAUCAGCAAUUUUAAUUUUUUGACUACCAGAACAUGGAAUAUAUGAAGAAAAUAAUUUAGAAUGGCUGGUCAUAUGAUCGGUUGCUCCUGAAUCGAUGAUCCAUGGAUCUUGUUUCUCAUAAACAACUCCUAAAGCAGUGAAAUUAUUACCUUUCUGGGCUAAAGAACUAAAGGACGAAGGAUUUGGGAGAGAUUGUGACUGAUUUAGAAACCUGUACAGUUGCUCUAACUGCUCUUUAGUGAAGAGUUGAGAUUUGGUUUCUCCAGUAUUGGUUGUCGGCCGAUUCUCCCCAACAACUUGGAAACCACGACUAUGUUUACCAGAGAAUUUAUUGUUUUUCAGAUUUGGAGGUUUUCCAUGAAACUUCCAACAUGCAUCUCUAGUAUGUCUUGGCUUAUGGCAAUAAUCACACCAAACUCUGUCCUUCUCAUCACUCUUCUUCAAGUUUUUUGUUCCACCAACCAGUGGAGCUUCUGGUGUAACAGAGAUCAAGGUUGAGUUCUCUGCUGAAGAACCUCCCAUCAUCACAUUCUUUCUACUUUCCUCUCUUCUUACAUAAGAAAACACUUCCCUGGUAGAAGGAAGAGGUUCCUUUCCAAGUACUCGCCCACGGACUUCAUCAAGGUCUAAACUCAAACCUGCUAAGAAUUCAAAUACACGCUCUUUUUAUAACAUCUUCUUGUAUUUAGCACUAUCAGCAGCACAUUCCCACUCGCCAUCAUAGUAUUGAUCUAACUCUUGCCAUAAGCCCUUCAAAAUAUUGUAGUAUUUAGUCACUCCUUGACUACCUUGUUUGGUUUCUCACAUUCUGGUUUUUAGAUCAUAAAUCUUAGCAGAAUUUCCCAAAUCAGAAUAGGUCUCGGUGACAGCAUCCCACAAAUCUUUUGCUGUUGGCAGAAACAAGUAAGUUUGACCUAUUUCUUGUUCCAUUGAAUUCACUAACCAUGACAUGAUCAUUGAGUUAUCAGCAUCCCAAGUUUGAAACUUUGGGUCGUCUUCAGUUGGUUCUUUAAUUGAACCAGUAAGGUAACCAAUCUUCCCUUUACCUCUGAUAAACAUCUUCACAGAUUGGGACCACUGAAGAAAAUUUUGACCAUUCAAUUUAUGGGUUGUGAUAUGAAGUGAUGGACUAUCAUUAGAAACAUAACUUGAUGGUCGUAGAUGCCAUUGCAACUGCUCUGAAGAUAACUCAGAAGUUUCUUGGUCGCUAUACUUUGACUUUGGUAUUCAAAUAGAAUUGAAAACUAAACCCAAGAAUCAAAGAGCGGCUAUGAUACCAUGAGAAAAUUAUUGAAGAAAUAUGUAUCUCAUUUUCUCUUCUUUUACAAUAGGAUUACAUGAUAAACAUAUAAAUUCUAAACUACAUAACGUGCAAGAGUAGGAAAGUAAACAACUAACUGUAGACUAAGAAACUAAGAAGCAAACUCUAUCAAAAAAUUGAAAUUCUAUCCCUAUCUUUUUUUCCUUAAAAAUAGGAUAGAAAACAUGUGACUUUUCCACAGCAACUAAACAUACAAACCUUGAAAUCCAAAAUUGUACUCGAUGAAUGUGCAAUUGCUCGAGCAGGUAAAUUUACUGCAAAGGCUCUUACAAACCCUCAAAGAUGAUACUCUGCAUACCAUGGUAACCUGAAUAACAAAAAGAAACACAGUGAAUAUUAAAGGGCAAUCUGACAAUGCAAAUUUGUGCAAAUUAACAACUGUGGUUACCUGCAUAAUAGUCUUAAUUCCGAAUUCCUUCCUCCAUGGAAGCAUAUGAUCAGCCCACAUGUGCUUUGCUCUGUAGCUUUUGAGUACCUGAAAUUGUUAUUACAACCAACGGUGAAAAUUGGGUGAAAAAAUGGUAAUAUUAGCAUAAUUGAAUUUGCUUAUAGAGGAUAAACCGAUCAAAGAAAAAAACAAGAUAGAAAUGAUUAUCUUAGUACCUUAAUAUCAUGCAAUAAAAAUCAUCAUGCCAUCCAGGCAGCUAUCCAUCCUCAAUUGAAACAGAGCAGACCUGGCCAUCACUUUCUUCUUCAAAGUCCAGCAACUGAACGUUGCACACAACACCACAGUGGAAGUAGUUACAUCACCAGCCUAAUCCUUGAUUACCCCAAUGUUCUCCAUAGGGUCUUCAAAGUCAACCUAAAAAUAAAAUGAAAAUGCAAUGCAUUAUUAUUAGGGAUCUAGUGCUUGAGCUUGCUUUGACAUCAUGGUAUUAGCAAAUUCUGAUAUUGCCAAAAUGGUAAACAAGAUGAUGUACUUGAUAAGAAAAACCUGAUUUAACAAAUAAUUAAGAAGCAGGUACCAAUCACAUAAUCUCAUCAUGUGGGGAAUGCCUUGGCAACAGAAGAUGGUGCUUUCAUUCAAGCAAUAGCAACUUUCCAAUUUCACAAGGUAGUUUAAUGGCCCUUUUAAGAACAUCUGUACCAGCCUAACAAUUAUUCAUGGAAAUUAAAAUUCAGAAUCAUAUUAGAUUAAGAGAUGAAAUAUAAUAAGCGAUUUGGCCACCAUAUAUGCAUUUAUCACCUUCAAUUCGCUCAUCUUUGUCUAGAGUAUUGCUUCUGCAUUAACUUAAUUAGCUUCCAAGCCACCUACAAAUGGUUUUAAAUAAUGUGUGAAAGUGUGAAUUCGAACGAAUUAAUCAAAUAUGCUGACAGGAGAAACAAAAGUAAAUAACCACAAGAAGUAGAAAUAUACUUUUGUUAUAUUCAGAGCAUCUUCUUGCGUCAAGUUCUUUUCCUUUAGCUCUGUUUCUGUUUGUGCUCAAACGCAAUGGCUCAAGGGUCCAGAUAAUUUUAUGACCGUCAAUCUUUUUGCAGCCACAGCAAACUUGAAAAAAUGAUCGUGGCCCUAAGGAACUUGAAAAUUAGAAAAGAUUCAGACUGAGUGACUAAAUAUUAUAAUCGAAACUAACUAAAUAUUAUAAUCGAAACUAAUUAAACGCCUAGAAAAUUUGAAACUGAGCAAUUGCUUCUGGUGGAAACUUUACUGCAAGGACUUUCUCAAACCCUUGAAGAUCACACUCUACCUGAUAACAAAGAAACAGUCAAUAUACGAAGCUGAUUUUACUAACAAGUGAGUGCUUACACAUAUUGGAAGGAUAAUGAUUACUCAUAACCCAAAUCCCCAAUACUCCCUAAUAUCUCACUCAAGUGAGUUCGAGCUCCCAGAAUUCACUACUGUGAAACUCUUACAACAAAAUUCCCUUCAAAGAUUCUCUACUCAAAUUUGAUGAUGAUGUCCCUCGAAAGGAGGCAAAAAAUCUAACACUGAUCAAAUUGGCUUGUGAACAAUUAAUCUUCCUGGCCAUCAUGCAUACCAGGUGUGGUGAGCAAUCUUCAUUCUGACAUUUGCCUUAAUAAGCGGCUUAGUAUCCUUAACCUGAUAACUUACACAAACAAAAACAACUUGAUUAAAGUUUAAUAUUUAGAGGCAGAACAGUAAAGAAGAUGAUAUAUAUUGAUACUAAAAUUUGACCUGCGUUAUCCUGUCGUCAAGAAUCACGGCAUCUCAUGUGGGCAGAAUCUUCGCAGUACAAAUGCUUGCAAAAUUGAAGCAACAACUUAUCACCUGUGAUUUAAUUCCAUGCAUAAUACGACCAAAAGUAAAACUUUUUGCCAGGGCUCUGUGUUUCUGUUUGUGCUAAAACCAAUGGAAACCGAUGGAAUGAAUUUCUAGGAAUUCGACAUAUCAGCCAAAACAGGUACUCUGUACAAGCAAAGUAAAAUAGGGUUACAAAAAAUUUUAAGAUUGAUAUGAUAAUUAAAAUUUCAGUCACCAUAUAAUUAAUAGAAAACUUUGGACACAAUGAUUUAUUGCAUAUUAAGAUUGCUAUACAAAAUAUAUUAUUAGCAUUAGGAGACCGCACCAAAGCAUACCGAAUUGAAUGUGCCUUUUUACAGCCAUUUUACAAGCUUUGAAGCUUUACCACAAAUGCUUUUUCCAACCCGUGAACAUGAUGCACCCGAAAGAUGCAAGCUAUGAAAUUGUUACUACAGCAAGCGUUGGAACAUUUGUUAACGAAGGAAGUUUAUGAAAAUACGCCUUUGGAUACCCGUCUUCAGGAAUCAAUUCAUCCGUAAUAACAAUUUUCAAGAAGUAUCAACUGCUUUAAGUUCAUCGACAUCACAGAGAUCUUCAACUAAAAUAGUGUAGAUCCGGCCAUCACUAUCCCUUCUACUGCUCUUUUCCUUUAGAGAAUGCUUGAAUUACAUAAUGCGUGUAAGGCAUUCUUAUUCAAGGUCCAAUGAUCAAACCUUGCACAAUAACAACUGAGGUAGUGGUUCCUUCGCCAGCCUAACCCUUGGUCUCAGGAAUGUCCUCAACAGGGUGCUCGAAAUCAACCUAAAAAUCAAGAAUGAGUUGGAAAACUGUUUAUGGCCCUAAAGAACUUGAAAAUCAGAAAAGAUUAAGAAUGAGUGACUAAACAUUUUAAUCGCAACUAAACAUACAAACCUUGAAAAUCUAACUUUGAAGUACUCUUGAAUGAAUGAGCAAUUGCACGAGCUGGUGACAACUAAGGUUACUGUGAAGUCUCUUACAAAUCCUUAAAGAUGAUACUUUACAUACCACGAUAACCUGAUAACACAUAGGAACACAAUGAACAUUAAAGUGUAUUCUGACAAUGCAAAUUUGUGGAAAUUAUCAGCUGUGGUUACCUGGACAAUAUUGCCAACACCAAGCUCUUUCCUCAAUUGAAACAUAUGAUCAGCCCACAAAUGCUUUGCUUUGUAGCUUUUGAGAGCCUGAAAUUGUUAUCACAACCAACAGUGAAAAUUGGGUGAAAAAAUUGAUAUUAGCAUAAUUCCGUAUGUUUAUAUAGGAUAAACCGAUCAAAGAAUAAAAAAAGAUAAAAACAGAGCAGACCCAGCCAUCACUUUCUUCUUCAAAGUCGCACAAUAACCACAAUGGUAGUCGUUCCACUGCUAGCCUAAUCCUUGGUCACCCCAAUGUUCACCAUGAAGUAUUCAAAGUCAACCUAAAAAUAAAUAAAAAUGCAAUGCAUGUGGAAAUGAAAAUUCUAUAAAUUAAAUAAAAUAAAAAUGCAAUGCUUGAGCUUGAGCUUGCUUUAGCAUCAUCGUAAUAGUAAAUUUUGAUAUAUCUUUACUUCUCUGUUCUUGUUUAUUCACAACAAGAUAUCAAUAGAAGAAGAUGGAAAUGAAAUUCUAUAAAAUAAAGCAAGUGAAUUACCAGCAGAACAUUUUAGCAAUCCUUUGGCUAAACUUUUCAUUUUCUUAGCAUACUCUCCUGCCUGCAUCAUUAAAACCAAAUUAGAUUGGACCUGUGAAUUGCUAGUGUGGUUCUGACAUUUCCUCGAGUCCCUGGUGAACAUAACUAAACUCGUAUGAAACAAUUACACAAUUACUUUAAAGAAUUAAUGUCACAUAAAUUAUAUAUAAAAAAAUACGAUUAUCAUUAUACAAGAUAAAAUUGAUAAUUUAGUUUUCAACAUUACUGCAAAUGUAUCACAGAGAUUUUUUCUCUCAGGAAGUUACACAUAACAACUUUUCGUACAUUAAAAAAUAAAUUACAUUGGGAUUUUCUAUUAUGUUGUAUCAAAUUUUAUAAAAGAGCACAAAUUUUUUAAAAGAAAAUAUAGAAAUUUCAACAUACUACGCUUGGUUUUUUUUUAAUUAUUUAAUCUUUAGAAAACAAGUUUAACAGAUUUGAUAACUAGGAAGUUUUACAUAUUUAUACCAUGAUUGAUUCUAUAUAGAAUUUUAAUUCAAAAUAUAAUUAUUUUUAUUAAUUUCAUUGUAAGCAACAACGAAGUAAAUCAGAGGAGGAGAAAUUACCAGCGAGUGAUAUCUUACGGCGACCACUUGAUGUGGGGAAUGUGGGAUAUCUUAUACCAGUCUUCUCCUUCCCCCUCUCUAUAACGGUUUUCCAGAAUGAGACAUCUCCAAAUUGUCAAUUCCUGCAGCGUCGUCGUCCGAAGAAGGUAAUCCGGCAGCACCUUUAAUUUGGGGCAAUCCCAAAUUCGCAAGGAAGAAAGACGUAGUAUGUCUGUUGUCCUGCGAUCUUCUAGAACGGGCAGUUCUUCUAGAAGAUAACAAGAAUAAAUACUCAGUUCCUGCAGUGUCGUCGAUUGAAGAAGGUAAUCCGGCAGCACUUUUAAUCUGGGGCAAUAAGAAAUCUCCAAGGAAGAAAGACGUGGCAUGAUGGAGAUGUUUUCCGUCCUCGUAAUCCUGUAAUUCCACUCUUCCACUUCAUCAAAUUCGCCAAUUUCGAGAGAUUUCAAUUUGGGGAAGGCAAUAACUGAUGAUGACGAUGAAGAUGAAGAUGGGUCGUCCUCACUGCUUUCUUUUAUUCCCAAAAACUCAUUACCUACUCUUUUUACACUUUCAAAGCCGCGUAGUUCGAGUUUUUCCAGAGGCAAUUUUCCCAAAGGAGGCAAAUGCUCACAGUUUACGCAGUAGAAAAGGCUUAAAUCCCUUAGAUUGGUUAGUGAAGUCAACCAUUUGGGAAAAAUGUUGCCUCCGUAGAAUAUAAUCCUUAACUCCUCUACAUUCAAAGGCGGUUGUAAGGCUUCAAGAAGUUGUUUAUCUUUCUCGUUCUUCCUCCUCCCUUCUUCGCCCUCCCCAUCUACGACUCCACCAAACUCAAGAUGCAAACGAAGGAGGUUUUUCUUAUUGUAAAGUUGUAACCUCUCAGCCUCAUCUACAUGCGAUACAUUACUCAGCCCUUCUACUCUACAUUCACGAAGGAGUUGAAGAUUUUUCAGAGAUUCAAGCCUACACGUAUUGCUACCAUCAACACCUCCACCCACCACAAACUUUUCUAAUGUUCGAAGGCUAGUCAAUUUGGAAAUCCCUAUUGGCAGGUACUUCAACGAACGAGUUUUAUCAUUCAGUAAACUCCUCAUGUUCAUUAACUUCCCAAUCCCUGCAGGCAAUUCUCUAAGAUAUUCGCACUGCCUAAUAUCUAGCUUUUGUAAAUUAUAUAAUUGACACAAAGUCUCAGGUAGUCUCUCUAACCUUAAUCCAGACAAAUUAAGAUAUUUUAAAUGUAUCAAUUUUCUAACUUUUUCUGGAAUUUCUAUAAUCAAAUUUGCCUCAGGAUGAAAACCUAAAAUGUGAUAUUGCCUCAUAACUAAUGCCCUCAAACACGCCAAUUUACUAAAUAACUCCGAAAGGAUGCUACUACUAAGAGGCCGACUGUAAGGACUUUCAUCAUAAAUUAAUAAGGUACGCAAUCUAUUAAGUCCAUGAAUGGACAUAGGAAAUGAAGUGCCUCUUUGAAAAUUUAACCCUAAGUGACGGACUUUGUCACCAAAAGAGUUUAUGACUGAUUCUUUGGUACCAUUAAUUUCUACCCACAAACAUUCUUUUCUACUUACAAAUUGGGCAAAAUCAUGUACUAUGUCAUGCAUCUUACACCCCAGAAUAUCAUCAUUGUCAUCAUCUUUUUCAAACUCUUGAAAGAAAGAGCGUGUUGCUAAGAUGUUGAAAUAUUCUUCUCCGAUCAUCUCCAUUUCUUCGUCUUCAUCUGCAUUAAGGUAACCUUGAGCCAUCCAUAGAUUAAUCAAUUCCCUUUUAUUCAUAUUGUAGUCUUUUGGAAAGACAGCACAAUAUGAGAAACACCGUUUUACCAUAGAAUUGGAGGGCAAAUCGUUAUAACUCAACAACAAAGGAGCCAAAAUACCUUGCCCAAUCUCUUCUACUUUCCACAUUUCACUCUCUAAAAUUCUUUGCCACUCUUUUAUUGUACUUUUAGAGCGCAAGAGAUUCCCUAUUACCUUUGCAGCAAGAGGUAGGCCUUUGCACUUACAUGCAAUUUUUCGCCCGAUUGGUUCUAAUUUUUCACAAUCCUCAAAGGACCUACGUAGAAAUGCUAUCUGCUUAAACAGUAACCAACAUUCCCCUUCACCCAACUCCUUGACAGGGAUAAUAUCUAUUGAUCCCAACUGCAGUGCAACUGACCUAUCACGUGUGGUAAUUAGAAUUUUACUUUCAUGGUGGCCAUUCUUUAGACAAGAAAAGAAUGGGUCCCAUUUUUUGUAAUCUCCAUCCCACACAUCAUCUAAAACAAGAAAAAAUUUCUUCCCCGUAAUAUAUUCCUGAAUCUGUUUCAUAAGAGAUUCGAAUUCGCUUAAACCAGAAGCUGACGCGCCUAGACUUUCAAUGAUUGCUUUGGCGACCCUAAUCUCCUCAAAAGUGUCUGAUACACACACCCAUAUAACUUUUUCAAAAUUUCUUUUCACCUCAUCAUUAUUAUAGGCCAGUUGUGCAAGAGUGGUUUUACCUAUACCCCCUAACCCAACUAGUGAGAUGACAUGAAGGCCUUUUUGUUGUUCACUACUUUCACACAACAACUUGCUUAAGAGCUCAUUUUUCUCAUCAACUCUACCGCAAACCUCUCCCUCAUCAAUCAAGGAGGUGGUUCGCACUCGCUCUGGUUUCUUAACAUUGCUGCUCACAUUCUCAACAAAUUUAAACGUAUCUUUUUGGGAGGCAAUAUCAUCUAGCUUUCCAUUGAUUUCCCUGAUCUUGACGGCAAUGUCAUGACGAAGACUAAGUUGUUUGAAACUACCAAAGCAGUUUGAUACAGCACAAAAGAAGGAGCGUACCUUCUUAUGAGGAGCAAGAGCAAAAGCAUUGUCAUCAUCAACGCCCUCAAUCUGCAAUUUGAGCCUUGCAGUGGUCCACUCCUCCAACACGUCUUCCAUGUCGUAAGAUGCGUCUUUGAGUUGAUCCAGCCAAAAAGUAACAGCAUUGUCGCGCUGCAUUUGCCUUUUCUCUGCAUCUUCCAGCACAGCUCGAAUGGCUCGAAGAUUGCUGGUAAGCUUUUUCACUUCUUCUCCGACACCAGUCACAAGCCUCACCUGUUGUUUCACUUCAUCAGCCGCAACGGAGAUCAGCUGCUCCAGGAGAGAGGAAACGAUCGCAUCAACCAUUCUGACAAAGAAAACGAGAAUUCUGAUGAGUUAUUAGAUGUGCUUUUGUUGCGAAGAUAUGAAAGAAAGGAGUUAUUGCAUUCUUUUAUACUGCAUAGAAAAGGUUUAUGCUUAUCCCCAACCCACACGUCAAUGAUUGUAGAAUGUUUAAUUUCCCUGAUUCUACUCCACUAGUUGUAAUAUUCUCAAGUUAUGUAUGAAAAUAGCACAAAUUUGGACCUACUGAUGAUUUUUAUGUAUUUUUUCAUAAUCUUCUAAAAUACUGUAUCUGCAUGUUAUUUCGUGCAGAAAUAUGGCAUUGGGUGAAAAAAGUUAUGCUUAUCCCCACCCACACGUUAGUAAUUGCAGUAGCAUCUUUAAUUUCCCUGAUUCUACUCCACGGACGAACACAUUUUUUGUACUAAUAUCUUUAAAUUCCCACACGUUAGGAAUUUGGCACAUAAUCUCAAACUCGUCCCAUCUUUAACGUAUGAGGUUGAUGAAUGAAUUCUUUUCUCAUGUGAAUUUAAAACUCCGAGAUUAUGUGCCAAAUUCCUAACGUGUGGGAAUUUUACCUCCUAAGUAAUCCGGCCCACUGCCAAGUGCCAACUUUUUCUCUGUCGAGUUAAUGAUGUUGUUUUGUUUUCCUUGUUUUAAUUAAUGUUGCGGUGAGAAAAAGAUCGAUGUAAAUGGCUAGCCAGGUUUUGCAGAAACCAUGAAUGGUCUUGCAUGCAUGGGUGGCUUUAAGUAUAGGCCAAAAAGAUGGUCGUCUAAGGCCCCAAAUUUUAAAAAAGCUACAAUUUUUUAAUAUUAAUAAUAAUUCUCUUAUUAAUAAAAUCUUUUAAAAAAAUUAUAUGUGUGGUAGAAAAGCCUAUUAGACAUAUCUCUAAUUAAUAAUUAUCCUAUAAUUAAUAUUUUUUUUAUAUAAAAACCUAUAAUUGGUUAUCUUAUUGUUAAAGAGAUAUAAUUAAUAAUAUUGUUUAACCAUUAAUUUAUUCAUUAUUAGUUUUUCUAAUAAAAAUAAGUAAAUUUUUUUAUCUUUUCAACUUCUUAAAAAAAAACUUAAUUAUUCAACAUUAGAAUAUUUGGCUUUGAGUAUUUCUUUUAAUUUCUACUAAAAAUCUUAUAAUCUAAAAAAUUAUAGAUGAAAAAUUUCUUAUUAUCUUCUCUACGAUGAAGAUUAUUACAUGCAUUAGUUCAUUCAAAAAAGAAAAAUAAAAAAUUAGUUACUUGAAAUACAAAGUCCAUAUCCAUUAUCUAAAAUCAGUUCAUAAUCUCAACUUUUUAUGUGCUACCAUUCUAAAUAUUCUAUUUGAAAAUAGUAUUGUUCUCAUUUAUUCGUUUGCUUCUUUUUGUAAAAUUUCUAAUGAUAAAUUUUAGAUUUUGUUUUCAAAAAUUUUUAGAAUCUUCUUGAUUAUUUGUUGAAAUUCAAGAAUAAAAACUGAAAUGGAUUUUCAGUUCUUUAUUGUUUUAUUGAAUAUUGAAAUUACUAAAUAAAAAGAGGUCUCAUAAAAAAAAAAAAAAAAAAAAGUUCGUCUAAGGCCCCUAAUACUAUAAGCCGGCCCUGCUUGCAUGUGACAUAAAGCUUUAUAGCUUAUUCCUCCAUCAACAUUUCAAUGGUUCCAUCUCACGUGCACUUGGCUAUGAAUAAGGUCCAUGCAUGGAUCGAUCGAUUUAGGAGUUUUGGACCAUCUCAUGCUGCAGAGUUAUGUGUCAUGUAUGUGUGUUGACACUUGCCAGUUCAUUUUUGUUAUAAAGAUUAUUGAUACUCAUAAAUGCACUACUUACAAAUCAUAAAUUUUGAGUUUGACACUUUAGUUUCAUUUUGUAAUCCCUACGCUCUUUAAAUAUUUGUAACAAUAUAUUUCAAACUUUAACUCAGACGUAAUGAAUGAAGGGGGAUCCUCUUCUUAUAUAAAUUUUUAUUUUUUAACGUUCAAGUUACAUUUGAUUACGUGUACUUAUUAUCUAGUUUUGACUAUCUAAUUACAUUUGAUUACGUGUACUUAUUAUAUAAAUUUUUUUAAAAAUGAUGGGUUUGGUGAGAUUUUUUACAUCUUGGAUCAGUAGGUCAAGAACAGGCAGGGCAGGGCCUUCUCUGAAGUCAAUCUUGUGAGCAACACCAGCUUUUUGGAUAAUUGGCAGCCCCAAUUCAUAAUUUUCUCUAUUGAUGUCCAUGGCCAAAAUCUGCAACCGAAGCUUAUUCUACUCUUAUUAAUCGAGAGAUAAUUUUACCUCUAAUUAAUUUAAUUGGGAGGAAAAUCGAGAGAGAUAUCCACUCUGUCCUUAUUAAUUGAGAGAUAAUUUUACCCUUACCCAAUUUAAUUGGAAAGGAAAUCGAAUUCCAACAAUAACUAGGACUUGAAUCCAUGCACUUAAGCUAACUUUAAGUUUUUGGACGCAUGGUUAUAAUGUUCUUUAUUUAAAUCCUAACAAAUGGUGGGACUUGAACUUGUGCCUACAAACAUUGAGUGCUUAGGGGCUGCAAAAUUUCAUAACUUAAUUUUAGUUGAUGUGGCAUAUGCCCUAUCACAUAAAUGUAGGUAAUAAUAAUUAAUACAUUAACAAAAUGAAAAAUAUUAGUUUACAAAACACAAAUCCAAAAUUUUUGUGUGACAGGGGAUUUAAAAGGGAGAGACUAAAUAAAUGUGGUGAAAAACGACAUGUAUUACUAAAAUUGAAAAUACGAAGUCUAGGCAAUUGAAAACAUCGGGUUUUUUAUUUAAAUAUCCCCAAUUUGUCCUUAAAUACCAAAUUUAUACUCUAUUAUAUACAUAUACCUUACGAAGAUAGGGAAGGUAAAAAAUAACCUUAAAAAAAUCAAGAAUCCACACAUUUCUUCCUCUCAGUGCAGGAAGAUGUCGAGUACGAAGUCGGGUAAGUCGAGAAUUUAGUUGAGCAAGAAUUGGAGAUAAGUAAGUCGAGUAUAUAAUCCAGUAGGAAAUUGAGUAAGCAUAUUAAAUGAGUCGAGUAUUAAGUGGUCGAGUAUUAAAUAAAAGUCAAGUGAAUUUUUUGAACAAGUCGAGUAAAAUUUAUGUAAUUUUUAAAAAGGUCAAGUAUUAAGUCGGGCAAGUACAUUGGGUCGAGUAUUAAUAUUUUUAAGGAAGUGAAGUCUAGUAAGUUGAGCAUUCAGUCGAGUGAGAAAUGAAGGCAAUUGAAUAAGUCGAGUAUCUAGUCGAGUACGAAGUCGGGUAUGAAGUAUGGUAAGUUGAGCAUUCAGUCGAGUGAGAAGUUAAGGCAAUUGAAUAAGUUGAGUAUCUAGUCGAGUACAAAGUCGGGUAUGAAGUUUGAUAAGUUGAGCAUUCAGUCGAGUGAGAAGUGAAGGCAAUUGAAUAAGUCGAGUAUCUAGUCGAGUACGAAGUCGGGUAUAAAGUAUGGUAAGUUGAGUAUUCAGUCGAGUGAGAAGUUAAGGCAAUUGAAUAAGUUGAGUAUCUAGUCGAGUACGAAGUCGGGUAUGAAGUUUGGUAAGUUGAGCAUUCAGUCGAAUAAGAAAUGAAGGUAAUUGAAUAAGUCGAGUAUCUAGUCGAGUACGAAGUCAAGUCUGAAGUCUGGUAAGUUAAGCAUUCAGUUGAGUAAGAAGUGAAAGCAAUUGAAUAAGUCUAGUAUCUAGUCGAGUAAGCAGAUUGAAUGAGUCGAGUAUUAAUUUUUUGUUGGCAUUUUGUUGAGGUUAUUUUUGUACUUUCUUCGGUUUUUUAAGUAUGUAUAUGUAAAGUUACAGAUUUUAAUAGAUUGAGAUAUAUUUUGGAUGGUACGAGAGAAACGGGGUAUAUCCCACGCAAUUCCUUCGAAAACAUAUCUGUCAAUUGCAAUGAAAAGAUCACAACCCUUCGUAAUUAAACAAAAUCAAACUUGAAAAAAAAAAAUCACACACACAAAACAAUCACAAAAACUAUUUGUUCUGAUCAUCCCUGCUUUUUUUUAGCGUAGCUCUUGGAAUGAAAAUUAACAAAAAGUGUCAAAAGAGAAGCAUUAAACACAGCAUUGAAGCACCAACCCAAAAUCCCAGAGCAACCAAAUCCCGUAAAAUGAUAAUACAGCAUCAAAACCGAAACAACAAAACUAAACACAAACUGAACAAUCUGACAAUCAGUGACCAAUCUCUUCCACUUUGGCCGCAACACCAUCACACACAAUAGAUAGUACCCGUACAUGAUCACAUGCACACUUGCAUUGGUCACAAGUGCAAUAGGAAACAAAGACUGCUUCGUCUGUAACCAAAGGUAGCACAUUACGACGACGGUUGCAUGGUGGUAGACGUGGAGGAACGUGAGCCGUUGGAUGGAGUUUGACAAAAUGAUCAAAAGGGUGUCUAGGAAUUCGAGUAUUUUGGAGAGGUAGAAGAUGUAAGCGUAGAAGAAGAGGGGACCGGAGGGAGAAAUGGUGGGGGGAAACAGAGGGUGUGACGGAGGUCGGGUGAAUGGAGGACGAUGGAGAGAGUGCAACCAACGGCCAUGACGAGGGAGAGGAGGAGGAGGGUAAGGUUAUGGACGGCUGUGAUGGGCUUGAGGAUGUGGGGUCCAAUGAGAGGUGAUGAUGAUGGUGAUGUUGGCGUUAAUUUGUGGUAGAGGAUGAAUGUGAGGGAGAGGAAAGUGAGGAUGGAGAGAAUGAGGAAGUGUGGGGAGGAAGCUGGGGUUUGGUUUUGAGUCCACGUGAAGUAGAGGAUUUGGGGAUGGUUUACAAGCCAAUAUUGGAGUGUUGAGGUGAUUGAAUUUGAAGCCAUGGCUGGUUUUUAGGGGGAGGAAAGAUUAGAAAGAGAUGAUGUUGAGAGGAGUGGGGGAGUUUAGAAAGUUUGGGAUAAUGUGAGGGGUAUUUUGGGCAUAUAAUGUUG
This 208408-nucleotide long non-coding RNA is filed under the name Citrus maxima (pomelo). RNAcentral's name for it is "long non-coding RNA (CMAX_LNC001276)". The stretch from base 159328 to 159431 matches the Rfam family "Plant small nucleolar RNA R71". Lineage: Eukaryota; Viridiplantae; Streptophyta; Magnoliopsida; Sapindales; Rutaceae. The record is from RNAcentral.